AUUGAGGCUUAGUUAUGAUCGGCUAGGUGAUUUAGCACUCCAACAAUGUCUGUUGUACUGUGCAUUAUUUCCUGAAGAUCAUAGGAUUGAAAGGGAGGAGUUGAUAGGUUAUUUGAUCGAUGUCGGAAUAAUUAAAGGAAUGAGGAGCAGAAAAUAUGCAUUUGACGAGGGCCACACAAUGCUUAAUAGACUUGAACAUGUCUGCCUAUUAGAAAGAGCUCAAAUGAUGGGUAGUCCUAGACGUGUCAAGAUGCAUGACUUGAUUAGGGACAUGGCCAUUCAAAUACUGCUAGAGAACUCUCGAGGCAUGGUUAAAGCAGGUGCACAAUUAAAAGAGUUGCCAGAUGCAGAGGAGUGGACGGAGAAUCUGACGAUAGUUUCACUAAUGCAAAACGAAUAUGAAGAAAUUCCUACCGGCCAUUCACCUAGGUGUCCCUAUCUAUCAACUCUAUUGCUAUGUCAAAAUCGUUGGUUGGGAUUUAUUGCGGAUUCAUUUUUCAAGCAAUUGCAUGGGCUCAAGGUCCUCGAUCUGUCUUGCACAGGUAUUGAAAAUUUGCCAGACUCUGUCUCUGAUUUGGUGAGUCUCACUGCAUUAUUGCUCAGUCAUUGUGAUAAAUUAAAACAUGUUCCAUCAUUAAAGAAGCUCACGGCACUGAAGAGGUUGAAUCUCUCUUGGACUACGCUUGAAAAGAUGCCGCAAGGAAUGGAAUGCCUCACCAACCUGAGGUAUCUUAGAAUGACUGGAUGUGGUGAAAAGGAGUUUCCUAGUGGGAUAUUACCAAAACUCUCUCACCUGCAAGACUUUGUACUAGAAGAGUUUAUGGUGCGAGGUGAUCCUCCGAUAACAGUUAAAGGAAAGGAAGUAGGAUCUUUGAGAAAUUUGGAAAGUUUGGAAUGCCAUUUCGAAGGUUUCUCUGACUUCAUGGAGUAUCUCAGAUCUCGGUAUGGGAUUCAAUCAUUAAGCACAUAUAAAAUUUUAGUAGGAAUGGUGAAUGCACAUUAUUGGGCACAAAUUAAUAAUUUUCCAAGUAAAACAGUUGGGUUGGGUAAUUUGAGCAUCAAUGGAGAUGGAGAUUUUCAGGUCAAGUUCUUAAAUGGCAUUCAAGGAUUGGUUUGUGAAUGCAUCGAUGCAAGAAGUUUAUGUGAUGUUUUGUCAUUAGAGAAUGCAACUGAACUAGAGGUCAUCACGAUUUAUGGUUGCGGUAGCAUGGAGAGCUUGGUUUCAUCUUCUUGGUUCUGCUAUGCUCCACCACGAUUGCCAUCAUGUAACGGUACGUUUUCUGGUCUUAAAGAGUUUUCUUGCCGUAGAUGUAAGAGUAUGAAGAAGUUGUUCCCACUUGUGUUGUUGCCAAACCUCGUAAACCUGGAAGUGAUCAGUGUUUGCUUUUGUGAGAAAAUGGAGGAGAUAAUAGGAACAACAGAUGAAGAAAGCAUCACCUCUAAUUCCAUCACGGAAUUCAUUCUCCCGAAGUUAAGAACUCUGGAAUUGUUGGGUUUACCAGAACUGAAAAGCAUUUGCAGUGCAAAACUGAUUUGCAAUGCUCUUGAAGAUAUUUGUGUAAUUGAUUGUAAGGAGCUGAAGAGGAUGCCAAUUUGUCUUCCGUUGCUUGAAAAUGGCCAGCCAUCUCCUCCCCCUUCUCUUAAAAAUAUCCUAGCAAGUCCAAGACAAUGGUGGGAGUCAGUAGUGGAGUGGGAGCAUCCUAACGCAAAGGAUGUCCUUCGUCCCUUUAUACCUUUUUUGUAACUCGGAUGAUAAAUAAUUAUAAUUUGAAGUUUGAUUAAUAUUAUAUUUUCAUCCUAUUGAGUUUCUCCGAGAUAAAAAUCCAAAAAAUAAAAAAAAUACUAUAUUGAUUUAUCAUUAAAGUAACCUAAUAAAAUAAUAGAUCUAUUCAGUAUUAUAAAUUAUCUUAUAUCAUUAACUAGCAAUAAAUUAUUUUUAAAAAAUAUAUAAUACAGAUUAAAAAUAAAAAGAGAGAGAAGACACAUUCUUGAAUUCUGGUCGAUCCAAAUCACAACAAACAUCGUAAACAAGUCAAAAGUAAAAAGUAUUCAUCGCCGGUGAAAUGGAAGCUGAAGACAUCGUAAAUUUCAGUGCUCUAUUGAGAGGGCCUAGAAAGUAAUCUUCUACCUCAGUGAAUUUGAGUACAACUACUGCACACAAGAUGUAGCACUCUUCCCCUUUCCAACCUUGCUUAAGAUGAAAGCAAAAAAAAAAUCACAAUUUUUUUUUGGAAAAAGAUAAAAAGUUAUUGGUCGACAACUUUCCGGCAACAAAAAUACGUUUUCUCACAAUGAAAAACUGGUGCAGAUUGGAUAGCAAAUCAAGUUUCAUAGUAGAUGUUGAAGUUUUCCACUGCACUGAAUCUCCCUCCGGUUGUUUGAAGCUAAAGCUUGAUUGCGUUCCUGGGAUUAAUGUAGUUUAUGGGUUCAGUAAUGUUUUUUCUAUUAAAUGGAUUAAUUGUUUGAUUAUAUUUAGAUAAUUUAUUUAUCUGUAUUAAUUUAAUUUCUUUUAAUAUAAUAUUGAUUUGAUAAAAAGAACUCCUAAAGCAUGUACGUGGCUGCCCAAAAAAUCCUAAAGUUUACUCAAUUAGAAAGGAUCAUGGUACUUAUUGCCAAGAUUGUUAUGCCUGCAAUUAAAACAUAAUUUGUUUUUGUACUCAGAAUUAUGUUGGAGUGCAUUUAAAAAUCUGUUUAUUUUAAAAAAAUAUUAAAUUAAUAUUUUAAUGUUAAAAAUAAUUUUUUUUUUUAUUACUGAAUCUCCACCCACCUUAAAUCCAUGUAUUAUGAAGAGGGAAAAAAAAGGGUUUUUUCUUCUCUUUUUCCUCAAUGGAACACAUGACAUCAAAAGCUAUAAGCAUUCUCCAUCUGCGUGUAUAUUCAGGGGCGGAGUUAGAAUUUUUUAAAUAAAAAGAUAAAUUACUAACAAAUAUUUGAUAUUAUAUGUUAUCCAUACAUGUGUUAUAUAUAGAAAUUAAUUUGAAAUAUAUAUACCAACUCAAGUCAAGCAAAAUUAAUUUAAGAAUACUUUUAAAAUGAAAAAAAUUAUAUUAUAAUUGUUCUCUUCGAGAUUUUAUAUUUUAAAACUACUUUGUAAUUAUUUUAUUUUUAAUCUCAUUAAAAAUAUAUUUCUCAAUAUAUACAAUAAAUUUUCAUUUAUUUAUUUCUAAAUCUUCUAAGGACUAGGAAAGUUCUUGGCAACAAUUCUAUGCUGACAUAUGAUACAUAAUAUCUAAAAUCAUAGCUUAAAAGGAUUGUCACAAAUUGAUGUUGUUCUUGCUGGCUUGUUGUUUUGUACAAGUGGAUUAAACAUAAAUAUUAAAUAUAUAUUUUUUAAUUUAUUUAUAAUUAUAUCCCUAAUUUUUUUGGUUGUCCUGUACUUUAUUUUUAAUCAUUAGUAAAUUCAUUAUCAUCAUUUUUCAUAUGAAAUUCAUAACAAAACACUUUUUAAUUCAUCAAAAUUCAUAUCAUAUAAUAUUACCCAUACACAUUAAUUCAACAAACCCAUAAAUUAUUAUAAACUCUAACAUUUUCAAUAACUAAUUAUAAAAAAAUAAAACUAAAAUUAGAUAAUGAAACAAAUAGAAAAGAUGAAGGAAAUUUUCCUAAAGUAUAAAGUAUAAGAGGUUACUUGCUUAACUAAUUAAUAGCUUAAGGCUUGAAGAGAAAUUUUAUAAAAGGAAAAGAGCUAGGAUCAAUAGUGAAAAAAGAACAAAGAGCUUGGAUCAAUUAGUUGCUAACAAAAAAAAAAAUUUAACCUUGUAAAGCUAUUGUAUUAAUAUUUUAAUAUAACAAACUGAUUACAAAUGACUAACUCCUAACUUACAAUUUUUUAUAAGCCGAUAGAGUUAUAUUUUUAUCCAGCUUGGACUUAUGCGAUCUCGGCUGCUAUUCUUAAAGUUUCAUUUUAUUUAAUGGAAGUUUUUGUUUAGACAACCUUUACUGAAAGGUGAAUGUAAAAUAGCAGCUAUGAGCAAGACGAGCUGCACAUCAAACCUAUACUAAAGCCUGAAAAGUUGAAUUUUAAUAUGAUGCAAAAGUUAAUAGCAACUAUGAGCAAGACGAACUGCACAUCGAACCUGUACUAAAGCUGGUAAAGUUGAAUUUCAAUAUGCUACAAAAGUUGUACAAGGAGGAGCUGAGAAAUCUUUCUAAGUAAUUAUUAUAGGCAAAAUUAUUAGAGAAGAAUAAGAAUUAUUUAACCAGAUAGAAAAUAUAGGGGGUUGCUCCCUCUUCCCCUGUAUGGUUCCGCCACUGUGUAUAUUAUACUAUAUGAAAAGCUACAAGCAUUCACGAUUUCUUGGGAUAGAAAGAAAGUUGGAAUAACUUAUAUUUGGAUUUUUCUUGGGAUUAAUUUCUUGCUCCAUCUGCGUUGCGGCCUAUGUUUGGAAUCCAAAAUUAUUAUUAUUUGUGCUUUGUACAUCAAAUAUAUAUAUAUAUAUAUAUAUAUAUAUAUAUAUAUAUAUUCUUUUAAGUUAUGUAACGUCAUUGUUAUUGUAGGAACAUUACUAUUAUUUAAGUAUUAUCGAAGUGUGAAACCCCUGGAAAUUUAUAAUUUAAAUAUGUAGAUGUGUAAACCCUCAUGUAAACGUAAGACUGAAAGUGGUAAUAUUUCAAUGAGUGAUGGAAACCAAGAUUAGAAAUAAUAGAUAAAUAAUGAUAUAUAAUGGAAGAGAUGACCUUCAUAAAAUGAAUUUUGGUUUAGAAUUCAUAAGGACAGAGAAACUGGUAACAUGUUUUGAUGGAUGAAAUAAUGAGAAAAAUGACAAAAUAUUUUUAGGACAUAAGUGAGUUAAUAAAGAAUAGUACAAUGAAAAGGGUAGGACUGAAGGUGCAAGCACCGCUUAAAAAUCAGUGAUGUUAUUUUGAAAUGAUAAUAAGCCGAUAAAUAAAUAAAGGUGGAAAUCCUAAAAUGAAUACAUUCCAAAAUAAUUAAACGACCUUAGAGGUUUAGAAUGAUAAUUGAUAUGAUUUUUUUUGUGAAGAUUGAACAAGAAAAAUCUAGAUUGUUUAUAAAAAGUUAUGAACUGACCAAUUUUACAUUAGAAAGCAGAGCUCUCAAUCCAAUCGUCGGAUCGGGAUGAAAUUUUGUAUGAAGUCUAUUAAUAUGUUUUCCCACCUUGGUUAAAUAUCUCAUUCCAAUCGGAGUUUGGUAAAGACUAGCAAUUUAAAUAGAAAUAAACCAGAUAGUUUACAUGAAAAAUAAAAUAAAAUACAUAAAAGCAUGAAAGAGGGACAAAAUUGUAAUUAUGAAAAAAGGUGCCUAUAAAAAUGCAAAGAGGCCACCAGUUUAAAGAAAAAAAAAGAAAAAAAAAGAAAAGAGAUAGAGAAAAGUGGAUAAGGGGAGAGAGCUGCAGAUUUUGGAGAAAAUCAAUAAUGCUCCGGUGGCCAUAUCUCUGGAAUCCACCGUUGAAUCAUGCUGAUUUUUGGAUAUAUGUUGUUCUCAUUACACUCCUCUACUAACUGAACGGAGCGAUUGGACAGAACAUAAUCCGUACAACUCUAUGAUAUGUAGUCUGACCGUUGGGUUUGAAACAAUAUUUAGAGGUUGAUGACUUAUUUCCUUUUGAAUCUAUUGCUAGUUUUGGCAAAAUGUAGUAAUCUUGAUUAAAUACAUGUUUUGAUGAAAUUAGAAUUGUGUGAGUGUAGGUUUUGUGGAAGAUGUAAUGGUAAAAUAUGUUCUUGUUAUUAGUAUUAUUAUAGAUUAAUUGUGUAUUCUUUAUAUGAGGGGAAGAAUGAUUAUUGUGUAAGAAUAGUAAGGAACAUUGCUAUAUGAACAUGUUGAUUGAAUAAAACAUGUUGAUUGAAUAGAAAGCUAACUUGUUGUUUGUGUGGAUAUAAAUGGGGUGGAACCAUGAAGAAAUUGAAAUGAAAGAAAUUUGGAAAAUAAAACAUAUUUAAAGCUAGCCAUAAGUGUUUUUAGUAAAUGUUUAGUUAAUGAAGGUUGUCAUGGAUCCCAAUUAGUAGGGUGAAAUUAUUGUUGUGAUAAUGAUCUGAGAAUUAAUUGUUAAGGUUUGCCGCAUAUGUUUAAUCGCACGAGGAGAAAGCAAAAGAAAAUGAAUAGUUCAUCAUUUUGUUGUAUUAAUAAUAAUAAUAAUAGGAGAAAUCUUAAAAGGAAUGAGUUUCCUUAUUUUGGUCUAAUCUUGCUAUAUUGUAGAGGUAGGGAAAUUGUUUGAAUGUUUUGCUUUAGAAUUGGUUUGAAUUUGUGAUUUAAUGAUGCCAAAUGACCUUGGAUGAUGUUUCUUUUGCAUGAAAAUAAGUUGGAAGUUGAAAAAGAUUUCCAAGGAAUGAAAAUCCUCGUUGUCCAAAAUUUUAGCUAUAAAGAAAGGGCUGUUGUGAUUGUUGAUUUUGAGCCUUAAAACAAAAUAAUUUGGAGUUGGUUUCUUCAUAAAAGUUGUAUCUCUAUAUUUAGCCUUUCAUAGAGAUAAAUCACGCCCAAAACUGAGUUUUACAACUUUAAUUAUGAUUAAGACACUAGAUAGUGUUCUGGGUUAGUUAAGCUUAAUUGAUCGGAAUUAGAAAAUUUUUAAUCGUUGCUUGGAAUUGCUGCUGAGUGAUGGUUUUGAUAACAAAAUUAUAAGAAUGAAUAUAAACAUUAAAAUGAGUAAGAGUAUGAGUUCUUAAAGAAAAUUCCUUGUGAUUAGUUUGAGAAUACUAGUUGAAUGAGAAUUAAAAGAAGAUGUGAUGUUGGUUGUAUUGUUGAUAAAAAUUGAAUCCCUGGUGGUACAGGGAAAGCUGUGAGGACUGGACAAUUGCACGGAGUGGCAGCACGUGCACCUAUUCUAGGUAGGUGAUUCAUCACCUUAUUUUGUAAUUAUUAGUUUUUCUUAAAUAUUUGUGUUGUGUGUUUAAUUGAUGUUAAAAGAAUGAAGCAAUGAAUAAGUUUAGUGAUUAUUACAAAUGAGAAUUAUUCGUAAUUUAAGAGAAAUUACCGAAAUUAUUUGGCUAACAAAAGAGGUUAGCCGGGUGCUGGGUAAUUCGUAUGGAAUUACCGGAUUGAUUGUGGCAACCAAGAUGGGUUAGCCAGAUUUCUUGGGUAAUUAAGAGAAUUACCGGGUUUAUUGGUUAACAAGGAAGUUAACUGGAUAUGGGGUAAUUCGUAUGGAAUUACCGGAUUGAUUGGCUAACAAAAGAGGUUAGCUGGAUGAUGGGUAAUUCUUAUGGAAUUACCGGAUUGAUUGGCUAACAAAAGAGGUUAGCUGGAUGAUGGGUAAUUCGUAUGGAAUUACCGGAUUGACUUUGGCAACCAAGAUGGGUUAGCCAGAUUUCUUGAACAAUUAAGAGAAUUACCGGGUUUAUUGGUUAACAAGAAAGUUAAUUGGAUAUAGGGUAAUUCGUAUGGAAUUACAGGAUUGAUUGACUAACAAAAGAAGUCAGCUGGAGGCUGAGUAAUUCGUAUGGAAUUACCAGAUGUAUUGGUAACCGAGGAAGGUUAACCAAAAGUGUGGGUAAUUAUAUAAAAUUACCAGAAUUAUUGGCAAUCGAAAUGAGUUAGCCGGAUAGUUAAGUUUUGAAAAGAUUAUGUAAAUUAAUUGAUUGAAGUUAAAAAUAGUAAAUUCUAAAUGUUAUGAGUAAAAUAAUUAAUAUAUGACGAACAUAUUGAGUAAAUUAAUUAAUGUGGUUAUUGGGUAAACACAAUGACUUGGAGAUUGGAGGGGAAUUGAUAGAUAAUUGGUUACCAUAGUGUUGGUGGCUAAGGAUACAUUACAAUGAUACUUAACACCAUAAUGAUGGUGGGUAAGGGUAUAAAUUGAUACUUGGCACUGUGAUGAGGGCGACCAAGGUUAUGUGAAGGAUGCUUAAUGACUGUAGUGUUGGUAACUAAGAUUGUAAUUUAUGUAAUUUAUUGUGGACAGAUAACAACACUCAAAUCUAAUACAUCAAAUAAUUGAACAAUUCAAUACACAUAUAAUCUAUCUUCAAUAGUAAAUAAAAUCAUUACAAUUUAAAAUACGAUUUAAUUAUUGAAUAAGAUAUAAUAAUAAAAUAGAUGUCGUCGUCACCUCACCCUAUGUAAGAGAUGACUGCUUUUGCACAAAACUCUUCACCUCACCGAUCAACAAAGAAAAUUCAGGCGAUUCAGGUAGGCAAUAAAACCCAUGAAAAACAUUUGGAUACUCUACCAAAUGUACUUCUUUCCCAGAUUUCUUCAGCCCCUCAUGGUACCUCUUCUGCCAAUCUUGCAAGGGAUCGAACCCUCCGACAAAGAGUAACGUAGCAGGGAACUUCACGCCUGAAAUAUCCACCGCAUUUGGUCCGAAAACAUUAACCACCGAGUGGUUUCGGUCCGAUCCCUCAGGCAGAAACGCCUUCCACAUCCAGUCUGUACGUUCCACUGAUAUUAAAGGAACCCCAACAAGCUUGAUUUCUGAUUCUGUCCUUUCUUCCCCUCCGAAAAAUGGCUGCAUUGCUAUGAGUCCCUUGAUCUUUAUGUUAGAAAAUGUGUGUUCACAAGCUUUGAGCACGACGUGAUGAGCCAAGUUACCCCCUGCACUAUCACCUGCUAUAAAACACCUUCCAAGAUCCAAAUUUGCUGGGAAAUUCUCAAAGGUCAUGCCAUCGAUGUAUUUCAACAUCAAAGCCAUCUUCGUACUGGCAUGGGUACUUGUACUCAGGAGCAAGCCGAUAGUUAACAGAGAUAACAACUGCAUUAAUUUCACGUGCAAGUCGCCGGCAGAGUACGUCAAAAGAUUUUGAGUUAGCCGCCAUGAAUGCGAAGCCCCCACCAUGAAAGAAUAUGAUCACAGGCAGAGCAUCCGUAGUGGCGGUGGAUGUGGGGGCGUAGAGGCGGAACCACAGGUUGCGGGUAGGGUCAAUAGUGUUGUCGAAAGAGGAGACCCCAUUGACUGGUUUGGCGGAAGCAGCGGCCUUGGGGUCGAAGAUGUUCAAUACGCUGCGGUUUACGGUGUGGUCGGAACGGCUGGCGGCGCGAAUCCCAAAGGAGUGGGCGGCGAGGAGGAGCCUGGUCUUCAAUGAGAGGCGAAGAGUUCUUGGUGUUUCUGCCAUUAUCAAUUUUGGGUUGAAUUGUAAAUGUUAAGAUAGUUUAUAUACUCACACGAAGAAAGUAAAAUAAAAUAAAAUUGAUAACAACAAUACAAAUUUAGUUUGGUUUUUAUAAAAAAAAUAAUCAAACUAAUUUUUUUUAGGAAAGAACAACAAAGAAAAAAAAUUGAUAAUGGCAGAAACACCAAGAACUCUUCGCCUCUCAUUGAUUUGGAUUUUUCUUGGGGUGGAAUUUCUUGCUCCAUUUGCGUUGCAGCCUAUGUUUUGCAUCCAAGAAUUAUUAUUAUUUGUGCUUUGUACAUCAANNNNNNNNNNNNNNNNNNNNNNNNNNNNNNNNNNNNNNNNNNNNNNNNNNNNNNNNNNNNNNNNNNNNNNNNNNNNNNNNNNNNNNNNNNNNNNNNNNNNNNNNNNNNNNNNNNNNNNNNNNNNNNNNNNNNNNNNNNNNNNNNNNNNNNNNNNNNNNNNNNNNNNNNNNNNNNNNNNNNNNNNNNNNNNNNNNNNNNNNNNNNNNNNNNNNNNNNNNNNNNNNNNNNNNNNNNNNNNNNNNNNNNNNNNNNNNNNNNNNNNNNNNNNNNNNNNNNNNNNNNNNNNNNNNNNNNNNNNNNNNNNNNNNNNNNNNNNNNNNNNNNNNNNNNNNNNNNNNNNNNNNNNNNNNNNNNNNNNNNNNNNNNNNNNNNNNNNNNNNNNNNNNNNNNNNNNNNNNNNNNNNNNNNNNNNNNNNNNNNNNNNNNNNNNNNNNNNNNNNNNNNNNNNNNNNNNNNNNNNNNNNNNNNNNNNNNNNNNNNNNNNNNNNNNNNNNNNNNNNNNNNNNNNNNNNNNNNNNNNNNNNNNNNNNNNNNNNNNNNNNNNNNNNNNNNNNNNNNNNNNNNNNNNNNNNNNNNNNNNNNNNNNNNNNNNNNNNNNNNNNNNNNNNNNNNNNNNNNNNNNNNNNNNNNNNNNNNNNNNNNNNNNNNNNNNNNNNNNNNNNNNNNNNNNNNNNNNNNNNNNNNNNNNNNNNNNNNNNNNNNNNNNNNNNNNNNNNNNNNNNNNNNNNNNNNNNNNNNNNNNNNNNNNNNNNNNNNNNNNNNNNNNNNNNNNNNNNNNNNNNNNNNNNNNNNNNNNNNNNNNNNNNNNNNNNNNNNNNNNNNNNNNNNNNNNNNNNNNNNNNNNNNNNNNNNNNNNNNNNNNNNNNNNNNNNNNNNNNNNNNNNNNNNNNNNNNNNNNNNNNNNNNNNNNNNNNNNNNNNNNNNNNNNNNNNNNNNNNNNNNNNNNNNNNNNNNNNNNNNNNNNNNNNNNNNNNNNNNNNNNNNNNNNNNNNNNNNNNNNNNNNNNNNNNNNNNNNNNNNNNNNNNNNNNNNNNNNNNNNNNNNNNNNNNNNNNNNNNNNNNNNNNNNNNNNNNNNNNNNNNNNNNNNNNNNNNNNNNNNNNNNNNNNNNNNNNNNNNNNNNNNNNNNNNNNNNNNNNNNNNNNNNNNNNNNNNNNNNNNNNNNNNNNNNNNNNNNNNNNNNNNNNNNNNNNNNNNNNNNNNNNNNNNNNNNNNNNNNNNNNNNNNNNNNNNNNNNNNNNNNNNNNNNNNNNNNNNNNNNNNNNNNNNNNNNNNNNNNNNNNNNNNNNNNNNNNNNNNNNNNNNNNNNNNNNNNNNNNNNNNNNNNNNNNNNNNNNNNNNNNNNNNNNNNNNNNNNNNNNNNNNNNNNNNNNNNNNNNNNNNNNNNNNNNNNNNNNNNNNNNNNNNNNNNNNNNNNNNNNNNNNNNNNNNNNNNNNNNNNNNNNNNNNNNNNNNNNNNNNNNNNNNNNNNNNNNNNNNNNNNNNNNNNNNNNNNNNNNNNNNNNNNNNNNNNNNNNNNNNNNNNNNNNNNNNNNNNNNNNNNNNNNNNNNNNNNNNNNNNNNNNNNNNNNNNNNNNNNNNNNNNNNNNNNNNNNNNNNNNNNNNNNNNNNNNNNNNNNNNNNNNNNNNNNNNNNNNNNNNNNNNNNNNNNNNNNNNNNNNNNNNNNNNNNNNNNNNNNNNNNNNNNNNNNNNNNNNNNNNNNNNNNNNNNNNNNNNNNNNNNNNNNNNNNNNNNNNNNNNNNNNNNNNNNNNNNNNNNNNNNNNNNNNNNNNNNNNNNNNNNNNNNNNNNNNNNNNNNNNNNNNNNNNNNNNNNNNNNNNNNNNNNNNNNNNNNNNNNNNNNNNNNNNNNNNNNNNNNNNNNNNNNNNNNNNNNNNNNNNNNNNNNNNNNNNNNNNNNNNNNNNNNNNNNNNNNNNNNNNNNNNNNNNNNNNNNNNNNNNNNNNNNNNNNNNNNNNNNNNNNNNNNNNNNNNNNNNNNNNNNNNNNNNNNNNNNNNNNNNNNNNNNNNNNNNNNNNNNNNNNNNNNNNNNNNNNNNNNNNNNNNNNNNNNNNNNNNNNNNNNNNNNNNNNNNNNNNNNNNNNNNNNNNNNNNNNNNNNNNNNNNNNNNNNNNNNNNNNNNNNNNNNNNNNNNNNNNNNNNNNNNNNNNNNNNNNNNNNNNNNNNNNNNNNNNNNNNNNNNNNNNNNNNNNNNNNNNNNNNNNNNNNNNNNNNNNNNNNNNNNNNNNNNNNNNNNNNNNNNNNNNNNNNNNNNNNNNNNNNNNNNNNNNNNNNNACCAUGCAUCAAGAGAGAAAAAUAGUGUUUUAUCUCAGAUGUUUCUAAACCUUUGAUGCAUUUUGUAAUUUUAGUCAUUGAUUGUUUUGUUUUCCAUUUUAUCAUCAUAGAUUGUGCGCGCUGACUGCUAUGGAGUUCUAACUCUGAUGCAGCAACUUGCUGGGUUGAACUGAGUUCUGUAUUUCCCAAUUAGCAGAGUGCAAUAAACAGCAUUUAGCUUUUUCACUAAUGAGAGGCACACCAACAUAUAUACAAAACUGGAACUCACAGAUUCAGAUCCAUAUCCAUGUCAUCCGCCUUUUGUUUUAAAGAAGAGUUGCCAGCGAGUGGAGAUAGAGACCCUUUUAAUAUCAAAAUAUAAAUUAGUAGUCUUUGGGGUUACUUAAAUUAAAUAUUAGCACAAAAACUAUUGUUAAAAUAUUUUUAUUCUUAAGAAUUUAUGCAAAACAAUUAGAAAACAAAUUCAGGGAUUAAGAACACAAUUAGAAAACUAAUUCAGGGAUCAAAUAUUUUUAUGAAUUAUAAAAUUGACUAUAAACUUAAAAUUCUUGAAUAUACAAUAUAAACUUCUUGAAUCAUAAGAUAAAAACUCAUAUAAAAUUAUAAUUUUGUAAUAAAUAUGAAUUCUUGGAUCACAUAAGCUUGAGACAUGGAUAAUGUUUGGAGCAUUUAAGACCGGACCUCGUUGACUUAAAUUUUAUUUUAUAUUUAUAAUAAGGAAAAGGCACCAUGGGGUUGAAACCUUUUUAUGCUCGGUUGCUGGCAUUUGGGACCAUGUAUCAAGAGAGAAAAAUAGUGUAUUAUCUCAGGUUUUUUCUAAGCCUUGGAUGCAUUUUUUUAAUUUUAAUCAUUGAUUGUUUUGUUUUCAAUUUUAUCUUCAUAGAUUGUGCUGACUGCUAUGUAGUUUUUACACUGAUGCAGCAGCUUGCUGGGUUGAACUGAGUUCUGUAUUUCCCAAUUAGCAGAGUGCAAUAAACAGCAUUUAGCUUUUUCGCUAAUGAGAAGCAUGCCAAGAUAUAUACAAAACUGGAACUCAUAGAUUCUGUAUAAUUUCUAAGCCAUAUCCAUGUCAUAGAGGCAAAAAAGCACUCACACUUUGCAGGAUUAUGCCUUACAAUAACCAUAUACGCCUUUUGUUUUAAAGAAGAAUUUAUGCUCAGAAGAACGUUGCUGCCACCUCGAAUCCGUACCCAUAACAAAGCGUGGGCAACGAAACUAGUUGUAAAACCAAAACGAAUAGGACGCUUACUGCUCAGGAAUCAUUGUGGAAAUACUAACUAGGAAAAGCAGUUUUUGUACCUUUUUAGUGUUGGGAAAUCCGAUCGGGGAUGUACUGAUAAUUGCUCAAAGGAGGGAGGGGAAGCACACUUGGACACAAUAUUUAACGUGGUUCGGCAAAACCGCCUACAUCCACGGGAGAAGUCAAUAUUAUUAGAGAUGGAUAGAGAAAGGGUUACAACACACAUAGAGGAGGAGGCUCACUUCACUCAAACUCAAUUCACUCAAACUCAACUCUCAUUGCUCUCACACACUGCUGCACAAGGCAGCAGGGCUGCUGCCCUUGGCAGCUACUCCCUCUUUCUCUUCUCACGUAUAUCUCUCUUGUUCUCUUCCACCCUCUCUUACUCUUUUGCUCUCUCACGUAUGCCUAUAAAUAGGCAAGUAUGGUGGCUUCUCUUCUUCAAAAAACAGCAGCUGCACAUGGGUUGAUACAUUUGUCAAUGGUGGGUGCAACUACCAUUGACAAAUGGUAACCCUACUCCUUAGGGUAGGUUGCCCAAUAAUGGCAAAUCCCAACAAUCACCCCCUUUGACAUUUAUAUGGGCAAUUGUCCUCUUGCUUCUUCAGCACAAACUUGUAUCUUGCAGCUCUUCCAAGCUUACCAUUCCGAGAGCGUCUGUGGCCAAGUUUACAGGUACUCGCCAAACCUUUCAAUCACCAGAGUCACCAAAGCACACCUUUUCUCACACAAAAGGAUCACUACAACCAGAUGGUCUGUCACUUCACAUCUGAAGAGUGUUAACGCUUGUCUCUGGGACACACUGCAUUCCCCUUCGAGCGUAUCAACCAUGCUCGGUCCGGAAUGAUUCAUCAAGCCUCACACCAAGGCUUAUAACACCCCCUCAAACGGAUAUUCCAAGUGCGACAAUCAUUAUCUGAGUAUCUCAAUAUGAUCACGAGCUCACCACUCUUCCAAGAGUCUACUCAUCCAGGAGUUGCGUCUGCCCUCUGUUCCACCCUAGGAACCACGCCUUACUUCUCCGUGAGUCUCUCGCUCUUAGUCUCAAGAGUCCAGGUAGCUUUCCACCUUUACCUAUGGGGGUAGCCCAUUAAAGGUUGAUCCAUAUAUGUCUUGAUACUUAUCAUAGCCACUUCAUUGGCUAUCCAUACACCUGUCCACUUGUAUCCAACCAUCACAUUGGCUUUGGGGUUGUUCUGAACUUGGGCUCCUAUCGUGGCCCAUACACCUUCUCUAAGGUGUCUUCGCCCGUUAUCAUGGGGCAGUCUGAACUGGGGCUCCGAUCAUGACCCUCACACCUUCUCCAAGGUGUCUUCGCCUUUCAUAGGCGGUCGCAUCCUCCUUCAGCUGAGAUGCUUCAAAGUGGCUCCAAAAAAGUUCUCUACCACCAUGUGCACUAUGGGAGAGAUAACUGCCACUGAUUACAUAGAAAAAGAAACUUGCGGUAUACUCCUCGCAAUCCUCCACCUCGAUUUCUAUGUUUGGAGCUUCUACGUCUUUCUGCUUGACAGUUCCACCUACACCAACUCUCUUUGGUGUCUUCGCCUUUCAUCAUAGGCGGUCGCCUUUUAUCACAGGCGUUUGCACCCCCUCAAUUAGGUGCCUCUGCAACAGCUCUCUUUCCAUCCUUGCAUGCAUUGGAAAGGUCUUCGCAUGUUGUUUUCAUCAAGAGCAUAAGAGACUUCCUGUUGUACAAACUUUAACAGUCUCUGCUCUGAGCUUCAUCUGAGAACACUUCUUCUCCUUGCACCUGUUGUCUCAUUACAGUACCUUGUUGGAUCCUACGGGUACCUCUGCACAAUCUCCGUGUGCCCUCGUGCAAUUUCUGUUCUCCAGAUUUCUCCCUAUUCCUUGCUUAUGUUUGACAGCAGCUCAUCCUGUCACAACACCUGUCCAAGUCAAAAUAGGGUGCCAAUCUUUAUCCCCUUGUUGUAUUUCUCUUCCAUUAUCAAGGUCUUCAUCAAUUCUCCCUUCGAGAAAUCACAGUCACCGAAUCUAACUUCUUUGGAGAAAUCACCACUUUAUCAGAUCCUUGAUCAUACGGAACCCAACUGUUCCCUUGUGUCGUCAUCCUGCUAGUCUUCAACCGUUUCAUUACAAACUGCUAUAUAUAUGAAAAUAGUACCGUAUGGAUAAUCCUUCCACUAAGCAAGUUCCCAGGAAAGAUUGGAGGGGUCACACUGGUCCCGCUUAAAACCCAACCUCCUAGACAGAACUUCUUAGGCCAUAUCUAUCUAUCGUACUGUCUUUCCGUAUAUACAACCAUUUGCUAGCUUUGUUGCGGCUUUCCUUUACAAGUGAUCUGGAAUAUACUGGUUUAAUACAUCAUUUCUCAACAUCUGGCGAGACUACCAGUUCUUAGAUUCGUCAAGAUUGGUCUUCAUCAAUUUCCACUCUUCACCUCAAAUCGUCCACAUGAUCGGGUGUCCAGAGUGUCCCAAUUUUUCCUUCCUUCAAGACAGUUAAAAUUCUUCCCACUUAGCAGUUCAGCACAUGUAAUUGGGUAAACAUGUGCACCUUCUUCCUCUUCAUCUCCAUCGACCACCAUGAUGACCUUCAGAUGCCUCCUGAUCGGGCAAUCUUUUUUGUUAAUUCACCACUGCCAUUUUUUGGUCUCAAAUCUCAACGAUCGGACCGUACCAUUGCAUCCGGAACGCUCAAAUUAGCUGGAAACAAGUCUGAAAUCGUCCAAAUCGCACUUCAGACGGCUAACAUUUGAUCAAAACAAUUCUGGCCUGAUCAACGGCUCAGAUUCAAUCUCAGACCCGGUUGCACCUAGGAUCAGCUACACUGGAUCCUGUCCCUCGGCUCUCGGCUCGGCUCGGCUCCAAUUCGGCUAGGCUCACUCGGCUCGGCUUGGCUCGACUCGAACUUGAUGACGUGGCUGCUGACUAGUCGUUGACUGGUCUAUGACGUGGCUGCUGACAUGGCAUGCCUACUGUGCAUGAUGACUUCACCAUUACAUCAGGAUGAUGUCAUCAUGGGCCAUGCUACUGUGCAUGAUGAUGUCACAAUUACAUCAUGCUAAUGUCAUCCCUCACAUGUCUACUGUUCAUGAUGACGUCACUUGUACGUCAUGCUGACGUCAUCCUUAUCCGAGUCAGCCACAUGGGUCGGGUCAACUGGUAUUCGGGUCGGGUCAACUCAUCCGGGUGAAGAAGACGCGUGGGGCGCGUCUGCGCGCGUGGACAGACGCCUUGCCGGAGAGUGAUGGAGAGUGCGGCCAUGUCCGACGUCCGAUUUUGACGCCGUUUUCACCGUUGGCUUCGUCGCUUCCUCCUCUACACAGUGGUAUGGUCAAAACACAAUUUUGACAACUUUCAUUUUUGAGCAAAAAUCAAACACCCCUUUAAACCAUCAGCUCUGAUACCAAUUGUUGGGAAUUCCGCCCGGGGAUGUACUGAUAAUUGCUCAAAGGAGGGAGGGGAAGCACACUUGGACACAAUAUUUAACGUGGUUCGGCAAAACCGCCUACAUCCACGGGAGAAGUCAAUAUUAUUAGAGAUGGAUAGAGAAAGGGUUACAACACACAUAGAGGAGGAGGCUCACUUCACUCAAACUCAAUUCACUCAAACUCAACUCUCAUUGCUCUCACACACUGCUGCACAAGGCAGCAGGGCUGCUGCCCUUGGCAGCUACUCCCUCUUUCUCUUCUCACGUAUAUCUCUCUUGUUCUCUUCCACCCUCUCUUACUCUUUUGCUCUCUCACGUAUGCCUAUAAAUAGGCAAGUAUGGUGGCUUCUCUUCUUCAAAAAACAGCAGCUGCACAUGGGUUGAUACAUUUGUCAAUGGUGGGUGCAACUACCAUUGACAAAUGGUAACCCUACUCCUUAGGGUAGGUUGCCCAAUAAUGGCAAAUCCCAACAUCUAGGAGCGAUCAAACUUGUGUUUCUGCCUGAUCUCUCAAGCUCAAGGUGUGAACCAAGUAGGUAUUCAUAAGUAAAAUUUCUUAAGUUGUAUAUAAAACGGUAGUUUCAGUAUCCCUAAGCACUUUUUUUUUCUUCUAAUGUUGUUCUUCGUUAAAUUGUAGGGAAUGGAAGUUGGAGUGGAUCAAAUAAUGACGGUCAAUACCUUGCAACAAUCCUUGAAAUUGAUGGGGAAGGAGUGAGAGGCAUUGGCGUCCAAGGACUGAAGAGAGUUUUUGUGUAGAAAUUCAUGGAUAAGAAGAUGACUGUAUAGAUCAAUAUACGACAACGGUUCUACCUUGAUUAUAAGACUCGUUACCAAGUCUUUAAAUUCACCACAAAGACAACAAAACACAUAGAGAUUGAAGUCUUCAAGGGACAAUAGCAGCCAAUUCAUCAAAUAACAAUUUGGCUUGCAGCAUGUAGAUACUUACCGAUGAGUCACCUUGCCAAAGAGCUUGGAAGGAACCAUGGAGUUGCAUGAUGUGAGAAUUGGACAGAGAUGCAAGGGCUUUCUCAAGAGUGUGCCAACAUAAUAUGAGAUAUGACAAUCUACCAUGAGAUGCAACACAUCUACAGAAAGAGAGGAGAGUAAUGCACUCAAAAUAAGUUGUUCAUGUUGCUUCCAACGAAGAAAAGAAGAGCUGAUUGUAGAGGAAGGACCAGCAGAACUGUAAAAAACAUGAGACAGAGGACACGACAUUGAGCCGUUAACGAAGUGAAAAACACCUUGACCAAGGAGAUAGGGCUUCAUCUGCAUUCGCCAAUAGAGAUAAUUUGUAUUAAUAAGUUUCAACAAAAUAACUUGGUGGGUAUUUGAUAAAACAACGAUAGCUGGAGUUUGUGUUCCUAUAAUGUGCAAAAAAACUGUAAAAACUUGCGAGGAGGAGUCAGAGACAUGCUCUGCAAGUGGAGGCUGCUGUUGUGGAGGAAAGACACCAUCGACAACAGCUUGUAGAUGUUUGGUUGGCUGGGCUGCACCACCAGUGGUGAGGGAGAAAUUGACGGCAGUUAAAGGUGAGCAAAAAAAUCAAAAAAACGAUUAAACAGAAAAAAAUAACCAAAAAAAAUCAAACCAUGAAAAAACCGAUUAGAAUAUUUAAAAAAUCUAUCAGUUCGGUAUCGGUUUAAUAAGCCUGAAACCGAGCCAAACCGAACAAAACCAAGCCGAACCGAAACCAAACCCAUUGGAAAUUACAAAAAAAAAAAACCCUAAAAAACAAUAUAGUUUUUGGUUUUUAAUAUAAAAUAACCGAACCGAACUGAAAAUGAGCCGGUUGAGUUUUGGUUUUUGUUCUAAAAUAACCGAACCGAAACCAGUCGGUUUGAACCAGUUUCGGUUUGAUUUUUUUUUAAAUUUGGUUUGGUUUUUUAGGUAAAAACCGAACAAAACCGAAAAUGAUCACCCCUAGCAACAGUAAAAUCCAUUUUGGAAAAACAGAAAGAAGGCCGGCUACAAGAGGGAGAGGGAGAGGAAAAAAAGAGUUUUGACGGCAGAAGACUCUAAUACCAUGUUGAGACAAUUAGGAGGCUUAAUUUAUUGAUUAGACAACCUUUUAUAUAUAUAUAUAUAUGGGGGACAAUAUACAAAAAUAAUAACGGAGGUUAUAAUACAAGAAUAUAACUACAAUAUUUUCUAUAUAGCAUGCUUACAAUAUUUCCAAUAUAUUUAUAUUAAUAAUCACUAUUUUGUUUUUUGGCUAAUGAUGUUCUUCGUUAAAUUUUUAGGGAAUGGAAGUUGGAGUGGAUCAGAUAUUGACGGUCAAUACUUUGCAACAAUCCCAACGUAGUACUUACAGCUCUUGAAGCUAAGCUUCAGGCUCUUACAUUUUCAGGUCAGCUUUUUCAAAGUUUCAACAAUGGGGUGGGUCCACACGUUAACUCAGUCAGCAAUUAGCUUCUGAUUCUUUUGUUGAAGAUUUUAAUUAUAUGCAGCGUUAGACAAAAGAAAAGCAAAUCAGAGGUGUAGAGCAACUUGACUGUAUCUUGUAAUAUAGUCCUUGGUAGGUAAAGUUUGUGGCUUCCUUCCUAGCAACUUCCUUCUUGUCAAACAAUACAAUAAUCUUUGCUACCGUAACAUUCUCUUCCAAAUCUCAUCUCAUUAUACCAUUGAUUUCCCGAUUUCCCUCAACAAAUUUCUUAAACCUUUCUGAUGAUCAGUGCUUCCUUUUCUGAUUGAAUCGAAUCAUCUGGAGCUAAACAUCUUGCAACUUCCUUGUUAUUUUUAAACCAUAUAUUCUUCUCUGUUCUUGUUUUUCUUCCUGAAUACUACUUAAGCAAACCAGCACUUGAAGAACAACUUGAAUCCAGGUAGAUUAUUAUACUCCAUCUUCUUCAUUUUGUUUUUCACAUGUAACUCUGGUUUGAAUCUUUCAAGUAAAACACAAGUUGUGGAAAUUCUAAUGAGAAACUUUGGAGUUAGGAUCAUCAACAGUUUCCAAAAAUAAAUAAUUUUAUCUUUCUCAGUUGUAACAAUUCAUGCCUUAAGUAGUGGCGGAGCUGAGAUUAUUUGAUAGGGGUCAAAACUAAUGUAACAUGGUAUAGGUUUUUACAUGUAAAGAAACUGAUAUAUAAAUGUAAAUUUAAUAUAAAAAAUAGAAUUAUUAGUUCUUAAAGAAGAAAAUUUACACUGAAUUAAAAUUGAGUAUGUGCUCUUUAAAGAACUUAAUUUGGCUAGAAAGAUCAUGUCUAAUUGUAUAUGAGACCUUGUGACAAUAAGGUAUAUGUGAAAAAAAUUGAUAAUUUUAACGGUUUUUUUAAAAACAAAACAUAAAAAAAUCCAAGUAUAAUCAAAAUAAACCCAUAAAAUAUAUGAAAUUAAUUAGAAAAAACAACAUUCACUAUAACAAGAAAUAAAAAAAAUGGUAAACUAGUAAAUCUAUAUAAAAAAAAAAAUAGCAGAAUUAUAUAUAUAUAUAUAUAUAUAUAUAAAUAAAAGAUUUUAAAUUUGGAUCACAAAUUACCUUGUUUUGAUAAAUAAUAAAUUAAUUGACAGCUUUGUUUUAUAGAGAAACGGUAAAGAAAUGUAAUUAAAUUAAAAAAAUUAUUUGUUUUUUAUUUAUUUAUAAGGAGAGAUAAUAUUAAAUUUAAAGAUAAAUAGUAAAAUAAUAAUUUAUUAUUAGAAAGCUCAUUAAUUGUUAUAUUUAAAUACUAAAAGAAAUUUAAAAUAUUUUGCAGGGGCCAGCCCCUGCUUGCCACCCAUUGGUUCCGCCUCUGCCUUAAGGAGUUCAUACUAAAUUGACCCAAAUUUAACCUUGAAUUCAUUGUUUUUCCUUCUUAGUUUCUUUGCUGUUUGUAACUUAUUAUUUUAGUUUCAACCUUCCUUUUCCAAUUAAUGUACUUCCAUUAAUUUUUAUUCAAUAUUUUGACCCUUUUUAUCUAUAGGACAAAAUGGGUAGAUCAGAUGAUCCGUUCUGGAAGGAAGUUGAAGAUAUGAAUGAUGGAAGCAUGAAAUGUAAGUUUUGUGGGCAUUUAUUUGCGAAUGGUACUUCCAUUUCGAGGAUCAAAUGGCAUUUUUCGGGAGAGAGAGGGCAUGGUGUUGGCAUUUGUGGUCAGGUGCCUAAAGAAGUUCAAGAAGCAGCCUUUCUAGCUAUGCGUGGUGGCUACAAAAGACAUAAAGGCAUAGCAAGUUUAAGCAAUGUUAAUGAUUAUGCCAUUUCCACCUGUCCACAAGAACAAGACAAUGCAGUACUUGGUAAUUUGGCACAAGGUGUUGGGCCUGAGAGAAUUCAUUCGCGUUUAGAAGCGGCAAAUGGCAUGGAAUACACUGGUGAAGGAUCUUUUCAGCAUGUUGACAGAAGUGUCUCUCCUUGGAGACUCAGAGUUGAUGCUCAUGAGAAUAGAGGAGAAGCAACACCAGGAACAGAUUUAGUGGAUCAAUUUGCUGAUGGUACUUGGGUUCAGAUACACUCUGCCCUUUCAAAGGAGCAGAAGCUGAAUGAAAUCUCUACCUAUUUAAUGCAGGAAGAUGAGGAUGUGGAGCGUCUGCAUGAUGGAUCUGAAACUAUACCGAGAACAGAACAAGUGCAGCAUCUGGAGAGAGGUAGCUCUUGUGAGAGGCCAUCAAUUAAUCAAGCUGAUGAGCCUCGAGGAGAUUCAUCCCAACCAACAGAUCCAUUGUGUCUUGACCAUGGAAGAUAUUAUAAUCAACUCUGUGCACCUCACUAAGCAAAGAUGUCAUUAUGUAUGAUGUGCAAAACAUGGUUAGAGAGAGGACAGACCAGUGGAGGAGGAGGGUGUGGAGAAUAGUGGAAGAUUAGUGCAACAUGGCACAGGAGCUAGAUCUUCUAGAUGUCUUAAAUACAACACAAGUGAGACUAGAGGAGUUCCAUUACCUACUAGCUCUACAAAGCCAGUGGGUCGAGCAUUUGAAGAGAAUAAGAAGUUGAUAUGGUCUUUGUUAGUGGAUGAUGAAGUCCCGACCAUUGGCAUUUAUGGGAUGGGGGGAGUUGGUAAAACAACAAUACUGCAACAUAUCCAUAAUGAGCUUCUACAAAAACCAGAUAUUUGUGAUCAUGUUUGGUGGGUGACUGUGUCUCAAGAUUUCAGCAUUAAUAGAUUGCAGAAUCUUAUUGCUAAACGUUUUCGUCUAGACCUUUCAAGCGAAGAUGAUGAUCUGUAUAGAGCUGCCAAAUUGUCAAAAGAACUAAUGAAAAAACAAAAAUGGAUUCUCAUUUUAGAUGAUUUGUGGAACAAUUUUGAGCUUGAUGAAGUGGGAAUUCCUGUCCCGUUGAAAGGAUGCAAACUGAUUAUGACAACUCGAUCAGAAACGGUUUGUCAUCGGAUGGCUUGCCACCGCAAAAUCAAGGUAAAGACAGUUUUUGAGGGAGAAGCUUGGACUUUGUUCAUGGAGAAACUUGGACGUCGCAUAGCAUUUUCACCAGAAGUGGAAGCAAUUGCGAAAGCUGUCGCAAGGGAAUGUGCUGGUUUGCCAUUGGGAAUUAUUACAGUCGCAAGAAGUUUGAGGGGAGUGGAUGACCUACCUGAGUGGAGAAAUACAUUGAAGAAAUUGAGAGAAUCAGAAUUUAGGGACAAGGAAGUAUUCAAGUUAUUGAGGUUUAGUUAUGAUCGGUUAGGUGAUUUAGCACUACAACAAUGUCUCUUGUACUUUGCAUUAUUUCCUGAAGAUUAUAUGAUUGAAAGGGAGGAGUUGAUAGGUUAUUUGAUCGACGAGGGAAUAAUUAAAGGAAAGAGGAGAAGGGAAGAUGCAUUUGAUGAGGGCCACACGAUGCUUAAUAGACUUGAAAAUGUCUGUCUAUUGGAAAGUGCUAGAGUAAAUUAUGAUGAUAAUAGACGUGUCAAGAUGCAUGACUUGAUUAGGGACAUGGCCAUCCAAAUACUGCUAGAGAACUCUCAAUACAUGGUUAAAGCAGGUGCACAAUUAAAAGAGUUGCCAGAUGCAGAGGAAUGGACGGAGAAUCUGACGAGAGUUUCAUUAAUGCAAAACGAGAUCGAAGAAAUUCCUUCCAGCCAUUCACCAAUGUGUCCAAAUCUGUCCACUCUAUUUCUAUGUUAUAAUAGAGGGUUAAGAUUUGUUGCAGAUUCAUUUUUCAAGCAAUUGCAUGGGCUCAUGGUCCUUGAUCUGUCUCGCACAGGUAUUAAAAAUUUGCCAGACUCUGUCUCUGAUUUGGUGAGUCUCAUUGCAUUAUUGCUCAAAGAGUGUGAGAAAUUAAGACAUGUUCCAUCAUUAAAGAAGCUCAGGGCACUGAAGAGGUUGGAUCUCUCUUGGACUACGCUUGAAAAGAUGCCGCAAGGAAUGGAAUGUCUAACCAACCUGAGGUAUCUUAGAAUGACUGGAUGUGGUGAAAAGGAGUUUCCUAGUGGGAUAUUACCAAAACUCUCUCACCUGCAAGUCUUUGUACUAGAAGAAUAUUAUCGUCCGAUAACAGUUAAAGUAAAGGAAGUAGUAUCCUUGAGAAAUUUGGAAACUUUGGAAUGCCAUUUCGAAGGUCUCUCUGACUUCGUGGAGUAUCUCAGAUCUCGGGAUGGGACCCAAUCAUUAAGCACAUACAAAAUUUUAGUAGGUAUGGUGGAAGCAGAUUUUUGGCAUCAUGGUUAUUAUUUUCCAAGUAAAACAGUUGGGUUGGGUAAUUUGAGUAUCAACAUAGAUAGAGAUAUUCAAGUCAAGUUCUUAAAUGACAUUCAAGAACUGGUUUGUAAAUGCAUCGAUGCAAGAAGUUUAUGUGAUGUUCUGUCAUUAGAGAAUGCACCUGAACUGGCGGUUAUCCAUAUUGUGAAUUGCGAUAGCAUGGAGAGCUUGGUUUCAUCUUCUUGGUUCUGCUCUGCUCCACCACCAUUGCCCUCAUAUAAUGGUUUGUUUUCUGGUCUUAAAGAGUUUUAUUGUUAUGGAUGUAAAAGUAUGAAGUUGUUGUUCCCACUUGUGUUGCUGCCAAACCUCGUAAACCUGGAAGUGAUUAAUGUUGGUGUUUGUGAGAAAAUGGAGGAGAUAAUAGGAACAACAGAUGAAGAAAGCAGCACCUCCAAUUCCAUCACAGAAUUAGAACUCCCAAAUUUAAUCACUCUGAGAUUGCAUAAAUUACCAGAACUGAAAAGCAUUUGUAGUGCAAAACUGACUUUCAAUUCCUUGAAGAUAUUUGUGUAAUGUAUUGUGAGAAGUUGAAGAGGAUGCCAAUUUGUCUUCCGUUGCUUGAAAAUGGCCAGCCAUCCCCUCCCUUUUUUCUUAGAAGAAUGGAGAUAUGUCCAGAAGAAUGGUGGGAAACAGUAGUGGAGUGGGAGCAUCCUAACGCAAAGGAUGUCCUUCGUCCUUUUGUGGAGUUUAAGUAGGAGGAGACUACACUGCCCUUAAUAUAAGAAUAGAGGGUGAGCAUCAUCCCCAAAGUUAAUAUGUAGAAUGGUUAAUUACUCCUUUAUAUAUUGUUAAUCCUUUCGUUGUAAUAAUAUGUAUCCUUCUGUAAGAAUACAAAUAGAUAGUAACCUUAAAUUUGCUCAUAUUCAAUAAUAUAUCAUUGUUUUAAUCAUUUUUGUUAAAAAUCAUGUGCAAAACAUAAUUAUUUUCGAUAUGAAUGAUGAAAAUAAUCCUUUAAAUCAACGGUUGGAUAUUAUUAUUAAUUAAUAUUGAAAUUACUUGCAUGAUGCUUUUGGAUUAAAGAUGCUCAAUGGGUGGAUUUGGGUCGGUUUGAAAUGGUAUUGCCAAUUCCAUAUUUCAACGAAAAAUCGAAGCCUAACAUGAAUUCAUAGAAAGAAAGAGCGUUUAUUAAUAUGAAAUAUUUCUUUUUUAUAUAGUGUGCUUACAAUUACAUAAAUAACAUUUUUCAUUUUUUUAUUUAUUUCAUUAUCUUUUUAAGACUAUUGAAUUGUCAUAUAUAUAUUUUUUUAACUCGACAGAUAAAUAAUUAUAAUUUGAAGUUUGAUUAAUAUUAUAUUUUCAUCCUAUUGAGUUUCUCCAAGAAGAAAAUCCAAAAUAUAAAAAAAAUACUAUAUUGAUUUAUCAUUAAAGUAACCUAAUAAAAUAAUAUAUCUAUUCACCAGUACAAAUCAUCUUAUAUCAUUAACUAGCAAUAAAUUAUUCUUUUCAAAUAUAUAAUACAGAUUAAAAAGAAAAAAAAAAAGGAGAGAGAAGACAAUUUAAAAAAAGAAUGAUAAUCGAAUUUUGGAAUUUUGGAAUUUUUAUAAGGAUAUAUUUAGAAUAAAAUUUCAUACCUCUAUCUAUUUUCCUCGUAUAAAAAUUCAUCCUAUUUUUCUAUAUUCGUCAAGAUUUUUUAAUCUGUAUUUUUAAGUUUUUUCUGUCUUUAUAGACAACAUAAAAAAACUAAAAGGAUUGGUUAAUCAAUUCCUCAAGAUUUUUUAAUUUGUAUUUUUAAGUUUUUUCUGUCUUUAUGAACAACAUUAAGUGGUUUUUUCUGUCAAUUUUAAAAAAAAUAUAUAUCAAAAUGAAGUUUUCUACUAGUGCCUGGUGGUUUUGUCUGAGUAAAAGGGAUAGAUGCUAAGUUAAGAGUUCAAGGAAGUGAGACAAAAAUUGGAAGGGACAAUUGUGUCGAUUGAAAUUCCGUUACUCCGAUGUUGAGUCCGGUGAAGCCGCCCUGNNNNNNNNNNNNNNNNNNNNNNNNNNNNNNNNNNNNNNNNNNNNNNNNNNNNNNNNNNNNNNNNNNNNNNNNNNNNNNNNNNNNNNNNNNNNNNNNNNNNNNNNNNNNNNNNNNNNNNNNNNNNNNNNNNNNNNNNNNNNNNNNNNNNNNNNNNNNNNNNNNNNNNNNNNNNNNNNNNNNNNNNNNNNNNNNNNNNNNNNNNNNNNNNNNNNNNNNNNNNNNNNNNNNNNNNNNNNNNNNNNNNNNNNNNNNNNNNNNNNNNNNNNNNNNNNNNNNNNNNNNNNNNNNNNNNNNNNNNNNNNNNNNNNNNNNNNNNNNNNNNNNNNNNNNNNNNNNNNNNNNNNNNNNNNNNNNNNNNNNNNNNNNNNNNNNNNNNNNNNNNNNNNNNNNNNNNNNNNNNNNNNNNNNNNNNNNNNNNNNNNNNNNNNNNNNNNNNNNNNNNNNNNNNNNNNNNNNNNNNNNNNNNNNNNNNNNNNNNNNNNNNNNNNNNNNNNNNNNNNNNNNNNNNNNNNNNNNNNNNNCUGAGCGUUUUAGACGACCAUGUGAUCGGAGAGAUUUGAUUCUCAGUAUAAUUGUUGGUAGCUUAUUUGUGAGCCAAGAAGUAUUAUUGAAUAAAAAUACUUUCAUUCUUUAUUGUCGGCUGAGAAGUGAAUUGAACAUUUAUUACCUGAGUUUUCUUCUCCAUUUUAUUGAAUAAAAAUGAUUUUUUUUUUCUGAUUUUAUUAAGUUUUUUUAUAAACCUGAUAAUUUGUCAGAUAAUUUUAGCAGAGUCAUUACCUAUGUAUGCUGGUCAAAAGUCAUUCCCAUCAAUAAGAUGGAGUAGCAUGAACAAUUUAUUUAUUUAUUUUUGGUUUCUGCUAACGAUUUAUUUCAUGAUUAAUAUCGAUUUAUUUCCACUUUCAUAGUAGCCUAGGUGUGUUUUUUCCGAAAUGGUUAUGAGCAUUUUUCCAAUCUGCUGGGGGUGAUGUUGGUGGGGUUGGGCUAGGAGCAUGGUUAUUUUAAUCUUGGGCUUUUGGCGAGGCUUCACGCUGCUACCUUUUUAGUUCAUGAAUUUGAGAUUAAAAAAAUCACCAAAAAGCUUGGAAAAAGAUAAAAAGUUAUUGAUUGAUAAUUUUUCAACAACAAAAAAAACACGAUCUUUGUAUUAAUGGAAAAAUCAUGUGCAGAUUGGAUAGCAAAUCAUAAAGGUGUGUUAGGGAUUCUGAUAGCAGUUAUAGUUUAAAGUAUUUUUUACUUAGAAAUACAUCAAAAUAAUAAUUUUUAAUUUUUUUAUUGAUAUAACACAUAAAAAUGAUCCGAAAAUAUAAUAAUAAUAAUUUUUAAUAAAAAAAUCAAAAUUUAUAAAUACAUAAUUUGCACAGUGGUACCGAACACAACUUUUAUAAUAGAUGUUGAAGUUUCCUACUGCACUGAAGCUCCCUCUCAUUGUUUGGAGCAAAUGCUUGAUUGCGUUCGUGGGGUUUCUACCCCCCGAAUAUGAAGUUAUUUCCUAAUUAAGGCUUUCUGCCCUCUCUCUAAUAAACUGAAAAACGGCAACAUUCAUUUUCUAGCCCAGCAGUGGUUCCUCUAGCCUUCUGCCUUCUGCUAUCUGCCUAGCUGUGAUAUAAAACAAUUUUAGUCCAUAUUUGAAGGAAUAGCAUCCACGAGGAAGUCCAAAAUAAUUAAAUGCGUAGGCCUCCUGUUUCUUCAAUCUUCUGCUGCUGUGAUUAUUAAAGCCUUGCCAAUAAUUACAGAUUAUAGCAUCCACGAGGAUGACGUUCCUUCAAUUUUUCUCUACAGUCAAUCUUUUUCCUUGACAAUAUUAUUGAUUCAACUUUCCAAAAUGUAUUCUUUAGCCACCACAAAGCUUCACACACACACACACGAGUGUGAAAGUUUAUACACUUCAAAGUAAAGUUAAAGAUAAGAGCAUAUAUAAUUAUUAAACCCCGUACGAUUUGUUUUAAAAAAACACAAAAUCUAAAAUUUAACUUGGAUUGGGUUUAUAAUUAAACCAAUAUUGAUUUGAUAAAAUUUGACCGAUUCAAUCAAACCUAGUUUAUAUCUGACUAGAUUAAUAAAAAAAAUGAAAUGAUAUUAUUUUAAUAAAAAUAAUUAAUUUGAAUUAACUUAAUAAAUAACUUAUAAUAUUAAAAAAUUAUCUUAAACCAAAAAAUUUAAACAGAUUUAAAAAUGUUAUAAUGUUACUUUCUAAGAAUUUAGUAAGGAUUUGGAGAACACCAGGCUAAGCUCCAAACACAUCGCCACCUGCAUGCUCUCCAGCAUAAUUCACGUUCCUUUUUCAACCAUCGAAUACCCCACAGCCUCCUCCUCCGGUUCUUGUCGAGAAGUGUAUGGAGCCUUGACAAAUAAAGGUUCUCUGAUCUGUUGAUUGGGUUUGGGUCUCAAGCGUUUGUGAGAUUACAAGAGCUUGGAUGUUAAAAAACUGGUCGUAAUUACUUGUCAGGAGUUCUGGCAGUUGAUAGUAAUAGAACAAAUUUAUUAUUUUCNNNNNNNNNNNNNNNNNNNNNNNNNNNNNNNNNNNNNNNNNNNNNNNNNNNNNNNNNNNNNNNNNNNNNNNNNNNNNNNNNNNNNNNNNNNNNNNNNNNNUGGGCGUCUUCCAGAAGCUUACAACUAAAUAUUAGUUAAGAGGAAGACAAUCUAGCCAUUCCGUCGAUAAAUUAGUGAGAUUGCCCCAAUCACGGGGAAGGCUUUGCCAAAUACUUCAUCUCAUGGAUUCUGAGUUCUUAGCUAUCAAAUGGCUUUCAAAACAGUUGAUUUUAAGUUUCAUUUCAAUAAAUGCCAGUACCAACAUUUGGAAGUGCUAUAACAUGGAGAGCUUGGUUUCGUCUUCUUGGCUCUGCUCUGCUCCACCAUCAUCUCCAUCUUAUCAUGGUAUAUUUCUAUUUUUAAAGAGUUUGAUCUGCGAUUCUCUCCAACAAAUUGGGAUAACAAAUUGUCAGAUGCUGAAAAGGCUGGCAAUUCAUCUUCCGUUGCUUGAAAAUGGCCAGCUAUCUCAUCCCCCUUCUCUUAGAGUGAUGGAGUACAUCCAAAAGAAUGGUGAGAGUCAGUGGUGGAAUGGGAGCAUCCUAAUGCUAAGGAUGUCCUUCGUCCCUUUAUUAUUUAAAUGAUGACUCUGCCCUUUAUCAUUCAUGUGCUAGGUUGGAAUCCUUAAACUGGAGAAGAGUCCACUAAUAUUUCCUCGCCAACCAAGAAGAUGAAGAAGACGAACUUUUCUAUGACGAAGCUGCAAUCAACUCUGUGCUUGAUGAAUCAAAGAGCAGAUCCAGAAACAUUACAAAAUGUAGGUAACAGGAUUACGUACAUGAUUUAAUUUGUAGAGGAAAAAAGAUUGAACUUCGCAUAAUUAAAUUGAUGUCGUUCUCUGAAACUUACAGAUCCUCUGUUUGUUAUAUUACGGUUUCUUAUGAAGUGUAAAUGGCUUCCUUACUUUAUCCGUAAGAGAGUUGGAGGGAGUUAACCUCCAUGAGAAAGUUAACCAAGGAGUGGAGGAAUGCCCUAGAGGACCGGAGACAAUCAAGAGUUCGGCAAGAUGCCAUGGAAGAAGAGGCAUUCCGGAUAUUGAGAUUUAGUUACACGCACUUUAAGGAUUCAGCAUAGCAACAAUGUUUGUUGUAUUGUUCAUUACUGUGAUGAAACGACUUUAGGGUACAUGACCGACAAUAUAAAAACAUCAUAUUUAUGUUAAUUUUUGGAACAUGUAUAUCAAAAAAUAAGUACAUGUAAAUUUUGCACAUCAUUUCAUAAUUUUUUUAAAUUAAUAAAAUCAAAUAAUACUUCAAAAUUUAUCAGAUAAAAUAAAACAUCAUAAUACUUGUUACAUUAAAUAAAAUUCAAUUUUGAAAUAAAAAUUUAAACUUAAAUAAAAUAUUAUAAUAGUCUAAAACAUCUAAUAAAAUAUUUUUAUUCUUAUAAAUUUUGUGAGAAACAAUAAAAAACUAAUUUAGGAAUUAAUUGAGUAAUUAUUAGUUCACAGAGGAUUUUAUUUUAUUUUAUUUUUAGUGACAGCUAAUUUCAUCAAACACCAAUUGCCUUGUUUUUGGAUCACAUAAGCUUAAGACCAGGCACGUGCUACACUACUAAUGCUGGGACACUGUCACGUUCUAACAAUAAUGUUCGAACCAUUUAAGAUUGGACCUACUUCACUUGAACUUUAUUUUAUAUUUAUAAUGAGGAAAAAGUAUGAUUGGGUUGAAAACCAUUUUAUGCUCGGUCGAAAGCUUUUGGACCAGGUUAUCAUGUGUUUGAUACUGUUAUAUAGAGUAUUUUUUAAAAAUAAUUUGUGUAGAUUUUGUUUUUAAUAUCAAUACAUCAAAAUCAUUAAAAACAACUAAAAAAUUAUUAAUUUAAUAUUUUUUAAAAACAAAUAUAAAUUUUAAAAAAAUAUUUAAAAGCAUAUGGACAUACCCAAACCGGUAAACAUCAAAAGCUACAUUGGUAUGUCUCUAUGAAUAUAUGAUAAUGGAGCCUUGUUUUGAAUAUUUAAAACUAGAAAGUAGCAUAGGCGUGAUUUUUAAAAUCUUGAUCCCUAGACUUUUUGCAUGUUUUAUUUUUUUAUUUUUAGUUAUGAUUCAAAAUUUUAUUUUAUUCAUUUUGAUCUAUGAUUUUGAGAUGAAAGAAAAAAGUCACCUGGAAAACUUGGAAAAAGAUAAAAAGUUAUUGGUCGACAAUUUUCCGGCAAUAAAAAAAUAGUAUUUUUUUUUUAUCCACUGGGAGUAUCCGAGUCAACUUGCGCGUACCUUAAAUAAUUCUCACGGAUUUUGAAGUUAAUGACCAAGUAAGUCUCCAGUGACUAUCAAUAUUGGCAACUAUAGGGCUCGAUGAAAUCACAAGAAAGAGUAAACCUCUUGGUCCCAAACUCUUACCACUGGAUCACUUACUAGAUGGUUAAAAAUACAGUAUCUUUGUAUCAAUGGAAAACUUGUGUGUGGAUUGGAUAGCAAAUCAAGCUUCAUAGUAGAUGUUAAAGUUUUCUACUGCACUGAAGCUCCCGAUCUGGUUGUUUGAAGCUAAUGCUUGAUGGCGUUCCUGGGGUUUUGAUGAGUCUAUGAAAGUGCAUUCUAAAUGCUCUGUCAUUGGAAUAAAAUGCUAAAAUGUGAAUAGAAAUAAUAGAAAUUAAAGGGUAUUUUUUAAUCGAGUUUCUAUUUAAUUUGAUAUACUAUCAAGCUUCAUAGGCGUGCUUUUUUCUUUUUAAUUUUGAUCCUUAAAGUUUUGUUUUUUUUUUUUAAUCCAAAACUUUAUUUUCUUGACUUUUUAAACAGCCUGGAUAAACUUAAAGUAAUGUUCUUUUUCUUAGAAACAGCUAGAUACACUUAAAGUAUUUUAAUCAUAACUUUCCACUCACAUAUCGGAUUGCUGUGAUUCUUGAUGCGUUGGAAAGGUAUCGUAAAGGGCUACAAAGUUAGUCUUUGAUGAAAAGGGAGGGCUGCCUGCUUUUGAAAAAGGGGGCUGCCUCCUCUGUAAAGGGGGCUAUUUGGCAUAAAGAAGACGUGUGGGAAUUGCACUAGAGAGAGGGGAAAAAAAAAAGCACAGAUGAGGAAAGGAAUGACUAAUACAGUGAUGGGUAACUAAAUUGUUCCGAUUUCCAAUUAUUCUAACUCUUUUGUUUUAUCAUUCUCAAUUUGUUGUUGAGAAGUAUUCUUCUCCGCAUUUAUGCAGUUUAUGGAUUCAGUCAUGUUUUUUCUAUUGAAUGGAUUAAUCUUUGGAUCAUUUAUUUACCUGUAUUGAUUUAAUUUCUUUGCUUUAAUAUUGCUCCUUAAAUACGUUGUCGUCAUUGGAUUUUCUUAAUAGGGAUAAUUAUUUAAAAGUAGUGAAUGAUUUUUCAAAAGGGUUAUAUUAAUUUGGUUUAAUGUUGAUUUAAUUAUCUAUAUACCUUUUAAGUGGGAAUUUUGGGAAUUCAACUUCGAAUUGAGUUAUUCAACAAAAUAAGAAUAAUUAAAAUAUCAAAUGUGUGCGCAAGGGAUUCUGACUAUCUACCUGCUGUUUGUAGGAUUUAAGUACUUUUUUCAUAAGUCACUUUGCUUUAUUUUAAUCUGCAUUUAAAAUUAAUUUUUGUUUUCUAUUAAAUCAUUUUAUAUUUUCUUUUAUUCUUUUAAUUUGCUUCAAUGUGGAAUCGACACUCCAAAGGUGUGCUACAAUUACCGUGUUAUUUUUAUUUUUGGGUGGAAUCAGGUUUCUACCACACAGAAUGUGAAAUUAUUUUCUCAAGGCUUUCUGCACUCUCUCUAAUGAACUAAAAAACGGCAACAUGCAUUUUCUAGCCCAGCAGUGGUUCCACUAGCCGGCAGGUAACAGUACGCUGGAGAUAUCUACUGCUGCUCAAAGUCCAAACAACAACGGUACUGCCAACAUUAUUAUGCCGCAAUCAAAAAAACAUAAUUUGUUUUUAUAUUUAAAAUUAUGUUUGAGUGUAUUUAAAAAUCUGUUUAUCUUGGAAAAUUCUGAAAUUGUUUGAUUUACCGGAACUGAAAAGUAUUUGCAGUGCAAAAAUUGAUUUACAAUUCUCUUAGAGAUAUUACUGUAAUGCAUUGUAAGAAGGUGAAGAGGAUGCCAAUUUGUCUUCUUUUUUAUCUCUCAAUGGAACACUCAUGACAUCAAAUAGAAUAACUUCAACAAAAACUAAAAAGGAAUAGAAAGCUUACGAAUAGUUAAGAGAGCGUAUUCUAAAAUUUAGUUUAUUGUUUACCUUAUAUUUUUUUGCAUCUUAUAUUUUUUAUUUUUUAUUUUUUAUUUUAACCUAAAAUUUUAUUUUGUUUACCUUUUAAUUCAUGAGUUUGAGAUGAAAGGAAAAAAGAAUCACACAAAAAAAACUUGGAAAAAGAUAAAAAGUUAUUGAUCGACAACUUUCCGGCAACAAAAACACAUACAGUAUCAAUGGAAAACUGGUGUGCAGAUUGGAUAGCAAAUCAAGCUUCAUAGUAGAUGUUGAAGUUUUCCACUGCAGUACUGAAUCUCCCUCUGGUUGUUUGAAGCUAAAGCUUGAUUGCGUUCCUGGGAUUUUGAUGAUGAGUCUCUAUGAAAGUGCAUUCUAUCAUUGGAAUAAAAUGCUAAAAUGUGAAUAAAAAUAAUAGAAAUUAAACAGACAAGUCAAGGCCCAGGAGUCGUGAAAUUCACUUUGAACCAGCCUCCACACACUUAAAGUAUCUUAAUCAUAACUUUCCACUCACAUAUCGGAUUGCUGUGAUUCUUGACGCGUUGGAAAGGUAUCUUGAAGGGCUACAAAUUAGCCUCUUAUGAGGAUUUCAGAAAAGGAACUCCUAAAGCAUGUACGUGGCUGCCAAAAAAAGGUCCUAAAAUACCAAAUGUGUGCAAGGAUUCCCGACGCUCUACUGUUUGUAGAAUUCCAGUAGUGCUUUCUCCAUGAGUCACUCUGCUUUAUUUUAAUUUGCAUUUAAAAUUAAAUUUUAUUCUCUAUUAAAUCAUUUACUGAAGUUCGGAGCUUUAAAGUGUAUGCCAUAUAUUUACAAUUAUAUAACAAAUUAAUUUUCAUUGUCUCGACAUUUUUCCUUGUUUCUAAUUCUUCACCUGCAUUUCCCAAGCAAUAUUUUAUAAUUAUUAGGGGAAUAACUAGUGAUAUAGUAUUAGUUAUUUUCUAGAUUCAUUUAAAAAAACAAAUGCAAAAAAAAUAUAAAAUUCAUGACUCAUAAAAAAUAAUAAGAAUAUUUUUAUCUUGAAUUUUUCUUUUUCUAGUUGUAUCUCUUUAUUUUUUAAAAAUAAAUAUAAAAAAUAAGUAAUAAAAUAUCAUUAAUUAAUCUAUAAACACUAUAAAAUUACUCUCGAAUUAUUUACCCUGGAAUUUGGAUGAUCUAUAAUUCAAAGCGGGCAUGCUGCAUUUCUUUGUUAGGGUUUUUGUCCUUUCUACUAAUUUAUCUAAAUAUAAGAUUUAGAAUCUUGAUGAAUGAAACUAGCAUUCUCGAUUUCUUGGGAUAGAAAGAACAAAAGUAUUAUUAAAAUUAAAAAAGAAAAAACUCCUCAGGCUUUUACCAUGUACCAGGAGAGAAAACACCAUAGAUUAAAAUAGUCUUUUAUCUCCUAUUUCUUUUUAAUCACUAAUUAUUUUAUUUUUAAUUUUAUCAUUAUAGAUUAUGUUGAUAGCGAUUUGAAACUGAUAACUUGUUUUAAUUAACUUGUCAUGGAGUUCUCAAGGUCUAAAAAAAAAAAACAUCAUUGAUUUUUGGUUUUAUAAUAUGAUCACUUCAUUUUUAUUAUGAUAAGUCACAGAUGGAUAACCUCAAACUCAGAGGAUUGCAAAAUCAAACUGCGAGGCCAAAUGCCCCAAAUCCUGUUUAUCAUGAUAAGUCAAAACAAUUAUAGAUAUAACUUAAGAUAUGAGGCAAAGAGUUAGGAGGGAGUAGUGGAGAUAGAAGACCUGAUAUUUGCCUCAUCAACUAGGCAGAGAGUAACGACAUACGCCCUUUUAAUAUCAAAAUCUAAAUUUAGUAGUCUUUGAGGUUACUUAAUUUAAAUAUUGGUACGUACGUAGCUUUUAUUUAUUUAUUCAUUUAUUUUUAAAUAUUGACCUUAAAAAAAAAUUGAAUUUGUAAUUCAACCAAAUAUCGUAAACAUGUUAAAAGUAUUCUUCUACCUAAAUGAAUUUCAGUAAAACUACUACACAGAAGAUGAGUUUUGGUUUCUAAACCUGAAACUGCCAUCAUAAGAACUAGCUAGAGAAGUUAGGAUGAGCUUUUCUUGUCAUUAUAUCACUUUUUUCUGCUAAGAUAAUGCUCUCUGUAUUCUCUGCUACUAUUGCUUAUAAUCUUCUUAUCUCUAGUAUCUUUUCUAACCCGUAUGAGAGAUGCUUUCUAAUUUUUUUCUUGGAUUGUGAAUUUGUUGAAUAGAGUUGACCUAAGAAUCCAGAAGUUAUUGGUGACAGAAAAUCUAGAUUUUUUUUAGGAAAAGUGAGUUCAACUGUUACAUUUUGUUUACAUUAUCUUGUUGCACUAAAUCAAGAAGUUUACUAGACUUAUUAUUUAAAUUUGCUUUAUGGAUGCUUAGCAUUUUAAAUGAUCAUGUGAUCGGAGUAAACAAUCAUGUGAUUGGAGAGAUUUGAUUCUCAUAUAAUUGAUUGUUGGCAGCUUAUUUAUGAGCCAAGAAGUAUUAUUGAAUAAAAAUGCUUUCAUUCUUUAUUGUCAGAUGGAAAGUGAGUUGAACAUUUAUUACUUGAGAUUUCCUCUCCAUUUUAUUUAAUUUAAGAAGCAUUUCAUGAUUUUUCUCUGACUUUAUUAAGUUUUUUCUAUAAACCUGAUAAUUUGUCGGAUAAUUUUAGCAGGAUUCAUUUACUUUCUAGCAUACCAUAGUUGUAAAACCUCCAGGCGUUCGUAACUCUUGAUUGGGUUAUCAAAAAAUUCUGAAAUUUUGCGUGGAGCCUUCUAAUAUGAUACCUUAGCUUGGGUUAAAAUUUCAGAAUUUUUAGAGAAAUUCGAAAAUUUGAUGAAAAAUCACAAUUCGACUAGUUUUACGUUAUUGGAUGUAAUUUUCAAUCCGACCAUCCGAUUGAGCUGAAAUUUUAUGAGGAACCUUAAAAUAUAUUGAAUAAAAUCUGGUUAAAAUUUUAAAAUGAAUGGAGCUCGGUAGUGCUAGAAAAAAAAAUAAUGACCGUCAAAGAGGAAAAAAUAUUCAUUAAGGGUAUAAUAGUAAUUUGCCAUUGAAAACAAAACAUAUAAGCUCUCCUUCUCUUCUAUUAACUGCCGAAUGGGCAGAAACAAAAAGGUGAAAAGAGAAACAGAGCAUAACGUGAGAGAAAGAGAGAAAAGUAAGGAAAAACAAUAAGGAAAUUGAGAAAAAUAACUUUAUAAGCUUGCAAGUUCAACCUAUAAAACACUAAAGCAAGUGAAGGAAGGAGGGAGGGUUUGAGAAGGGGAAUUCAGCUAACUUUGGAAGAGAAGAGAAAUUGGAAGAAAAACAAUAGGUAAGCAUGAGAAGUUUGGAUUUAAUGUUUGAUUUAGAUGUUUUCUUAAGCUUAUUUGACUAAGUUAGGAAGUAAUUUCAUAGAAUUUUACCUUAGUUUCCCUUAAACCCUAGAUUUUUGAACUUAGGGUUCUUAUAUGAAUUUGGGGGAAUUAGGAGGGGAAGGAAAAAUGAUGAAAUUGAAGUGGAAUAGAAUGAAAAUAUGUUGAAAUAAAAAGUAAAUGAAGAAAAAUUUGGGGGAGGAAAAAGAAACAUCACAUUCGGCCAAAUGAAGGAAAAAGUGGGAGAAUGAGUUUUGAUGGUAAGAAAGACUAAAUGAAGAGAUAGCAUUUAAAUUGAGAAAAUAAUAAUAAUAAUAAUAAUAAUAAUAAGUAAAUUCAAAUUAAAAGAGAAAUAAACUAGUUAAAAGAAAAUAUGAAGACAAGAUGUCUAGAUUGUGUUUGAAUAUAGUAUUUAGAUAAAAUGAAUAAUAUGAUGUGAGGGUAUAAAGAAUAGAAGAAUUAUUUGAUGGAGGAAUUAUGAACAUAGAGUAAGCAAAGAAGGAGGUUGUAUGUAAAAUAAUGAUGUUAUAUUUGAGAAUGAAUUUUUAUUAGAACAAAUUACAAAUAAAAAUAUUACGUGCUUUGUGUUUCGGCACGUAAGAAAAAUAUUGAUGGACUAAUGAUAUAAUGACACUUGAUUGAUUCAGGAGUUGUGUCUGGAGCUGGUUAUCAGACAGAAGGAGCUGGGUCAUCCCGAGCAGAAGGUAGGUGAUUCGUCACCUUAUUUUGUAAUUUUUAGUUUUCCUAAUAAUCCAUGUUGCUUAUUUAAUUGAUAUUAAACGAAUGGAGCAAAUGAAUAAAUUGAGUUAUGAUUAUGUGAAUUACCGGUAAAUUAUGUGAAAUUACCGGUUUUGUUGGUUAACAAAGAGGUUAACCGGAUAUGGGGUAAUUCGUAUGGAAUUACCGGAUUGUUUGGCUAAUAAAAGAGGUUAGCCGGAUGCUUGGUAAUUCAAAUGGAAUUACCGGAUUGAUUGGCUAAUAAAAAAGGUUAGCCGGAUGCUGGGUAAUUCGAAUGUAAUUACCGGAUUGAUUGGCUAACAAAAGAUAUUAGCCGGAUACUGGGUAAUUCAUAUGAAUUAGUGGAUUGAUUCUGGAAACCGAAAUGGGUUAGCCGGAUUUUUGGGUAAUCAAGAGAAUUACCGAGUUUAUUGGUUAACAAAGAGGUAACCAAAUAAGAAGUAAUUUAUAUGGAAUUACCAGAUUGAUUGGCUAACAAAAGAAGUUAGCCAGAUGAUGGGUAAUUCGAAUGGAAGUACUGGAUCUAUUGGUGACUGAGGAAGGAAACCAAAUUUCUGAGUAAUUAUAUGGAAGUGUUAGAUUUAUUUGGUAAUUAAGAUGAGUUAGCUGGAUUUGUAAAUUUUGAAAAGAUUAUGUAAAUUAAGGGAUUAAGUUAGAUUGAAGUAGAAGUAUUAAAUUUCAAAGGUUAAGAGUAAUUAAUUAAUAUUAGAAUAAUAUAGUGAGUAAGUUAAUUAAUGUUGUUAUUGUUGAAACAGGUACACCGCGAGGUGAUGUAGAUCGUUAGAUGUAGGAAUACUCCUGUUUAUGAAUCACUAUUUUGGAAUGUAAUAUUCAUGUCUUUACUUUGAGUGUAAAUCCUUUUGUGUUGUAAAAAUUAAGUAGAAGGUGUAAUAUGUAGUGGAUGUAUUAUAUAUAUGUAUAGUUGUUAGUAUGACCAAAUCAUUUUCAAAAUGAUAAGAUAAGAUUUAUUAUAAAUAUAAUAUGACUCUUAAUCUUAAUGUUGUAUUUAUAUAGUUUAAAGGCUUAUAUGUAGUUAGUUAGCAUUUAUUACGUUUAAUGAUGAAUUUGUUUAUCUUUUGAGUUGUUUUGGUAGUCCAUUUAUGUUGAUUUACUAAUUGAUAUUAUGAGACUUGCAUAUAUGAUAAUUAUAAAUAUUGAGUUAUGAUUUGAUGAAUGGAAUGUGAUCCAGGAUGAUUGGAUCAAGAUGGAAGUCGUAAUGACAUAUAAUAGAAGUGUUGUCGAUAACUUGGUACAACAAAAAUAGAGGAAACUCUGCCGAAAUUUUCAAAAAAAAAUCCUAUAAUUUUAGACAUAUUACCCAAUACUUGACAUUAGUAAAGAAAUGUUGGGAGAUUUCAUGAUAUUAUAAUUUGAGGGUGUUACAAUAGUAGCCUAGGUGUGUUUUUUCCGAAAUGAGCAUUUUUCCAAUCUGCUGUGGGUGAUGUUGGUGGGUUUGGGCUAGGAGCAUGGUUAUUUUUAAUCUUGGGCUUUUGGCUAGGCUUCACGCUGCUACCUUAUAUUUGGAAAAAUUUUGUUCAAUUUAAUUCAUUAAAAAUAAUAAAAAACAAUUCAAAAAUUAAAAAAAAUGAUUUGCACAUGUUACCGAACAAAACUUUUAUAAUAGAUGUUGAAGUUUCCUACUGCACUAAAGCUCCCUCUUAUUAUUUGAAGCUAAUGCUUGAUUGCUUUCGUGGGGUUUCUACCCCCAGAAUAUGAAGUUAUUCUCUAAUUAAGGCUUUCUGCCCCACUCUCUAAUAAACUGAAAAACGACAACAAACUUUUUCUAGCCCAGCAGUGGUUCCACUAGCCUUCUGCUAUCUGCCUAGUUGUGAUAUAAAACAAUUUGAGUCCAUAUUUGAAGGAAAAGCAUAUCUAUAAUUGGCUUCUACAAAGAUUAGAUAUUUGUGAUCUUAUUUAGUGGGUGAUUAUGUCUCAAGAUUUCAGCAUUAAUAGAUUGCAAAAUUUAUUGCUAAACGUCUUCAUCUAGACCUUUCAAGCGAAGAUGAUGAUCUGAAUAGAGCUGUCAAAUUAUCAGUAAAACUAAUGAAGAACAAAAAAUGGAUUCUUAUUUUAGAUGAUUUGUGGAACAAUAUUAAGCUACACAAAGUGAGAAUUUCGGUCUGUUGAAAGGAUACAAGUUGAUUAUGACAACUCAAUUAUAAACGGUUUGUCAUCGGAUGGCUUGCCACCACAAAAUCAAAGUGAAGCCACUCUCUAGGGGAGAAGGUUAGACUUUGUUCAUGGAGAAACUUGGACGUGACGUAGCACUUUAACCAGAAGUGGAACGAAUUGCAAAAGCUAUUGAUAGGGAAUGUGCUGGUUUGUUUUUGGGAAUUAUUACAGUGGCAGGAAGCUUGAGGGAAGUGGAUGACCUACAUGAGUAGAGAAAUACAUUGUUAGAGAAAGUGUUAAAAUGGAGUAUGAUGGUAGUAGAAGUGUCAAGAUGCAUGACUUGAUUGGAAACAUGACCAUACAUAUACUACAGAGAACUCUCAAGGCAUGGUUAAAGCAGGUGCACAAGUAAAAGAGUUGCCAGAUGCAAAGAAGGAAGAAUUCGUGGACAUAUGGUCAAUUAUUUUUAUUAAAUUGAUUUCAUUUUAUUUCUUAUUUUUUAAAAAAAUCCUUUUGAUGUUAACAUGUCCUCGUAUAGUAACCGUGAUACUAAAAAUUUAAAUAGGUUACCAACUUAACUGGAUGAAUUAUAUUUUUUCAGAUUAAAAUCUUGUUUGAUUCAAUUUUAAAAUUAAUCUGAUUGGACUUAGACUCCAAGUUGUAAUUUUAACUUACUUUUUACACAAAUUUCAACUUUAUAUUUUCCAAAUUGAAAUUUUUUUCAUUAAUAUCUUCCCUUAUGGCUGGUUUGGCUUUUUGUGUUUCAAAAUAAAUAAAUAAAACAUAUUUCAUUGUUCUUUUUAGAAGAUAUUUGGAAUCAUUUGCUGAAUUAUUUUCCGUUUUUAUUUUUGAAUUUUGAAAUAAAAGAACUCCUAAAGCAUGCUUUCUUUUUUAAUUUUGAUCCUUAAAGUUUUUAUUUUAUUUUAUUUUAAUCCAAAGCUUUAUUUUCUUGACUUUUUAAACAACAGCCUGGAUAAACUUAAAGUAAAGUUCUUUUUCUUAGAAACAUCCUAGAUACACUAAAAAUAUUGUAACCAUAACUUUAUCGGAUUUCUGUGAUUCUUGAUGCGUUGGAAAGGUAUCGUAAAGGGCUCUACAAGUUAGCCCUCUGAUGAAAAAGGAGGGCUGCCUACUUUUGAGAAAGGGGGUUGCCUCCUCUGUAAAGAGGGCUAUUUGGCAUAAAGAAGACGUGUGGGAAUUGCACUAGAGAGAGGGGAAAAAAAGAGCACAGAUGAGGAAAGGAAUGACUAAUACAGUGAUGGGUAACUAAAUUGUUCAGAUUUCUAAUUAUUCUAACUCCUUUGUUUUAUUUUCUCAAUUUGUUGUUGAGAAGUAUUCUUCUCCGCAUUUAUGCAGUUUAUGGAUUCAUUCAUGUUUUUUCUAUUGAAUGGAUUGAUCUUUGGAUCAUUUAUUUACCUGUAUUGAUUUAAUUUCUUUGCUUUAAUAUUGCUCCUUAAAUACAUUGUCGUCAAUGGAUUUAAGUUCUUAAUAGGGAUAAUUAUUUAAAAGUAGUGAAUGAUUUUUCAAAAGGGUUAUAUUAAUUUGGUUUAAUGUUGAUUUAAUUAUCUAUAUACCUUUUAAGUGGGAAUUUUGGGAAUUCAACUUCGAAUUGAGUUAUUCAACAAAAUAAGAAUAAUUAAAAUAUCAAAUGUGUGCGCAAGGGAUUCUGACUACCUGCUGUUUGUAGGAUUUAAGUACUUUUUUCAUAAGUCACUUUGCUUUAUUUCUAUUAAUUUUUAUUCACUAAAGCUUGAUUGCGUUCCUGGGAUUUUGAUGAGUCUAUGAAAGUGCAUUCUAUCAUUGGAAUAAAAUGCUAAAAUGUGAAUAAAAAUAAUAGAAAUUAAACAGACAAGUCAAGGCCCAGCAGUCGUGAAAUUAUUUCACUUUGAACCAGCCUCCACACACUUAAAGUAUCUUAAUCAUAACUUUCCACUCACAUAUCGGAUUGCCGUGAUUCUUGACGCGUUGGAAAGGUAUCUUGAAGGGCUACAAAUUAGCCUCUAAUGAGGAUUUCAGAAAAGGAACUCCUAAAGCAUGUACGUGGCUGCCAAAAAAAAGUCCUAAAAUCUAGGCAAUUUGUUUGUGACACAACGGGGAUCAUGGAGACGUGAUUUUAGGGAUUUAUGUAGUUUAUGGAUUCACUCAUGUUUCUUCCAUUAAAUGGAUUAAAUCAUUUAAUAUUUUCUUCUAUUCUUUUAGUUUGUCAAUGCUGUGCUACCAUCACCGCAUUAUUCUUUGGAUGUAAUUACUAAUUUAUUAUUAGUUAUUUUUUGGAUUCACUUAACAAACAAACACAAAAAAUAAUAAUAUAAAAUGUAUGACCCAUAAAAAAUAAUAAGAAUAUUUUUACCUUGGAUUUUUCUUCUUCUAGUUGUAUCUCUCUAUUUCUUUAAAAUAAAUAUAAAAUAAUAACUAAUAAAAUGACAUUAAUUAAUCUAUAAGCACUAUCAAAUUACUCUCCAAUUAUUUGCCCUGGAAUUUGGAUGAUCUAUAAUUCCAAGCGGGCAUUAUGCAUUUCUUAGCUAGGGGGAGCAAAACUUGAGCUAGCAUGUUUCUGGCUUUUGAUUUUCUGGGUAUGAUUUGUUUGGCUACUUUAUAGUUUAUAGGUUUUUGUCUAAUUUAUCUAUAUAUAGGAUUUAGAAUCUUGAUGAAUGAAACUAGCAUUCUCGAUUUCUUGGGAUAAAAAGAGCAGAAUUAUUAUUAAAAUUAAAAAAGAAAAAACUGCCCAGGCUUUUACCAUGUACCAGGAGAGAAAAACACUGUAGAUUAAAAUAGCCUUUUAUCUCUUAAAUUUCUUUUAAUCACUUAUUAUUUUAUUUUUAAUUUUAUCUUUAUAGAUUAUGUUGAUGGAAAUUUGAGGCUGAUAACUUGUUUUAAUUAACUUGUCAUGGAGUUCUCAAGGUCUAAAAAAAAAGGGCUUCAACGUUAAGUUAAGUUGACGUUUGACUUCACAAAAUUUUAUUUAUUUUAAUUCAAUAAAAAUAAUUGAAACUUUGAAAAUCAAAUAUGAUACUGAAACCAGAAAGUAACCAGAAACUUUGAGCUUUUGCAUUUUAAUUUUUAGUUUUAAUCUAAAAUUUUAUUUUGUUUAUUUUUUAAUUUAUAGAUUUGAUAUAAAGAAAAAAAGUAAAUGAAAAAACUUCAAAAAAAGAUAAAAAGUUAUUAAUUGAUAAUUUUCUAAUAAAAAAAACACGAUCAUCUUUUUGUUAAUGGAAAACUUGUGUUUAGAUUAGAUAGCAAAUCAUACUUUAUAGAUUGAGGGCUAAAAAUAUAAAUUUGUAGAAGGGAGUUGGAAAAAAAAAACAAUUUUCAUGGUUAUGGAAAAGUGUGCGAUCAUAAGAUGUUUUUUUUAUUGUUAUUUUAUUAAUAUGAGUGUUUGAGUUAAUUUACAUAUAUUUUAACUAAUUUAAUAAGUUUUAAAAUUAAUAAUUAUAUAAGUUUUAUUUAAUUUUAAAAUUUAUAUAAUUUAAAUUGAUAAUAUCUAAAAAAAUAAAUUUAAACUCUAAUUAAUUGAAGGAUAGCACUUGUAAUUACGAGAUGUUAUGAAAGAGAGGGGUAUGUCGUUCUUUGUACUCCAAACUUAUUGACUGAUGUGCCUCUUAAAUAAAAGCACACCAUAUACUGUCAAUAAAAAUAGAAAUAUGAAUAAAAGUUUAUAAUGAUAAGUAUAUAUUCAAAAAAAUUAUAUUAACUUAAUACAUAUAAAAGUCAUAAAUAUCCCAUCUUAAUUAAGCAAACUUGAUAAAUCUAAUUACUCAAAUCUGACUUAAUACAUAUAAAAGUUUGUGAAGAUUGAAUACCUGGUCUUAAUUUUUGAGUUAUUUUAUAUUAAAAUAUAUUAUUUUAAUAUAUUUUAAAAUAAAAAAUACUUUAAAAUUUUUUAAAAUAACAAUCAUCAUAUUCCCUACUACACUGUUAAAAUCACUCUAAAAGUAAUAAUGUUUUGCUAAAAGCACUGAAGCUUCAACGUGUGAAACAGCUGGAUGCACUUUUAAGUAUUUUAAUCACAACUUUUCACUCACAUGACGGAUUGAUGUGAUUUUUGUCACGUUAUUUUGUUUGAAAAUGCUUGUUUUUUAAAAAAAUUUGAUUUUUUUAAAAAUUAUUUUUUAUAUUUUAAAAUUAUUUUAAAUUGUUAAUAUUAAAAAUAAUUUUUAAAAAAUAAAAAAUAAUUAUUUUAAUAUAUUUUUAAAUAAAUUGUUAAUAGUAUCUUAAUCAGCUCCCCCGGGCUACAAAAUAGUCUCUGAUGAGGAUUUCAAAAAAAAAAAAAAAAACUUUAGGUUUUUGAUGAAAACGUGUGGGAGUGGGACCAUGGGGACAUGAUGAAAAUAUAGGUGGAAAAGUGGGGCUGCCUCCUUUAGAAAAAGGGGGCUGCCCAUAAAGAAGACGCGUAGGAAUUGCACCAGAGAAAAAAAAAAAAACAAGAAAAGAAAAGGGAUUAAUGUAGUUUAUGGAUUCAGUAAUGUUUUUUUUCUAUUAAAUGGAUUAAUUGUUUGAUUAUAUUUGGUUCAUUUAUUUAUCUGUAUUGAUUUAAUUUUUUUCCUAUAAUAUUGAUUUAAUAAAAAGAACUCCUAGUCCUAAGAUUGACUCAAUUGGAAAGGAUCAUGGUACGUACUGCCAAGAUUGUUAUGCACACAAGCAAAACAUAAUUUGUUUUUGUAUUCAGAAUUAUAUUUGAGUUCAUUUAAAAAUUUGUUUAUUUUGAAAAAAAUAUUAAAUUAAUAUUUUUAAUAUUUUUUAAUAUAUUAAUAUUAAAAAUAAAAAAAAUAUUUUGAUUACUAAAUCUCCACCGACCUAUUUCAUUGUAAAUUACAAUAGUACGUCAUACAAGGUGUUUUGUUAUUUUUUUAAAAAAAAAUUGUUUUUGUUUAUUUUGUUAUAGGUUGAUUUAAAAUUUAGUUUCGUAAUUUAUUAAAUUUUAUUUUAAUUUUUAUAAGAUUAACGUGAUUUACAAAUUUGUUAAAAUAACUCAAAUUAUACUAAUUUUCAGGUUUGGUGGGGUUUUUUUUGUUUAUUAAUUAAAAAAAAAGCUAAAAGAUGUGGGAGAACCGCUAUUCACCCACACCUAUUUUAUUAUGAAUUACAAUAAUAAUCUAUAGUGUUUUGCUUCUUCUUCUUCUUCUUCUUUUCCUUCCCUUUCCUUUUUUUGGUUAUCAUUUUAAUUUUUUUUUUCUGUUUCAUAUUUGGGUUGGUUUAGAAUUUAGUUUCAUAAUUGAUUUUAUUUUUCUUUUUAUGAGGUUAUCGUAGUCUAAAAAAAUAUGUAUUAGUAUUGGGUUCGUGUUUAAAUUUAUGGUUAUCUAUUUUUAUUAUCAUAUUGUUAAAUAAAAAAAUUUUAAAAAAAUUAUAAUUCUACUAGAGUCCAUAACCUUGUUCAUGAGUUUGAUGUGCUAAUCAAAGUUACCUGAUUCACAGGUUUGAUAAUUUUACUUACUGAUUGAACAUGUUUUUUUUUUUAUCUUUUAAUUUUUUUAAUUAAUUUUUUUUUCAAUUUCGUCCUUCAAUAUUGGAUUGGUUUGGAAAUAGACUACAUGAUUUAUUUUUAUUUGUUUUCUAUAGAUUAUUGCAGUCUCAAAUAAAUAUUUAUUUUAGGGAUGAUGCUUAAUUUUAUGAAUACCUAUAUUUAUCAUAUAAUUAAAUUAAAAAAAUUGUAAAAAUUUACUAAACCCAAUAGAAUUCAUGAUCCGAGUUGCGAGGGACCGAAAUUGAUUUAAUCUGUCAUUUUCUUAAUAUUUUUUAAACAAUAUUUUCAGCUAGAGGUUUUUGUAAAAAGUGAAGCCAUGUUUUACUAGUCUUUUAAGUUAACUUUAGAUCUAUAAAAUCGAUUAAUUUAAAUCGAGAUAGUUUUUAUAUAGUAAGUAAAGAUUUGAAUUGGAUAAAAAGCUAAAUAAAGAGAUUUUUAAUAAUAUUGCCAACAAACUUUUUUCACUCUUAAAGAUUCUUUUUUAUAUUUAUAUGAAAAACACUAGGUUUUGUUUAUUAAAAGUAAGGAUGGAUCGUCUUUGACUGCGUGUACCUCUAAUCAGCAACAGAUAGAUAACGGCAACGAUUGAAAACCUUUAAUCUGUCUUCUAAUUUUUUCCCUAUUAGUAAUUGUUACAUAAUCAGAUUCGCUUUAUGUUGAAUAAUUAUUUUUUUAUUUUUUAAAUUUUUUUUAUUUUAUUUUUAAUAAUCUGAUUUUUUUUAAAUGUGAGAUUUGAAAUCUAUUAGUAUAUAUGCUCUAUGUUCUCAAGAAAAAAAUUGUGUUUUUUCAAUGUGUGAUGAAAAAUAUUUUGAUUUAAAUACUUCAAAUUAAAAAAAUAACAUAAUUUCGAUUCUGAGAUAUUUUGAAAGAGAGGAAACGUUAAUUGAAGUACAAACUCAAUGAUUGAUGUAAGAUUAUAUAACAACUCCAAUUUACAUAAACUUGAGAUUAUUUUUAAGUUUCAUUUCAAUGCAUGUCAAGCAGAUUAUGUUGUGCAUAGUUUUAUGUAGAAGGGUAGCUAGCUAACUUUAAAGUGCAUCUGUUGUUAAGAACGCUAUUUCUUGGUUCAGUUGUUUUGUUUUAUACAGGCUAAGUUAGUCUGCUUACAUCUGGUUGGUUUGUGAUCGCUUGCUGCACCCUUUCCCCUUUGGAAAAUGGAAGCAGAAACUUUCAGCAUUCGAUCGGGGGCCACAGAGGUUAGCUAGCUAACUUUAAUUCCGAUUCCGACAUGAUUAAAGUUAUGGAACAUGAUCCAUCAUCACUAGCCUCUCCUCAUUCAUGUGUUAGGUUGGAAUCCUUCAACUGUUUUUGCCACAGUUCUUCGACUAGAUUUUUGUAUCAUUCGUGGAUAUAUAGUAAAAAUUCGUUUUGAUGUUAAGAACAUCAUCGUAACAAAAACCUUAACUAUUAGGAAAAACACACAGCAAAUACAUGGACUUUACCAUGUCAUAAUUAAUUUGAGAUAAGGAAUAUGUAUGGACUUUACAAAUAGGUAUUAUCAUCUAGAAUACUAUAAUUCUUAUUAGCAAUUUUUUUGUACAUAUUCAAGGCUUUCUACCAGAAUUCUUAUUAGGAAAAACUUGUGUAGAUAUUCAAGGUAGUUGUGGUUUUAUUUCAAUGGACUCCACAUUUUUUUCUUAUAAACGUUUAACGGGUACAAAUUCUCAAAGUACUGUAGGUUUUGAGUCCUGAGUUCUAUUUCCAACCAUAGGUUUAACGGUUGUUUCAGUACCCCUAAGCACUAUUUUUAUUGCUAAUGCUAUUCUUCGUUAAAUUUUUAGGGAAUGGAAGUUGGAGUGGAUCAGAUAAUGACAUUGAUGGGGGAGAAGUGCGAUGAAUCAUUCCUAGCAUAGUACUUACAGCUCUUGAAGCUAAGCUUCAGGCUCUUACAUUUUCAGGUCAGCUUUUUCAGAGUUUCAACAAUGGGGUGGGUCCACGAGUUAAAGUGUUUGGCAUUAUUGUCAGAAAAUGUUUUUUUUUUAAAAUAAUUUUUAGCUUCUGAUUCUUUUGUUGAAGAUUUUAAUUAUAUGCAGCGCUAGACAAAAGAAAAGCAAAAUAGAGGUGUACAGCAACAACAUGUUGUAUCUUGUAAUAUAAUCUUUGGUAGGAAAGUUAUGGCUUUUUUCCUAGCAACUUCUUGUCAAACAAUAAAAGAAUCUUUGCUACUGUAACAUUCUCUUCCAAAUCUCAUCUCAUUAUACCAUUGAUUUCCAGUUUCCCUCAUCAAAUUUCUUAAACCUUUCUGAUGAUCAGUGCUUCCUUUUCUGAUUGAAUCGAAUCAUCUGGAGCUGAACAUCUUGCAACUUCCUUGUUAUUUUUAAACCAUAUACUCUUCUCUGAUCUUGUUUUUCUUUCUGAAUACUACUUAAGCAAACCAGCACCUGAAGAACUACUUGAAUCCAGGUAAAUUAUUUAUACUCCAUCUUCUUCAUUUUGUUUUUCACAUGUAACUCUGGUUUGAAUCUUUCAAGGAAAACACAAGUUGUAGAAAUUCUAAUGAGAAACUUUGGAGUUAGGAUCAUCAACAGUUUCCAAAAAUAAAUAAUUUGAUCUUUCUCAGUUGUAACAACCCAUGCCUUAAGGAGUUCAUACUAAAUUGACCCCAAGUUAACCUUGAAUUCAUUGUUUUUUCUUCUUGGUUUCUUUGCUGUUUGUAACUUAUUAUUUUAGUUUCAACCUUCCUUUUCCAAUUAAUGUACUUCCAUUAAUUUUUAUUCAAUAUUUUGACCCUUUUUAUCUAUAGGACAAAUGGAUCCGUUUUGGAAGGAAGUUGAAGAAAUGAAUGAUGGAAGCAUGAAGUGUAAGUUUUGUCGGCAUUUAUUUGCCAAAGGUACUUCCAUUUCGAGGAUCAAAUGGCAUUUAUCAGGAGAGAGAGGGCAUGGUGUUGGCAUUUGUGGUCAGGUGCCUGAAGAAGUUCAAGAAGCAGCCUUUCUAGCUAUGAAUGGUGGCAACAAAAGACAUAAAAGCAUAGCAAGUUCAAGCAAUGUUGACAUUUCCACCUGUCCACAAGAACAAGACAAUGCAGUACUUGGUAAUUUGGCACAAGGUGUUGGGCGUAAGAGAAUUCAUUGGCGUUUAGAAGCGGCAAAUGGCAUGGAAAACACUGGUGAAGGAUCUUUUCAGCAUGUUGACAGAAGUGUCUCUCCUUGGAGACUCAGAAUUGAUGCUUAUGAGAAUAGAGGAGAAGCAACACAAAGAACAGAUUUAGUGGAUCAAUUUGCUGAUAGUACUUGGGUUCAGAUACACUCUGCCUUUUCAAAGGAGCAGCAGCUGAAUGAAAUCUCUACCUAUUUAAUGCAGGAAGAUGAGGAUGUGGAGCGUCUGCAUGAUGCAUUUGAAACUGUACCGAGAACAGAACAAGUGCAGCAUCUGGAGAGAGGUAGCUCUUGUGAGAGGCCAUCAAUUAAUCAAGCUGAUGAGCCUCGAGGAGAUUCAUCCCAACCAACAGAUCCAUUGUGUCUUGAUCAUGGAAGAUAUUAUGACCACCUAUUUGCUCCAUCAGUAAACAAUGAUGUCAUUAUGAAUGAUGUGCAGAACAUGGUUAGAGUGAGGACAGAACCAGUGGAGGAGGAUGUGGAGAAUAGUCGAAGAUCAGUGCGGCCUGAAGCUGGAGCUAGAUCUUCUGAAAGUCUGAAAUACAACAAGACUAGAGGAGUUCCAUUACCUACUAGCUCUACAAAGCCAGUGGGUCAAGCAUUCGAAGAGAAUACGAAGGUGAUAUGGUCUUUGUUAAUAAAUGGGGAAGUCUCAACCAUUGGUAUUUAUGGGAUGGGGGGAGUUGGUAAAUCCACAAUACUACAACAUAUCUAUAAUGAUCUUCUACAAAGACCAGAUAUUUGUGAUCAUGUUUGGUGGGUGAUUGUGUCUCAAGAUUUCAACAUUAAAAGACUGCAGAAUCUUAUUGCUACAGAACUUCAUCUAGACCUUUCAACAGAAAAUGAUGAUCUACAUAGAGCUGCCAAAUUAUCAAAAGAACUAAGGAAGAAACAAAAAUGGAUUCUCAUUUUAGAUGAUUUGUGGGAUCAUUUUAAGCUACAUAAAGUGGGAAUUCCUAAAAAGUUGGAAGGAUGCAAGAUAAUUAUGACAACUCGAUCAGAAACAGUUUGUCAUGGAAUUGCUUGCGAUCACAAAAUCCAAGUGAAGCCACUUUCCGAGGGAGAAGCUUGGACUUUGUUCAAGGAGAAUCUUGGACGUAACAUAGCACUUUCAUCAGAAGUGGAAGGAAUUGCGAAAGAUAUUGCAAGGGAAUGUGAUGGUUUGCCAUUGGGAAUUAUUACAGUGGCAGGAAGCUUGAGGGGAGUGGAUGACCUCCAUCAGUGGAGGAAUACAUUGAAGAAAUUGAGAGAAUCAGAAUUUAAGGACAAGCAAGUAUUCAAGUUAUUGAGGUUUAGUUAUGAUCGGUUAGGUGAUGUAGCACUACAACAAUGUCUCUUGUACUGCGCAUUAUUUCCUGAAGAUUAUUGGAUUCGGAGGAAGGUGUCGAUAGGUCAUUUGAUCGAUGAGGGAAUAAUUGAAGGAACGAUGAGGAGGAAAGAUGCAUUUGAUGAGGGCCACACGAUGCUUAAUAAACUUGAAAAUGUCUGCCUAUUGGAAAGUUUUAAAAUAGAGUAUAAUGAUAGAAGUAUCGUCAAGAUGCAUGACUUGAUUAGAGACAUGGCCAUCCAAAUACUGCUAGAGAACUCUCAUGUCAUGGUUAAAGCUGGUGUGCAAUUAAAAGAGUUGCCAGAUGGAGAGGAGUGGACGGAGAAUCUCACAAGAGUCUCACUAAUGCAAAACCAGAUCGAAGAAAUUCCUUCCAGCCAGUCACCAAGGUGUCCCUAUCUAUCAACUCUAUUUCUAUGUAAUCAUUACGGGUUGAGAUUUAUUGCGGAUUCAUUUUUCAAGCAAUUGCAUGGGCUCAUGGUCCUUGAUCUGUCUCGCACAGGUAUUAAAAAUUUGUCAGACUCUGUCUCUAAUUCAGUGAGUCUCACUGCAUUAUUGCUCACUGAGUGUUACAACUCAAGACAUGUUCCAUCAUUAAAGAAUCUCAGGGAACUAAAGAGAUUGGAUCUCUUUUGCACUCCACUUGAAAAGAUGCCGCAAGGAAUGGAAUGCCUAACCAACCUAAGGUUUCUUAGAAUGAGUGGAUGUGGUGAAAAGAAGUUUCCUAGUGGAAUAUUACCAAAACUUUCUCACCUGCAAGUCUUUGUACUACAUGAAUUUUCAAUUGAUGCAAUAUAUGCUCCGAUAACAGUUAAAGGAAAUGAAGUAGGAUCUUUGAGAAAUUUGGAAAGUUUGGAAUGCCAUUUCGAAGGUUUCUCUGACUUCGUGGAGUAUCUCAGAUCUCGGGAUGGGAUUCAAUCAUUAAGCACAUAUAAAAUUUUAGUAGGAAUGGUGCAUGAAUCUUAUUGGGUAGACGUUAUUGAUGAUUAUCCAAGUAAAACAGUUGCGUUGGGUAAUUUGAGUAUCAACGGAGAUGGAGAUUUUCAGGUCAAGUUCUUAAAUGGCAUUCAAGGACUGGUUUGUAAAUGCAUCGAUGCAAGAAGUUUAUGUGAUGUUUUGUCAUUAGAGAAUGCAACUGAACUGGAGGAAAUCAACAUUCAGGAUUGCAAUAACAUAACAAUUAUUUUAAACCAAAUAAGAUACUAAUUCGGUAAAAUUUGAUCCAUCCAAUCAAACCUAGUUCAUAUUUGACCACAUUAAUUAAAAAAAUAAAAUGAUAUUAUUUUAAUAAAAAUAAUUAAUUUAAAUUAACUUAAUAAAUAAUUCAUAAGUUAUUAAAUAUCUGCUAUAUUAAAAAAUUAUCUUAAACCAAAAGAAUUAAGCAGACAUAACAAUGAUAUAAUGCUACUUAAUAAAUGUUUGAUGGCGUUCCUGGGGUUUUGAUGAGUCUAUGAAAGUGCAUUCAAAUGCUCUGUCAUUGGAAUAAAAUGCUAAAAUGUGAAUAGAAAUAACAGAAAUUAAAGGGCAUUUUUUAAUCGAGCUUCUAUUUAAUUUGAUAUACUAUCAAGCUUUUAUAUAUAUAUAUAUAUAAUUUUGAUCCUUAAAAGUUUUUUUUUUUUAAUCUAAAACUUUAUUUUCUUGACUUUUUAAACAGCAGCCUGGAUAAACUUAAAGUAAUGUUCUUUUUCUUAGAAACAGCCUAGAUACAUUUAAAGUAUUUUAAUCAUAACUUUCCACUCACAUAUCGGAUUGCUCUGAUUCUUGACGCGUUGGAAAGGUAUCGUAAAGGGCUACAACUUAGUCUCUAAUGAGGAUUUCAAAAAAGGAACUCCUAAAGCAUGUACGUGGCUGCCAAAAAAAGGUCCUAAAAUACCAAAUGUGUGCAAGGAUUCCCGACGCUCUACUGUUUGUAGAAUUCCAGUAGUGCUUUCUCCAUGAGUCACUCUGCUUUAUUUUAAUUUGCAUUUAAAAUUAAAUUUUAUUCUCUAUUAAAUCAUUUACUGAAGUUCGGAGCUUUAAAGUGUAUGCCAUAUUUGUACAAUUAUAUAACAAAUUAAUUUUCAUUGUCUCGACAUGAUAUUUUUCCUUGUUUCUAAUUCUUCACCUGCAUUUCCCACGCAAUAUUUUAUAAUUAUUAGGGGAAUAACCAGGGAUAUAUUAUUAGUUAUUUUCUAGAUUCAUUUAAAAAAACAAAUACAAAAAAAAUAUAAAAUUCAUGACUCAUAGAAAAUAAUAAGAAUAUUUUCAUCUUGAAUUUUUCUUUUUCUAGUUGUAUCUCUUUAUUUUUUUAAAAUAAAUAUAAAAAAUAAGUAAUAAAAUAUCAGUAAUUAAUCUAUAAACACUAUCAAAUUACUCUCGAAUUAUUUACCCUGGAAUUUGGAUGAUCUAUAAUUCAAAGCGGGCAUGCUGCAUUUCUUUGUUAGGGUUUUUGUCCUUUCUACUAAUUUAUCUAAAUAUAAGAUUUAGAAUCUUGAUGAAUGAAACUAGCAUUCUCUAUUUCUUGGGAUAGAAAGAACAGAAGUCUUAUUAAAAUUAAAAAAGAAAAAACUCCUCAGGCUUUUACCAUGUACCAGGAGAGAAAACACUAUAGAUUAAAAUAGUUUUUUAUCUCUUAUUUUUUUUAAUCACUAAUUAUUUUAUUUUUAAUUUUAUCAUUAUAGAUUAUGUUGAUAGCGAUUUGAAACUGAUAACUUGUUUUAAUUAACUUGUCAUGGAGUUCUCAGGGUUUUUUUUAAAAAAAGGCUUCAACAUUAAGUUAAGUUGACGUUUGACUUGACAAAAUUUUGUUUGUUUUAAUUCAUUAAAAAUAAUUGAAACUUUGAAAAUCAAAUAUGAUACUGAAACCAGAAAGUAGCCUAUGGAGUUUUCAGGGAAAACUAGUGUGUAGAUUAGAUACCAAAUCAUACUUUAUAGAUCGAGAGCUAAAAAAAUAAAUUUGUAGAAGGGAGUUGGAAAAAAAAUAAUUUCCAUGGUUAUGGAAAAGUGCGCGAUCAUGACAUGGUUUUUUUUUAUUAAUCGGGUUAGCUUACGUAGAGUAAAGCAUACAAAAGUAACAAAAAAAAAUAUUGUGCUUUUGUUAGCUUGAUAUGCUUUCGUCCUUGCUAUCAAUUUUAAUUUUUUUGGUUACUUUUGUAUGCUUUCCUCUGUUGCUAAUAUCCACCUCAGCAUGUAGCAUCACUCUGUUAUAUAAACACCAUGGGUAUAUUGGUAAAAUAGAAAAACAUUCACUAUAAUUUGUCUCACAAAAAUUUCAUGGUUAAGUAUAAUCACUCUGAUCUAAUAUACACACUCAUAUAUCUUAUAAUAUAAUGUUUGGUAGGUAAGCGGUGGGUUGCUUCCUGGCAACUUCCUUCCUAUCAGACAAUACGUUAAUUGAUUAUUAUUGAGCUGCCCUUACUAAUAAAUAGUAUUAUUUAAGGGAGCUAGCGGCUGUACUGUAACAUUCUCUUCCACAUCUCAUCUCAUUAUACAAUUCCCUAUUUUCCUCUCCCCAUCUCAUGAUCAGUGCGAACUAGAUUUAUGUAUGCUGCAACUUUAUUAUCUUUCUAAACCAUAUAUUCUUCUCUGAUCUGUGAUUUCUCUUCCUUUUCUUUUGGCUGAUCACUGCUUAAGCAAACCAGCUAGCACUUGAAGAACAUCUUGAAUCCAGGUAAAUUAUUUGUACUUCAUCUUGUCUGAAUCUUUAAAGUAAUCCAUGAUAAAUUAAUCGAUCUUUUUCUCGGAUUUCAUAAUCCAUGCCCUGUGGUGUUCAUACUAAACUAACCCUAAACCUUGAAUUCAUUGUUUUUGUCUUUUCAAGAUUCUUUGCUGUUUUUAACUCCUUAUUUAUGGGAUUUCUUUUCCAAUACUAGAUUUUGUAAUCCAAUAUUUUUCUGACAUAAUGAUUCAAUGAAAUUGUUUUUUACUGAUUCAUGAAUUAACUUGAUCAGUAUUAAUUAACUUAAAACAAGUGACAAAUAAUUUAGCAUUAAAACAAAGAAUUAAAUAAUUAACAGCAACAUUUAUAUUUCCUAUUUUUCAUCCGAAUUUCUUUAACAAAUAAAUAAGUCAUAUAUAUAUAUAUAUAUAUUCUUAUCUAAUCUGUGCUUUCUGUUCUUUUUUAAACCUCAGAUGGAAGGAGUCCCACCGUCUUUUAAUGAGGAUGAUGUCAACUUGACAUCGAAUCAGUUCGAUUUUCAAUCACCAGAAGAUUCAUUCAAUAUUUCUGAGUUUCUCUCGUACGUCAUUCUUAAGCAUAUUUUAUCAGAAGAUGAUUACUUGCAAUUUAGUUAUUCUACAGUUUUUCUUAUUAUUCCCAUAAAAGAAUAAUGUUCCUAAUAACAAAUUAAGCAGGUCGCCACCGGAGGUUCCAGGCAACCAAAGCUUCAUGUUAUGCAAUGAUCAUGCUGGUCAGAACAUGGUGGUGGAUAACAAUGUGAUCAACGAUAGUAUUCAACAAACAACUGAUCAGUUUCCACCUUCAUUUCCUCAAACCAUGGUGAGUGCUCAUGCCUACUCCAAUUUGCUACAAUGUCCAUUGAAUUAGCAAGUGUUUGUAUCACCCAUUGGAUCAAAAAGUUUUAUGUUUUCGUGUAUCAAUUUAUCUCGAGCAUCUUCAAAAUGUUUAUUGUUAAACAAACAGACAACAAUGGGAGAUUUAGAUGGAACAUCAUCGUCAUGGAUCAACCAAAAUGAACCAAAUUGGCCUCAAGCUCCACCAAGGUACAUAAUAUUCAUCAUUAUUUAACUUCUUCUUCUUCUUGUUCACACUAAAUGAAUUCAUUAUGUUUGAAUAUAGGUAUCUGCCUAAUUUAUUUGAUCCUCAAUGUGCCAAUCAUUUGAGGUAAGCUAAAAUGAUAUCAAAUGCUUAGUGGAUUAAUAGCAAAGAAUUAUGCAUAUGUAUGAAGAAAUCACUAACAAAUGUUGCUUAUUUAGGGACCAACAAAGGACUAAUUAUCAGUUACCAAUGAGCAAUCAAGUGCCUGCGAUGCUACCUGGACCUCAACCUCCAAUGAAUCAAUGGUACUAACCUCGAAUAUACACUUUUUUAAUCAUGAAAACAAUGAACUUGACCAAAAUUGAGCUCUCUGUCUCUCUAGAAAAUCAACCAAGUGAUUUAACUAUUUGAAUAUUUUUCAGGCAUCAGAACUCUAUUAAUCAACCUCAGCCGGGACAUGACUAUAUGACACUGAACACAUCCACUUCACAACAUGGUGGCUUCAAUCAACAUGGACCUUCCUUUCCUCCUCCCUGGUAUCCAAUUUUUCAUUUUUAGUAUUUUCUGUAAAAAAAAUUAGUUUUUCAAUCAGGAAAGUAACAUCAUAGCUUGAACAUGAACCCAGCAAGAUAAUCGUAAGUUUGUUUACGAAUGAUUUUGGAUUCAGGAUUCGAACUUUUUCUAAUGAAGGACAAGUACAUCAAGCUGCUGUAAUUCCUAACAUAGACAAUGUGCAACAAGAGAACUUCGUGCCUAGGUACUGACUGACUUCUAGCUGUUGAUUUUUAUUGCUUAAGAGAGACUACCAAUUAUAUCACUUCAUUUUUAUAUAGGUCACAGAUGGAUAACCUACAAGUCCGAGGAUUGCAAAAUCAAAUUGCUAGGCCAAAUGCCUCAAAUACUCAACAAGUAAGAAGUCUAACUGAAUUAUCGUCGUCUUUUCCCCCUAUGAUUGUGCAACAAACAAACUAUCAAUUUUAAUAGCAAAAUAAGGGUAACUUCCAUCAAUUUUUAUUCUUUAUUUUGACCCCGGUUUUUUUUCUAUAGGUCGAAACGGUUGGAUCAAAGUAUCCAUUUCGGAUUCAUGUUGAAUAUAGGGCUGAUGGUAGCAUGAAGUGUAAGUUUUGUCAACGUACAUGGGCCAAUAAAACUUCCAUUUCAAGGUUCAAAUGGCAUUUAUCAGGAGAGGAAGGGCGUGGUGUUGCCAUUUGUCGUGGGGUGACUAAAGAAGUUAAAGAAGCAGCCUUUCUAGCUAUAUGUGGUGGCCACAAAAGACAAAAAAUCACAGCAAGUUCAGUCAAUGUUAAUGACUGUGGAAUUCCAACAUGUCUACAAGAACUAAACAUUGAGAAUGAAAAUACGGGAGGGGGUGUUGGAAGGGUACAAAGAGAAGUUCAGGUUGUAGAACCCGGAGUGGUGGAAGAGAGGAUUUCUUCACAUGCAAUAGCAGGAAACGACGUAGGAAGCAUGACCGGAAUGAGAGCACAAGAAGAUAGGGUUUCCGAAGGGGCGCUCGAGAGCAGACUGAGGACAGAACCAGUGGAUCGAUCGUUGGAACAAAGCAAUGCAGUACUUGGCAAUGUGGCAGGGGGAGCUAGAAGGAUACAAGUGGGAGUUCAGGGCAUGGAACAAGAUCCAGGAGAAGAGAGAAUUCAGUCGCAUCUACAAGCGGAAAAUGGCAUGGAAAACACUGGUGAAGGAUCUUUUCAGCAUGAUGCAUUUGAGACUGUACCAAGAACAGAGAAAGUGCAGACUCUGGAGCCUGGAGGAGAUUCAUCCCAAUUUUGUCAUGGCAUUGGAAGAUGUUAUGAUCAACCUUGUGCUCCAUCAGUAAACAAUGAUGUAACUAGUCAUGAUGAGCAGCAUAUGGUUAGAGUGAUGACACAACCAGUGCAGGAAGAGGAGGAUGUGGAGAAUAGUGGAAGAUCAGUAGUGCAGGCUGGCGCAGGAGCUAGAUCUUCUGAAAGUCUGAAGUACAACAAGACUAGAGGAGUUCCAUUACCUACUAGCUCUACAAAGCCAGUGGGUCAAGCAUUUGAAGAGAACACGAAGGUGAUAUGGUCUUUGUUAAUGGAUGAUGAAGUCCCAACCAUUGGUAUUUAUGGGAUGGGGGGAGUUGGUAAAACAAUAAUACUGAAACAUAUCCAUAAUGAGCUUCUACAAAGACCAGAUAUUUAUGAUCAUGUUUGGUGGGUGACUGUGUCUCAAGAUUUCAACAUUAAUAGAUUGCAGAAUCUUAUUGCUACACAACUUCAUCUAAACCUUUCAAGAGAAGAUGAUGAUCUGCAUAGAGCUGCCAAAUUGUCAGAAGAACUAAAGAGAGAACAAAAAUGGAUUCUUAUUUUAGAUGAUUUGUGGAACAAUUUUGAGCUUGAGGAAGUGGGAAUUCCUGAGAAGUUGAAAGGAUGCAAGCUGAUUAUGACAACUCGAUCAAAAACAGUAUGUCAUCAGAUGGCUUGCCACCGCAAAAUCAAGGUGAAACCACUUUCUGAGGGAGAAGCUUGGACUUUGUUCAUGGAGAAACUUGGAUGUGGCAUAGCACUUUCACGAGAAGUGGAAGGAAUUGCGAAAGUUGUAGCAAAGGAAUGUGCUGGUUUGCCAUUGGGAAUUAUUACAAUGGCAGGAAGCUUGAGGGGAGUGGAUGACCUUCAUGAGUGGAGGAAUACAUUGAAGAAAUUGAGAGAAUCAGAAUUUAGGGACAUGGAUGAGAAGGUAUUCAAGUUAUUGAGGCUUAGUUAUGAUCGGUUAGGUAAUUUAGCACUACAACAAUGUCUCUUGUACUGUGCAUUAUUUCCUGAAGAUUAUAGAAUUAAGAGGAAGAGGUUGAUAGGUUAUUUGAUUGAUGAGGGAAUAAUUAAAAGGAGGAGCAGGGGAGAUGCAUUUGAUAAGGGCCACACGAUGCUUAAUAGACUUGAAAAUGUCUGUCUAUUGGAAAGUGCUAAAAUGAAUUAUGAUGAUAGUAGACGUGUCAAGAUGCAUGACAUGUAUUAUGAUGAUUGUAGACGUGUCAAGAUGCAUGACUUGAUUAGGGACAUGGCCAUCCAAAUACUGCUAGAGAACUCUCAAGGCAUGGUCAAAGCAGGUGCACAAUUAAAAGAGUUGCCAGAUGCAGAGGAGUGGACGGAGAAUCUGACGAUGGUUUCACUAAUGAGAAACGAGAUCGAAGAAAUUCCUUCCAGCUAUUCACCUAGGUGUCCCUAUCUAUCAACUCUAUUUCUAUGUGAUAAUGAAGGGUUGGGAUUUAUUGCGGAUUCAUUUUUCAAGCAAUUGCAUGGGCUCAAGGUCCUCGAUUUGUCUGGGACAGGUAUUGAAAAUUUGCCAGACUCUGUCUCUGAUUUGGUGAGUCUCACUGCAUUAUUGCUCAAAAAGUGUGAGAACUUACGUCAUGUUCCAUCAUUAGAGAAGCUCAGGGCACUGAAGAGGUUGGAUCUCUAUGGGACUCCGCUUAAAAAGAUGCCGCAAGGAAUGGAAUGCCUAACCAACCUGAGGUAUCUUAGAAUGAAUGGAUGUGGUGAAAAGGAGUUUCCUAGUGGGAUAUUACCAAAACUCUCUCACCUGCAAGUCUUUGUACUAGAAGAGUUAAUGGGGGAAUGUUCUGAUUAUGCUCCGAUAACAGUUAAAGGAAAGGAAGUAGGAUCCUUGAGAAAUUUGGAAAGUUUGGAAUGCCAUUUCAAAGGUUUCUCUGACUUCGUGGAGUAUCUCAGAUCUCGGGAUGGGAUCCAAUCAUUAAGCACAUACAGAAUUUCAGUAGGAAUGCUGGAUGAAAGUUAUUGGUUUGGCACUGAUUUUCUAAGUAAAACAGUUGGGUUGGGUAAUUUGAGUAUCAACGGAGAUGGAGAUUUUCAGGUCAAGUUCUUAAAUGGCAUUCAAGGACUGGUUUGUGAAUGCAUCGACGCAAAAAGUUUAUGUGAUGUUUUGUCAUUAGAGAAUGCAACUGAACUUGAGCUCAUCAACAUUCGGAAUUGCAAUAGCAUGGAGAGCUUGGUUUCAUCUUCUUGGUUCUGCUAUGCUCCACCACGAUUGCCAUCAUAUAAUGGUACGUUUUCUGGUCUUAAAGAGUUUUAUUGUGUUAGAUGUAAAAGUAUGAAGAAGUUGUUCCCACUUGUGUUGCUGCCAAACUUCGUAAACCUGGAAGUGAUUGUUGUUGAGGAUUGUGAGAAAAUGGAGGAGAUAAUAGGAACAACAGAUGAAGAAAGCAACACCUCCAGUUCCAUCGCCGAAUUAAAACUCCCAAAGUUAAGAGCUCUGAGACUGAGAUAUUUACCAGAAUUGAAAAGCAUUUGUAGUGCAAAACUGAUUUGCAAUUCUCUUGAAGAUAUUACUGUAAUGUAUUGUGAGAAGCUGAAGAGGAUGCCGAUUUGUCUUCCGUUGCUUGAAAAUGGCCAGCCAUCCCCUCCCCCUUCUCUUAAAAAAAUCGAAGCAAGGCCAAAAGAAUGGUGGGAGACAGUAGUGGAGUGGGAGCAUCCUAAUGCAAAGGAUGUCCUUCGUCCCUUUGUAAAGUUUGGAUACUGGUAAUCCUUCCGUUGUAAGAAUACUAAUUGAUUGUAACCUUAAAUUACAUAAAUAACAUUUUUCAUUUUUUUAUUUCAUUAAAGACUACUGAAUUGUCAUAUUUUUUUAACUCGAUAGAUAAACAAUUAUAAUUUGAAGUUUGAUUAAUAUUAUAUUUUCAUCCUAUUGAGGUUCUCCAAGAUGAAAAUCCAAAAAAUAAAAAAAUACUACAUUGAUUUAUCAUAAAAGUAACCUAAUAAAAUAAUAGAUGUUUUGAAAGAGGGGGUAUAGCGUUUAUUGUACUCCAAACUCAUUGACUGAUGUACCUCUUAAAUAAAAGCACACCAUAUACUGUCAAUAAAAAUAGAAAUAUGAAUAAAAGUUUAUCAUGAUAAGUAUAUAUUCAAAAAAAUUAUAUUAAAAGUCAUAAAUAUUCCAUCUUAAUUAAGCAAACUUGAUAAAUCUAAUUACACAAAUCUCUGACUUAUAAUACAUAUAAAAGUUUGUGAAGAUUGAACUCCUGCUCUUAAUUUUUGAAUUAUUCUAUAUUAAAAUAUAUUAUUUUAAUGUAUUUUUAAAUAAAAAAAUAUUAAAAAUAACAACAAUUACAUUCCUUUCCGCACGGUCAAAAUUACUCUAAAAAUAAUUUUUUAAAAAUAAAAAAUAUAAUUUUAAAAAUUAACAAUAUAUAUUUUUUGUAUGGCCAUAAAAAAAAUCAAAGUUACCUCCAAAUCAAACAUUAUUUUAAUAUAUUUUUGAAUAAAAAAUAUUUUAAAAAACAAUUACAACCACACUAUCUAACAUGCUUGUUUUCUUUCCGCAUCUAACCAGUGCGAACUAGAUUUAUGUAUACUGCAACUUUAUUAUUUUUCUAAGCCAUAUAUUCUUCUCUGAUCUGUGAUUUCUCUUCUUCUUUUUUUGUUCGUUCUUGGGAUAGAAAGAACAGAAUUAUUAUUAAAAUUAAAAAAGAAAAAACUGCCCAGGCUUUUACCAUGUACCGGGAGAGAAAACACUAGAGAUUAAAGUAGUCAUAAAUAUUCCAUCUUAAUUAAGCAAACUUGAUAAAUCUAAUUACACAAAUCUGACUUAAUACAUACUUAAUACAUAUUAAAGUUUGUGAAGAUUGAAUACCUAGUCUUUAUUUUUUAGUUAUUCUAUAUUAAAAUAUAUUAUUUUAAUAUAUACUUUAAAAUUUUUUAAAAUAACAACAAUCACAUUCACUUCCGCACUGUCAAAAUCAUUCUAAAAGUAGUAAAAGUAGUAAUGUUCUUUAAAAAAUCAUUGUUUAUGGAUUCAGUAAUGUUUUUUCUAUUAAAUGGAUUAAUUGUUUGAUUAUAUUUAGAUCAUUUAUUUAUCUGUAUUGAUUUAAUUUUUUUACUAUAAUAUUGAUUUAAUAAAAAGAACUCCUACAACAGCACGUAGCUGCCAAAAAAAUCCUAAAAUUGACUCAAUUAGAAAGGUACUUACUACCAAGAUUGUUAUGCCCGCAAUCAAAACAUAAUUUGUUUUUGUACUCAGAAUUAUGUUUGAGUGCAUUUAAAAAUUUGUUUAUUUAAAGAAAUAUAUUAAAUUAAUAUUUUUAAUAUUUUUUAAUAUAUUAAUAUUAAAAUAAAAAAAUAUUUUAAAGAGAAAAAAAUAUAUUUGACAAAGAAUGAAUAGAAAGCUUACGAAUAGUUAAGAGUCGUAUUGUAAAGUAUAGUUUACCGGUUGACUCACAGAUUAACUGAUUAACCCCAUCAUAUUAUUUAUUUAUAAAAACUAAAAUAAUAAUGUUUUUUUUAAUAUUAUCUUUUUAAAUAUUUUUAUUUUAAAAAAGUUUCACGUUGUAUAUAAAAAAAAUGUUUUAAUUUAGCAACGAUAGAGCAUUCACAAGGAAGAUGUUUUGCCUUUUUUUUCUUUAAUUUGUUUUUGUUUAUUUGAUUAUUGGCUGGUUUAGAAUUCAGCUAAGACAUCUAAUAAAAUAUUUUUAUUCUUAGAAAUUUUGUGAAAAACAAUCAAAAAACUAAUUUAAUUAGGGAUUAAUUGAGUAAUUAAUUACCUUUACCUUACAGAGGAUUUUUUCUUUAAUUUUUUAAAAAUAAUAAUUAAAUAUUAUUUUGAUGUAUUGUUAAAUAAAAAAUAUUUUAAAAAAUAAUUGAUAUUGUACUCUUAAACACCCCUAAAUGCUCUAUUAUUGAAAUCAAAUGCUAAAAUGUGAAUAGAAAUAAUAGAAAUUAAUGUGUAUUUUUUAAUUGAAUUUCUAUUUACUUUGAUAUACUCUUGAACAGGUCUUUAUGUUUGAUUUCAGAGUUUAUAGAGACGUGAAAUUCACUUGAAACCAGCCUGGAUACAUUUAAGUAUUUUACUCACAACUUUCUACUCACAUAUCAGAUUCCUGUGAUUCUUGACGCGUUGGAAAGGUAUCUUACAGGGCUACAAAUUAGUCUCUAAUGAGGAUUUCGAAAGAAGAACUCCUAAAGCAUGUACGUGGCUGCCUAAGAAGUCCUAUAAUUUUGGUUUUUGAUGAAAACGUGUGGGAUCAUGGAGACGUGAUGAAAAAGGAGGGCUGCUUCCUUUAGAAAAAGGGGUAUUUGUUGGCCAUUGCGCCAGAGAAAAAAAAAAGAAAAAAAAAGGAGGAGAACAGGCAAGGAAAGGAAUGGCUAAUUAAUACAGUGAAGGAUAGCCAAAUUGUUCAGAUUUCCAAUUAUUCCAACUCUUUUGUUUUAUCAUUCUCAAAGUCCAAACAACAACGGUACUGUCAAGACUGUUAUGCCCGCAAUUAAAAUAUAAUUUGUUUUUGUACUUAGAAUUAUAUUUAAUUGCAUUUAAAAUAUAAUUUUUAUUUUUUAAAAAAUAUUAAAUUAAUAUUUUUUAUAUAUUAAUAUUAAAAAUAAAAAAAUAUUUUGAUUACUAAUAACGAAUAGUUAAGAGACGUACUAGUGGACUCACAUAUUAACUGAUUAACCUGAGUAAAAAACAAAACCACAUCAUAUUAUUUAUUUAUAAAAACUAAAACGAUGGUAUUUAUUAAAAAAAAACCAAAAAAACAAUUUUUUUAAAUAGUAUUUUUUUAAAAUAUUUUUAUUUUAAAAAAGUUUCACAUAAUUGUAGAUAAAAAAAGAAAAUGUUUUAAUUUAGCAACUAUAGAGCAUCCACAAGGAAGAUAUUAUACGGUUACUAAUUUUCAUUAAAAGAAAAGCUAAGAGACUUGGGAGAAUCACUAUAUAUCCACACCUAUUUCAUUGUAAAUUAUAAUAGUACGUAAUUCAAGGUAUUUGUCUUUUUUUUAAUUAGAGGCUGUUUAUAAUUCAGCUUUGUAAUUUAUUAAUUUUUAUUUUAUCUUUAUAUAAGAUUAAUGUGAUUUAUAGGUUUGUUAAAAUAACUCAAAUUAUACUAGUUUUCAGGUUUGGUGGGAUAUUUUUUGUUUAUUAAUUAAAAGAAAAACUAAAAGGUGUGGGAGAAUUACUAUUCACCCACACCCAUUUCAUUAUAGAUUACAAUAGUAAUCCAAAAUGUUUUGUUUCUUUUGUUUUUUUUCCUUUCCUUUCCUUUUUUUGUUAUCAUUUAAAAAAAAAAAUUUGUCUAUUUCAUAUUUGGGCCAAAUUAGCAUUUAUAUAUAUAUAUAUAUAUUGGGUUGGUGUUUAAUUUUAUAAUUAUCUAUUUUUGUUGUUAUAUUGUUAAAUAAAAAUAAUUUUAAAAAAAAUUAUAAUCCUAGUUGAGUUCAUAACCUGGUUCAUGAGUUUGAUGUGCCAGACCAAGUGACCUGAUUCACAAAUUUGACAGGUUUACCACUGAUCAAAUAUGUUUACCACAAAUUUGUUUCUGGUCUUUUAAUUUUUUUAAUUGAUUUUUUUUAUUUCGUCCUUUAAUAUUAUAUUGGUUUCGAAAUAGACUGCAUGAUUUAUUUUUGUUUGUUUUCUAUAGAAUUAUCACAAUCUUAAAUAAAUAUUUAUCUUAGGGAUAAUACUCAAUUUUAUGAGCAUAUUUUUUUUCAUAUAAUUAAAUAAAAAAAGCUUAUAAAAGAUUACUAAACCCAAUAAAAUCCAUGAUCCGGGUCACAAGGUACCGAGAUCGAUCAAAUCUGUUAUUGUUUCAAUAUUUUUAAAAAAGAUUGUUGUCUAGAGUUUUUUUCUUAAAGCUAAGCCAUGUUUUACUCAUCGUUAUAUUUGGAUAUUGAUCAAUUUAGUUUUCAUAUAAUUUAAUUAAAAAUUUAAAUUAAAUAAAUUAAGGUUAAAAUUUUUUAAUAUUAACUACCAAGACCAGACCAGGUUUAAUAAUAUCGCAAACAAACUUUCUUCACUCUUAAUAUCUUAUAAUAUAAUGUUUGGUAGGCAAAGUAGUGGGUUGCUUCCUAGCAACUUCCUUCCUAUCAAACAAAACAAUAAUUUGUGUAUACUGCAACUUUAUUAUUUUUCUGAAUCAUAUAAUCUUCUCUGUCUGUGAUUUCUCUUCUGUUUUAAUCCUCAGGACGUACUAAUCAUCUUCUACCUCUUUUCCUUUCCACACCUCACCAGUGCGAACUAGAUUUAUGUGAUUUCUCCUCUUUUUUUUUGGCUGAAUACUGCUCAAGCGAACCAGCACUUGAAUCCAGGUAAAUUAUUUGUACUUCAUCUUGUUGGUGUUUUUGUUUGUAUAUAUUUAACUAUAUAUGGUUUGAAUCUUUAAAGGAAUCCAUGAUAAAUAAAUUGAUCUUUUUCUCGGAUUUUAUAAUCCAUGCCUAGUGGAGAGUUCAUACUAAAUUAAUACUGAAUUCAUUGUUUUCGUCUUUUCAAGAUUCUUCGCUGUUUUUAACUCCUUAUUUUAGAUUCACCCUUUUCUUUUCCAAUUAAUGGGACUGCCAUUUAUUUUUAUUCAAUAUUUUUCAACUUUUUUUCUUACAAUGAUUCAAUGAAUUAACUUGAUCAGUAAUUACCUGAAUCUUUUUGAACAAAACAAUAUCUUGCAUUUGUUUUGCUCCCCAAAUUAUGAAUAAAUAGCAGUUGAAACUUGAAAGAGGUUUUUGUUCACCCCGUCAAAACAAUCAGCUCUUCUACCUUCCUUCCCCUGCUUUCUUCAACAGUUAUCCUCUUCUGCAUCUUUCUAUCUAACAUUCUAGAGUUUUAGGAUCUCGUGUCAUAAAAAGAAUUUGAGUAUGAUAAUUUAGCUUUAAAUUCAAAGGGUUAAAUCAUUAACAACAACAUUUAUAUUUCAUAUUUUUCAUCCGAAUUUCUUUAACAAACAAGAAAGUCAUUCAUACAUAUAUAUAUAUAUAUAUAUAUAUAUAUAUAUAUUCUUUUCUGAUCUGUGCUUUCUGUUCUUUUUAAACCUCAGUUCUUUUUCUCUUUUCUGAUCUUUUCUGGUCAGAUGGAAGGGUUCCAACCAUCUUUUAUGGAGGAGGUUGACAACAUGACAUGGGAUCAGCUGGGUUUUCAAUCAGAAGAAGAUACAAGAUACAUUCAAUAUGUCUGAGCUUCUCUCGUACGUCAUUCUUGAGCAUAUUUUAUCAGAAGAUGAUUGCUUGCAAUUUAGUUAUUCUUCAGUUUAUCCUAUUAUUCCCAAAAAAACAAUAUAAUGUCGUCAGUACUGUCCAUGGAAGCAGGCCGCCACCGGAGGUUCCGGUCAACCAAAGCUCCAUAUCAUGCAAUGAUCAAGGUGGACAGAACAAUGUGAUCAACGAUAGUAUUCAACAAACAACUCCGUUUCCAACUUCAUUUCCUGAAACCAUGGCGAGUACUCCAAUUUGCUACAAUGUCCAUUGAAUUAGCAAGUGUUUGUAUUAUACAAAAAGUUUUAUGUUUAGUGUAUCGAUCUCGAGCAUCUUCAAAUUGUUUACUGUUAAACAAACAGACAACAAUUGGGAGAUUUAGACAUUUUUUAUGAUAUUUUUUUUAUCAUUAAGUUUUAUAUAAAAUUGGCCUCAGACUCCAUCAAGGCAUCAUAAUUCCUUUAUUCAUCAACCUCAGCCGGGACAUGGCUAUAUGACACCGAACGCAACCACUUCACAACAUGGUGGUUUCAAUCAACCUGGACCUUCUUUUUCCUGCUACCCGGUAUCCAAUUUUUCAUUUUUAGUAUUUUCUGUUAAAAAAAGAAGUUUUUCAAUCAUUAUUUAACUUCUUCUUUUCUUCCUCUUGUUGUUGUACUUAUCAGUGAAUUCAUUAUGUUUGAAUAUAGGUAUCACCGUAUCAGCUUAAUCCUAAUUUAUUUUAUCCUCAACGUGCCAGUCCCAUGCUACCCGCAUCAUCAAUGCCUUUGAGGUAAGCUAAAAUGAUAUCAAAUGCUUAGUGGAUUAAUAGCAAAGAAUUAUGCAUAUGUACAAAGAAAUCACUAACAAAUGUUGCUAAUUUAGGGACCAAUAAUGGACUAAUUAUCUGUUACCAAUGAGCAAUCAAGUGCCUGCGAUGCUACCUGGACCUCAACCUCCAAUGAAUCAAUGAUAUUAACCUCGAAUAUAUAUACACUUUUUUAAUCAUGAAAACAAUAAACUUGACCAAAAUUGACGAGGAUCUUUCGAGUCUUUUUGAGCUCUCUAUCUCUAUUUUUUUUUGUGCACAUAAUGGAACUAGAAAAUCAACCAAGUUAGAAUAACAGUUCUAAGUUUAGCUAUUUGAAUAUUAUUCAGGCAUCAGUACUCCAAUAUUCAUCAACCACAGCCGGGACAUGGCUAUAUGACACCGAACGCAACCACUUCAGAACAUGGUGGCUUCAUUUAACCUGGACCUUCUUUUCCUGCUCCCCGGUAUCCAAUUUUUCAUGUUUAGUAUAUAUUUUCUAUAUAAAAAAAAUUAGUUUUUCAAUCAGGAAAGAAACAUCAUGGCUAAACAUAUUGUUUGCAAAUGAUUUUGGAUACAGGAGUCAAUAUUUUUCUAAUCAAGGACAAGUCGAUCAAGCUGCUGUAAUUCCUAACUUAGACACUGUGCAACAAGAGAACUUCGUGCCUAGGUACUGAUUGACUUCUAGCUGUUGUGUUUUAACACCAUUAACUUUUACUGCUUAAGAGAGACUACCAAUUAUGGAAAGGUUUUAUAAUAUGAUCACUUCAUUUGUAUAUAGGUCACAGAUGGAUAACCUCCAAGUCCGCGGAUUGCAAAAUCAAAUUGCUAGGCCAAAUGCCUCAAAUUAAUCCUGGCCCUGACACCUCCUUGCAAAGUCAAAUUACGGGCUUAAAUACUCAACAAGUAAGAAGUCUAACUGAAUUAUCGUCGUCUUUUCCCCCUAUGAUUGUGCAAUAAACAAACUAUCAAUUUUAAUAGCAAAAUAAGGGUAACUUCCAUCAAUUUUUAUUCUUUAUUUUGACCCCGGUUUUUUUUUCUAUAGUUCGAAACGGUUGGAUCAAAGUAUCCAUUUCGGAUUCAUGUUGAAUAUAGGGCUGAUGGUAGGAUGAAGUGUAAGUUUUGUCCACAUACAUAUGCCAAGGAUACUUCCAUUUCGAGGAUCAAAUGGCAUUUAUCAAAAGAGAGAGGGCAUAAUGUUGCCAUUUGUCCUGGGGUGACUACAGAAGUUCAAGAAGCAGCCUUUCUAGCUAUAUGUGGUGGCCACAAAAGACAAAAAAUCACAGCAAGUGCAGUCAAUGUUAAUGACUGUGGAAUUUCAACUUGUCUACAAGAACUAAACAUUGAGAAUGAAAAUACGGGAGGAGGUAUUGGAAGGGUACAAAGAGAAGUUCAGGUUGUAGAACCCGGAGUAGUGGAAGAGAGGAUUUCUUCACAUGCAAUAGCAGGAAACGACGUAGUAAGCAUGACCGGAAUGAGAGCACAAGAAGAUAGAGUUUCCGAAGGGGCACUCGAGAGCAGACUGAGGACAGAACCAGUGGAUCAAGCGUUGGAACAAAGCAAUGCAGUACUUGGCAAUAUGGCAGGGGGUGCUGGAAGGAUACAUGUGGGAGUUCAGGGCAUGGAACAAGGUCCAGGAGAAAAUAGAAUUCAGUCGCAUCUACAAGCGGAAAAUGGCAUGGAAAACACUGGUGAAGGAUCUUUUCAGCAUGAUGCAUUUGAGAAUGUACUUAGAACAGAGCAAGUGCAGCUUCUGGAGCCUCAAGGAGAUUCAUCCCAAUUUUGUCUUGACAUUGGAAGAUGUGAUGAUCAAACUUGUGCUCCAUAAGUAAACGAUGAUGUAAAUAGGCAUGAUGCGCUGGACAUGGUUAGAGUGAGGACAGAACCAGUGGAGGAUGAUGAUGUGGAGAAUAGUGGAAGAUCAGUAGUGCAGGCUGGCGCAGGAGCUAGAUCUUCUGAAAGUCUGAAAUACAACAAGACUAGAGGAGUUCCAUUACCUACUAGCUCAACAAAGCCAGUGGGUCGAGCAUUCGAAGAGAAUACAAAGGUGAUAUGGUCUUUGUUAAUGAAUGGGAAAGUCUCAACUAUUGGCAUUUAUGGGAUGGGGGGAGUUGGUAAAUCCAUAAUACUGCAAUAUAUUUAUAAUGAGCUUCUACAAAGACAAGAUAUUUGUGAUCAUGUUUGGUGGGUGAUUGUGUCUCGUGAUUUCAGCAUUAAUAGAUUGUAGAAUCUUAUUGCUAAACAUCUUGAUCUAAACCUUUCAAGCGAAGAUGAUGAUCUGUAUAGAGCUGCUAAAUUGUCAGAAGAACUAAGGAAGAAACAAAAAUAGAUUCUCAUUUUAGAUGAUUUGUGGAACAAUUUUGAGCUUGAGGAAGUGGGAAUUCCUGAGAAGUUGAAAGGAUGCAAGCUGAUUAUAACAACUCGAUCAAAAACGAUUUGUCAUCGGAUGGCUUGCCACCCCAAAAUCAAAGUGAAGCCACUUUUCGAGGGAGAGGCUUGGACUUUGUUCAUGGAGAAACUUGGACGUGAUGUAGCACUUUCACCAGAAAUGGAAGGAAUUGCGAAAGCUGUUGCAAGGGAAUGUGCUGGUUUACCACUGGGAAUUAUUAUAGUGGCAGGAAGCUUGAGGGGAGUGGAUGAUCUACAUGAGUGGAGAAAUACAUUGAAGAAAUUGAGAGAAUCAGAAUUUAGGGACAUGGAUGAGAAGGUAUUCAAGUUAUUGAGGUUUAGUUAUGAUCGGUUAGGUUAUUUAGCACUACAACAAUGUCUCUUGUACUGUGCAUUAUUUCCUGAAGAUGAUAUGAUUGAAAGGGAGGAGUUGAUAGGUUAUUUGAUCGAUGAGGGAAUAAUUAAAGGAAAGAGGAGCAAGGGAGAUGCAUUUGACGAGGGCCACACAAUGCUUAAUAGACUUGAAAAUGUCUGUUUAUUGGAAAGUGCAAAAAUGGAGUAUGUUGCUAGGAGAUUUGUCAAGAUGCAUGACUUGAUUAGGGACAUGGCCAUCCAUGUACUGCUGGAGAGCCCUCAAUACAUGGUUAAAGUAGGUGCGCAAUUAAAAGAGUUGCCAGAUGUAGAGGAGUGGACGGAGAAUCUGACGAUAGUUUCAUUAAUGCAAAACGAGAUCGAAGAAAUUCCUUCUAGCUAUUCACCAGUGUGUCCAAAUUUGUCAUCUCUAUUUCUAAAUUAUAAUGACGGGUUGCGAUCUAUUGCGGAUUCAUUUUUCAAGCAAUUGCAUGGGCUCAAGGUCCUCGAUCUGUCUUGGACAGGUAUUGAAAAAUUGCCAGACUCUGUCUCUGAUUUGGUGAGUCUCACUGCGUUAUUGCUCAAUAAUUUAGAGAACUUAAGACAUGUUCCAUCAUUAAAGAAGCUCAGGGCACUAAAGAGGUUGGAUCUCUCUCGUACUUCACUUGAAAAGAUGCCGCAAGGAAUGGAAUGCCUAACCAACCUGAGGUAUCUUAGAAUGAAUGGAUGUGGUGAAAAGGAGUUUCCUAGUGGGAUAUUACCAAAACUCUCUCACCUGCAAGUCUUUGUACUAGAAGAGUUUAUGGUGCGAGGUGCUGCUCCGAUAACAGUUAAAGGAAAGGAAGUAGGAUCCUUGAGAAAUUUGGAAACUUUGGAAUGCCAUUUCGAAGGUUUCUCUGACUUCGUGGAGUAUCUCAGAUCUCGGGAUGGGAUCCUAUCAUUAAGCACAUACAAAAUUUUAGUAAGAGAGGUGGAUGGAGAUUUUGGGAAAUGUAUUAAUAAUUUUCCAAGUAAAACAGUUGGGUUGGGUAAUUUGAGUAUCAACGGAGAUAGAGAUUUUCAGGUCAAGUUCUUAAAUGGCAUUCAAGGAUUGGCUUGUAAACGCAUCGAUGCAAGAAGUUUAUGUAAUGUUUGGUCAUUAGAGAAUGCAACUGAACUGGAGCACAUCAACAUUUUAAAUUGCAAUAGCAUGGAGAGAUUGGUUUCAUCUUCUUGGUUCUGCUCUGCUCCACCACCAUUGCCAUCAUAUAAGGGUGUCUUUUCUGGUCUUAAAGAGUUUUAUUGUAGUGGAUGUAACAGUAUGAAGAAGUUGUUCCCACUUGAGUUGCUGCCAAACCUCGUAAACCUGGAAAUGAUUUAUGUUUGUGAUUGUGAGAAAUGGAGGAGAUAAUAGGAACAACAGAUGAAGAAAGCAGCACCUGCAAUUCCAUCACGGAGUUAAUACUCCCAAAGUUAAGAACUCUGAGAUUGCAUGAAUUACCAGAACUGAAAAGCAUUUGCAGUGCAAAACUGAUUUGCAAUUCUCUUGAAGAAAUUAGGGUAAUGUAUUGUGAGAAGCUGAAGAGGAUGCCAAUUUGUCUUCCGUUGCUUGAAAAUGGCCAGCCAUCUCCUCCCCCUUCUCUUAAAAAAAUCAAAGCAAUUCCAGAAGAAUGGUGGGAGCAUCCUAAUGCAAAGGAUGCCCUUCGUCCCUUUGUAAAGUUAGGGUAUUGUUAAUCCUUCCAUUGUAAGAAUACUAAUUGAUUGUAACCUUAAAUUUGCUGAUAUUCAAUAAUAUAUCAUUCUUUCAAUCAUUUUUGUUAAAAAUCAUGUGCAAAACAUAAUUAUUUUCGAUAUGAAUGAUGAAAAUAGUCCUUUAAAUCAACAAAGGAUAUUCUUAUUAAUUAAUAUUGAAAUUACUUGCACAAUUAAUCAACAAUGGUUUGAAAUGGUAUUGCCAAUUCCAUAUUUCAAAGAAAAAUCCAAAGAACGGAAAGCAUAAAUUAAGCCCAACACAUGAAUAUGAGCAGUACAUUAAAUUUAGUUGUUGUCAUAGAAAUUGUGAUAAUUAAAUUAAUACAACAUAGAAAGUUUGUUAAGCAAACUUGAUAAAUCUAAUUACACAAAUCUAACUUAAUACAUAUAAAAGUUAGUUUGUGAAGAUUGAAUACCUGGUCUUAAUUUGCCUCAUCAACUAGGCAGAGAGUAACAACGUACACCCUUUUAAAAUCAAAAGCUAAAUUAUUACUCUUUGAGGUUACUUAAAUUAAAUAUUGGUAUGUAGCUUUUAUUCAUUUAUUUUUAAAUAUUGACCUUAAAAAAAUAAUGAAUUUAUAAUUAAACCAAAUAAAAUAUUAAUUUGGUAAAAUUUGAUCGAUUCAAUCAAACCAAUCUAGUUCAUAUCAUACCAGAAUAAUAAAAAAACAAAAUAAUAUUAUUUUAAUAAAAAUAAUUAAUUUAAAUUAACUUAAUAAAUGACUCAUAAAUUAUUAAAUAUCUAAUAUUAUAUUAAAAAAUUAUCUUAAACCAAAUAAAUUAAGUAGACUUAAAAAUGUUAUAAUGUUACUUUCUGAUAAUUUAGUAAGGAUUUGGAGAAUGUAUAUUCAAAAACAAACUUUAUUAAAAGAUUAAGUUAUUUCAACAAUCUGAGUCCAUUAAGAAAUUGGUGGUAAAUCAUAACAAAAACAUUAUUUUUGAUAUUUUUAUUGGUAAAAUAUAGGUAUAAUCGUAGUACACUAUGUUGUCAAACAGGCAUAAGUCUUGAAUUUUUAUUUAUUUGAAAAUUGAAAAGGCAUGUAUACUAUUAUGGACUGAGAUAGUAUUUGAUAUUAUGAUAAUACUUAUUUUUUAAUAUAUUUUUUAUUUAAAUUUUAUUUUUUAAAUUUUAUUUUUUGUAUUAGUAUAUUAAAAUGAUAUAAAAAUACUAAAACAAAUUAAUAUAAAACAAAAAAUAUUCAAGUUUUUUAAAAAACAGGUAUUACAUUGAAAACAAAUAAUGUCUCAGUCAUAUAAUACAUCAAAAGUCUGUUUACUGUACCAAGUGAUUGUUGGCAAUCAAUUCCUGGAUCAAGACGAUAAGGUCCAGCCAUGGAGUAAUUGGAUUGAAAAAUAAAAUAAAAAUAAAAACUAAUAAUCUACAGAAUGGGUUCAUGUUAAUUGAGGAUGAGGUCUGAUGCUUUAAACCCUGAGGUAAAACCUCAUGCAGCUACCGACUUAAAUAUUUUCAUUUAAGGAAGUGCAGCGUUGUGUCCCGAGAGAGGCCACCAGGCAAAUACCAAGGUUAUUUUUUAUUUUAUAUUGUAAAUUUAUUUUUUAAAAAAUAAAUUUGUUUUGAUUUGAUUUUUUUUGAAUAUUUUCAGAUCAUUUUUAUAUAUAAGUAUCAAAAAUAAAUUUUAAAAAAUAAAAUAAAAUUAUUUUAAUAUAUUUUUAAAUUAAUAAUAUUUUAAAAAUUAAUCAUUAUUGUAAUUCUAAAUCGACGGUGCCUGUACCAAACUAUAUUAUCAACAAGAUUUUCCUUGUAUGAAUUAAAGCAUUCUGCAUUUGACACAACUUGAAAAACACGUUUCUUCUUAAAUUAUUAUACCUGUGUUUUUUUAAAUCUAAAUAUUUGAGAAUGUGGUUGUUAAGCGGCUAAGAUCUUCUGCAUCGGAUGUACAGGAACCGUAGAUAGACCAUUACCCAGCACCGCCAGAUACUCUCUCCAAUUUUUAUUAUCUUUAUUAGAGGGAGACUUCUUUUAUUUUUUUUCUUAUUUCAAUGCGUUGAUUAUAAAAUGAACGGACGGGAUUGGAUAUGAAUUAAGGGGAGAUGGAUUUUGUCAUUACUAUAUAUUACUCGAUUGAUUAAUAUUCAUAUAAGUUUAUUUACUAUUUAUUUUGUUAUUGGUUGGGCUUUUUGGUCAAAAUGUAAAGGGAGUGUUCUGUUGAGGUCCACUGAUGUUUCAAUUAUUCUCACACAGGAAAUCUAAAAAAUCUAAAGACCAGCCUUUUCUUUUUGUCUUGACAAAACUACCCUUGUGAAAAUCUAUAGUCUAUUUCUUCCUGUUAGAUAGGUUCCAGUGGUGUAGAACCACGUGUCCGACACAAAUUGCAGAGAGUGAGCCAACUGUUUAUGGCCUGUUUGUUUCUGACUUCUGUGUUUCAAAAACACUUUUAAUAAAAUUUAAUUUUUUUUAUUUUUUUAUUAACUUUAAAUUAAUAUAUUUUUAGUGUUUUCAAAUUAUUUUGAUAUGCUGAUGUCAAAAAUAAUUUUUAAAAAAUAAAAAAACAUCAUUGGCAUGCAUUUUGGCACGAAAAACUAUUUGAAAAGCAACCGCAACAAUACUGCUAAACAAGCUCUAUAAUGAUGAUGUCCGACUCUUUUUUACAUUAGAAAACGAAUUGCCUGUUAUUUUUAAAAUAUUUUUAAAAAAUUUAUUUUUAAUAUUAGUAUAUUAAAAUAAUAUUAAAAUAUCAAAAAAUAUUAAUUGGAAAUAAAAAAACAUUUUCAAAUUUAAAAAAAAAACUUUUAAAACACAAAAAUAAAUUCUUCCUAAAUUUUUUUUCAUAUUUUUCCAAUCUGUCCUUGCCAUAACUAAAAACCAGCUUGGAGGCUUGGCAGGGUUUGCAUCUGAUGAAGCUCAUCAAUAUAUAUAUAUAUAUAUGAUUUAUCCAGAAAUCCAUUUCAUAGAAUAGAAAAAUGGUUCGGUUUGAAGUUUGAUUCAUGCUAAUGUCUUGUCGUAAACAUGUCAAAAGUAAUCUUCUACCUCAGUGAAUUUGAGUACAGGUACUGCACACAAGAUGGAGCACUCUUCCCCUUUCCAACCUUGCUUAAUUCAUCAAAAUCUAAUUCUUGUUUAUCAACUCGGUUUGGGAAAAUAACUGAAAAACUCUGUUAAAUGAGUUCUACGAAGUAGUAGCACUGUAUGCACUAAGGAGAUCAAAUGAGGAAGGCUAAGAAUUAUGAUUCUUCCUCUGAGAGAUUAUGAACUGAACAUUCAUUUUCUAUUGAAUGAGUUUUGGUUCCUAAACCUGAAACUGUCAUCAUAAGCAAUAGCCAAGGAAGUUAGGAUGAGCUUUUUUUGUAAUUAUAUCACAUUUUUCUGCACAAUAAUGCUCUAUAUUUUUUGCUACUAUUGCUUAUAAUCUUCUUGUCUCUAGUAUCUUUUCCAACCUGUUUGAGGAAUGCUUUCUAAUUUUUUUUCUUGGAUUAUAAAUUUUGUGUUCACCUGCACAGUUGAACAGAGUUGACCUAGAAAUCUAGGAGUUAUUGGUGAUAGAGGAUCUGAGACUUAUUAUUCUAUAAAUUUUCUUUCUGAAUGCUGAGUAUUUUAUACGAUCAUGUGAUUGGGAAGAUUUGAUUCUCAUAUGAUUCUUGCCGGCUUAUUUGUGAGCCAAGAAGUAUUAUUGAAUAGAAAUACUUUCAUUCUUUAUUGUCGAAUUGGACAUUUAUUUCCUGAGUUUUCUUCUCCAUUUCAUUUAAUUUACGAAGCGUUUCAUAAUUGUUUUUUGAUUUUAUUAAAUUUUUACAUGAUAAUUUAUCAGAUAAUUUUAGCAGGAGUCCUUAUAUAUGUAUACCGGUGAUCAGAAAGUCAUUCCCAUAAAAAAGAUGAAGUAGUAUGAACAAUUUUAUUGUUAUUUUUGGUUUCUGCUAACGAUUUAUUUGAUGAUUAAUAUCGAUUUAUUUCCACUUUCUAGUAUACCAUAGUAGCCUAGGUGUGUUUUUUCCGAAAUGGUUAUGAGCAUUUUUCCAAUCUGCUGGGGGUGAUGUUGGUGGGCUUGGGCUAAGAGCAUGGUUAUUUUUUCCAAUCUGCUUGGAUACAAGGCCGUCAAAAAAAGGUUCAUCGUAUCCCUAGCUAGUUGGGUGUCUCAUUUCUAGCUGGCUACGUUUAAGUUUUAUUUUUUUAAUCGUCAGAUAAUAAUAUAAAAAUUUUAAUGAUCAAAUGAUAGUUAAAAUUUUAUCAUUCUUAUUUAUUUAAUAAAAUUAAGUAUAAAAUAAUAUGAAAUUGAGUAAAUUUCAAGUCCAAAGAGUUUUCACUUGAGGGGGUAUAUUGAAAAAUAAUUUAAAUUAUAUUUUGAAAUCUUACCUAACACUUUAAACUUUUAGAUUGAAAUGGUUAUUUGAUAUGAUAUUAAAGUCUUAAUGACUAAACGUUCAUGAAUUUGAAUUUCAUCAUCCUUAUUUAUUUGAUAAAAAUUAAGUAUAAAAUAAUAUGAGUUUGCAAGCCUAGUUCAAAUCUCACAUCUUUAUUUAUUUAAUAAAAAUUAAGUACAAGACAAUAUAGAUCUGUAAGUCUAAAAGAUUUUUAGUUGAAGAAGUGUUUUAAAAAAUAAUAUAAAUUAUAUUUUAAAUUUUUUUAAUAAUUUAAAUUAUUAAAUUAAAAUAAUUAUCAUGAUAAUGACAUAAAGUCAAUAGCAGAACAGCAGGAAAAUGACAGGCUAGAAUGUUCAACUCAUGAAUGCUAGAGUUAAGACAGUACUCGCUACAACUUAAACAGAGCUUAGCACUCUAAUUCUGCAGAGAUUUAUAUUCCAUUAAGCAUUUUUUUCCCCUUUCAGACAUGAACGACACCUGGAUCAGUUCUUGGGGCCAAAAUUAGAUUUCUAGUGGAAGAUAACUAAAACUAAUUUUUCUUUCUUUUGGUGACCAUUUAUAGAUAUCAUCACUGCAAUGAAUAAACAUGGUCCCAUUGAUGUAAAGGGACGGACACCAACCUUUUUGGCUAGACAGAGUCUGGUUGAUCUCUUAAAUGGUGCGAGCCACUUGCAUAAGAGAUGACAACUUUACACUUACCCUUUAAUUAUGGUCCCAUUGAUGUAAAGGGACGGACACCAACCUUCAUAACUUGUGAGCUUCAAAUACGAACCAGGGUUAUUAUUCUCUCUUCUUCUUCUUUUUUUUUUUUUUUAAUCAUGAAUUAUGGUACUAUCUAAUUUUAUUCUUUUUUUAUUAUUAUUUUAUAGUUUUUUUUCACAUUAUUUUUCAAUUAUGUCUCAAGUUUUUUUAUUUUAUUUAAUUUGAUCCUCAUUUUUUUUAUUGUUUUUUUUUUAAUUUUUUUAUUCAAUCCCUCAUUAUUUUCCUUCAUUUAGUUUUUAUACUAAAUUUGAUCCUUAAAGUUUUGAUUACUAUUUGAUUUAUUUUUUAAAAAAUAAAAUUAGAUGAUUAGAAAUUUAGCUUCGUGAUUUUUUUUGUGUUGCCUUCUAUGAGGCGAUAUUGGUCUCAUAACCCGAGUUUCAAAGAUUAGUUCAAUUUACCUUUAGUUUUUUUUAAAGUUAUUUACAAAAAAAAUGAUUUUUUUUUCAAUAUCCUUCAAUAUUGGGUUACUGGGCCUUGAGUUUUAUGAUUUUUUUACAUGCAGGCUUAUCCCGGUCAUGAUUUGGCAUCCUAACUCGAGUCGUGUUUUUUAUUCUUUUUUGAAAUUGAUGUUUUUUUCCAGUUUAUUUUUCAACUUUUGUUUUGCUGGUAAGCAUCAUAUUUCUUUUAUUUUUCUUUUCAUGAGGUUAUCUUAUUUUCAUUGAAUUUUUAUGUUGUAAUCAAAUAAGAUCGUUAAGACCUUUUUAAAAAUAUUUAGAGCGUAUCUUUUUAUAAUAUUGACAAGCGUUCAUUUUUUAUGAUUAAUUAUUUUUUUAAUCAUUUAUAUAUUUAUAUAUAUAAUUAUAUUAUUAAGUUAAUCGAGUUUAUUAAGUUCAAUCAAAUCAAUAACCCGGAUUUGAAAUUUUUUUUUGUUGCUUUUAGAAAGCUGCUAUUAUUAGGAUAUCUUUGUUAUUUUAACAAAAAUAAUUCAAAAAACAGCGUAGCACUACGCACAUAGGCACCCACCACUUUAGCAAAUUGGAUAUACCACUUGCUUCAUUGGUUUGGAUAAGGGCUAGCUUCGUACAGAGAAAAAAAUGAACAAAGGUACGCAGUAGAUGAAGAAGAUUGAUUUACUGCAAUUAUUGUCAAAAUACAAACGUGAGCACAAUAAUUUAAUUUGUACAGGAUGCUUUUAUAUAUAGAGUAGUAAUUUAAUUAUUGCUUUUUCAUCACUUAUUUCUUUCCAUGAAUCCAAUAUUCCUUAUUUAUAUAUAUAUUGAUUGUUUCUGAUACAAGGUAGCUGUAGUUUUCUUCUAUAAGAGGUCUACCAUAGCUGUAGUUUCCUUCUUUGAGAAGUAACCGUUGGUUGAGAUAGCUGUUGAUUUCUUAUUGAUUUAUCUUUGAUCUGCCACAGUUAUGAUUUCCAUGUAUGUUUGAUUACAAUUCUAAAUAGUAGCCGUUGGAGGUGUUAAUUCAUAUUGUGUUAAUUCAUACUGCUGUUGUCUCCUGCUGCUGCUGCAGAGGUGUUGUGUUGCUGUUAAUACCUGUUGGGGAUUCCGGCACCCCCAUGCGCGGACCGGGGGUGUACUGAUAUUUGCUCAUAGGAGGGUAAAGCACACUGACACAAUAUUUUACGUGGUUCGGCAAAACCGCCUACAUCCACGGGAGAGAGUCCAUAUUAUUAGAGAUAUAUAUAGAGAAAGGAUUACAACAUACAUGGAGGAGGAGGAUCACUUCACUCAAACUCAACUCCCAGCUCUUUUGCUGCACUUGCAGCUGCUGCAAUGGCAGCAAGGCUGCUGCCAUUGCAGCUCUCUUUCUCUCCACUCUCUUGCACACACUCACGUUCUCUCUCUCAUUUUGCUCUCACAUAAUGCCUCUAUUUAUAGGCAUUUCAUGGCAGCUGUUCCACUUGUUCUGCUGUCAAACAUGGCUGCAAGGUUAGGCAUGGUAGGUUGCCUAACCAUGGAAAAUGGUGGCUGCCAAUAGUCAAUGGUUGGUGCCAACCAUUUGCUGCACAUGCAAUGGCAACAACCCAACAAUCACCCCCUUUGCCAUUCAUGUGGGGCAACUGUCCUCUUGCUUCUUCAUCACAGGCUUGCAUCUUGCAGCUCUUCCAAGCUUACCAUUCUGAGAGCAUCUUCGGCUAAGUUUACAUGGUACUCGCCAAACCUUUCAAUCACCAGAGUCACCAAAGCACACCUUUUCUCACACAAAAGGAUCACUACAACCAGAUGGUCUGUCACUUCACAUCUGAAGAGUGUUAACGCUUGUCUCUGGGACACACUGCAUUCCCCUUCGAGCGUAUCAACCAUGCUCGGUCCGGAAUGAUUCAUCAAGCCUUACACCAAGGCUUACAACACCCCCUCAAACGAAAAUUUCUAUUUCCAAGUGCGACAGUCAUUAUCUGAGUAUCUCAAUAUGAUCACGAGCUCACCACUCUUCCAAGAGUCUACUCAUCCAGGAGUUGCGCCUGCCCUCUGUUCCACCCUAGGAACCACACCUUACUUCUCCGUGAGUCUCUCGCUCUUAGUCUCAAGAGUCCAGGUAGCUCUCCACCUUCACCUAUAGGGGCAGCCCAUUAAAGGUUGAUCCAUAUAUGUCUUGAUACUGAGUAUUACAAUGCCUUUACUGAGCUCACCACCUUGACAAGAGUCAACUUGUUCAGGGAACCUGCACAUGCCCUCUGCUCCUUCAUAGCAGCCGCGUCUUAAUGCUCCACAAGUCACACACUUAUUGUCCAAGGCAAAUGUCUUCUAGCUCAUUGAUCUUUAGCAUGGGGGCAAUAUCCAUGAAAGUCAAUCCUGCAUUUGUCUUCAUACUCAUCAUAGCCACUUCAUUGGCUAUCCAUACACUUGUCCACUCAUAUCUAGCCAUUACAUUGGCUCUGGGGCGUUCUGAAUUUGGGCUCCUAUCGUGGCCCAUACACCUUCUCUAAGGUGUCUUCGCCCGUUGCCGUAGGGCGGUCUGAAUUGGGCUCCUAUCAUGGCCCUCACACCUUCUCCAAGGUGUCUUCGCCUGUUGUCGUGGGGCGGUCUGAACUGGGGCUCCUAUCAUGGCCCUCACACCUUCUCCAAGGUGUCUUCGCCCGUUGUCAUGGGGCGGUCUGAUUUGGGGCUCCUUUCAUGGCCCUCACACCUUUCAUUUAAGGUGUCUUCGCCUUUCAUAGGCGGUCGCAUCCUCCUUCAGCUGAGAUGCUUCAAAGUGGCUCUAAAAGUCUCUACCACCAUGUGGACUAUGGGAGAGAUAACUGCCACUGAUUACAUAGAAAGAGAAACUUGCGGUAUACUCCUCGCAAUCCUCCACCUCGAUUUCUAUGUUUGGAGCUUCUGUGUCUUUCUGCUUGACAGCUCCACCUACACCAACUCUCUUUGGUGUCUUCGCCUUUCAUCAUAGGCGGUCGCCUUUUAUCACAAGCGUUUGCACCCCCUCAAUUAAGUGCAUCUGCAACAGCUCUCUUUCCAUCCUUGCAUGCAUUGGAAAGGUCUUCGCCUGUUGUCUUCAUCAAGAGCAUAAGAGACUUCCUGUUGUACAAACUUUAACAGUCUCUGCUCUAAGCUUCAUCUGGGAACACUUCUUCUCCUUGCACCUAUUGUCUCAUUAUAGUACCUCAUUGGAUCCUACGGGUACUCCUGCACAAUCUCCGUGUGCCCUCGUGCAAUUUCUGUUCUCCAGAUUUUUCCCCUAUUCCUUGCUUAUGUUUGACAGCAGCUCAUCCUGUCAUAACACCUAUCCAAGUCAAAAUAGGGUGCCAAUCUUUAUCCCUUGCCGUAUUUCUCUACCAUUAUCAGGGUCUUCAUCAAUAUUUGUUGUGCAUACUGGACCGAAAGCAAACACAAAAAUAACACAAACAAGCAGAUUUACGUGGUUCCCAAAACCGGGUACGUCCACGGAGGCAGCAGAUUGUAUAUUAAUGGAGGAAUGAUACAAACACUCAACUCAACCCAAUACAACCCACAAAAACCAGUGUUUCACUCUUACACUCGUUUCUCUCAAAUCUACACUUGCACUCACUCUCACAGUUGCAUUCACUUGCACUCACCACUGCACUCUCUAUGUCUUCUCUCGUCUCUCUUCUUCAUAAACUUGUCCUCCAGUGCUUGCCAUAAUUCCUUUGUAGAGUUUUGUUCUGAAAAGGCGUACUUCUGAUCCUUUACAAGACAAAGUCGGAUGGAACUGCAAGCCAACCGAUUUAUCCUUUCCCAGCUUUUAUCAUCCAAAUCCUCCGGUUUAUCUUCUAAAGUGAAAUCCAAAUUCAUUUGGACAAGCAUAUCCAUGACUUCACAUUUCCACAUGCCAAAAUUAUCUUUCCCAUCAAACUUCUCCACCUCAAAUUUGGUAUUCGAUACCGGGAUGUAUUGUGGAGGUAUACUAGCAUUCCCCGCUGAUUUUUCUUCUGGAAUAUCAGCCAUUAGGACGUCUUUGGAUUACAAAUGGAAUCCCGAAAUUGUUAAAACACACACUUUUAUGCUCAAAAGUGCCAAAACAGUAACUUCGGUAUGCUAUUUAACAAAACGGACACCACGGUUGCGUCCGGAAUGGUUGAAAAUGCUAGGAACCAACUUGACUCGGCCAAAAACGGGUCAAAAAAUCACUGAGUUGGCCAAAAAACCAAUCUGACCGAGUUGACUCAGGGAAGGAAUAUUCUGUCUCUGAUAAAGAAUAUUCUGUCACGGGAAUAUUCUCUUACUGGUAACGGAAUAUUCUUAUUCUGUCAAGAGAAUAUUCUGUCACUGUUAGAUGACAUGGCUGAUGACGUGUCUGAUGACAGGGCGAUGUGGCCCCUCUGUUGAUGACGUGGAUGCUGACUCAGCGCCUACGUGUCGGAUGACGUGGCUGUCUUCUCAGACGAGAAUUCCGGCAAUGACUGGUUUUUCCGGCAGAUUUCCGGCGAAACUUCGGCGAGCUCUACAGGGCUCGUUUCAACUCCGAUUGCGACGAUCUUUAUAUCGCCGGACUCGUAUGAACGAGAGGAAUCUCCGCAGCUGGUCAAAAGCAAGAUCUGAGAACUUUGAAAAUUCUGCAACUUUGAACAGAGAGCUAAAAAACGUGUUUUUCUGCGUUUAAGCUUCCCUAAUGCUCUGAUACCAAUUUGUUGUGCAUACUGGACCGAAAGCAAACACAAAAAUAACACAAACAAGCAGAUUUACGUGGUUCCCAAAACCGGGUACGUCCACGGAGGCAGCAGAUUGUAUAUUAAUGGAGGAAUGAUACAAACACUCAACUCAACCCAAUACAACCCACAAAAACCAGUGUUUCACUCUUACACUCGUUUCUCUCAAAUCUACACUUGCACUCACUCUCACAGUUGCAUUCACUUGCACUCACCACUGCACUCUCUAAGCUUCAUCUGGGAACACUUCUUCUCCUUGCACCUAUUGUCUCAUUAUAGUACCUCAUUGGAUCCUACGGGUACUCCUGCACAAUCUCCGUGUGCCCUCGUGCAAUUUCUGUUCUCCAGAUUUUUCCCCUAUUCCUUGCUUAUGUUUGACAGCAGCUCAUCCUGUCAUAACACCUAUCCAAGUCAAAAUAGGGUGCCAAUCUUUAUCCCUUGCCGUAUUUCUCUACCAUUAUCAGGGUCUUCAUCAAUUCUCCCCUCGAGAAAUCACAGUCACCGAAUCUAACUUCUUUGGAUAAAUCACCACUUCAUCAGAUCCUUGAUCAUACGGAACCCAACUGUUCCCUUGUGCCGUCAUCCUGCUAGUCUUCAACUGUUUCAUUACAAACUGCUAUAUAUACGAAAAUAGUACCGUAUGGAUAAUCCUUCCACUAAGCAAGUUCCCAGGAAAGAUUGGAGGGGUCACACUGGUCCCGCUUAAAACCCAAUCUCCUAGACAGAACUUCUUAGGCCAUAUCUAUCCAUCGUACUGUCUUUCCGUAUAUACAACCAUUUGCUAGCUUUGUCCCGGCCUUCCUUUACAAGUGAUCUGGAAUAUACUGGUUUAAUACAUGAUUUCUCAACAUCUGGUGAGACUACCAGUUCUUAGAUUCGUCAAGAUUGGUCUUCGUCAAUUUCCACUCUUCACCUCAAAUUGUCCACAUGAUCGGGUGUCCAGAGUGUCCCAAUUUUGCCUUCCUUCAAAGCAAUUAAAAUUCUCCCCACUUAGCAUUUUAGCACAUAUAAUUGGGUAAACAUGUGCACCUUCUUCUUCUUCAUCAUCAUCGACCACCACGAUGACCUUUAGAUGCCUCCUAAUCGGGCAAUCUCUUUUGUUAAUUCACCACCACCACUUUUGGUCUCAAAUCUCAAUGAUCGGACCGUACCAUUGCAUCCGGAACGAUCAAAUUAGCUGGAAACAAGUCUGAAAUCGUCCAAAUCGCAUUUCAGACGGCUAAGAUUUGAUCAAAACAAUUCUGGCCUGAUGAACGGCCCAGAUUCAAUCUCAGAUCCGGUUGCACGUAGACUCCGCUGCACAGAAUCUUAUCCUUUGGCUCGCGGCUCGGCUCGGCUCCUUUUUGGCUCAGCUCGGCUCAACUCAGCUCGGCUCAGUUCGGCUUGAGUCUGGUGACGUGGCAGGUGGGUCCCACUUUGGUGACGUGGCUGUUGACUGGACGCUGACUGGUCUAUGACGUGGCUGCUGACAUGGCAUGCCUACUGUGCAUGCUGACAUCACACUUACAUCAGGCUGAUGUCAUCCCUGGCAUGCCUACUGUGCAUGCUGACAUCACAAUUAUGUCAUGCUGACAUCAUUCAUAUCCGGGUCAGUCACAUGGGUCGGGUGAACUGGUAUUCGGGUCGCGUGGCACGCGUGGGGCGCGUCUGCGCGCAUGGGCAGACGCCUUGCCGGAGAGUGAUGGAGAGUGCGGCCAUGUCCGACGUCCGAUUUUGACGCCGUUUUCACCAGUGGCUUCGUCUUGACCUCCUCUACACAGUGGUAUGGUCAAAACACAAUUUUGACAACUUUCAUUUUUGAGCAAAAAUCAAACACCCCUUUAAACCAUCAGCUCUGAUACCAAUUGUUGGGGAUUCCGGCACCCCCAUGCGCGGACCGGGGGUGUACUGAUAUUUGCUCAUAGGAGGGUAAAGCACACUGACACAAUAUUUUACGUGGUUCGGCAAAACCGCCUACAUCCACGGGAGAGAGUCCAUAUUAUUAGAGAUAUAUAUAGAGAAAGGAUUACAACAUACAUGGAGGAGGAGGAUCACUUCACUCAAACUCAACUCCCAGCUCUUUUGCUGCACUUGCAGCUGCUGCAAUGGCAGCAAGGCUGCUGCCAUUGCAGCUCUCUUUCUCUCCACUCUCUUGCACACACUCACGUUCUCUCUCUCAUUUUGCUCUCACAUAAUGCCUCUAUUUAUAGGCAUUUCAUGGCAGCUGUUCCACUUGUUCUGCUGUCAAACAUGGCUGCAAGGUUAGGCAUGGUAGGUUGCCUAACCAUGGAAAAUGGUGGCUGCCAAUAGUCAAUGGUUGGUGCCAACCAUUUGCUGCACAUGCAAUGGCAACAACCCAACAAUACCCUCCCUCAAACGUUGCUGAGGUUGGAGGCAAAGUUUGCGCUGAAAACAAAGGAGAGUAGCUUUGGACACCGGCUUAGUAAACAGGUCAGCGAUCUGAUGUGUAGUGGGAAUAUGAUGUGUAAUAAGUUUCCCAAGAGAUACGCGUUCGCGUAUAAAAUGAUAAUCAAUUUCAAUAUGCUUGAUGCGAGCAUGGAAAACAGGAUUGAUUGUCAUAUGGAGCGCAUUAAGAUUAUCACAAUAAAGCACUGGUGGAGAUACCAAGGGAAUGUGUAAAUUAUGAAGGAUGUAGGUCAACCAGGUAAGUUAUGCGGCUGUGUUGGCCAUAGCACGAUAUUCAGCUUCAGUGCUAGAGCAUGAAAUGAUAUGUUGUUUAUUGGCACAUCAAGAGAUGAGAUUACUUUCAAGAAAGACACAGUUGCCAGUGGUAUAACGUUAUAUAGUAAGACAGCCAGCCCAAGGAGAUGAGAUUUAUAUUCCAUUUAGCAUUUUUUCCCCCCUUUCAGACAUGAACAACACCUGGAUCAGUUCUUGGGGCCAAAAUUAGAUUUCUAAUGGAAGAUAACUACAACUAAUUUUUCUUUAACCAUUCAACUCGUUUGGUGACCAUUUAUAGAUAUCAACACCUGGAGUUCUAUUUCGCCACUUGAUGGAAUGGAUAGAUUAAUGUACGACCUUAUUGGCUAGACAGAGUCUGUUCGAUCUCUUAAAUGGUGCGAGCCACUUGCAUAAGAGAUGACAACUUUACACUCGCCCAUUAAUUAUGGUCCCAUUGAUGUAAAGGGACGGACACCAACCUUCAUGACUUGUGAGCUUCAAAUACGAACCAGGGUUAUUAUCCUCUCUUUUUUUUUCAUUAAUUAUGGUACCAUCCAAUUUUAUUUUUAGUUUUUAGUUUUUUUAUUUUUGUUUUCUAUGGGGUGAUCUUGGUUUCACAACCCGAGUCACGAGUUUUAAAAAUUAGUUUGAUUUACUUUUAGUUUUCAUGAUUUUCUUCGUUUUUUUAUAGGGUUAUUUCGGUCUAAUAUCCUGGGUCACGAGCUAGUCGAGUUAACCUAGGUUGACACUUAUUUUUUUUUUUUUUUCAGUUUUGCCUUUCAUUAUUUAGUUUAUUUGAGAGUUGAACUCUAUUGUUUUAUUUGAUUUCUUAUAUGCAGGCUUAUCCCCGUCAUAAUUUAGCAUUUUAAUUCGAGUCGUGUUUUUUAAUUUUUUUUUAAUUGAUGUUUUUUUCUAGUUUAGCAAAUUAAAUAUCCCACUUGCUUCAUUGGUUUGGAUAAGGGCUAGCUUCAUACAAGCCCCCAACUUAUAACCAAUUCUCGAUUGGGACCUUAUUGUUUUCUUUAGUGACGUCUUUAAUGCAUAAAACAUUCUUAGUUUUGCCUUGUAUUCAAAUCCGUCGAUGAUUUCUAUUUAAAAGCUGUUUUUUGAAAAAAAAAAUAAAGAAAAGAGAGAACUGGACAUCUUUUAAAAGUUUGUAACAAUCUUACAUGAAAGGACUAAAUUGAGGAUUGUCAUAGAAUGAUGUGUUAAUUUAAGAGCUUUACCCACUAGUUGCGGAUAACACAAAUUGCCACUGAUGAAUCCCACGGCAUAUGUUCAUAUGCAAUGCCUAUGAAAACACGACUUGCUUACACAAGCAACAAACAUCACAUAAAUUUCUCUCUUGGCCACACGAUUCUUGGACUUUUGGCUUAUUCAUCAACACCAGUUGUUCAAUGGUCCCAUUAAUUCAAUAACCACUGAAAUUUCUAAGGAAUGCUCAAUAUUUUCUCUCUAUAAUCUCAUCCAAGGCCUUCGUGAAAGACACAACGGGGAGACUUUAGCCAUCAAAAAGCUAAGUCUACGUAUAAUUUUCCACNNNNNNNNNNNNNNNNNNNNNNNNNNNNNNNNNNNNNNNNNNNNNNNNNNNNNNNNNNNNNNNNNNNNNNNNNNNNNNNNNNNNNNNNNNNNNNNNNNNNGUAUCAGUUUGUCAAUAGGACUCAUAUGGUCAGGUAGGUGCCCGCGGGAAAUUUUCCACUGCAACUUAUUGGACAAUUCUUGAUUCCUUGCAGUCAAUCUGGGAAGCCUUUCGGCUGUCUUUUACACGUUAAAAUUUAGUGGGAGGAUAUUCUCGUAGAGACUGGAAAUGUCUUGGCACGGAUUUGGACUAACACGAAUCACUAGCACAUGUACAUUUCAUGGCCUAGCUAAAAAUUGCCAUCAAAGUCACUAUUAUCUCGAGAAGUAGUAGAAUUUCCUAGGCUUCACGCUGCUACCUUUUGAUUUGGCAAAAUUUUGUUCAAUUUAAUUCAUUAAAAAUAAUUGAAACUUCCAAGAUCAAAUAUGAUAUUGAAACCAGAAAGUAGCCUAGGUGUGUUUUUUAAAAUUUUGAUCCCUAAAGUUUUUGCAUUUUGCAUUUUGAUUUUGAUUUUUAAUUUUGAUCUAAAAUUUUAUUUUAUUUACUUUUUAGUUCAUGAAUAUGAGAUUAAAAAAAUCACCGAAAAACUUGAAAAAAGAUAGAAAGUUAUUGGUUGAUAAUUUCCGGACAAAAAAAAAGAGAUCUUUGUAUUAAUGGAGAAUUGAUGUGCAGAUUGGAUAGCAAAUCAUAAGGGUAUGUUUGAAAUUAUAGUAGUGAUUGCGAUUCAAAGUAUUUUUCGUUUAGAAAUGUUUUAAAAUAAUAUUUUUAUUUUUAAAAAAUUAUUUUUGAUAUCAGCAUAUUAAAACGAUCUGAAAAUAUAAAAAAAUAAUUUUUUAUUUUUUAAAAUUUUAAAAUUUAAGAGAACGCAUUUUGCACCGCGUUCCCAAACAGACCCCGGUAGAUCUUGAAGUUUCCUACUGCACUGAAGCUCCCUCUUGUUGUUUGAAGCAAAUGCUUGAUUGCGUUCCUGGGGUUUCUACCCCCAGAAUAUGAAGUUAUUUCCUAAUGAAGGCUUUCUGCCCUCUCUCUAAUAAACUGAAAAACGGCAACAUUCAUUUUCUAGCCCAGCAGUGGUUCCUCUAGCCUUCUGCUAUCUGCCUAGCUGUGAUAUAAAACAAUUUGAGUCCAUAUUUGAAGGGAUAGCUGUUUCUUCAAUCUAUUUGGACAGUAUAUCAUCUUCUGCUGCUGUGAUUAUUAAAGCCUUGUCAAUAAUUACAGAUUAUAGCAUCCACGAGGAUGACGUUCCUUCAAUUUUUCUCUACAGUCAAUCUUUUUCCUUGACAAGCACAGGCAGGCAAUAUUAGUGGUAAAAUUUGGGAUGUUAUAUUCCUUGACAAGCACAGGCAAUAUUAUUGAUUCAACUUUCCAAAAUGUAUUCUUUAGCCACCACAAAGCUUCACACACACACGAGUGUGGUUCAAAGUAAAAGUUAAAGAUAAGAGCAUAUGUAAUUUUUUUAUUUUUAAACAUUUAUUUUUAACAUUAAAAUAUCAUAACAAUUUAAAAAUAUUAAAAAAAUUAAUUUUAAAUAAAAAAUAUCAAGUUUUUUAAAAAACAUGAUUCGACUGUGAAAUUAUUAUUAUUUUUGUCAGGGUGUUGGUUGUUCUAGGUAGGGCCGGAAAGGUCACGGAAUGGAGAGUCACUGAGAAGUGAUAACCAUUAACCAUGACAUGGCUCAAAUGAGUGAGGCUAAUUAAAAGUUUGUAAAAUUGUAUCAAUUAACUGUUUGUAAUUAAUAUUUUUGAAUUGUUUUUACGUGACAAUAUAAAAAAUAAUUUUUUUAAUAUAUUUUUAAAUAAAAAAUAUUUUUUUAAAAAAAAAACCUUCAGACAAUGCAGAAAUAUGCUAUUCUUUCUCGUAUUCAUGUGUUUACAUUUUCUUGGCAGCUUCUUCGAAGUGUCAACAUUGGGGCGGGUCCACACGUUAACUUUCUAUAUCUUAUAAUUAAUUAAUUAACUGUCUAUUAAUGUAAAGUUUGGGUUGCUUCCUGGCAACUUCCUUCCUUCCUAUCAAACAAUACGUUAAUUAAUUAAUUAUUAUUGAGGCGACCUUACUAAUAAAUAAUAGUAUGUAAGGGAGCUAGCGGCUGUACUGUAACAUUCUCUCUCAUUAUACAAUUCCCUAUUUACCUUCCUUAUUAGGGAAUCCAGCUAGCACUUGAAGAUUCAAACCAUAGUAUGUAUAUGGUUUGAAUCUUUAAAGUAAUCCAUCAUAAAUAAAUCGAUCUUUUUCACUGAUUUUGUAAUCCAUGCCCUUGUGGUGUUCAUACUAAAUCAACCCUAAACCUUGAAUUCAUUGUUUUUGUCUUUUCAAGAUUCUUUGCUGUUUUUAACUCCUUAUAUAUGGGAUUUCUUUUCCAAUACUAGAUUUUGUAAUCCAUGCCCUGUGGGACUGCCAUUAAUUAUUUUUAUCCAAUAUUUUUCUGACAUAAUGAUUCAAUGAAAUUGUCUCUUACUGAUUCAUGAAUUAACUUCAUCAGUAUUAAUUACCUUUCAUUAAACUUGUUUACAACAAGUGACAAAUAAUUUAGCAACAUUUAUAUUUCCUAUUUUUCAUCCGAAUUUCUUUAACAAAUAAAUAAGUCAUGUAUAUAUAUAUUCUUAUCUAAUCUGCGCUUUCUGUUCUUUUUUAAACCUCAGAUGGAAGGAGUCCCACCGUCUUGUAAUGAGGAUGAUGUCAACUUGACAUCGAAUCAGUUCGAUAUUCAAUCACCAGAAGAUUCAUUCAAUAUAUCUGAGCUUCUCUCGUACGUCAUUCUUAAGCAUAUUUUAUCAGAAGAUGAUUACUUGCAAUUUAGUUAUUCUACAGUUUUUCUUAUUAUUCCCAUAAAAGAAUAAUGUUCCUAAUAACAAAUUAAGCAGGUCGCCACCGGAGGUUCCAGGCAACCAAAGCUUCAUGUUAUGCAAUGUUCAUGCUGGUCAGAACAUGGUGGUGGAUAACAAUGUGAUCAACGAUAGUAUUCAACAAACAACUGAUCAGUUUCCACCUUCAUUUCAUCAAACCAUGGUGAGUGCUCAUGCCUACUCCAAUUUGCUACAAUGUCCAUUGAAUUAGCAAGUGUUUGUAUCACCCAUUGGAUCAAAAAGUUUUAUGUUUUCGUGUAUUAAUUUAUCUCGAGCAUCUUCAAAAUGUUUAUUGUUAAACAAACAGACAACAAUGGGAGAUUUAGAUGGAACAUCAUCGUCAUGGAUCAACCAAAAUGAACCAAAUUGGCCUCAAGCUCCACCAAGGUACAUAAUAUUCAUCAUUAUUUAACUUCUUCUUCCUGUUCACACUAAAUGAAUUCAUUAUAUUUGAAUAUAGGUGUUAGCCUAAUCCUAAUUUAUUUGAUCCUCAAUGUGCCAAUCCUUUGAGGUAAGCUAAAAUGAUAUCAAAUGCUUAGUGGAUUAAUAGCAAAGAAUUAUGCCUAUGUAUAAAGAAAUUACUAACAAGUGUUGCUAAUUUAGGGACCAACAAUUGACUAAUUAUCAGUUACCAAUUAUGAGCAAUCAAGUGCCUGCAAUGCUACCUGGACCUCAACCUCCAAUGAAUCAAUGGUAUUAACCUCGAAUAUAUAUACACUUUUUUAAUCAUGAAAAUAAUAAAAUUGACCAAAAUUGACGAGGAUCUUUCGAGUCUUUCUGAGCUCUCUAUCUCUCUUCUUUUUUUGUGCACAUAAUGGAACUAGAAAAUCAACCAAGUUAGAAUAACAGUUCUAAGUUUAACUAUUUGAAUAUUAUUCAGGCAUCAGUACUCCAAUAUUCAUCAACCACAGCCGGGACAUGGCUAUAUGACACCGAACGCAACCACUUCAGAACAUGGUGGCUUCAUUCAACCUGGACCUUCUUUUCCUGCUCCCCGGUAUCCAAUUUUUCACGUUUAGUAUUUUCUAUAAAAAAAAAAUAGUUUUUCAAUCAGGAAGGAAACAUCAUAGCUUGAACAUGAACCCAACAAGCUAAACAUAUUGUUUGCAAAUGAUUUUGGAUUCAGGAGUCAAUAUUUUUCUAAUCAAGGACAAGUCGAUCAAGCUGCUGUAAUUCCUAACAUAGACAAUGUGCAACAAGAGAACUUCGUGCCUAGGUACUGAUUGACUUCUAGCUGUUGUGUUUUAACACCAUUAACUUUUACUGCUUAAGAGAGACUACCAAUUAUGGAAAGGUUUUAUAAUAUGAUCACUUCAUUUAUAUAUAGGUCACAGAUGGAUAACCUCCAAGUUCGAGGAUUGCAAAAUCAAACUGCUAGGCCAAAUGCCUCAAAUCCCGGCCUUGGCACUUCCCUGCAAAGUCAAAAUAGGGGUUUAAAUGCUCAACAAGUAAGAAGUCUAACUGAAUUAUCGUCGUCUUUUUCCCUCCUAUGAUUGUGCAAUAAACUAACUAUCAAUUUUAAUAGCAAAGUAAGGGUAACAGCACUGAAGAAGUAGUUUCUCAUCCAUCUGGAUAUGGUGUAACUUGCAUCAAUUUUUAUUCUUUAUUUUGACUGAUUUUUAUUCUAUAUUUUGACCCCCCUUUUUUUUUCCCUAUAUAUAGGUUGAAAUGGGUGGAUUAUAUGAUCCAUUUUGGAAUUAUGUUGAAAAAAGUGCUGAUGAUGGUAGCAUGAAGUGUAAGUUUUGUCCACAUACAUACGCCAUUAAAACUUCCAUUUCAAGGAUCAAAUGGCAUUUAUCAGCAGAAGAAGGGCAUGGUGUUGCCAUUUGUCGUGGGGUGCCUAAAGAAAUUCAAGAAGCAGCCUGGAAAGCUAUGUGUGGUGGCAACAAAAGACAUAAAAGCACAGCAAGUUCAGUCAAUGUUAAUGACUGUGGAAUUUCAACAAUGGUAGGAGGUAUUGGAAGGGUACAAAGAGAAGUUCAGGUUGUAGAACCCGGAGUAGGGGAACAGAGGAUUUCUUCACAUGCAAUAGCAGGAAACGACGUAGUAAGCAUGACCGGAACGAGAGCACGAGAAGAUAGAGUUUCCAAAGGGGCACUCGAGAGCAGACGGAGGACAGAACUAGUGGAUCGAGCGUUGGAACAAAACACUGGUGAAGGAUCUUUUCGGCAUGAUGCAUUUGAGACUGUACCAAGAACAGAGCAAGAGCAGCUUCUGGAGCCUCGAGGAGAUGCAUCCCAAUUUUGUCUUGACUCUGGAAUAUGUUAUGAUCAACCUUGUGCUCCAUCAGUAAACAAUGAUGUAAAUAGGCAUGAUGCACAGGACAUGGUUAGAGUGAGGACACAACCAGUGGAGAAUAGUGGAAGAUCAGUAGUGCAGGCUGGCCCAGGAGCUAGAUCUUCUGAAAGUCUGAAAAACAACAAGACUAGAGGAGUUCCAUUACCUACUAGCUCUAUAAAGGUGGGUCAAGCAUUUGAAGAGAAUAAGAAGGUGAUAUGGUCUUCGUUAAUGGAUGAUGAAGUCCCAACCAUUGGCAUUUAUGGGAUGGGAGGAGUUGGUAAAACAACAAUAAUGCAACAUAUUUAUAAUGAGCUUCUACAAAGACCAGAUAUUUGUGAUCAUGUGUGGUGGGUGACUGUGUCUCAAGAUUUCAGCAUUAAUAGAUUGCAGAAUUUUAUUGCUAAACAUCUUCAUCUAGAUCUUUCAAGCGAAGAUGAUGUUCAGCUCAGACCUGCCAAAUUGUCAGAAGAACUAAGGAAGAAACAAAAAUGGAUUCUCAUUUUAGAUGAUUUGUGGAACAAUUUUGAACUUGACAGAGUGGGAAUUCCUGAGAAGUUGAAAGAAUGCAAGCUGAUUAUGACAACUAGAUUAGAAAUGGUUUGUCAUCAGAUGGCUUGCCACCGUAAAAUCAAAGUGAAGCCACUUUCUGAUGGAGAAGCUUGGACUUUGUUCAUGGAGAAACUUGGAUGUGACAUAGCACUUUCGCGAGAAGUGGAAGGGAUUGCAAAAGCUGUUGCAAAGGAAUGUGCUGGUUUGCCGUUGGGAAUUAUUACAGUAGCAAGAAGCUUGAGGGGAGUGGAUGACCUACAUGAGUGGAGAAAUACAUAGAAGAAAUUGAAAGAAUCAGAAUUUAGAGACAAUGAAGUAUUCAAGUUAUUGAGGUUUAGUUAUGAUCGGUUAGGUGAUUUAGCACUACAACAAUGUCUCUUGUACUGUGCAUUAUUUCCUGAAGAUAAAUGGAUUGCAAGGGAGGAGUUGAUAGGUUAUUUGAUCGAUGAGGGGAUAACUAAAGUAAAGAGGAGAAGGGGAGAUGCAUUUGAUGAGGGCCACACGAUGCUUAAUAGACUUGAAUAUGUCUGCUUAUUGGAAAGUUCUUUUAAUCAUAUACAUGUCAAGAUGCAUGACUUGAUUAGGGACAUGGCUAUCCACGUACUGCUAGAGAACUCUCAAGUCAUGGUUAAAGCAGGUGCGCAAUUAAAAGAGCUGCCAGAUACAGAGGAGUGGACGGAGAACCUGACGAUUGUUUCACUAAUGAAGAACGAGAUCGAAGAAAUUCCUUCCAGCCAUUCACCAAUGUGUCCAAAUUUGUCAUCUCUAUUUUUAUGUGAGAAUAAAGAGCUGCGAUUGAUUGCGGAUUCAUUUUUCAAGCAAUUACAUGGGCUCAAGGUCCUCGAUCUGUCUCGCACAGGUAUUGAAAAUUUGCCAGACUCUGUCUCUGAUUUGGUGAGUCUCACUGCAUUAUUGCUCAAUGAUUGUACGAGAUUAAGACAUGUUCCAUCAUUAAAGAAGCUCAGGGAACUAAAGAGGUUGGAUCUCUGUGGCACUGCACUUGAAAAGAUGCCGCAAGGAAUGGAAUGCCUAACCAACCUGAGGUAUCUUAGAAUGAAUGGAUGUGGUGAAAAGGAGUUUCCUAGUGGGAUAUUACCAAAACUCUCUCACCUGCAAGUCUUUGUACUAGAACAGUUUACGGCGCGAGGUGAUGGUCCAAUAACAGUUAAAGGAAAGGAAGUAGGAUCCUUGAGAAAUUUGGAAAGUCUGGAGUGCCAUUUCAAAGGUUUCUCUGACUUCGUGGAGUAUCUCAGAUCUUGGGAUGGGAUCCUAUCAUUAAGCACAUACAGAAUUUUAGUAGGAAUGGUGGAUGAAGAUUAUUCGGCAUACAUUGAAGGUUAUCCGGCAUACAUUGAAGAUUAUCCAAGUAAAACAGUUGCGUUGGGUAAUUUGAGUUUCAAUGGAGAUAGAGAUUUUCAGGUCAAGUUCUUAAAAGGCAUUCAAGGACUGAUUUGUCAAUGCUUCGAUGCAAGAAGUUUAUGCGAUGUUUUGUCAUUAGAGAAUGCAACUGAACUGGAGCGUAUCAGAAUUGAGGAUUGCAAUAACAUGGAGAGCUUGGUUUCAUCUUCUUGGUUCUGCUAUGCUCCACCACCAUUGCCAUCAUAUAAUGGUACGUUUUCUGGUCUUAAAGAGUUUAAUUGUUGUGGAUGUAACAAUAUGAAGAAGUUGUUUCCACUUGUGUUGCUGCCAAACCUCGUAAACCUGGCAAGGAUUGAUGUUAGUUAUUGUGAGAAAAUGGAGGAGAUAAUAGGAACAACAGAUGAAGAAAGCAGCACCUCCAAUCCCAUCACAGAAUUAAUACUCCCAAAGUUAAGAACUCUGAAUUUGUGUCAUUUACCAGAAUUGAAAAGCAUUUAUAGUGCAAAACUUAUUUGCAAUUCUCUUAAAGAUAUUAGGGUAUUGCGUUGUGAGAAGCUGAAGAGGAUGCCAAUUUGUCUUCCGUUGCUUGAAAAUGGCCAGCCAUCCCCUCCCCUUUCUCUUGGAGAAAUCGUAGUAUAUCCGGAAGAAUGGUGGGAGACAGUAGUGGAGUGGGAGCAUCCUAAUGCUAAGGAUGUCCUUCGUCCCUUUGUGAAGUUUUUGUAGGAGGAGACUCCUCUGCUGCCCUUAAUAUAAUAUAAUAUAAUAUAGAACAGAGGGUAAGCAUCAUCUCUCUCAAUCGAAUUGUACCUUUCGUAUUGUUAAUCCUUUCGUUGUUAGAAUACUUCUUUGUUGCAUCAUUUAUCAUUUCUAUCCUAAUGCAAAGGAUGCCCAAAGGACCUUUUUGUCUCGAAAUAAUUAAUAUGUAGAAUGGUUAAUUACUCCGUUAAAUGUAAUAAUACGUAUCCUUCUUUGUUGCAUCAUUUAUCAAUUCUAUCCAUCUGUAAAAAUACUAAUCAUUUUUGUAAUCUUAAAUUUGCUCGUAUUCAAUAAUAUAUCAUUUUUUUCAGUCAUUUUUGUUAAAAAUCAGGUGCAAAACAUAAUUAUUUUCGAUAUGAAAAUAGCCCUUUAAAUCAACAAGGAUAUUCUUAUUAAUUAAUAUUGAAAUAAUCCUUCAUCCCUUUGUACCUUUUUUUAAAAAACUCGAUAGAUAAAUAAUUAUAAUUUGAAGUUUGAUUAAUAUUAUAUUUUCAUCCUAUUGAGUUUCUCCAAGAUGAAAAUCCUAUAUUGAUUUAUCAUUAAAGUAACCUAAUAAAUAUACAUUUUCUUAGCAGCUUCUUCGAAGUUUCAACAUUCACCUCAGCACUGUCAAAAUCAUUCUAAAAGUAGUAAUGGUUUUUUUUUUUCUUGGAAACAGCUUGGAUGCACUUUCCACUCAUAUAUCGGGUUGUUGUGAUUCUUGACGCGUUAUCUUAUUUGUAAACAUUGUGUUUUUAAAAAAUUUAAUUUGUUUUAAAUAAUUUUUUUAUAUUUUAAAAUUAUUUUAAUAUAUUUUUAAAUAAAAAAUAUUUUAAACCACCACUACUCUUUCAUCCAAAAAUGUUUCCCAGCAAGGUUGUUAAAAUCAUGAGUUGACUCUUAAAAUCUUACGAUUUUACGAGUCAACAUGUAUAUAACGUGUCAAAUCAGGUUAAAACUCGAAAUCGGUCAAACUCGAUCAAACUCAGUUAAAAUCGGUAAAAUCGGACCAAUUUUACGAGUUUAACCGAUUUUGAUCGAGUUUGACCGAUUUCGAGUUUUAACCCAUAAAAGUUAAAAAAAUUAUUGUCUCCCUAUCCGAGUCCCUUGACACUCCACUACACACUCCCCACUCCCCAUUCUCCCCUUUUCCUGUUGCUCAAAUCUUAAAUUUUCAAUCUUAGCAGACUAAUACCAGCAUUAAAGGAUCUUGAGUAUGAGAAAGCCUUAUACUGUAUUUUAGGCCGAGAAGGCAUGAUCGAAGGAUCAAAACCAUGGGAAGACAAAGGUAGAUGGUGAGGAAUCAAAGGAGUAAAAUAAGAGAUAUGAAUACUUAAAUAGAGAGAAAUAUUGUGUUUUAGACUAACCAUUUGUCAACUACAAAGAGAGACGACAAAGACUCAGAGAGAACUUGAAAUACAUGUCUUGCUUGGUGGGAUACUUGAACAUUAUUUCUAAGACUUGUUACUAACAUAAAAAAGGUGGAAGGUGAGGUCGAUGGAGAUGAGGGAGCUGGGUUUGUCCGCUGUGGGCAGAAGCUGCCGCUGUUGGAGGUUGGCUGGAGGAGAGAAGGCUGGGUCGGUCGGCUGGAGAAGAAGGCUGGGUCGGUCGGCUGUUGGCUUUGUUUCUUCAGUUUUAGCCGGGGAAGGGAGAGUCUGUGGAGGCUGGCUUACAGAGGUGGAAGGUCCAAUGGUGGUGGCUCAGGCGAAGAAGGAAGGAACGGCGUCGGGCAGGAAGUCUGUGUCGGUUUGGGCGAGAACUUGAGGAAGUGGGGGGGGAAGGUGGAGCUGCUGUGUUUGGGCUGUUUAGGUAUGGCUGGGAGAGGGAAGGUCUGGAAAAUGGGGGAAGAUGAGAGGAAAGGGAGGGGCGCCGCUCCUUUUGUUCUCUGAUUUUUGGCCGGGGGAAAGGGGGCUUGAGGAAAUGGUGAGGCGGCUGUGGUUGAAGAGAAUGAGCUUGUCUCAUGGCCGGCUGCUGAGGGGAAGAAGAAAAUCCCAGGGGAGGGGGCGGCUGCUUUGGGUUAGAUAGGUUUAGGGUUAGGUUUUCCCCUUUUUUGUGUUGCCUCUCGCAAAUUACAAAAUACCCCCCUCCUUUGUUUGAGUUGUGGACCAAUAUUUAUAGGUAAAAUGUUGCAUGGAUUUCAAAAUUGGUCCCUUAACUUUCUUUUUUUUUUGUAAAUUUGAUUUUUCUUAAUUUUUUUGUAUUUUUUGAAACGAGCAAUAUCAACGUCGACUCAAUGAAGAAAAUCAAUGAUUUUAAAAAUAACGCGUUAAAAGUUGAACGCGUUCCAAAUGUCUUUGAAAAUUUAAAUUCUUUUGAGACGAUGCUAAAAAUGAUAAAAACGAUGCAAAUGUAUUAAAAACGUAUUUUUUGGAUUUUCAAUGUUUUUUGCUAUUUUUGAAUUUUUUCUGAAAAUUUAUCAAAACAUGGGUCAAAAAUUGGGUAGCAACAAUUAGCUUAAACAAAGAUACUUAUUAAAAGGAUAGAUUAGAAAAGGGAAAUUUAAGAGUAAUUAAACUUGUAAAAGCAUGUUGAAGACCAUAUCUAAAAUAUAAGGACUAAUUGGGAAGAGUCUUCAAAGAGGAAGGACUACUUUUUUAUGGGAUGGUGGGCGAGUUCUCGGAAUUGAAAUGGUCAGGGAUGCAGAGAAGUGUCAUCAUUCCCAUCGCUGUUAUCGCCAACGAAGAGUCCAAAUUAAUCCUGGCCAGUUAUGGAAAGUCGUCGGAGGGCAACUCAUUUUCCUAAAGGAUUGUUUGGCAAAGCGUACACUUGCAUAAAGGAGUGGUUGAGGCUCUCUUGAAAAUUUAGAGGUCUAUAAUUAAAAGUAACGAGAUUAGAAUGGGUUUGAUUGGGCAUGUUUGGUAUCGCUAUGUAAAUUGUGUUUUUUUUUUAAUUUUUAAUUUUUUUGUUAUUUUUUUAUAUGUUUAGAUUAUUUUGAUAUACUGAUAUCAAAAAUAAUUUUUUAAAAAUAAAAAAAUAUUAUUUUGAUGCAUUUCUGAGUGAAAAACACUUUAAAUCGUAACCACUAUCACAAUCCCAAACAGACCAGAAAUGUGGUAGCGGUUGUGGUUUAAAGUGCUUUUCGCUUAAAAAUACAUCAAAAUAAUAUUUUUUUUAAAAAAUUAUUUUUGUCAUCAGCACAUCAAAACGAUUGCAAAACAUAAAAAAAUUUAAUCUUAAACAAAAAAAUUUUAAUUUUAAAGAAAUACAGUUUGCACAGCGUUUCCAAUCAGAAUCAAAUUUUGCUCCACCAGUCUUCUGCUCUGAAUAUUGAAAUUUAUUAUUCACUUAUGUCUUUGAUUUUGCCCAUUCGAGUUAAGCUAACAUGACUCCAUCUAUUUUUUUCAAUCAAUUUUACAAAAAAAAACCACUUAAUAAAUUUACCAAAUCUCCAUUUUGAAUUAUAAAAUAAGUUAUAGAUUUCAAAUCCAAUAAUGGAUUUAUUAAAGAGAAAAACAAUUUACUAUGUAAAUACAAUUUGAAUUAAAAGUCGAAUAGAGUAGCAUUUUUAGCACGAAAACUAUUGUUAAAAUAUUUUUAUUCUUAAGAAUUUAUGCAAAACAAUUAGAAAACUAAUUCAGGGAUCAAAUAUUUUAAUGAAUUAUAAAAUUGACUAUAAACUUAAAAUUCUUGAAUUUACAAUAUAAACUUCUUGAAUCAUAAGAUAAAAACUCAUAUAAAAUUAUAAUUUUGUAAUAAAUAUGAAUUCUUGGAUCACAUAAGCUUGAGACAUGGAUAAUGUUUGGAGCAUUUAAUACCGGACCUCCUUGACUUAAAUUUUAUUUUAUAUUUAUAAUAAGGAAAAGGCACCAUGGGGUUGAAACCUUUUUAUGCUCGGUUGCUGGCAUUUGGGACCAUGUAUCAAGAGAGAAAAAUAGUGUAUUAUCUCAGGUUUUUUCUAAGCCUUGGAUGCAUUUUUUAAUUUUAAUCAUUGAUUGUUUUGUUUUCAAUUUUAUCUUCAUAGAUUGUGCUGACUGCUAUGGAGUUUUAACUCUGAUGCAGCAGCUUGCUGGGUUGAACUGAGUCCUGUAUUUCCUAAUUAGCAGCGUGCAAUAAACAGCAUUUAGCUUUUUCACUAAUGAGAAGCAUGCCAAGAUAUAUACAAAACUGGAACUCAGAGAUUCUGUAUAAUUUCUAAGCCAUAUCCAUGUCAUAGAGGCAAAAAAGCACUCACACUUUGCAGGAUUAUUAUUUUUUUAAUUAAAAUUUUUUUAAAAAAAUAAAAAAUUAUUAUUUAAAAUAAAAAACAUUUUAAAAAGGAAAGUAUGUUAUUGUUUCCAAUAUUCACGUGUUUACAUUUUAUAGGCAUCUUCUUCCGAGCUUCAUAAUAGGGGUGGUGACUCCAAACGUUAACUUCCUAGCAAUAUUUAUACCUUUUUGAUAAUUAGAUACACCACUGAUUUUUGGUUUUAUAAUAUGAUCACUUCAUGUUUAUCAUGAUAAGUCAAAACAAUUAUACAUAUAAAAGUCAUAAAUAUUCCAUCUUAAUUAAGCAAACUUGAUAGAUAUAACUUUAAGAUAUGAGGCAAAGAGUUAGCAGGGAGUAACUGGAGAUAGAAGACCUGAUAUUUGCCUCAUCACUAGGCAGAGAGCAACAUACGCCCUUUUAAUAUCAAAAAGCUAAAUUAGCAGCCUUUGAGGUUACUUAAAUUAAAUAUUUAUUUAUUUAUUCAUUUAUUUCCAAAUAUUUACCUUAAGAAUGAUAAAUGGGUGCACUGGUUAUAGCUAAUCUGUAAUAUAAAAGAUUUAUAGGUAUUGUUUGAUAUAUGAUUUUGAUUUUCUUUUUAAAACCAUAUUUUUAAAUAGACACAUAAAAUUUAUUGGUUUGGAUAAAAAGUUUAAUUAUUUGAUAAUCUAAGAUUUUUAAUACUAGGAAGCUCGCCACAUAUAUGUCACAAGCAAGCAAUUAUUUGGUUGAAUAAGAGAUACACACACUGAGUGUGAAAGUUUACACACUUCAAAGUUUAGUUAAAGAUAAGAAAAUAAUUGUUAAACCGUGUUUAUUUUAAAAAACUUAAAAUUUAAAAUUUAACUAAAUAAGAUAUUGAUUGAGUGGAAUUUAAUCGAUCAAUCAAAUCAAUCUAGUUCAUAUUUAAUUGGAUUAUUAAAAAAAAUGAAAUGAUAUUAUUUUAAUAAAAUAAUUAAUCUAGUUUAUAUCUAAUUAUUUUUUAUUUAAAAUAUAGUUUUAAUAUUAACACAUUGAAAUGAAAACGAUAUAAAAAUAUUAAAAUAAAUUUAAUUUAAAAUUAAAUAAAAAAAAUUAAAGUUUUAUAAAAAAUGACUGCACCAUGUCUAGUCAUAUAAGUUAACAGAUGUGUUUAGAUGGGAGGUAAAUUGUGUUUUUUUAGGUUAAAAGUAUAUUUUUUAAACUUUUGAAAAUAUAAUUUAUACUUAAUGUAAUAAGUUUGGGUUGCUUCCUGGCAACUUCCUUCCUUCCUAUCAAACAAUACGUUAAUUAAUUAUUAUUAUUGAGGCGACCGCGCUACUGUAACAUUCUCUUCCACAUCUCAUCUCAUCUCACAAUUCCCUGUUUUCCUUUCCACAUCUCAUGAUCAGUGCGAACUAGAUUUAUGUAUGCUGCAACUUUAUUAUUUUUCUAAGCCAUAUAUUCUUCUCUGAUCUGUGAUUUCUCUUCCUUUUCUUUUGGCUGAUCACUGCUUAAGCAAGCCAGCUAGCACUUGAAGAACAUCUUGAAUCCAGGUAUAUUAAUUGUACUUCAUCUUGUCUGAAUCUUUAAAGUAAUCCAUGAUAAAUUAAUCGAUCUUUUUCUCAGAUUUUGUAAUCCAUGCCCUGUGGUGUUCAUACUGAUUAAAUUAACCCUAAACGUUGAAUUCAUUGUUUUCGUCUUUUCAAAAUUCUUUGCUGUUUUUAACUCCUUAUAUAUGGGAUUUCUUUUCCAAUACUAGAUUUUGUAAUCCAUGCCCUGUGGGACUGCCAUUAAUUAUUUUUAUCCAAUAUUUUUCUGACAUAAUGAUUCAAUGAAGUUGUCUCUUACUGAUUCAUGAAUUAACUUGAUCAGUAUUAAUUACCUUUCAUUAAACUUGUUUACAACAAGUGACAAAUAAUUUAGCAUUAAAACACAGAAUUAAAUAAUUAACAGCAACAUUUAUAUUUCCUAUUUUUCAUCCGAAUUUCUUUAACAGCUAUAUAUAUAUUCUUAUCUAAUCUGUGCUUUCUGUUCUUUUUUAAACCUCAGAUGGAAGGAGUCCCACCGUCUUGUAAUGAGGAUGAUGUCAACUUGACAUCGAAUCAGUUCGAUUUUCAAUCACCAGAAGAUUCAUUCAAUAUUUCUGAGUUUCUCUCGUACGUCAUUCUUAAGCAUAUUUUAUCAGAAGAUGAUUACUUGCAAUUUAGUUAUUCUACAGUUUUUCUUAUUAUUCCCGUAAAAGAAUAAUGUUCCUAAUAACAAAUUAAGCAGGACGCCACCGGAGUUUCCAGGCAACCAAAGCUUCAUGUUAUGCAAUGAUCAUGUUGGUCAGAACAUGGUGGUGGAUAACAAUGUGAUCAACGAUAGUAUUCAACAAACAACUGAUCGGUUUCCACCUUCAUUUCCUCAAACCAUGGUGAGUGCUCAUGCCUACUCCAAUUUGCUACAAUUUCCAUUGAAUUAGCAAGUGUUUGUAUCACCCAUUGGAUCAAAAAGUUUUAUGUUUUCGUGUAUCAAUUUAUCUCAAGCAUCUUCAAAAUGUUUAUUGUUAAACAAACAGACAACAAUGGGAGAUUUAGAUGGAACAUCAUCGUCAUGGAUCAACCAAAAUGAACCAAAUUGGCCUCAAGCUCCACCAAGGUACAUAAUAUUCAUCAUUAUUUAACUUCUUCUUCUUGUUCACACUAAAUGAAUUCAUUAUAUUUGAAUAUAGGUGUCAGCCUAAUCCUAAUUUAUUUGAUCCUCAAUGUGCCAAUCCUUUGAGGUAAGCUAAAAUGAUAUCAAAUGCUUAGUGGAUUAAUAGCAAAGAAUUAUGCAUAUGUAUAAAGAAAUCACUAACAAAUGUUGCUAAUUUAGGGACCAGCAAUGGACUCAUUAUCAGUUACCAUUGAGCAAUCAAGUGCCUGCGAUGUUACCUGUACCUCAACCUCCAAUGAAUCAACGGUAUUCACCUCAAAUAUACACUUUUUUAAUCAUGAAAACAAUAAACUUGACUAAAAUUGACAAGGUCGAGGAUCUUCCAAGUCUUUUUGAGCUCUCCAUCUCUCUUUUUUGUGAGAAUAACAGUUCUAUGUUUAACUAUUUGAAUAUUAUUCAGGCAUCAGAACUCCUUUAUUCAUCAACCUCGGCCGGGACAUGGCUAUAUGACACCGAACGCAACCACUUCUCAACAUGGUGGCUUCAAUCAAUCUGGACCUUCUUCUCCUGCUCCCUGGUAUCCAAUUUUUCAUUUUUAGUAUUUUCUGUAAUAAAAACAAUUAGUUUUUCUAGCAAGAUAAUCAUAAGUUUGUUUACGAAUGAUUUUGGAUUUAGGAUUCAAACUUUUUGUAAUGAAGGACAAGUAGAUCAAGCUACUGUAAUUCCUAACAUGGACAAUAUGCAACAAGAGAACUUCGUGCCUAGGUACUAAUUGACUUCUAGCUGUUAUGUUUUAACACCGUAUUAAUACCUUUUUUAAUAAAAACAAUUAGUUUUUCUAGCAAGAUAAUCAUAAGUUUGUUUAGAUACACCAUUGAUUUUUAUUGCUUAAGAGAGACUGCCAAUUAUCAAAUGGUUUUAUAACAUGAUCACUUCAUUUUUAUAUAGGUCACAGAUGGAUAACCUACAAGUCCGAGGAUUGCAAAAUCAAAUUGCUAGGCCAAAUGCCUCAAAUACUCAACAAGUAAGAAGUCUAACUGAAUUAUCGUCGUCUUUUCCCCCUAUGAUUGUGCAAUAAACAAACUAUCAAUUUUAAUAGCAAAAUAAGGGUAGCUUCCAUCAAUUUUUAUUCUUUAUUUUGACCCCGGUUUUUUUUCUAUAGGUCGAAACGGUUGGAUCAAAGUAUCCAUUUCGGAUUCAUGUUGAAUAUAGGGCUGAUGGUAGCAUGAAGUGUAAGUUUUGUCAACGUACAUGGGCCAAUAAAACUUCCAUUUCAAGGUUCAAAUGGCAUUUAUCAGGAGAGGAAGGGCGUGGUGUUGCCAUUUGUCGUGGGGUGACUAAAGAAGUUAAAGAAGCAGCCUUUCUAGCUAUAUGUGGUGGCCACAAAAGACAAAAAAUCACAGCAAGUUCAGUCAAUGUUAAUGACUGUGGAAUUCCAACUUGUCUACAAGAACUAAACAUUGAGAAUGAAAAUACGGGAGGUGUUGGAAGGGUACAAAGAGAAGUUCAGGUUGUAGAACCCGGAGUAGUGGAAGAGAGGAUUUCUUCACAUGCAAUAGCAGGAAACGACGUAGUAAGCAUGACCGGAAUGAGAGCACAAGAAGAUAGAGUUUCCGAAGGGGCACUCGAGAGUAGACUGAGGACAGAACCAGUGGAUCGAUCGUUGGAACAAAGCAAUGCAGUACUUGGCAAUAUGGCAGGGGGUGCUGGAAGGAUACAAGUGGGAGUUCAGGUCAUGGAACAAGGUCCCGGAGAAGAGAGAAUUCAGUCGCAUCUACAAGCGGAAAAUGGCAUGGAAAACACUUGUGAAGGAUCUUUUCAGCAUGAUGCAUUUGAGACUGUACCAAGAACAGAGCAAGUGCAGCUUCUGGAGCCUCGAGGAGAUUCAUCCCAAUUUUGUCGUGACAUUGGAAGAUGUUAUGAUCAACCUUGUGCUCCAUCAGUAAACAAUGAUGCAAAUAGGCAUGAUGCGCAGGACAUGGUUAGAGUGAGGACACAACCANNNNNNNNNNNNNNNNNNNNNNNNNNNNNNNNNNNNNNNNNNNNNNNNNNNNNNNNNNNNNNNNNNNNNNNNNNNNNNNNNNNNNNNNNNNNNNNNNNNNNNNNNNNNNNNNNNNNNNNNNNNNNNNNNNNNNNNNNNNNNNNNNNNNNNNNNNNNNNNNNNNNNNNNNNNNNNNNNNNNNNNNNNNNNNNNNNNNNNNNNNNNNNNNNNNNNNNNNNNNNNNNNNNNNNNNNNNNNNNNNNNNNNNNNNNNNNNNNNNNNNNNNNNNNNNNNNNNNNNNNNNNNNNNNNNNNNNNNNNNNNNNNNNNNNNNNNNNNNNNNNNNNNNNNNNNNNNNNNNNNNNNNNNNNNNNNNNNNNNNNNNNNNNNNNNNNNNNNNNNNNNNNNNNNNNNNNNNNNNNNNNNNNNNNNNNNNNNNNNNNNNNNNNNNNNNNNNNNNNNNNNNNNNNNNNNNNNNNNNNNNNNNNNNNNNNNNNNNNNNNNNNNNNNNNNNNNNNNNNNNNNNNNNNNNNNNNNNNNNNNNNNNNNNNNNNNNNNNNNNNNNNNNNNNNNNNNNNNNNNNNNNNNNNNNNNNNNNNNNNNNNNNNNNNNNNNNNNNNNNNNNNNNNNNNNNNNNNNNNNNNNNNNNNNNNNNNNNNNNNNNNNNNNNNNNNNNNNNNNNNNNNNNNNNNNNNNNNNNNNNNNNNNNNNNNNNNNNNNNNNNNNNNNNNNNNNNNNNNNNNNNNNNNNNNNNNNNNNNNNNNNNNNNNNNNNNNNNNNNNNNNNNNNNNNNNNNNNNNNNNNNNNNNNNNNNNNNNNNNNNNNNNNNNNNNNNNNNNNNNNNNNNNNNNNNNNNNNNNNNNNNNNNNNNNNNNNNNNNNNNNNNNNNNNNNNNNNNNNNNNNNNNNNNNNNNNNNNNNNNNNNNNNNNNNNNNNNNNNNNNNNNNNNNNNNNNNNNNNNNNNNNNGAAGAGAAUUCGAAGGUGAUAUGGUCUUUGUUAAUGGAUGGGGAAGUCUUAAGCAUGGGUAUUUAUGGGAUGGGGGGAGUUGGUAAAUCCACAAUACUUCAACAUAUCUACAAUGAACUUCUACAAAAACCAGAUAUUUGUGAUCAUGUUUGGUGGGUGACCGUGUCUCAAGAUUUCAGCAUUAAUAGAUUGCAGAAUCUUAUUGCUAAACAUCUUGAUCUAGACCUUUCAAGAGAAGAUGAUGAUCUGUAUAGAGCUGCCAAAUUGUCAGAAGAACUAAUGAAGAAACAAAAAUGGAUUCUCAUUUUAGAUGAUUUGUGGAACAAUUUUGAGCUACACAAAGUGGGAAUUCCUGAGAAGUUAGAAGGAUGCAAGCUGAUUAUAACAACUCGAUCAGAAAUGAUUUGUCAUCAGAUGGCUUGCCAGCACAAAAUCAAAGUGAAGCCACUUUCUAAUGGAGAAGCUUGGACUUUGUUCAUGGAGAAACUUGGACGUGAUGUAGCACUUUCACCAGAAGUGGAAGGAAUUGCGAAAGUUGUUGUAAGGGAAUGUGCUGGUUUGCCAUUGGGAAUUAUUACAGUGGCAGGAAGCUUGAGGGGAGUGGAUGAUCUACAUGAGUGGAGGAAUACAUUGAAUAAACUGAAAGAAUCAGAAUUUAGGGACAUGGAUGAGAAGGUAUUCAAGUUAUUGAGGUUUAGUUAUGAUCAGUUAGGUGAUUUAGCACUACAACAAUGUCUCUUGUACUGUGCAUUAUUUCCUGAAGAUGAUGAUAUUGAAAGGGAGGAGUUGAUAGGUUAUUUGAUCGACGAGGGAAUAAUUAAAGGAAAAAGGAGAAGGGAAGAUGCAUUUGACGAGGGCCACACGAUGCUUAAUAAACUUGAAUAUGUGUGCCUAUUAGAAAGAGCUCAAAUGAUGUUUGGUUGUAGAUGUGUCAAGAUGCAUGAUUUGAUUAGGGACAUGGCCAUCAAAAUACUGCUAGAGAACUCUCAAGGCAUGGUCAAAGCAGGUGCACAAUUAAAAGAGUUGCCAGAUACAGAGGAGUGGACGGAGAAGCUGACGAGAGUUUCAUUAAUGCAAAACGAGAUCAAAGAAAUUCCUUCCAGCCAUUCACCUAGGUGUCCCUUUCUAUCAACUCUAUUGCUAUGUCGUAAUCGUUGGUUGGGAUUUAUUUCGGAUUCAUUUUUCAAGCAAUUGCAUGGGCUCAAGGUCCUCGAUCUGUUUUACACGAGUAUUGAAAAUUUGCCAGACUCUGUCUCUGAUUUGGUGAGCCUCACAGCAUUAUUGCUCAAUGAUUGUAAGAAAUUAAGACAUGUUCCAUCAUUAGAGAAGCUCACGGCACUGAAGAGGUUGAAUCUCUCUCGUACUGCACUUGAAAAGAUGCCGCAAGGAAUGGAAUGCCUAACCAACCUGACGUAUCUUAGAAUGAAUGGAUGUGGUGAAAAGGAGUUUCCUAGGGGGAUAUUACCAAAACUCUCUCACCUGCAAGUCCUUGUACUAGAAGACUUUUUUGAUGGAAGUUAUGCUCCGAUAACAGUUGAAGGAAAGGAAGUAGGAUCCUUGAGAAAUUUGGAAAGUUUGGAAUGCCAUUUCGAAGGUUUUUCUGACUUCGUGGAGUAUGUCAGAUCUUGGGAUGGGAUCCUAUCAUUAAGCACAUACAGAAUUUUAGUAGGAAUGGUGGGUGGAUUUAUAGGUCAACACAUUGAAUAUUUUCCAAGUAAAACAGUUGGGUUGGGUAAUUUGAGUAUCAACGGAGAUAGAGAUUUUCAGGUCAAGUUCUUAAAUGGCAUUCAAGGAUUGAUUUGUGGAUGCAUCGAUGCAAGAAGUUUAUGUGAUGUUUUCUCAUUAGAGAAUGCAACUGAACUGAAGCUCAUCAGCAUUUGGAAAUGCCAUAACAUGGAGAAGCUGUUCCCGCUUGUGUUGCUGCCAAACCUCGUAAACCUGGAAAGGAUUGAAGUGAUGUUCUGUGAGAAAAUGGAGGAGAUAAUAGGAACAACAGAUGAAGAAAGCAACACCUCCAAUUCCAUCAAGGAAGUCAUUCUCCCAAAGUUAAGAUUUCUGAAAUUGAUUGGGUUACCAGAACUGAAAAGCAUUUGCAGUGCAAAACUGAUUUGCAAUUCUAUUAAACAUAUUAUUGUAAGGUGGUGUGAGAAGUUGAAGAGGAUACCAAUUUGUCUUCCGUUGCUUGAAAAUGGCCAGCCAUCUCCUCCCCCUUCUCUUGAAAAUAUCUAUUCAAGUCCAGAAGAAUGGUGGGAGACAGUAGUGGAGUGGGAGCAUCCUAAUGCAAAGGAUGUCCUUCGUCCCUUUGUAUGCUACUGAAUUGUCAUAUGUAUGCUACUGAAUUGUCAUAUAUAUAUUUUAUCUCGAUAGAUAAAUAAUUAUAAUUUGAAUUUUGAUUAAUAUUAUAUUUUCAUCCUAUUGAGUUUCUCCAAGAUGAAAAUCCAAAAAAAAAAAGAAACUAUAUUGAUUUAUCAUUAAAGUAACCUAAUAAAAUAAUAAAUCUAUUCACUAUUAUAAAUCAUCAGUGAAAGUAUUCUUCUACACACAUUUUUAAAAUGUCUAAGAGAUAUCACAUUAAAGUAACCUAAUAAAAUAAUAAAUCUAUAUAUAUUUUUAAAAUGUCUAAAAGAGAGUAUGAAUAUGGCAGUUUUGGUUUCUAAACCUGAAACUGCCAUAUUCAUAAACACAUUUUUUAAAUAACUGAAACUUCUAAGACCAAAUUUAAUACUAAAAUUAGAAAGUAGCAUAGGCGUGAUUUUUAAAAUUUUGAUCCCUAUAAUUAUUAUCUUUUUUAUUUUUAAUUUUAAUCUAAAAUAUUUUUAAAUAGUUAAGAUUAAAUAAUUUUUUAACUUAAAACAAUUCAACUUCAAUAAAAUAUCAAAAUAUUAUGAAAUUAAAAUAUUUUAACACUAAUAUUUUAAAUAUAAAGUUAGGUCAAUGUUAUCAAGUCUAAUGAGAUCUAAAACAUCCAUUUAUUUUGCUUAAAUUCCUACAAAGUAUAAACUUGAAAAAAAAUAACAUGAAUAUAAACCAUAUAUAUUAGUGAUAAAUCUAAUUUUAAAAAAUUAAUAUAAUAGUUAAUGAAAAUAGUAAUGAAAAAGAGCUUUUUAUACUUUGAUAGUUUAAUUAAUUAAUUGAACCAGGUUCAAUUUGAUUUAAUGGCUUUUUAAGACCGGAACAGAAUAUAUGGAAUGAAACCGGAACAUUUUGAACGGAAUUUAGCCAAAAAAUCUGGAAGAAACCGAGAUUUAAAAUGAGAUAAAAAUUAUUUUAUUUUAUUUUAUUUUUUAAAUUAGUAUGAAAUCAUUACAAAUAAAACGAAACAAAAUUAACAACUUUCAUUUUAAUAUUGAUUUAAUAAAAAGAACUCCUAAAGCAUGUACGUGGCUGCCAAAAAAGAAAUCCUAAAAUUAACUCAAUUGGAAAAGAUCACGGUAUUUACUACCAAGAUUGUUAUGCUCGCAAUCAAAAUGUAAUUUGUUUUUGUACUCAGAAUUAUGUUUGAUUACAUUUAAAAAUAUAUUUAUUAAAAAAAUAUUAAAUUAAUAUUUUUAAUAUUUUUUUAUAUAUUAAUAUUAAAAAUAAAAAAAUAUUUUGAUUACUGCAUCUCCACCCAACUUAAAUCCAUGCAUUAUGAAGAGGUAAAAAAAAGUAAGGUUUUUUCUUUCUUUUUUUCCUCAAUGGAACACUCAGGACAUUAAAUAGAAUAACUUCAAGAAAAACUAAAAACGAAUAAGAAGCUCACGAAUAGUUAAGAGACGUAUUCACACCUAUUUCAUUGUAAAUUAUAAUAAGUAAUCCAAUGUGUUUUUUUUUCUUUUAUUUUUUAAAAUUUAUUUUUGUUUAUUUCAUACUGGAUGGUUUAAAAUUCAACUUUAUAAUUUAUUUAUUUUUAUUCUAUCUUUUUAUAAAAUUAACGUGAUUUAUACUAGUUUACUGGUUUAAUGAAGUAUUUUUUUUAUUUAUUAAUUAAAAAAAAGCUAAACAGUGUGGGAAAAUCAAUAUUCACCCACACCCAUUCACUCACUGAUCGAAUAUGUUUUUUUUUAUUUUUUAAUUUUUUUAAUUGUUUUUUUUUAAAUUUUGACCUUCAAUAUUAGAUUGGUUUGAAAAUAGACUAUAUGAUUUAUUUAUUUAUUUUAUUUUUAAUAUUAAUACAUUAAAAUUAUAAAAAAACAUUAAAAAAAUCUAUUUAUCUUUUUUGAAAAAAAAACUAAAAACAAAAGCAAUCACCUGCUCUUAAUUAAUCACAUAUUUAAUAUGUCAUUGUUAAAGCACACGUUUUUCAAUAAAAUUGAAUUUUUUUCUUUUUAAAUUUUUUUUUUUUAUCAAAAAUAAAUUUUAAAAAAUAAAAAACAUUUUAAAAAGGAAAGUAUGUUAUUGUUUCCAAUAUUCACGUGUUUACAUUUUCUAGGCAUCUUCUUCCGAGCUCCAUAAUGGGGGUGGUCCACACGUUAACUUCCUAGCAAUAUUUAUACCUUCAUAAUUGGGGUGGUCCACACUAAUCAUUUUUGUAAUGAUUGUAAUUCUUAUUCAAUAAUCGAUUGUAAGAAAAAUCGAAGACUAACAUGAACUCAUAGAAAGAAAUAGCGUUUAUUAAUAUGAAAUAUUUCUUUUUUAUAUAGUGUGCUUACAAUUACAUAAAUAAUAUUUAAAAUAAAAUUUCAUACCUUUAUUUAUUUUUCUCGUGUCAUCUUAGUCUUAUUUGGGGUAAAAAAAUUCAAAUUCAUUCUAUUUUUUUAAUUUUCCUUAUGAUUUUUUAAUUUUUAUUUUAAAGCUUUUUAGGUUUUAUGAACAAUAUAAAAAAAAACUAAAAAGAUUGGUUAGUCCACUAUACAUGAAGACACAUGUUCCUAUGCAUUAUAUUAAGGGUUUGUUUAAUAGUGUGGUAAAAAUUAUAUUGCAAAAUGUUUUUUUGUUUAGAAAUAUAUUAAAAUAAUAUUUUAAAUUUUUUAAUUUUUUUUAAUAUUAUCACAUUAAAAAAAUAGAAAAACACACAAAAAAUAAUUUAAAUUUUAUUUUUUCCAAAAUGGUAAUGAGCAUUUUUCCAAUCUGUUGGGGGUGAUGUUGGUGGGCUUGGUGCUGCCUCAAGUAGCUUUCCAAAGUUUUAACAUUACAGUUUAUAGCUCCAAUUCUUUUGCACAUUACCUUGCUUUCCCUGAGCGUUGGCAUGACAAUACCUAUCAUCUUUUAGAUGAAGGGUGUGUUUAAGAAUAUGAUUAUAGUUUUUUUUAUGAUGUUUUUUAUGUUAAAAUAUAUUAAAAUAAUAUUUUUUUAUUUUAUAAUUUUUUUUAAAUCAGCGUAUCAAAAUAUUAAAAAAAAUUAAUUUUUAGUAAAAAAAAUUAAUUUUUUAAAAACACGAAUACAACCUCGUUUCCAAACACUCUAAAAAACUAACACUCUUUCCUCGCAACAGGAGACCUGCUGGGCAUCAGACCGUCAAAAUCCCAUGCAUUUUUUUGCUGUUCUUCAUGAAGUUCUAUUGUCGGUCCUGCUUUGCCAGCAUCAGUCUCCUUCACUAGCCACAUGCAGAUCUUUGCUUUUUAUUUCAUCUGUUUAAAUUUUUUUUUGAAAAAGAAGAAGAUUUAUAAGCACUUAUAUUAAUUAUUGUACAUGUAAUAUUUUCACAGAAAAGAAUAUUGUAAUGUUAAAUACGUACACGGCGUCUCUCUGUUUUUUUUUUUUUAAAGCAUUUUUGUUUUUAAUUUCAUUAUAAUAAUUUAUUUCAAAAAGCUUAUUAUGAAGCUCUCACAGUUUAAGAAAAAACAUUUCAAUGUAGAGUUGAAGCUCUCACAGACAAGUCAAGGCCCAGAGUCGUGAAAUUCACUUUGAACCAGCCUUAAAAACGUGUGGGACAUUUGAAAAGAGUGGGGCUGCCUAAUUUGAAAAGAGGGGCAUUUGGCGUAAAGGAGACGUGUGGGCAUUUUUUUUUCAUUUGAUGUUUUUUUUGGUUACUUUUGUAUGCUUUCCUCUGUUCCUAAUAUCCACCUCAGCAUGUAGCAUCCCUCUGUUAUGAACACCAUGGGUAUAUUGGUAAAAUAGAAAAACAUUCACUAUAAUUUGUCUCACAAAAGUUUCAUGGUUAAGUAAAAUCACUCUGCUCUAAUAUACACACUCAAAGGCAGAAGCAUAAGAACUGCAACUUAAACCCACACAUAAACUCUGUUUGUUUUUAUAUUUUUAAAAUGUUUUUAAAAGAAUUUAAAUGUCAUAACUUGUUUAUUUUUACAGUUACAAUGUAUUUUUUAAAAAUAUAUUUUUAAUAUUUUUUUAAUUAUUUUGAUAUUAUGAUAUAAAAUAUAAAAAAUUUAAAAAUAUUAUUUUAAUAUAUUUCUAAAUAAAAAAUAAUUUUUUGAAAAUUUUACAGCAUGCAUAAAUAUUCUAUUCUUUUGUGAAAAUUUCAUGUGUUUAUAUUUUCUUGGCAGCUUCUUCGAAGUUUCAACAUUGGGGGGUCCACACGUCAACUUUUUAUAUCUUAUAAUAUAAUAUUUGUGUUUCGCAUGGAGUUUUUAUUAAAAUAUAAAUUAUAUUUUUUAAAAUUAAAAAUAUAUAUUUGAUAUAAAAAAAAACCAAAAUAAUCUCCAAACCAAACACUCUGAUGUUUGGUAGGUGAGCGGUGGGUUGCUUCCUGAAAACUUCCUUCCAAUCAAGCAAUACGUUAAUUAAUUAUUAUUUGAGCUGAUUAUUUUAUUUUUAAUUUUAUAUUCAUGGGAAUUUGAGGUUAAUAAUUUAUUUUAAUUAAUUAUAAAGUUCUCAAGGUAAAAAAAAAAAAAAAAAGCUUCAACGAUUAAUUUAAGUUGGUAUUUGAUUUGAUACCAUUUUAUUCAAUUUAAUUCAUUAAAAAUAAUUGAAACUUUGAACACCAAAUAUGAUACUGAAAUCAAAAAGUAGCCUGGUGUGUUUUUCAAAAUUCUGUUCCCUAGAGUUUUUGCAUUUUGCAUUUUAAUUUUGAUUUUUAAUUUUAAUUCAAAAUUUUAUUUUAUUAAUUUUUUAAUUUAUGAAUUUGAGAUAAAAAAAUUCACUAAAAACCUCGGAAAAAAUGGAAAAUUAUUGGCCGACAAUUUUGGCAACAAAAAAAACACGAUAAUCCUUGUAUUAAUGGAAAACUAGUGUGCAGAUUGGAUAGCAAAUCAUACUUUAUAGGUCGAGGGCUAAAAAUAUAAAUUUCCAUUGGUGUAGAAAAGUUCAGGUAUACUAUCAUAAAAUAAGAUAAUGGUUGAUGGUGGGAUAAUAAUUGUUUUUAAAUUAUAUUUUUAUUUGAAAAUAUAUUAAAAUAAUAAUUUUUUAUUUUUUAAAAUUUAUUUUUAAUAUUAAAAUAUCAAAAUAAUCUAAAAAUAUAAAAAAAAUUUAAUUUAAAAUAACAAAAAUAUCAAGUUUUUUAAAAAACAUGAUUCAACUGUGAAAUUAUUAUUAUUUUUGUCGGGGUGUUGGUUGUCUAGGUAGGGCCAGAAAGGUCAUGGGAUGGAGAGUUGCUGAUAAUCUCAUUAACCAUGACAUGGCUCAAAUGUGGGAGACUAAUUAAAAGUCUGUAAAGUUGUAUAAAUGUUUGUAAUUAAUAUUUUUGAAUUGUUUUUAUGUGGUAAUAUAAAAAAAAAAUUAAAAAAUUAUUUUAAUAUAUUUUUAAAUAAAAAAUGAUUUUUUUAAAAAAACUUCACACAAUACAAAAAUAUGCUAUUCUUUUUUAUAUUCAUGUGUUUACAUUUUCUUGGCAGCUUCUUCAAAGUGUCAACAUGGAGGCGGGUCCACACGUUAACUUUCUGUACCUUACUAAUAAAUAAUAUUAUGUAAAAGAGAUAGCGGCUGUAACGUUCUCUUCCACAUCUCAUCUCAUUAUUUUCCUUUCCUUUAUUAUUUUUCUAAACCAUAUAUUCUUCUCUGACCUGUGAUUUCUCUUCCUUUUCUUUUGGCUGACCACUGCUCAAGCAAACCAGCUAGCACUUGAAGAACAUCUUGAAUCCAGGUAAAUUAUUUGUCAUUCAUCUUGUCUGAAUCUUUAAAGUAAUCCAUGAUAAAUAGAUAGAUCUUUUUCUCAGAUUUUAUAAUCCAUGCCAUGUGGUGUUCAUACUGAUUAAAUUAACCCUAAACGUUGAAUUCAUUGUUUUCGUCUUUUCAAGAUUGUUUGCUGUUUUUAACUCCUUAUUUUAGAUUCACCCUUUUCUUUUCCAAUUAAUGGGACUGCCAUUUAUUUUUAUUCAAUAUUUUUCCACUUUCUUUUUCUUACAAUGAUUCAAUGUACUAUCUUGAUCGGUAAUUACCUUUCAUUAAACAAAAUAAGAAUAUUUAAAAUAUCAAAUGUGUUCAAGGGAUUCCGACUAUCUAUCUGCUGUUUGUAGAAUUUAAGCACUUUUUUCAUUAGUCACUUUUAUAAACUCAUUUAAUAUUUGCCUUUAUUCUUUUUAUUUGCUUCAAUGUGGAAUCGACACUCCAGAGAAUGUGAGAUUUUUUUUUUCUUUGCUAUGUGCUUUCUGUUCUUUUUUCACCUCAGUAUGUACUAAUCAUCUUGUACUUGUGGUCAGACGGAAAGGUUCCUCCCAUCUUCUAUGGAUGACUUGGCAGAGUUCGAUACUGAAUCACUACUUCUCUCGUAAGUCAUUCUUAAGCAUAUUUUAUCAAAAGAUGAUUGCUUGCAGUUUAGUUAUUCUUCAGUUUAUCCUAUAUAUUAUUCCAUGGAAGCAGGACGGCACCGGAGGUUCCAGUCAACCAAGGCUCCAUAUCAUGCAAUGAUCAAGGUGGACAGAACAAUGUGAUCAACGAUAGUAUUCAACAAACAACUCAGUUUCCACCUUCAUUUCCUGAUCAAACCAUGGUGAGUACUCAUGCUUCCUCCAAUUUGCUACCAUGUCCAUUGAAUUAAGCAUCAUAAUUCCUUUAUUCAUCAACCUCAGACGGGACAUGGCAAUAUGACACCGAACGCAACCACAUCACAACAUGGUGAAGUCAAUCAACCUGGACCUUCUUCUCCUGCUCCCUGGUAUCCAAUUUUUCAUGUUUAGUAUUUUCUGAAAAAAAAAAAAGUUUUUCAAUCAUUAUUUAACUUCUUCUUCUUCCUCUUGUUGUUGUACUUAUCAGUGAAUUCAUUAUGUUUGAAUAUAGGUAUCAGCCUUAUCCCAAUUUAUUUGAUCCUCAAUGUGCCAAUCCCAUGUUACCCGCACCAUCAAUGCCUUUGAGGUAAGCUAAAAUGAUAUCAAAUGCUUAGUGGAUUGAUAGCUAACAAUUAUGCAUAUGUAUAAAGAAAUCACUAACAAAUGUUGCUAAUUUAGGGACCAACAAUGGACUGAUUAUCAGUUACCAAUGAGCAAUCAAGUGCCUGCGAUGUCACCUGGACCUCAACCUCCAAUGAAUCAAUGGUAUUAACCUCGAAUAUACACUUUUUUAAUCAUGAAAACAAUGAACUUGACCAAAAUUGACGAGGAUCUUUCAAGUCUUUUUGAGCUCUCUAUCUCUCUUUUUUGUGAGAAUAACAGUUCUAUGUUUAACUAUUUGAAUAUUAUUCAGGCAUCAGAACUCCUUUAUUCAUCAACCUCAGUCGGGACAUGGCUAUUUGACACAGAACGCAACCACUUCACAACAUGGACCUUCUUCUCCUGCUCCAUGGUAUCCAAUUUUUCAUUUUUAGUAUUUUCAGUAAUAAAAACAAUUAGUUUUCCUACAUAGUAUUAAUACCUUUUUGAUAAUUAGAUACACCAUUGAUUUUUAGUGCUUAAGAGAGACUACCAAUUAUCGAAAGGUUUUAUAAUAUGAUCAUUUCAUUUAUAUAUAGGUCACAGAUGGAUAACCUCCAAGUCCGAGGAUUGCAAAAUCAAACUGCUACGCCAAAUGCCUCAAAUCCUGGCCCUGACACUUCCUUGCAAAGUCAAAAUAGGGGUUUAAAUUCUCAACAAGUAAGAAGUCUAACUGAAUUAUUGUCGUCUUUUUUCCCCCUAUGAUUAUGCUAUAAACUAACUAUCGAUUUUAAUAGCAAAAUAGGGGUAACAGCACUGAAGUAGUUUCUCAUCCAUCCAGAUAUGAUUUUUAUUCUUUAUUUUGACUGAUUUUGACCUCCCCUUUUUUUCCGUAGGUCGAAAUGGUUGGAUCAAAUGAUCCGUUUUGGAAUUAUGUUGAAUAUAGGGCUGAUGGUAGGAUGAAGUGUAAGUUUUGUCCACAUACAUAUGCCAAGGAUACUUCCAUUUCGAGGAUCAAAUGGCAUUUAUCAAGAGAGAGAGGGCAUAAUGUUGCCAUUUGUCCUGGGGUGACUACAGAAGUUCAAGAAAAAGCCUUUCUAGCUAUCUGUGGCGGGAACAAAAGACAGAAAAGCACAGCAAGUUCAGUCAAUGUUAAUGAGUGUGGAAUUUCAACUUGUCCACAAGAACAAAACAUUGAGAUUGAAAAUACGGCAGGAGGGAUUGGAAGGGUACAAAGAGAAGUUCAGGUUGUAGAACCCGGAGUAGGAGAAGAGAGGAUUACUUCACAUGCAAUAGCAGGAAACGACGUAGUAAGCAUGACCGGAAUGAGAGCACAAGAAGAUAGAGUUUCCGAAGGGGCACUCGAGAGCAGACAGAGGACAGAACCAGUGGAGGAGGAUGUGGAGAAUAGUCGAAGAUCAGUGCAGGUUGGUGCUGGAGCUAGAUCUUCUGAAAGUCUGGAAUACAACAAGACUAUAGGAAUUCCAUUACCUCCUAGCUCUACAAAGCUAGUGGGUCAAGCAUUCAAAGAGAAUACGAAGGUGAUAUGGUCUUUGUUAAUGGAUGAGGAUGUCUUAAGUAUGGGUAUUUAUGGGAUGGGGGGAGUUGGUAAAUCCACAAUACUGCGACAUAUCCAUAAUGAGCUUCUACAAAAACCAGAUAUUUGUGAUCAUGUUUGGUGGGUGACCGUGUCUCAAGAUUUCAGCAUUAAUAAAUUGCAGAAUCUUAUUGCUGAACGUCUUCAUCUAGACCUUUCAAGAGAAGAUGAUGAACUGCAUAGAGCUGCCAAAUUGUCAGAAGAACUAACGAAGAAACAAAAAUGGAUUCUCAUUUUAGAUGAUUUGUGGAACAAUUUUGAGCUACACGAAGUGGGAAUUCCUGAAAAGUUUGAAGGAUGCAAGCUGAUUAUGACAACUCGAUCAGAAAUGAUUUGUCAUCGGAUGGCUUGCCAGCACAAAAUCAAAGUGAAGCCACUUUCUAAUGGAGAAGCUUGGUUUUUGUUCAUGGAGAAACUUGGACGUUAUGUAGAACUUUCACCAGAAGUGGAAGGAAUUGCGGAAGCUGUUGCAAGGGAAUGUGCUGGUUUGCCAUUGGGAAUUAUUACAGUGGCAGGAAGCUUGAGGGGAGUAGAUGAUCUACAUGAAUGGAGAAAUACAUUGAACAAAUUGAGAGAAUCAGAAUUUAGGGACAUGGAUGAGAAGGUAUUCAAGCUAUUGAGGUUUAGUUAUGAUCGGUUAGGUGAUUUAGCACUACAACAAUGUCUCUUGUACUGUGCAUUAUUUCCUGAAGAUCAUGGGAUUCCGAGGGAGAUGUUGAUAGGUUAUUUGAUCGAUGAGGGGAUAAUUAAAGUAAAGAGGAGCAGGAAAGAUGCAAUUGACGAGGGCCACACGAUGCUUAAUAGACUUGAAAAUGUCUGCCUAUUGGAAAGUGCUAAAAUGUAUUAUGAUGAUAGUAGAAUUGUCAAGAUGCAUGACUUGAUUAGGGACAUGGCCAUCCAAAUACUGCAAGACAACUCUCAAGUCAUGGUUAAAGCAGGUGCACAAUUAAAAGAGUUGCCAGAUGCAGAGGAAUGGACGGAGAAUCUGACGAUAGUCUCACUAAUGCAAAACGAGAUCGAAGAAAUUCCUUCCAGCCAUUCACCAAUGUGUCCAAAUCUGUCCACUCUAUUUCUAUGUGAUAAUAAAGGGUUGAGAUAUGUUGCGGAUUCAUUUUUCAAGCAAUUGCAUGGGCUCAUGGUCCUCGAUCUGUCUCGCACAGGUAUUGAAAAUUUGCCAGACUCUGUCUCUGAUUUGUUGAGUCUCACUGCAUUCUUGCUCAAUGAUUGUCGGGAGUUAAGACUUGUUCCAUCAUUAAAGAAGCUCAGGGCAUUGAAGAGGUUGGAUCUCUCUUGGACUAUGCUUGGAAAGAUGCCGCAAGGAAUGGAAUGCCUAACCAACCUGAGGUAUCUUAGAAUGAAUGGAUGUGGUCAAAAGGAGUUUCCUAGUGGGAUAUUACCAAAACUCUCUCACCUGCAAGUCUUUGAACUAGAACGGUUUCCGGUGCUUCCAAUAACAGUUAAAGGAAAGGAAGUAGGAUCCUUGAGAGUCUUUGAACUAGAACGGUUUACGGCGCUUCCAAUAACAGUUAAAGGAAAGGAAGUAGGAUCCUUGAGAAAUUUGGAAAGUUUGGAAUGCCAUUUUGAAGGUUUCUCUGACUUCGUGGAUUAUCUCAGAUCUCGGGAUGGGAUCCUAUCAUUAAGCACAUACAAAAUUUUAGUAGGAGAGGUGUUUAGCUAUUCAGAGCAAUGCAUUGAAGAUUUUCCAAGUAAAACAGUUGGGUUGGGUAAUUUGAGUAUCAAUGGAGAUAGAGAUUUUCAGGUCAAGUUCUUAAAUGGCAUUCAUGGACUGGUUUGUCAAUGCAUCGAUGCAAGAAGUUUAUGUGAUGUUUUGUCAUUAGAGAAUGCAACUGAACUGGAGCGCAUCAGCAUUCGGGAAUGCCAUAACAUGGAGAGCUUGGUUUCAUCUUCUUGGUUCUGCUCUGCUCCACCACGAUUGCCACCAUAUAAUGGUAUGUUUUCUGGUCUUAAAGUGUUUUUUUGUUAUAGCUGUAAAAGUAUGAAGAAGCUGUUCCCACUUGUGCUGCUGCCAAACCUCGUAAACCUGGAAAGGAUUUAAGUGAAGCACUGGUGGAUUACUCGUGUUGGGAAAACAUUGAUGAUUUUCCAAGUAAAACAGUUGGGUUGGGUAAUUUGAGUAUCAACGGAGAUGGAGAUUUUCAGGUCAAGUUCUUAAAUGGCAUUCAAGGAUUGGUUUGUGAAUUCAUCGAUGCAAGAAGUUUAUGUGAUGUUUUGUCAUUAGAGAAUGCAACUGAACUUGAGUUCAUCGACAUUAGGCGUUGCCAUAACAUGGAGAGCUUGGUUUCAUCUUCUUGGUUCUGCUAUGCUCCACCACGAUUGCCAUCAUAUAAUGGUGCGUUUUCUGGUCUUAAAGUGUUUUGUUGUGAUGGAUGUAACAAUAUGAAGAAGCUGUUCCCACUUGUGCUGCUGCCAAACUUCGUAAACCUGGAAAGGAUUGUUGUUACUGAAUGUGAGAAAAUGGAGGAGAUAAUAGGAACAACAGAUGAAGAAAGCAGCACCUCCAAUUCCAUCACGGAAGUCAUUCUCCCAAAGUUAAGAUCUCUGAGAUUGUAUGAAUUACCAGAACUGAAAAGCAUUUGCAGUGCAAAGCUGACUUGCAAUUCUCUUAAAGAUAUUAUUGUAAUGUAUUGUGAGAAGCUGAAGAGGAUUCCAAUUUGUCUUCCGUUGCUUGAAAAUGGCCAGCCAUCUCCUCCCCCUUCUCUUAAAGAAAUCCAUGCAAGGCCAAAAGAAUGGUGGGAGACAGUAGUGGAGUGGGAGCAUCCUAACGCAAAGGAUGUCCUUCGUCCCUUUGUAAAGUAAUAUAAUAUAGUAUGCUUACAAUUACAUAAAUAACAUUUUUCAUUUUUUUUUAUUUCAUUAAAGACUACUGAAUUGUCAUAAUUUUUUUUUAACUCAAAUGAUAAAUAAUUAUAAUUUGAAGUUUGAUUAAUAUUUGUUUUUCAUCCUAUUGAGUUAUUAAACGAAAUAAGGAUAAUUAAAAUACCAAAGGUGUGCAAGGAUUCCCGACGCUCUACUGUUCGUAGAAUUCCAGUACUUUCUCCAUUAGUCACUCUGCUAUGUUUUAAUUUGCAUUUAAAAUUAAAUUUUAUUCUCUAUUAAAUCAUCUAAUAUUUUCUUCUGUUCUUUUAAUUUGUCCCCAUGUAGAAUCAAUGCUGUGAUGCCAUCACCGCAUUAUUCUUUGGAUGUAAUUAGUCAUUUAUUAUUGGUUAUUUUUUGGAUUCACUUAAAAAAACAAACACAAAAAAUAAUAAGAAUAUUUUUACCUUGGAUUUUUCUUCUUCUAGUUUAUCUCUCUAUUUCUUUAAAAUAAUAAUUAAUAAAAUGACAUUAAUUAAUUUAUAAGCACUACCUUAAUAUGUUUGAAUAUAUUUUUAAAAAUUAUUUAUAUUUAAAAUUGUGUUUGAUAUAUUUUUAAAAAUAAUUUAUCUUGAAAAAAUAUUUUUUAAUAUACUAAUAUUAAAAAUAAAAAAAAUAAUUUCAUUAAUGGAAUCUCCAAGCAACUUAAAUCCAUGCAUUAUGAAGAGGAAAAAAAAGGAAGAGAUAUCUACUACCUUAAUAUGCUAUUCUUUCUCAUAUCCACGUGUUUACAUUUUACAGGCAGCUUCUUCAAAGUUUCAACAUUAGGGGGGUCCACACGUUAACUUCCCAUAUCUUAUAAUAUAAUGUUUGGUAGGUAAGCGGCGGGUUCCUUCUUAGCAACUUCCUUCCUUGCUAUCAAACUUAUGUGAUUUUUCUAAUAUAUAUUUUUUUUGAUUUUUUGAUUUUUUUUAUUUUGUACUUUAAUAUUAGAUUGUUUUGGAAAUAAACUAUAUAAUUUAUUUUUAUUUAUUUUUUAUAGAAUUAUUAUAAUCUUAAAUAAAUAUUUAUUUUAAAUAAGCAUUUAUUUUUAUCAUAUAAUUAAAUAAAAAAUAUUAAAAUCAGUCUAUGUUAACUUUUGAAACUCGUGAUAAUAGCAAAAUUAACCACAUAGAAGGCAAAUUCAAUAAAAAAAACAAAAAUCUGACAUUUUUUCCCUAUUGUUACAUAAUCAGAUUCCAAUCCUAUGACAUAUUAUUGGGUUGGAUAGAUCAACCCAUGCCGACAUAGAUCAAUUUAAUAUAGUGUUGUUUUAAGAAUUUUGAAUUAUUUGAAAAACAAUUUGGCAUGUUUGGGAACCCAUUCUCCUAAAGGAUUGUUUGGCAAAGCGUACACUUGCAUAAAGGGAUGGUUAAGGCUCUCUUGAAAAUUAACAGGUCUCUAAAAAGUAACGAAAUUAGGAUGUCUUUGAUUCGGGCGUGUUUGGGAAUGCCAUGUUUACUUAAACUUUGAAUUUCUUUUUUAUUAUUUUUUUUUAUAUUUUUAGAUCUUUUUUAUGUGCUGAUAUCAAAAAUAAUUAUUUUAAAAUAAAAAAAUAUUAUUUUCCUGCAUUUCUAAGCGAAAAACACUUUGAACCGCAAUCAUUACCACAAUCUCAAACAAGCGGUUUGCGGUUGAAAGUGUUUUUCCCUUACAAAUGCAUCAAAAUAAUAUUUUUUAAAAAAAUUAUUUUUGAUAUCAGCACAUCAAAACGAUUUCAAAACAUAAAAAAAAUUAAUUUUAAGUAAAAAAAAUUUUAAUUUUGAGGGAACACGAUUUGCACGACGUUCCCAAACACGCUCUAAAUUAAAGUCGGAUUUUGCUCCACCGGUCUUCAACUCUGAAUAUUAAAAUUUAUUAUUCACUUGUGUCUUUGAUUUUGCCGAAUCGAGUUAAGCACACAUGACCCGAUCUUUUUUAAUCAAUUUUACAAAAAUCAAAAACUUAAAAAAUAGAAUUAGAAAUAAAAUUCCAAUAGAGUAUCAGUUUUAGCACGAAAACUAUUGUUAAAAUAUUUUUACUGUUAAGAAUUUAUGCAAAACAUUUAGAAAACUAAUUCAGGGAUCAAAUAUUUUUAUGAAAUUGACUACAAACUUAAAAUUCUUGAAUAUACAAUAUAAACUUCUUGAAUCAUAAGAUAAAAACUCAUAUUAAAUUAUAAUUUUAUAAUAAAUAUGAAUUCUUGGAUCACAUAAGCUUGAGACAUGGAUAAUGUUUGGAGCAUUUAAGACUGGACCUCCUUGACUUAAAUUUUAUUUUAUAUUUACAACAAGGGAAAAGGCACCAUGGGGUUGAAACCUUUUUAUGCUCGGCUGCUGGCAUUUGGGACCAGGUUCUGGGGACAAGCCACUUAAUGCCAAAAACUAGCUUGGUAGCCAAUAGUCAGUGUGUUUAGUUAUACUAACCACGUUUUGUAUAUAUUAAUUAGAUAAAUUUAGAAUUAUUUAUGUCAAUAAAUAUAUAAAAAAUGUUAAUGAGUCGAAUUAAUAAAUUUAGAAUGAUCUGUUGCACUAAAUCAAGAAGUUUAUUAGACUUAUUACUCUGUAAAUUUGCUUUCUGAGUGCUGAGCAUAUUGUGAUUGGGGAGAUUUGAUCCUCGUAUAAUUGUUGCUAGCUUAUUUGUGAGCCAUUUUUUUUCCCUUUCAGACAUGAACAGCACCUGGAGUUCUUGGGGCCAAAAUUAGAUUUUUGGCUAGAAAGAGUCUGUUUGAUCUCUUAAAUGGUACGAGCCACCAACCCUGAUGACUUGUGAGCUUCAAAUACGAACCAGGGUUAUUAUUCUAUCUUCUUCUUUUUUAAUCAUUAAUUAUGGUACAAUCCAAUUUUAUUUUAAUUUUUUUAUUGUUAUUUUAUAGUUUUUUUUUAUUUACUUGAUUUUUCAAUUAUGUCUCUUGUUUUUUUAUUUUAUUUAAUUUAAUCCUCAUUUUUUGAUUGAUUUUUUGAUUUAAUCCCUCAUUAUUUUUUUUCAUUUAGUUUUUAUACUAGAUUUGAUCUUUAAUAUUUUGAUUGCUAUUUGAUUUAUUUUUUUUUUAAAAAAAUUAGAUGAUUAGAAAUUUAGCUUCAUAAUUUUUUUUUGUUUGUCUUCUAUGAGGCGAUCUUGGUCUCAUAACCCGAGUCACGAGUUUCAAAGAUUAGUUUGAUUUACCUUUAGUUUUUUUAGGUCAUUAAAAAAAAAGAUUUUUUUUCAAUAUCCUUCAAUGUUGGGUUAUUGGGCCUUGAGUUUCAUGAUUUUCUUUGCUUUUCUUUUUAUAAGGUUAUUCCGGUAUCAUAUCCUAGGUCACGAGCUAGUCAAGUUAACCUACAUUGACACUUGUUUUUUUUUUUUUCUAGUUUUACCUUUUAUCAUUUAGUUUGCUUGAGAGUUAAACUCCAUUGUUUUAUUCGAUUCUUAUAUGCAGGCUUAUCCCGAUCAUGAUUUGGUGUCCUAACUCGAGUCGUGUUUUUUAUUCUUUUUUGAAAUUGAUGUUUUUUUCCGGUUUAUUUUUCAACCUUUGUUUUGCUGGUAAUUGAGCGUCAUAUUUCUUUUAUUUUUCUUUUCAUGAGGUAAUCUUAUUUUCAUUGAAUUUUUAUGUUGUAAUAAAAUAAGAUAGUUAAGAUCUUUUUAAAAAAAAUUAGAUGGUAUCUUUUAUAAUAUUAACAAGCGUUUAUUUUUUCUAAUUAAUCAUUGUUGUUUUUUAUCAUUUGUUUAUAUAUAUAUAUAUAUAUUAAUCAAAUUUAUUAAAUCCAUUCGAAUCAAUAACCUAAAUUUCAAAUUUUUAUUGUUGCUUUUAAAAAGCUAUUAUUAUUAGGAUAUCUUUUUAUAUUAAAAAAAUAAUAAUUCAAAAAACAGUGUAGCACUACAUAGGCACCCACCACUUUAGCAAAUUGGAUAUCCCACUUGCUUCAUUGGUUUGGAUAAGGGCUAGCUUCGUACAAGCCCCCAACUUAUAACCAAUUCAUGAUUGGGUCCUUAUUGUUUUCUUUAGUGACGUCUUUAAUGCAUAAAACAUUCUUAGUUUUGCCUUGUAUUCAAAUCCGUCGAUGAUUUCUAUUUAAAAGCUGUUUUUGUUUUUUUUUUUUUAAAAAGAAAAAAGAAAAGAGAGAACUGGACAUCUUUUAAAAGUUUGUAACAAUCUUACAUGAAAGGACUAAAUUGAGGAUUGUCAUAGAAUGAUGUAUUUAUUAAUUUAAGAGCUUUACCCACUAGUUGAGGAUGACACAAAUUGCCACUGAUGUAUCCCACGGCAUAUGUACCAAUGCAAUGCCUAUGAAAACACGACUUGCUUACACAAGCAACAAACACCACAUAAAUUUCUCUCUGGCCAUUUAAUAUUCUUGGACUUUUGGCUAAAGAAAAAACAAACAAAAACACGUAAAUUUCUCUCUUGGCCACUCGAUUCUUGGACUUUUGGCUUAUUCAUCAACACCAGUUCAAUGGUCCCAUUAAUUCAAUAACCACUGAAAUUUCUAAGGAAUGCUCAAUAUUCUCUCUCUAUAAUCUCAUCCAAAGCCUUCGUGAAAGACACAACGGGGAGACUUUAAUCAUCAAAAAGCUAAGUCUACGUAUAAUUUUCCACUGCAAUAUAAACCAGCAACUUAUUGGACAUUUCUUGAUUCCUUGCAGUCAAUCUGGGAAGCCUUUCGGCUCUCUUUUACACGUUAAAAUUUAGUGGGAGGAUCUCGUAGAGACUGGAAAUGUCUUGGCACGGAUUUGGACUAACACGAAUCACUAGCACAUGUACAUUUCAUGGCCUAGCUAAAACUUGUCAUCAAAGUCACUAUUAUCUCGAGAAGUAGUAGAAUUUCCUAGGCUUCACGCUGCUACCUUUUGAUUUGGUAAAAUUUUGUUCAAUUUAAUUCAUUAAAAAUAAUUGAAACUUCCAAGAUCUUUCCUUGUUAUUUUUAAACUAUAUAUUCUACUCUGUUCUUGUCUUUUUUGCUGAAUACUGCUUAAGCAAACCAGCACUAGAAGAACAACUUGAAUCCAGGUAGAUUAUUUAUACUCCAUCUUCUUCAUUUUGUUUUUCACAUGUAACUCUGGUUUGAAUCUUUCAAGGAAGUCACAAGUUGUAGAAAUUCUAAUGAGAAACUUUGGAGUUAGGAUCAUCAACAGUUUCCAAAAAUAAAAAUAAUUUGAUCUUUCUCAGUUUUAACAAUCCAUGCCUUAUGGAGUUCAUACUAAUUAAAUUGACCCUAAGUUAACCUUGAAUUCAUUGUUUUUUCUUCUUAAUUUCUUUGCUGUUUGUAACUUAUUAUUUUAGUUUCACCAUCCUUUUCCAAUUAAUGUACUUCCAUUAAUUUUUAUUCAAUAUUUUGACCCUUUUUAUCUAUAGGACAAAUUAAAUGGGUAGAUCAGAUGAUCCGUUUUGGAAGGAAGUUGAAGAUAUGAAUGAUGGAAGCAUGAAGUGUAAGUUUUGUGGGCAUUUAUUUGCCAAUGGUACUUCCAUUUCGAGGAUCAAAUGGCAUUUAUCAGGAGAGAGAGGGCAUGGUGUUGGCAUUUGUGGUCAGGUGCCUAAAGAAGUUCAAGAAGUAGCCUUUCUAGCUAUGCAUGUUGGCAACAAAAGACAUAAAAGCAUAGCAAGUUCAAGCAAUGUUAAUGAUUAUGCCAUUUCCACCUGUCCACAAGAACAAGACAAUGCAGUACUUGGUAAUUUGGCACAAGGUGUUGGGCCUGAGAGAAUUCAUUCGCGUGUAGAAGCGGCAAAUGGCAUGGAAUACACUGGUGAAGGAUCUUUUCAGCAUGUUGACAGAAGUGUCUCUCCUUGGGGACUCAGAGUUGAUGCUCAUGAGAAUAGAAGAGAAGCAACACAAAGAACAGAUUUAGUGGAUCAAUUUGCUGAUGGUACUUGGGUUCAGAUACACUCUGCCCUUUCAAAGGCGCAGAAGCUGAAUGAAAUCUCUACCUAUUUAAUGCAGGAAGAUGAGGAUGUGGAGCGUCUGCAUGAUGCAUUUGAAACUGUACCGAGAACAGAACAAGUGCAGCAUCUGGAGAGAGGUAGCUCUUGUGAGAGGCCAUCAAUUAAUCAAGCUGAUGAGCCUCGAGGAGAUUCAUCACAACCAACAGAUUCAUUGUGUCUUGAUCAUGGCAGAUAUUAUGAUCAACUAUUUACUCCGUCAAUAAACAAUGAUGUCAUUAUGAAUGAUGUGCAGAACAUGGUUAGAGUGAGGACAGAACCAUUGGAGGAGGAGGAUGUGGAGAAUAGUGGAAGUUCAGUAGUGCAGGCUGGCGCGGGAGCUAGAUCUUCUGAAAGUCUGAAAUACAACAAGACUAGAGGAGUUCCAUUACCUACUAUCUCUACAAAGCCAGUGGGUCAAGCAUUUGAAGAGAAUAUGAAGGUGAUAUGGUCUUUGUUAAUGGGUGAUAAAGUCCCAAUCAUUGGCAUUUAUGGGACGGGGGGAGUUGGUAAAACGACAAUACUGCAACAUAUCCAUAAUGAGCUUCUACAAAAAUCAAAUAUUUGUAAUCAUGUUUUGUGGGUGACUGUGUCUCAAGAUUUCAACAUUAAUAGAUUGCAGAAUCUUAUUGCUAAACGUCUCUAUUUAGAUCUUUCAAGUGAAGAUGAUGAUCUGCAUAGAGCUGCCAAAUUGUCAGAAGAACUAAAGAAGAAAUAAAAAUGGAUUCUCAUUUUAGAUGAUUUGUGGAACAAUUUUGAGCUACACAAAGUGGGAAUUCCUAUGGUGUUGAAAGGAUGCAAGCUGAUUUUGACAACUCGAUCAGAAACAAUUUGUCAUCGGAUUGCUUGCCAACACAAAAUCAAAGUGAAGCCACUUUCUGAGGGUGAAGCUUGGAAUUUGUUCGUGGAGAAACUUGGACGUGACAUAGCACUUUCACCAGAAGUAGAAGGAAUUGCGAAAGCUGUUGCAAGGGAAUGUGCUGGUUUACCAUUGGGAAUUAUUGUUGUGGCAGGAAGCUUGAGGGGAGUGGAUGACCUAUAUGAGUGGAGAAAUACACUGAACAAAUUGAGAGAAUCAGAAUUUAGGGACAAUGAAGUAUUCAAGUUAUUAAGGUUUAGUUAUGAUAGGUUAGGUGAUUUAGCACAACAACAAAUGUCUCUUGUACUGUGCAUUAUUUGCCGAAGAUAGUGAGAUUGAAAGGGAGGAGUUGAUAGGUUAUUUGAUCGACGAGGGAAUUAUUAAAGGAAUAAGGAGCAGGAAAGAUGCAUUUGACGAGGGCCAGACGAUGCUUAAUAGACUUGAAAAUGUCUGCCUGAUGGAAAGUGUUAAAAUGGAGUAUGAUGGUAGUAGAAGUGUCAAGAUGCAUGACUUGAUUAGGAACAUGGCCAUCCAUAUACUGCAAGAGAACCUUCAAUACAUGGUUAAAGCAGGUGCACAAUUAAAAGAGUUGCCAGAUGUGUUGGGGAAUUCCGGCACCCCCAUGCGCGGACCGGGGGUGUACUGAUAGUUGCUCAUCGGAGGGUAAAGCACACUGACACAAUAUUUUACGUGGUUCGGCAAAACCGCCUACAUCCACGGGAGAGGUUCAUUUUAUUAGAUAUAGAGAUACAUGGAAGAAGAUUACAUCUGCUGCAAUGGCAGCAAGGCUGCUGCCAUUGCAGCUCUCUCUUUUCUCUCUAUUCUCACGUUCUCUCUCUCAACCUUCUCUUCACUCUCACUUUGCUCUCAAAUAAUUGCCUCUUUUAUAGGCAUUUCAUGGUCAACAUUGGAGGGGCCAAUAGCCUUAAAGCAUGGCAUGAAUUGUGGCACAAUUCAUGCUUCCACUUGCUUAGUGGUGGGGUAUUGCCACAAAUGGCAAUAUCCUAACAAUCACCCCCUUUUGCCAUUUGUGUGGGCAAUUGUCCUUUUGCUUCUUCAGCACAAGCUUGCAUUCUGCAGCUCUUCCAAGCUUCCAUUCUGAGAGCGUCUUCAACACAACAUUCCUCUUCGAGCGUAUCAAUCAUGCUCGGUCCGGAAUGAUUUUUCAAGCCUUACACCAAGGCUUACAACACCCCCUCAAACGAAUAUUCCCAAGUGCGACGGUCAUUGAGUAUUUUAAUGUGAUCACAAGCUCACCACUCUUCCAAGAGUCUACUCAUCCAGGAGUUGCGUCUGCCCUCUGUUCCACCCUAGGAACCACGCCUUACUUCUCCGUGAGUCUCUCGCUCUUAGUCGUAAGAGUCCAGGUAGCUCUCCACCUUUAACCAUGGGGGCAGCCCAUUAAAGGUUGAUCCAUAUCUGUCUUCAUACUCUGAGUAUUACAAUGCCAUUACCGAGCUCACCACCUUGACAAAAGUCAACUCGUUCUCGGAACCUGCGCAUGCCCUUCUGCUUCUUCAUAGCAGCCGCGUCUUAAUGCUCCACAAGUCACACACUUAUUGUCCAAGGCAAAUGUCUUCUAGCUCAUUGAUCUUUAGCAUGGGGGCAAUAUCCAUGAAAGUCAAUCCUGCAUUUGUCUCCAUACUCAUCAUAGCCACUUCAUUGGCUAUCCAUACACCUGUCCACUCAUAUCUAGCCAUUACAUUGGCUUUGGGGUUGUUCUGAACUGGGCUCAUAUCGUGGCCCACACACCUUCUCCUUAGGUGUCUCCGCUCGUCACCAUGCGGCGGUCUGAACUGGGGCUUCUAUCACGGCCCUCACACUUUCUCUAAGGUGUCUUCGCCCGUUGUCAUGGGGCGGUCUGAUCUUGGGCUCAUAUCACGGCCCACACACCUUCUCUAAGGUGUCUUCGCCCGUUGUCAUGGGGCGGUCUGAUCCGGGGCUCCUAGCACGACCCACAUACACACCUUCCAUCUAAGGUGUCUUCACCUUUCAUAAGUGGUCGCAUCCUCCUUCAGCUGAGAUGCUUCAAAGUGGCUCCAAAAGUCUCUACCACCAUGUGCACUAUGGGAGAUCAUUGCCACUGAUUACAUAGAAAGAGAAACUUGCAGUAUACUCCUCGCAAUCCUCCACCUCGAUUUCUAUGUUUGGAGCUUCUGUGCCUUUCUGCUUGACAGCUCCACCUACACCAACUCUCUUUGGUGUCUUCGCCUUUCAUCAUAGGCGGUUGCCUUGUAUCACAGGCAUUUGCACCCCCUCAAUUAGGUGCCUCUGCAACAGCUCUCUUUCCAUCAUUGCAUGCAUUGGAAAGGUCUUCGCCUGUUGUCUUCAUUAAGAGCACAAGAGACUUCCUGUUGUACAAACUUUAACAGUCUCUGCUCUGAGCUUCAUCUGGGAACUCUUCUUCUCCUUGCACCUGUUGUCUCAUUACAGUACCUAGUUGGAUCUUAAGGGUACUCAUGCACAAUCUCCAUGUGCCCUCGUGCAAUUUCUGUUCUCCAGAUUUUUCCCCUAUUCCUUGCUUAUGUUUGACAGCAGCUCAUCCUGUCAGAACACCUAUCCAAGUCAAAAUAGGGUGCCAAUCUUUAUCCCUUGCCAUAUUUCUCUACCAUUAUCAGGGUCUUCAUCAAUUCUCCCCUCGAGAAAUCACAGUCACCGAAUCUAACUUCUUUGGAGAAAUCACCACUUCAUCAGAUCCUUGAUCAUACGGAACCCAACUGUUCCCUUGUGCCGUCAUCCUGCUAGUCUUCAACUGUUUCAUUACAAACUGCUAUAUAUACGAAAAUAGUACCGUAUGGAUAAUCCUUCCACUAAGCAAGUUCCUAGGAAAGAUUGGAGGGGUCACACUGGUCCCGCUUAAAACCCAAUCUCCUAGACAGAACUUCAUAGGCCAUAUCUAUCCAUCGUACUGUCUUUCCGUAUAUACAACCAUUUGCUAGCUUUGUCCCGGCCUUCCUUUACAAGUGAUCUGGAAUAUACUGGUUUAAUACAUGAUUUCUCAACAUCUGGCGAGACUACCAGUUCUUAGAUUCGUCAAGAUUGGUCUUCGUCAAUUUCCACUCUUCACCUCAAAUUGUCCACAUGAUCGGGUGUCCAGAGUGUCCCAAUUUUGCCUUCCUUCAAGGCAGCUAAAAUUCUACCCACUUAGCAGUUCGACACAUGUAAUUGGGUAAACAUGUGCACCUUCUUCUUCUUCAUCGCCAUCGACCACGUUGAUGACCUUCAGAUGCCUCCUAAUCGGGCAAUCUCUUUUCGCUAAUUCACCACUGCCAUUUUCGGUCUCAAAUUUCAACGAUCGGACCAUACCAGUGCAUCCGGAACGAUCAAAUUAGCUGAANNNNNNNNNNNNNNNNNNNNNNNNNNNNNNNNNNNNNNNNNNNNNNNNNNNNNNNNNNNNNNNNNNNNNNNNNNNNNNNNNNNNNNNNNNNNNNNNNNNNNNNNNNNNNNNNNNNNNNNNNNNNNNNNNNNNNNNNNNNNNNNNNNNNNNNNNNNNNNNNNNNNNNNNNNNNNNNNNNNNNNNNNNNNNNNNNNNNNNNNNNNNNNNNNNNNNNNNNNNNNNNNNNNNNNNNNNNNNNNNNNNNNNNNNNNNNNNNNNNNNNNNNNNNNNNNNNNNNNNNNNNNNNNNNNNNNNNNNNNNNNNNNNNNNNNNNNNNNNNNNCUGACUGUGUAUACUGACGUCAUGAUUACGUCAUGAUGACGUCAUCCAUUAUCCGGGUCUGGCAUGUGAGGUCGGGUCGUCUGGUAUUCGGGUCGGGUCAGCCCAUCCCGGGCGAAGAAGACGCGUGUGACGCGUGGCGCGCGUCUGUGCGCGUGGGCAGUAACCUCGCCGGCGCGUGGGCAGUUUCCGACGUCCGAUUUCGACGCGGUUUUCAACAGUGGCUUCGUCUCUUCCUCCUCUACACAGUGGUAUGGUCAAAACACAAUUUGGACAACUUUCAUUUUGAGCAAAAUCAAACACCCCUUUAAACCAUGUGCUCUGAUACCAAUUGUUGGGGAAUUCCGGCACCCCCAUGCGCGGACCGGGGGUGUACUGAUAGUUGCUCAUCGGAGGGUAAAGCACACUGACACAAUAUUUUACGUGGUUCGGCAAAACCGCCUACAUCCACGGGAGAGGUUCAUUUUAUUAGAUAUAGAGAUACAUGGAAGAAGAUUACAUCUGCUGCCAUUGCAGCUCUCUCUUUUCUCUCUAUUCUCACGUUCUCUCUCUCAACCUUCUCUUCACUCUCACUUUGCUCUCAAAUAAUUGCCUCUUUUAUAGGCAUUUCAUGGUCAACAUUGGAGGGGCCAAUAGCCUUAAAGCAUGGCAUGAAUUGUGGCACAAUUCAUGCUUCCACUUGCUUAGUGGUGGGGUAUUGCCACAAAUGGCAAUAUCCUAACAAGAUGCAGAGGAGUGGAUGGAGAAUCUGACGAUAGUUUCACUAAUGCAAAACGAGAUCAAAGAAAUUCCUUCCAGCCAUUCACCAAUGUGUCCAAAUUUGUCAUCUCUAUUUCUACGUGAUAAUGAAGGGUUGCGAUCUAUUGCGGAUUCAUUUUUCAAGCAAUUGCAUGGGCUCAAGGUCCUCGAUCUAUCUUGCACAGGUAUUAAAAAUUUGCCAGAGUCUGUUUCUGAUUUGAUGAGUCUCACUGCAUUAUUGCUCAAUGGUUAAUUUCGCAAGUGCACGCAUCGUAACAAGUAAUAAAGUGAUGAGUAGAGUAUCGUCCCACGAGGAUUUGUAAAAAUUACUACUAAUUACCAAAGUCUUUUAAAUUAUGAUCUAUUUGAGGAAUCAAAUGAGAUAGUUUAUGAAAUAGAAAUAAAUGAUAAAAAAACAAACAAACAAAUGAUUAAAUAUUAAUGAAUUCAAUUGUACUGGUUCUAGGAUUUAUGACUUACCGUAACUAUACCUAUUUGAACUUUCUCGAUUAAAUUAAUUACUUCUAAUGUUGAUAAUCAGGUUUUUCUAAUGUAAAUAUUAAUCUCUCUCGAGCAUCAAUAAAUUAUUUCGACAAACAAAUUUCAUAUACUCUACGAAAGUUCUGAACUUGUCAAAAUUAAUUAAAUACUGUAAAACCUGUAACGAUUACAAAAGUUCCUAGGAUAUCUCUAUCCUAUAGAUUUCUUAAGGUAUUUCAAACAAUAGCUAAAACAAUUAUCACUUCUCAGUUUCAAAUUGAAUUCUAAAUCAUGCAGAUGUUGGCCAAACACACGCAAGCAUUACACAUAGAAUGAAAUACUCAAUAUCUUAAUGUAAUAAUUCAAUCGAAGAAAUUGUUCACAUAUUCAUAGUAAGGUUACAUCAAAAAUCCCAGAAUAAAAGUCUACUCCAUAGUUAAAUUAAAGAGAAACAAACUUGAUACGAUGAACAUCACUCAAAAGCAGAGAAUUUCAGUGGAAGAGAUAGGUGUCCUCCUGGUCUUCAAUAUUUUUGCCUCUGUUCUUUUUGUUCCUGUUUGGUGCCGCCUCCUCUGUUUUUCUUUGCUAUGUUAUAGGGUUUCUCCCUGUCUCCCCUCUGUUUUUCUUCUUUUAUAUUGUGGAUGUUCUACCCCUGCAGUAAUGAGGAAAGUUUCCUUUUCUGCAUUGAAUUCCUUCCUACCCAGACAUUGCGGGCCAGAUUUGAGGUAGGAAAAGUGCGAAUUCAAAGAUCUCUAUUUCUGGAGAAAUUGUAGAGAAUCAAAUUUUAUUUCCAAAGACACUGAUCUUGCAAUUUUUGGACCUCUGAACGUUGAGAUAAGGGCCAUAAACCGAAACAGUCUUUGCAGUGCAGGAAUUUCGGGUUGGUUCAAUCCUUGUUUUUCAACUCGCUUUUUGGGCUUCGAAACAACAAAACUGAGUUAUAUGCCCUUCAUAUGUUUUGUAGGCCUUCAUCUCAGCUAUUUGAAAAUGGUGACAAACAUCUGGAACUAAAUUGUAUAGCUUCUUUUGCAGCACAUAAUGAAUCACUGUUCAGUUUCACUGCCGGGCUCUGCCUGUUCAGUAACCUAAUAUCUGAAAACACAUUAAUUUUUCACGAGGUCAAUAGUUCAAAAAGAGAUUCAACAUUCUAAUUUUCUUGUGCAACAUAUCCAAAAUAUUUAAAAAUCAAGCAUGAAUAGUGGAAAAUAUACAUGCUAAAAAUUCUCUUAUCAAAGAGGUUGGAUCUCUCUUGGACCAUGCUUGAAAAGAUGCCGCAAGGAAUGGAAUGUCUAUCCAACUUGAGGUAUCUUAAAAUGAAUGGAUGUGGUGAAAAGGAGUUUCCUAGUGAGAUAUUACCAAAACUCUCUCACUUGCAAGUCUUUGUACUAGAAGAGGUUUUUGAGGAAUGUUAUGCUCGGAUAACAAUUAAAGGAAAGGAAGUAGUAUCCUUGAGAAAUUUGGAAACUUUGGAAUGCCAUUUCGAAGGUCUCUUGGACUUCAUGGAGUUUCUCAGAUCUCGGGAUGGGAUCCAAUCAUUAAGCACAUACAGAAUUUCAGUGGGAAUUCUGAAAUUCUUAUAUGGCGUUGAAAAGUUUCCAAGUAAAACAGUUGCAUUGGGUAAUUUGAGUAUCAACAAAGAUAGAGAUUUUCAGGUCAAGUUCUUAAAUGGCAUUCAAGGACUGGUUUGUCAAUUCAUCGAUGCAAGAAGUUUAUGUGAUGUUUUGUCAUUAGAGAAUGCAACUGAACUGGAGGACAUCAGCAUUUCAAAUUGCAAUAGCAUGGAGAGCUUGGUUUCAUCUUCUUGGUUUUGCUCUGCUCCACCACCAUUGCCACCAUAUAAUGGUAUGUUUUCUGGUCUUAAAAAGUUUUAUUGUGGUGGAUGUAACAGUAUGAAGAUGUUGUUCCCACUUGUGUUGCUGCCAAACCUAGUAAACCUGGAAAGGAUUGAAGUGAUGCUCUGUGAGAAAAUGGAGGAGAUAAUAGGAACGACAGAUGUGUUGGGACAUUCAAGCAAUUAAACACACACAAUUUACGUGGUUCGGCAACUUGCCUACUCCACGGAGCUACUGGUUUGUAUUAAUCAAGCUUAGAAACAAUACAAACAACAAAACAAGGAGGAGGAGAAAAAAUUCUUCUCUACUCAACUCAACUCUCUCUAGCUCUCUCUCUCUCUGUGUUUCUCUCUAUUUCGUGUCUCGCCCAGCUCUCAAUAGCAUCCUCUAUUUAUAGCUGAUAUGGGAGACAAUCCUCUCCAUUUUAGUCAAUUAUAGCAGCCACUUUUGCCACCAUAUUUAAUGUUUCGGUAAACACUCUUGCAGCCAUGUUUGACAUGGCUGCCAACAACCAUUUUGUGUCCAUACAUAACAAUCUCCCACCUGGACACAAAUGGCACUAUAUCUAUCUUUUAAUCUUUGAGACCAACUGAAGCUUUACACAACUUCAGUUUAUCAAGAGUAACUCCUUUGGUUAACAAGUCAGCUGGAUCCUUGCUUCCACAUACCUUUUCUAGCAUUAGUUGCUCGUCGUCUAGCAAUUAUCGGAUGAAGUGAUAUUUGAUCUGAAUAUGCUUAGUCGUGCAGUGAAAUGCUGGAUUCUUGACAAGGAAGAUUGCACUCUGACUGUCGCUAUACAGAGUACCUUUUCCAAUAAGGAUGUCCUUGGUCCCUUUGUAAAGUUUUGGUAGGAGGAGACUACUCUUCCCUUAAUAUAAUAUAAUAUAGAAUAAAGCAUCAUCUUUCUCAAUCUCUGUUUCAACAAUUGAUUCUCUUAACUUCUUUAUGUUAAUUAACAUCUGAUUUAUUGGACUCGUUAAGCGUUUAUUAAUAGGAAAUAUUUCUUUUUUAUAUAGCGUGCUUACAAUUACAUAAAUAACAUUUUUCAUUUUUUUUAUUUGUUUCAUUGUCUUUUAAGUUAUUGAAUUGUCAUAUAUUUUUUUUUUAAUUCGAUAGAUAAAUAAUUAUAACUUGAAGUUUGAUAAAUAAUUAUAUUUUCAUCCUAUUGAGUUUCUCCAAGAUAAAAAUCCAAAAAAUAAAAUACUAUAUUGAUUUAUCAAUAAAGUAGCCUAAUAAAAUAAUAUAUCUAUUCACUAGUAUAAGUCAUCUAAAAUCAAUACAAAAAAAUAUAUUGAAAUAAUAUUUUUUAUUUAUUAAAUUUAUUUUUAACAUCAUUACAUUAAAAUAAUUCAAAAACAUAAAAAAAAAUUAAUUAAUUUUUUUUCCGAAAUGGUAAUGGGCAUUUUUCCAAUCUGGUGGGGGUGAUGUUGGUGUGCUUGGUGUUCCCUCAAAUAGCUUUCCAAAGUUUUGACAUUACAGUUAAUUGCUCCAAUUCUUUUGCACAUUACCUAUCAUCUUUUAGAUGAAAGCUAACACUCUUUUUUUGCAAUAGGAGACCUGCUGGGCAUCAGACCGUGCACCCACACUUUGUUUUUUUUUGCUGUUCUUCAUAGAGUUCCAUUGUCGGUCCUGAUUUGCCAGGAUCAGUCUCCUUCACUAGCCACAUGCACAUCCUUGCUUUUUAUUUCAUAUGGCUCAACCAUUAUUUGCAGUCAGGAUGUUUAAUCUUAGGCCCUUUACGAAUUGUUCUGGCAGCGUGCUAAUAGCCUACUCCGUAUGGUUGCUCAGUUCGAUCUCAAUGAUAGAGGUGUAUAAAAAGAAGAAAAAAGUGAAAAACAACUUAUGCCUUGUUUGUUUGCAGGAAAACAAAUUCUUGGAAUUCAUUUUCCUUAUUUUUCCAUGUUUGGUAAUAAUAUGAAAAACUAGUCAAAGAAAAAUUAAUUACAGUUAAAAUAAAAAAAGUAACUUUAUCAAAGGAAAGUGUUUUCCUUCUAAUAAGGAAAGGAAAACACUUUCCUUUCUUUCAUUACACCCAUUUUCUCAAAUCACGAUCUCUCUCUCUUUUCAAAAACAAUUGGAAGCAGGAACAAUUGAAGCAUUUCUCUGGAACAAUUGAUUUCAGGUAUUUUUUUCCUCUAUUAUUUCCUUUAUAUUUUUAUCUUCUUCGUUUAGAUCUGUAAAAAUUAUGGCAUAAAUCCUUUGAUAUUCUUGAUAAAUAUGCUACCUGUCAUAUUUUUUCCAUAACAUAGUUUUCUUCUUCAUCUUACCUCGUCACAUUCAGCUUUUCCAUGACAAUUUUCUUCUUCAUCACUCACAUUUGGCAGCUCACAUUUCUAACCAAACAAACCAAAUCAAGUGCACAGAGAGAGGCAAGGGGGGGGGGGGUAAGAUUACUGUGAAUUAAUCAAAGAAAAAUCCCCAAACUUCCCCAGUAAAAAGCAGCCCCUCCCUGAUACCUCGUCCUCGGAUCUAGCCAUCAUAUCCCGGGUGGAAGCACAAAGAGAGAGAGAGGCAAAGUAAAAGGGGGGGAAUCAGUGAAUGUGUUGAAAAUCAACCCUUGCUCUUUUUUUUUUCAAGUCCCAGCGUUAUUAGAACAAGUAGCCGGGGGAGAGAGGGAGGAGAACUGGGAAGGAGGAGUAGGUCUUUGAGGUCUAGCCCUCUUGCCCCUUGAAUCUUUGAUCUUUGUCCUGCUUCUUUGUGCACAGAGAGAGGAAGUUAAGGAAUUCUUGGCGAGAGAGAACAAAUGGUGAGAGACACCGAGAGCGAACAUGGGCAUGAGAAAAACCGAGAAACCGAGAGGGAGAAGGAAUAGGGGAAGGGGAAUGAGAGAAACCGAAAGGGAACAAGGGAAUGGGGGAAUGGGAACAGGGGGAAUGGGAGAGGGGAACCGAGAGGAAGUUUAAUAAGGGGAAUUAUAACAGAACCUAAUAAACAUAAAUUUGUGUUUUAUUUUGCUUUGAUUAAUUUAUGAUUAGUGUUUGAUUAUAUUUGUUACAUAUGGAUAAAUUUGUGGAACUAUGCUGGUAAUUAUAUGGAUUUCAUUGCGCAAUGUCUAUUGAUUGUUGUGAACUUAUGAAUUGUAUAAUUUUCAAAACGGUUUUAUCAUCGAGAAAUUGAAUUUUAUGAUCUUAAAUAGUAUAUUUUAAGAUCUUGUUUGUUUAGGGAAUCAGAUAUCAUUGCCAUAACUAUUAUACAUUGUCAGCUUCUUUCAGCAUAAUUGAUUGUAUUGAUUGUGGAAAUAUUUUAUAUGCUUUUUUUAAUAUUUAUUUCCCCAAAUUUUUAGGUUUAGCAUUUGCAAUUCAAAGCCUCAACAAAAAUCAACUUGAUGUUAAUGCGCUGUAUACAGAAGUGAUGAAAAUUGAAGGCUUUGAUGAGAUCACUCUUGGGGAUGCAUUUAAUCACUUGGUCCAAAAUGAAAUGUUGGCAAAAGCAUUUAUAGUAAAAAUGCUAAUUUGAGGAAAAAUUGGGUUCAGAAUUUUGUUAACCAACACUACUACAGGCCUGCUUGCUAAGAUGGUUUGAUUAUGUUCAAAAUUUGGGUUCAGACUAUGUUUGUUUUUUGACAAGUAUGUUUACUUGUUUAAUUCGGUCUAACAUGUUUAUGUUUGUUAAUUUUAACUAAUAUGUUUGUAUAUGACAUCGAAACUUAAUAUUUAUGCAUGACUAUGUUUGAUGUUAGAUAUUUAUAUUUAUUUCUUGAUUCUUAUUUGAUAUAUAUUAAAGGGAUAUUAAAGGGAUAAUUGCCUUUACCCAUAAAAAAAAAUUAAUCUUUAUCCAAAAAACCCAUCAAAAUAUUUUUGUAUCUAUUUAUCUUUUAAAAAAUUCUUCAUACAAAAAAAAAAAACCCAAAUAUCUAACUUUUACCAUAAACUAAUUUGGCUUUCUUCAUAUGAAAAAAAACUUAUUUUAAGCUUUUAAAAUUGAAAAAAAUAUAUUUAAUAUGUUUUACUUAAGAAAUAUUUCAUAAGGUUAUUUCUCUAUAAUAUGAUAUGAUAUAUAUAAUUAUAUUUUAUAAAAUAAGCUAUAUAUGAAUAUAGGAUAUAAUAAAAAAAUUCAUCAUUAUACUUUUUAGAUUUCAUUCUUUUAUUGUAAGUGAUUAAAUAUUUAUAUUAAAUAUUUUAUAUAUAUUAGAUAAACUUAAAAAAAAUUAAUUCAUUAAUAAAUUAUUUUCCAGUUCAUUUUGUAUAACAUAACCAAACACUAGAAAGUGUUUUCCAGUUCAUUUUUCAAAAUACUACCAAACAUCGGAAAAUAAUUCACUUUCCAGAAAUUCACUUUCUAAGAAAACCACUUUCCAAAAGGAAACCACUUUCCAGCAAACAAACGGAGCCUUAUAGGGAAUUCGAACAACAACGGCACUCCUAUAUUAUAAAAAAAAGAAAAAAAGUGAAAAAUAACUUGCUAUUAUCUUAAAAUACUGCAGGUUUUAUUAUUUGUUUCUUGUUCGGUUAGAAGAAUAACCAGGGUGGAAUUCAGCUGAUAAGAAUUGGUUCCUUCACCAUUUUCCUGUUACUCUAUAUCAUCAGUGGAUUGGACAGGAGGAGUUCUGUAGUAAGCUGUCAUGGUUACCAGGAAGAAUGUUGCUCUAAUUCCUUCUGCCUUUAGUAUAGGGAAGAUGAUGCCUGAUCCAACCUGAAAAUUGACAAAAAUAAAAAUUUAAGUUUGUCUAGGAAACUCAUGGUGAGAAUAACAGUUCAAACAAAAAAGCUUCUGAUAGUAAGAGUAAAGAAAGCUGGAGAUACAGACCAAAAUUAGUCUAGCCGCAAUACACAUGCGUUUUGGUGUAGGAAAUGGAAGCAAUAAGCGGCCAACAGCAUACGCAAGCAUGGCAAAGCAGUGGAAAACCAAUCUCAAUGGGUCAGGGUUUAGACCAGACAGAAGAGCCAUCAGUCCAUCUGAGAACACGCCUCCAAGGCUCAAAUAAUUGAAGAAUGCUUCUUUCAUCUCCUUCCUUGAUAGAUCCUGAUCCGAUGAAGAGAAUUCUGUGUGUAGGCAAAUGUGUUUCUUGCAAAUGCCGCUGGCUGCAACCAAUAAUAAGUUAAUAGUAUCUACCAACCGCAUAGAAAUAUGGUUAUGUUGUGUUUCACUCCGAGGAAGACUGGCCGAAGAAAUAUUAGCUAAGCAUAUUCAUGCAAGUGCCGAUACCAUACGCAGAAUGCAAAAGGAUUCAAGAUAUUUGCAAAUGGCAGCUCCAUCACUAAGAUCAUUCAGAAGCCUAAGAAGAUCUCGCAGUAGAACAACAUCAGAAAGUCCCAUAUAUAGUCAUUCCUCCUCCAGUUACAGCAUGGCGCAUAUUCAACGAAUCCCCUAUCAUAAACGCACCAGGGGUUGGAUAGGGAGACGCAGGCAUGAUUCUGUUUGGCAUUGUUCUAAUGUUGCCCUUAUCAAUUGCACAUAUCAAAGCAUUGUAUAGCUCAGAUAUUAUUAAAACAAAUCCGUGAUCAAGCGUGCUCUAUAGAUUAAUCAGAAUAUGCUUCAGUUCAUUUACAUUAUAGCUUCUUCUACUUUUACUUUAUUGAUUUCUCUGUUUACUUAUUAAUUGUAUUAAAAAUAUUAAUUUGUCUAUCGAAGUGCUAACGAGUAAUGCAACUCAAAGUCGUUUGAUUUACUGUGCUCUUGAAUAUUGAUAGCUCUUAUUUAAGGACUUGGAAAGAAAGCACAUCUCCUCUUGCUGAUUCGUUGCCAUGCAUGAACUAUUGAUCCAAAACCCUCUUUAACCAUGUUGGUGAUUGAUUAGCUAGUAGUUUUGGUAUAAUUCACGAGCAUUUUUGUGCUACAAUGGGCCCAAACCCUCUUUAACCAUGUUGAUGAUGUUUCUAAUUAAUUUGCAAGUUCUGAUACACACACACACCACAAAACGUAAUGUAUAUAGCUCACAUAUAUUGACACAUGAGCAUAAACUACCCAUGAAUUGGAGGAAAUUUAUCAUAACAAAUAUAAGGAGCUCAAUGUUUCUCAAAUAUUGAUUUGCGAUUUAGGUAUCACCAGUUAAGGAUUAGAAAUGAUGAUAUUCCUAAAACUGCAUUUAGAACUUGUUAUGGACACUACGAGUUCCUAGUGUUGUCUUUUGGAUUAACGAAUACACUAGUAGCCUUUAUAGACAUGAUGAACAAGGUUUUUAGGCCAUUUAUUGAUAGAUUUGUUAUUGUAUUCAUUGAUGAUUUUUUAGUGUAUUUUGAGGAGUGAAGAGGAAUAUGAAGAGCAUUUGUUACUGGUUCUUUAAACUAUAGUUUUGAAACCCGGACCGGCCCGGUGGGUCGACCCCGGACCCGGCCGACCCAUGCCUAGGACCGGUCCGGGUCUAAGUAAAAAUCCGCUGGGGAAUUGGCCCAGCGAAACUCGGUUGACCAGGAACCCGGGUGACCCGGGUAAACCCGGCUGAGACCCAACCUCUCUUUUGUUUUUUUAAUAUACAUGGAUGUGAAACCACGUCGUUUUGGACUCUCAUUUCCUAUUUCUACAUUUUCUCAGAAACCAAACUGAGGAUAUCAAAGAGCAGAGGAUUUCAUAGUAAAUCAGGAAACAUUUAAGUACCAAUCAUUUAAUAAAAAAAUAUCUUCGCACCAACAGAAAGAAAUUGUAAAGCCCUUAAAUUUCAAUUCAAAGAAAAUGAAAAGAACAAAAAAUCAAAAUUUUAAACAGGCAUGAAAAACAUAUAAAAUCUCUUCUUAAGCAUCAAAAACUCUGUUUCAAUGAUCUCAUGAAACAUCAAAAGACUAGGAUGAUUAUCUUAAUAUUUUAAGACCCUUUCGAUGCUCUUUUCCUUAAUAUUUUCUCAAGAAACAAACGAAACUCAUAUGAGAACACCAAUUUACCUUCAAGUCCAGGCGCUUUUCCCAUCCACUUGGCACUUGCAAAUCGAGGUCCAAUUCUUGAGAUUCGCUCUCUACAUUAUCACCACAACGUUCCUAUCAUCCGUGUAUUCACUCCAAAGCCUUACCAGAGAGCUCACCUCAACUGCCAUAUUCACAAAAAAAGAGCUCAUUUUCUUCUUCUUCACAACAGCAGCAGCAGGGCACCCCUGCUUGAAAACGCGCUCUAGCGGCUUCUCCAUCAAAUGUGCCCUAAUCUUGACCCUUAUCCUUUCUUGGGGCUUGGGGUCCUUUGAAUUCUUGUGGAGGAUUUUGUCGAGGCUUUCAUUGGAGCUAGAGAGACAGAGGGAGAGUGGGUGAUUUGUGUUAAAAUUUAACACAUGUUAAUGUAUAUGAGAGGGGAGUUAGAAUAUAAAUAGAGGGAUAGAUAUAUGCCAUGUUAUGAUAGGAAAAAAGCGCCUCUGUCUCUGACUCUCUCUGGCUUCUUUUUUUUGAGUUGACUCAUGUUAACCCGGGUCAACCCAUCUGACCCGUGACCAGAUCAUUAGACCGGGUCGACCACCGGGUUGGGUUUCAAAACUAUGCUUUAAACUCUGAGAUAUCAUCAAUUGUAUGAAAAGUUUUUGAAAAGUGAGUUUUGGUUGGAGAAUGUUGGAUUUUUGGGACAUGUGAUGUCGAAAAAUGGGAUAGAGGUUGAUCCACUAAAGGUGAAGGCAAUUAAGAAGUGGCCUAGAUUGACUAUAGUAUCUAAGAUUAGGAGUUUCAUGGGUUGAGCACGAUACUAUAAGUGGUUCAUGAAGAGCUUUUCACGAAUUGCAGCUUUAUUGACUAAGUUGACACAGAAAAAAGUCAAGUUUUAGUGGUCAAAACAGUGUAAGAAGAGUUUUCUAGAGUUGAAGGAAAGGUUAAUUGAGACUUUGAUUUUGAUAGUACCUUCAGAGCCUGGUGGCUUUACUGUGUAUUGUGAUGCAUUAAGAAUUGGAUUGUGUUGUGUUUUAAUGCAAAAUGAUAAUGUGAUUGCUUAUGCCUCGAGGAAAUUGAAGAAAGAUAAACAAAAUUACCCCACACACGAUUUGGAGAUGGUUGCGAUAGUGUUUGCUCUUAAGAUUUAGAGACACUACUUGUUUGGAAAGACAUGUGAGAUGUUUUCAGAUUAUAAGAGUUUUCAAUAUAUCUUCCAAUAGAAGGAUCUGAAUAUAAGAUAAAGAAGGUGGAUAGAAUUGUUAAGUGAUUAUGAAUGCAUGAUUCAAUAUCACCCGAGAAAGGUGAAUGUUGUUGCCGAUGCCUUGAGCAUAAAGUGUAUGGUGGUUUGGCUUAUAUUCAAGAGGUGAGGAGGCUAUUGAUUAGGGAGUUACACAAGUUGUUGGAUGAGAAGGUUAGUUUUGAGAUUGGGGAAUUGGGAGCAUUGUUGGCUCACUUUCAAACUAAGUCGAACUUGGUAGACCGGAUUAAAGCAAUUGAUGAGAGAUGAGCAGCUAUAUAAGAUUCAAAAUGAGUUAGAGUUAGGAAAGGCUCUGAGUUUUAUUGUUGAUGAGGAUGGUUUUUUGAGAUUUGGUUUUAGGCUUUUGUGUGCUUGAGAUGGAUGAUUUAAAAAGAGAUGUGAUGACGGAAGCAUAUCAAACCACCUAUAAUGUACAUCCUAGUUCUAACCAGAUGUAUAGAGACUUGAAAUAGUAUUACUAAUAAAAUGGCAUAAAAGACAUUACUGAGUUUGUAUCUCAAUGUUUGACCUAUUAGAGGAUUAAAAGCGAGCAUCAUAAGCCAGUAGAGCUUUUACAAUCAUUGUUGAUUCCUAACUUUUACAAUCAUUGUUGAUUCCUGAAUGGAAAUGAGAUAAAAUCAUUAUGGAUUUUAUGUGAAGUUUGUCUCGGAAAGGUGACAGUUGAUUCUACCUUUCCCAUGAACUAUCUGAAUGAAAUUAAUUACCUGGUGGAAUAUUGUUGGUGGUAUCCGACAUGAUUAAAGUUACGUAACAUGAUCCAUCAUCACUAGUCUCUCCUCAUUGCUGGAAUCCGACAUGAUCAAGGUUUCCAAAGGGAGAGCCUUUAAUUUGCUUCUGUCAAGUUGGAAAUUUUUAUCUUAAUCUGAAACCAUUUGAGCCCAUGAUCUGGACUUUUGUUCUACUUUUUAAGCCUUUGUCUUUGUCUUUGUCUUUCUGUUUAGAUGGCAUUGGAUCGUCUUCCCUGCAAAAAAAUCUCUUAUGAAGGUAGGAAAUUUGAAUUUUCUUUAUACAUUCAAUAUAGCUUGCUAUCGAAAAUACUUAAAAGAUGAUAUCUUAAUUUACAUAGCUGAUGUCCAUUUAUUCUAACUCUUCUCCAAAUAAUCAUAGGAUUUAUGCAGUUUAUGCAUUCGGUCACGCCUUUUCUACUGAAUGGAUUAAUUAUUUUAUUACGCUUGAAUCAUUUAUUUAUCUGUAUUGAUUUAAUUUUUUUGCUGUAAUAUAUAUACUUUUUAAUUAAUAUGGGUGUUCGGGCCAGCUUGCAUGCACCUCGACUAAUCUCACGGGCCCUGAAGUUAAUGACCAUAUAAGCCUCCAGUAGUCCUAAGAUUUGUGAGACUCGAACUGUUGAUCUUUAAAAAGUAAAUCCAAAAUCUAAUCAGUUAAACUAUACCUUUUCAGGUUUUAUUUUUUUUUGCUGAAAUAUUGCUCCUCUUGUAUAUUGUUGUUGUCAUUGAAUUUUAUUAAUAGAGAUAAUCAUUGCGUAUUUAAAAGAAAGUGGUGAAUGAUUUUUCAAAAAGGGUUACAUUUAUGUUGAUUUAAUUAUCUAUACCUUUUAAACCUUUUAAGUGGAAUUUUUGGGAAUUAAACUUCAAAUUGAGUUGUUCAACAAAAUAAAAACAAUAAAAAUAUUACAUGUGUGCAAGGGAUUCCGACUAUAUAUCUGCUCUUUGUAGAAUUUAAACCUUUUUCAUUAGUCAUUUUGCUUUGCUUUAAUCUGCAUUGAAAAUUAAUUUUUAUUCUUUUAAUAUUAAAUCAUUUAAUAUUUCCUUUUAUUCUUUUAAUUUGUUUCAAUAUGAAAUCGACAGUCCAUACCUUCCCUGCAAAAUUAAUUUGGUUUAAUCAAGAACAUAGGUCACGACCUUAAUUAAUAAUUUAUCUUUGAAGAUGAAGAUUGUUACGAUACAAUUAAUCAAGAAAUAUUUUGUUUUUGUAUUUAAAAUUGUGUUUGAAUAAAUUUUAAAAAUUUAUUUGUCUUGAAAAAAUAUAUUUUUAAUAUUUUUUUAUAUGCUAAUAUUAAAAAAAAAAUUAAUUUGAUUAAUGAAAUCUCCAAGCAACUUAUAUCCAUGCAUUAUGAAGAGGGAAAAAAAAGAAAGAGAGAUAUCUACUACCUUAAUAUGCUAUUCUUUCUCAUUCACGUGUUUACAUUUUCCAGGCAGCUUCUUCAAAGUUUCAACAUUAGGGUUCCUUCCUUCCUAUAUAUUAUAAUAUAAUGUUUGGUAGGUAAGCGGCGGGUUCCUUCCUAAUUCCUAUCAAACAAUACAAUAAUUAAUUAUUAUUAUUAUUAUUAUUUAUACAACUUUAUUAAUUUUCUAAAUCAUAUAAUCAUCUCUGAUCUGUGAUUUCUCGUCUCUUUUAAUCCUCAGGACGUACUAAUCAUCUUGUACCUAUUUUCCUUUCCACAUCUCACCAGUGCGAACUAGAUUUAUGUAUACUGCAACUUUAUUAUUUUUUUAAACCAUAUAUUCUUCUCUGAUCUGUGAUUUCUCUUCUUUUUUUUGGCUGAUUACUGCUCAAGCAAACCAGCACUUGAAUCCAGGUAAAUUAUUUUUACUUCAUCUUCUUCAUCUUGUUGGUGUUUUUGUUUUUAUAUUUGUAACUAUGGUUUGAAUCUUUUAACUAAUCCAUAAUAAAUGAAUCGAUCUUUUUCUCAGAUUUGUCAUUUUUUUAAACCAUAUACUGUAUCUCACCAGUGCGAACUAGAUUUAUGUAUACUGCAACUUUAUUAUUUUUUUAAACCAUAUACUCUUCUCUGAUAUGUGCUUUCUGUUCUUUUUUCACCUCCGGUACUAGUCAUCUUGUACUUGUGGUGAGAUGGAAGGAGUUCCCACCAUCUGUAAAAAAGUUUAUUUUUUCAAUCAGGAAAGAAACAUCAUAGCUUGAACAUGAACCCAGCAAACUAAACAUAAGUUUGUAUUGCUUCAUAUUGUUUGCGAAUGAUUUUGGAUUCAGGAGUCAAUAUUUUUCUAAUCAAGCUGCUGUAAUUCCUAACAUAGACAAUAUACAACAAGAGAACUGCAUGCCUCGGCACUUUGGAAACUCUACUAGGUACUGAUUGACUUCUAGCUGUUGUGUUUUAACACCAUUAACUUUUACUGCUUAAGAGAGACUACCAAUUAUGGAAAGGUUUUAUAAUAUGAUCACUUCAUUUUUAUACAGGUCACAGAUGGAUAACCUCCAAGUCAGAGGAUUGCAAAAUCAAACUGCAGGCCUUGACACUUCCUUGCAAAGUCAAAUUAGGGGUUUAAAUACUCAACAAGUAAGAAGUAUAAUUGAAUUAUCGUCGUCUUUUCCCCCCUAUGAUUAUGCAAUAAACUAACUAUCAAUUUUAAUAGCAAAGUAAGGGUAACAGCGGUGAAGUAGUUUCUCAUCCAUCCGGAUAUGGUGCAACUUCCUCCCCCUCUUUUUUUCUAAAGGUCGAAAUGGUUGGAUCAAGGGAUCCAUUUUGGAAUUUUGUUGAAAAGAGGGCUAAUGGUAGCAUGACGUGUAAGUUUUGUCAACGUACAUGGGACAAUAAAAUUUCCAUUUCAAGGUUCAAAUGGCAUUUAUCAGGAGAGAAAAGGCGUGGUGUUGACAUUUGUCUUGGGGUGACUACAAAAGUUCAAGAAGCAGCCUUUCAAGCUAUGAAUGAUGGCAACAAAAGACAUAAAAGCACAGAAAGUUCAAUUAAUGUUAAUGAUUGUGGAAUUUCAACUUGUCCACAAGAACAAAACAUUGAGAAUGAAAAUAUGGGAGGAGGUACUGGAAGGGUACAAAGAGAAGUUCAGGUUAUAGAACCCGGAGUAGGGGAAGAGAGGAUUACUUCACAUGCAAUAACAGGAAACGACAAAGUAAGCAUGACCGGAAUGAGAGCACAUGAAGAUAGAGUUUCCGAAGGGGCACUCGAGAGGAGACUGAGGACAGAACCAGUGGAUCGACCGUUGGAACAAAGCAAUGCAGUACUUGGCAAUUUGGCAGGGGGUGCUGGAAGGAUAAGAGUUCAGGGCAUGGAACAAGGUCCCGGAAAAGAGAGAAUUCAGUCGCAUUUACAAGCGGAAAAUGGCAUGGAAAACACUGGUGAAGGAUCUUUUCAGCAUGAUGCAUUUGAGACUACCAAGAACAGAGCAAGUGCAGCUUCUGGAGCCUCGAGGAGAUUCAUCCCAAUUUUUUCGUGACAUUGGAAGAUGUUAUGAUCAACCUUGUGCUCCAUCAAUAAACGAUGAUGUAAAUAGGCAUGAUGCGCUGGACAUGGUUAGAGUGACGACAGAACCAGUGGAGGAGGAUGAUGUGGAGAAUAGUGUUAGAUCAGUAGUGCAGGCUGGCGCAGGAGAUAGAUCUUCUGAAAGUCUAAAAUACGACAAGACUAGAGGAGUUCCAUUACCUACUAACAAUACAAAGCCAGUGAGUCAAGCAUUUGAAGAGAAUACAAAGGUGAUAUUGUCUUUGUUAAUGGAUGAUGAAGUCGCAAUCAUUGGCAUUUACGGGAUGGGAGGAGUUGGUAAAACAACAAUAAUACUACAUAUCUAUAAUAAGCUUCUACGAAGACCAGACAUUUGUGAUCAUGUUUGGUGGGUGACUGUGUCUCAAGAUUUCAGCAUUAAUACAUUGCAGAAUUUUAUUGCUAAACGUCUUGAUCUAGACCUUUCAAGCGAAGAUGAUGUUCGACACAGAGCUGCCAAAUUGUCAGAAGAACUAAGGAAGAAACAAAAAUGGAUUCUGAUUUUAGAUGAUUUGUGGAACAAUUUUAAGCUUGACGAAGUGGGAAUUCCUGUCCCAUUAAAAGGAUGCAAGUUGAUUUUGACAACUCGAUUAAAAACAGUAUGUAAUCGGAUGACUUACCACCACAAAAUCAAAGUGAAGCCACUUUCUGAGGGAGAAGCUUGGACUUUGUUCAAGGAGAAUCUUGGACGUGACACACUUUUACAAAAAGUGGAAGUAAUUGCAAAAGCUAUUGCAAGGAAAUUUGCUGGUUUGCCUUUGGGAAUUAUUACAGUGGCAAGAAGCUUGAGGGGAGUGGAUGACCUCCAUGAGUGGAAUAAUACAUUGAAGAAAUUGAAAGAAUCAGGAUUUAGGGACAUGAAUGAGAAGGUAUUCAAGGUGUUGAGGGUUAGUUAUGAUCGGCUAGGUGAUAUAGCACUACAACAAUGUCUCUUGUACUGUGCAUUAUUUCCCGAAGGUCAUGUGAUUGAAAGGGUGCAGUUGAUAGAUUAUUUGAUCGAUGAGGGAAUAAUUAAAGGAACGAGGAGCAGGAAAGAUGCAUUUGACGAGGGCCACACAAUACUUAAUAGACUUGAAAAUGUCUGCCUAUUAGAAAGUGCUAAAACGAGGAGAGGGAAAAAUGGUGUCAAGAUGCAUGACUUGAUUAGAGACAUGACCAUCCAUUUACUGCUAGAGAGCUCUCAAUACAUGGUUAAAGCAGGUGCGCAAUUAAAAGAGCUGCCAGAUGCAGAGGAGUGGACGGAGAACCUGACGAUUGUUUCACUAAUGCAAAACAGAUUUGAAGAAAUUCCUUCCAGCCAUUCACUAAAAUGUCUAAAUCUGUCAACUCUAUUUCUAUCUGAUAAUGAAGGGUUGGGAUUGAUUGCGGAUUCAUAUUUCAAGCAAUUGCAUGGGCUCAAGGUCCUCCAUCUAUCUUGCACAGCUAUUGAAAAUUUGCCUGACUCUGUAUCUGAUUUGGUGAGUCUCACUGCAUUAUUGCUUAAUGAUUGUGCGAAAUUAAGACAUGUUCCAUCAUUAAAGAAGCUCAGGGCACCGAAGAGGUUGGAUCUCUCUGAAACUGUGCUUGAAAAGAUGCCGCAAGGAAUGGAAUGCCUAACCAACCUAAGGUAUCUUAGACUGAAUGGAUGUGGUGAAAAAAAGUUUCCUAGUGGGAUAUUACCAAAACUCUCUCUCCUGCAAGUCUUUGUACUAGAAGACUUUUUUGAGGGAAGUUAUGCUCCGAUAACAGUUGAAGGAAAGAAAGUAGGAUCCUUGAGAAAUUUGGAAACUUUGGAAUGCCAUUUCGAAGGUCUCCCUGACUUCGUGGAGUAUCUCAGAUCUCGGGAUGUGGAUGUGACCCAAUCAUUAAGCACAUACACAAUUUUAAUAGGAAUAAUUGAUGAUUUAGAUUAUUUGGUAGAAAUUGAGUAUCCUUUUCCAAGUAAAACAAUUGUGUUGGGUAAUUUGAGUAUCAACAGAGAUAGAGAUUUUCAAGUCAUGUUCUUCAAUGACAUUCAAAAACUGGUUUGUGAAAGCAUCGAUGCAAGAAGUUUAUGUGAAUUUUUAUCAUUAGAGAAUGCAACUGAACUGGAGUUCGUCUGCAUUCAGGAUUGCAAUAGCAUGGAGAGCUUGGUUUCAUCUUCUUGGUUCUGCUCUGCUCCACCACCAUUGCCAUCAUAUAAUGGUAUGUUUUCUAGUAUUAAAGAGUUUUAUUGUGGAGGAUGUAACAAUAUGAAGAAGCUGUUCCCCCUUGUGUUGCUGCCAAACCUCGUAAAUCUGGAAGUGAUUCAAGUGAUGCUCUGUGAGAAAAUGGAGGAGAUAAUAGGAACAACAGAUGAAGAAAGCAGCACCUCCAAUUCUAUCACGGGAUUCAUUCUCCCAAAGUUAAGAACUCUGAGAUUGAUUGGUUUACCAGAACUGAAAAGUAUUUGCAGUGCAAAACUGACUUUCAUUUCUAUUGAAGAUACUACUGUAAGGUGUUGUAAGAAGCUGAAGAGGAUUCCAAUUUGUCUUCCGUUGCUUGAAAAUGGCCAGCCAUCUCCUCCCCCUUCUCUUGCAAAAAUCCAUGCAUAUCCAAAAGAAUGGUGGGAGACAGUAGUAGAGUGGGAGCAUCCUAAUGCAAAGGAUGUCCUUCGCCCCUUUGUAGAGUUUUGGUAGGAGCAUCAUUUAUCAAUUCUAUCCUUCUGGAAGAAUACUAAUUGAUUGUUACCUUAAAUUUGCUCUUAUUCAAUAAUAUAUCAUUUUAUUAUUAUUAUUUUGGAUAUGAAUGAUGAAAAUUUCCUGUAUUCUGCUAUGAAAUAUUUCUUUUUUAUAUAGUGUGCUUACAAUUACAUAAAUAACAUUUUUCAUUUUUUUUAUUUGUUUCAUUGUCUUUUUAAGACUAUUGAAUUGUCAUAUAUUUUGAAAAAAGAAUGAUAAUCGAAUUACAUGACUUGGAAUUUUGAAUUAUAUUUAGAAUAAAAUUUCAUAUAUACCUUUCCUCAUACAAAAAUUCAUCCUAUUUUUCUAUAUUCCUCAAGAUUUUUUCUUCUGUAUUUUUAAGUUUUUUCUGUCUUUAUAAACAACAUAAAAAAUAAACAAAAAGGGGUUGUGUUUUUUUCAUUUGAUGUUUAUUAAGAUGUUAGGUUUAGUUAUUAUCAUACAAAUUGUGAAGGGUGCAAAAGCUAGCUUGUAGAUUUUUUGGUAAGUGCUUAAAAACUGCAUAUUGCAGGGCCGCAACAAGGUUGCAUUAUACCUUCACCUCCAUACCGAACUCCUCUUCAUCUCUUAUUGUUAAUAAAAAUGUAACAAUUUAGGAGCAUGAGGGAACAUUUUCACAGUGAAGAUUAAUUCAUCUCCAAAGCAGAAUACAGGAAAUAGAGAAUUAAAUCAAUAAAAGUAAGGUAUUUCAUCGCCAGUGAAUUCAUCUCUUCGAGCAUUCUUGAAUUCUACAUCGGUGAAUUUCAGUACAACUACUAUACACAAGAUGUAGCACUCUUCCCCUUUCCAACCUUGCUUAAUUCAUCAAAAGCUAAUUCCUGUAUAUCAACUUGGUUUGGGAAAAUAACUGAAAAACUCUGUUAAAUGAGUUCUAUGAAAAUGAGGAAGGCUAAGAUUCUCUAUUAAAUGCUUCUGAGAGAGUAUGAACUGAACAUUCAUUCUCUGUUGGAUGAGUUUUGGUUUCUAAACCUGAAAUUGCCAUCAUAAGCACUAGCUAGGGAAGUUAGGAUGAGCUUUUCCUGUCAUUAUAUCACAUUUUUCUGCUAGGAUAAUACUCUUUAUAUUCUCAGCUAUUAUUGCUUAUAAUCAUAGUUUUGAAACCCGGUCUGGUCAUCGACCCGAUCAAGUGCUCGGGUCACGGGUCAGAUAGGUUGACCCGGGUCAACCAAAAAAAAAAGAUUAUGCUUCCCAGUAAAUUUUAUCAAAGCUAGUUUCUUAUCCUGAACUAAUAACAAGCAACCAGAUGUGGAAAAUCAGCCAGCAGUCAACGAACCAUCACACUCUACAACUUCUAGGCCAGCAUAUCAAAAUCUCUACAACUUAUGUUUGCUUAAAUUUCCAGUCAACUGUAAAACCAAACGAAUAUUACUAGCCGAAAUAUUUUCAGCUGUUAAUAAUUCUUAGAACAGUUUCAAUCUCUGCCUAUAACAAUUCUUAGAACAAAAUUGGGUCUUAGAGCUAGAGAUUAUCCUAGCUAGUUCUCAAUCAAUAACACUUCUUAGAACAAAACUGCUGAAAUAUCAAUAGCUUUUUGUUCUCAAUCAACAUUAUUGAUUAUCCUAGCUAGUUCCAGAAGCAAAUGCAUCAAUUAAAACUAGUGCAUCGAACAAAACCAGUCCUCAUCCAUUUUCUACACUUCCUAAUAGCAAAGGAUUUAUUACGUUGCAGAAAAGAAAAGAACAGAGAAACAUACCUGAGGUUGAGAUGACUGGGCUGCGAAUGAAUCAAUGCGACUGAAUCAACGAGCAACGAAUCGAUGCCAGAAGGCCCAGAACUGCAAGUUCAAAACACGGCCAAGAAUAAAGAAAAGAAAGAGUGAAAAAAGAAGAUUCGUGAACAGAAACAAGCAUCUAACCUUUUUCAUAGUGAAAUAACAAUGAUCAAGACGUCUUUUGCUCUCCUCUGCUCCUCAGCUCCUCAGCGAUUGAAAUUGGUAUUUUCGUUAAUUAGGUUUGAAUGUGUCCAAUUCUGCUUUGUUGUUCUUCGUUAGUUCGUCGUUUUGGCUUUUAAAAAGGCCAAAAUGACGUCGUUUAAUGUCUAUUAGUAUAUAAAAAAAAAAGAGACCGGGUCUCAGCCGGGUUUGACCGGGUGGCCCGGGUCCCAGUUCGACCCGCCGGGUCGACCGGGUUUCACCGGGCCAACUCCCAAGCGGGUUUUUGUCUCCACCCGGACUAGUCCCAGGCCCGGGUCAGCCGGGUCCCGGAUCGACCCGUCGGGCCGGUCCAGGUUUUAAAACUGUGCUUAUAAUCUUCUUGCCUCUGGUAUCUUUUCCAACCCGUUUGAGGGAUGCUUUCUAAUUUUUUUUUUGGAUUGUAAAUUUGUUGUCCACCUGCACUGUAAAACAGAGUUGUAACUGGACCUAGGAAUCCAGGAGUUAUUGGUGACAGGGGAUCUGGAUCCUUUUCGAGGGAAAGUGAGUUCAACUGUUACAUUUUGUUUACAUUAUUAUCUUGUUGCACUAAAUCAAGAAGUUUACUAGACUUAUUAUUCUGUAAAUUUGUUUUCUGAGAGCUGAGCAUUUUAUACGACCCUGUGAAUGGGAAGAUUUUAUUCUCAUAUACUUGUUGCCAACUUACUUGUGAGCUAAGAAAUAUUGCUGAAUAGAAAUGCUUUCAUUCUUUAUUGUCGGCUUGAAAGUGAAUUGAACAUUUAUUACAUGAUUUUUCUUCUCCAUUUUAUUUAAUUUAAAAGCAUUUCAUGGUUGUUUUUCUGACUUCAUUAAGUUUUUCUAAAAGCCUGAUAAUUUGUCAGAUAAUUUUAGCAGGAGUCUUACAUAUGUAUGCAGGUCAGAAGUCAUUUCCAUCAAUAUGAUGGAGUAGUAUGAACAAUUUUUUUUUUUUGUUUCUGCUAACGAUUUAUUUCAUGAUUAAGAUCGAUUUAUUUCCACUUUCUAGUAUACCAUAGUAGCCUAGGUGUGUUUUUUCCGAAAUGGUUAUGAGCAUUUUUCCAAUCUGCCGGGGAGGGGGGGGGGGGGGGUGUUGGCGGGCUUGGGCUAGGAGCGUGGUUAUUUUUAAUCUUGGGCUUUUGGCGACGCUUCACGCUGCUACCUUUUGAUUUGGCAAAAUUUUAUUCAAUUCAAUUCAUUAAAAAUAAUUGAAACUUCCAAGAUCAAAUAUGAUAUUGAGACCACGAGGAAGUCCAAAAUGCGGAGGCCUCCUGUUUCUUCAAUCUAUUUGUACCCCAUCUUCUGCUGCUGUGAUUAUUAAAGCCUUGCCCAAUAAUUAUUGGUUGACAACUUUCCUGCAACAAAAAUACAUACAGUAUCUUUGUAUCAAUGGAAAACUGAUGCGCAGAUUGGAUAGCAAAUGAUGCUUGAUGGCGUGGUUUUGAUGAGUGAAUGAAAGUGCAUUCUAAAUGUUCUAUCAUUGGAAUAAAAUGCUAAAAUAUGAUAACAAUAAUAGAAAUUAAAGGGUAUUUUUUAAUUGAAUUUCCAAGGUAUGAUGGCGCCAACCUCCAUGAGAUAGUUAACCAAGAAGUGGAGGAAUGCCUUAGAGCACCUGAGAGACAAUCAAGAGUUGGCCAGCUUACAUGCACCUCGACUAAUCCCACGGAUCUUAAAGUUAACGAUCAUAUAAGCCUCUCGUGCUUCUAAAAUUUGUGAGACUCGAACUGGUGAUCUCUAGAGAACAAAUUUAGCGCCUGAUCAGUUGAAUCAUACCCCUCAGAGUUAUUUUGAUAUUCUCUUAAAUAGACAAGUAAAGGCCUAGAGCUUCUAUUUAUUUUUUAUUUUUAGUUUUGAAUCAAAACUUUAUUUUUAGUUUUGAUAUACUUAAGUAUUUUAAUCAUAACUUUCAACUCUCAUAUCGGAUUGCUGUGAUUCUUGACGCGUUGGAGAGGUAUCUUAAAGGGCUACAAAUUAGCCUCCAAUGAGGAUUUCAAAAAAGAUCUCCCAAAGCAUGUACGUGGCUGCCAAAGAAGUCCUAAAAUUUAGGCAAUUUGUUUUCGACACACUUGAGGUUGAAAAGUGGGGCUGCCUCCUCUGAAAAGAGGGGUAUUUGGCAUAAAGAAGACGCGUGGGAAUUGCACCAUAGAAAGAAAAAGGAAGAAGGAGAACAUGCAAGGAAAAAAUCUUCUCGGGAAAUUUUUAAUGUCUAAUACAGAUUUCCAAAUUAUUCUAACUCUUUUGUUCAGAUUUAUGCAGUUUAUGGAUUCAGUCAUGCCUUUCUAUUGAAUGGAUUAAUCUUUGGAUCAUUUAUUUACCUGUAUUGAUUUAAUUUCUUUGCUGUAAUAUUGCUCCUUAAGUAUAUUGUCGUCAUUGGAUUUUCUUAAUAGGGAUAAUUAUUUAAAAGUAGUGAAUGAUUUUUCAAAAGGGUUAUAUUUGGUUUAGUGCUGAUUUAAUUAUCUACACCUUUUAAGUGGGAGUUUUGGGAAUUGAUUUCGAAUUGAAUUAUUCAACAAAAUAAGAAAAAUUAAAAUAUCAAGUGUGUGCAAGGGAAAACACCAUAUUAAUAUUAAAAAUUUAAAAAUAUUUUGAUUAUUGAAAUCUCAAUACAACUUAAACCCAUGUAUUACGAAGAGAAAAAAAGAGAGUAAAAGGUUGAAAAUAUAUAAAAAUAAUAUUUUUUUCAGAUUUUAUUUUUUUAUUUUUAACAUUAAUACAUCAAAAUUAUAAAAAAACUAAAAUCAAUCUAUUUAUCUUUUUAAUUUUUUUAAAACAACAAUUAAAAACAAAAGUAAUUAUCCGCUAUUAAUCACAUACUUAAUUUGUUAUUGUUAAAACACCAUGUUUUCCAAAAAAAUUAAAUUUGUUUCUCUUUAAAUCAUUAAUUUUUAGUGUUUUUUAAAAUUAUUUUAAUGUAUUAAUAUUUAAAAUAAAUUUUUAAAAAUAAAAAAAAUAUUAUAUUAAUUUUUUUACUGCUUACAUUUUCUCGGAAACUUCUUCUAUGCUUCAUAAUUGGGGUGGUCCACACGUUAACUUCCUAUAUUAUUAUUAUACAUAAAGCUAAAACAUGUGGAGGAAAUCACUGUUCACCAAGACUCAUUACACUGUGGAUUGUAAUAGUGCUAAAAACGAGCAUUGUUCACCAAGACGCAUUGCACUGUGAAUUGCAUAAAUUGUGGGGGCAUUGUGGGCUGUAACCCCAAGCACAGACGCCUGGCGCAAGGGCAGUCCAUUCCUAGCCACAAAAGUUCCAAGGCUGCAGGGGGGAGGGGCAGCCACACCCAAGUUGGGCUGGAGGCGUCCACGCCCACACCCAGGUUGGGCUGGACGCGUCCACUCCCAACCCCAAGUUGCCACCUUGAGCUUGGGUGGCUCCAAUGUGAGGGGCAAACCCAAGCGCCACGUGGUGCUUUUGUCUUGGCAAAAGGCUUAAUUGCCUAUGACAGCCUCAAGUUGGGUCUGGAUGCGUCCGCGCCCAACCCCGAGUUGGGUUCUUGAAAUUACUAUUCAAAGUGUUCAUAUCAAAAUAUUAUUAUUUGUGUUAUAAAUAUUAUUAUUUUUAUUAUAACUCAAAGUAUUGAUAUAAAAAAUAUUAUUAUUUGUGUUGUAAUCAUCCUUGAAAUUCUUAAUAUAAUUAUUUAUGUUAUAAAUAUUAUUAUUUUUAUUAUAAUUAAUAGUGUGAAUAUUAAAAAUAUUAUCAUUGUGUUAUAAAUAUUAUUAUUUUUAUUAUAAUUAAUAGUGUGAAUAUUAAAAAUAUUAUCAUUGUGUUAUAAGUAUUAUUAUUUUUAUUAUAAUUUAUAUUAUUAAUAGUUUUGAAAAUAAAUUUAUUAAUAUUAAAAAAAUGUUAUUUGUGUUAUAAUUAUUUUUAUUUUUAUUAUGAUUAAAAGUGUUAAUAGUAAAAAUAAUAUUAUUUGUGUUAUAAUUAUUUUUAUUUUUAUUAUGAUUAAAAAUAUUAAUAUUAAAAAUAGUAUUAGUUUCUUUUUAUUAUGAUUAAAAGUAUUAAUAUUAAAAAUAAUAUUAUUUGUGUUAUAAUUAUUUUUAUUUUUAUUCCAACUUGGGGCACACAGCAACGCCCACACCCGAGUUGGGUCUGGAGGCAUGCUCGCCCAAACCCGAGUUAGGCGUGGAGGCAUCCACACCGACACUAAAGUUGGGGGUGGACGAGUCCACGCCCACACCCGAGUUGGGUCUGGAGGCAUGCUCGCCCAAACCCGAGUUAGGCGUGGAGGCGUCCACACCGACACUAAAGUUGGGGGUGGACGAGUCCACGCCCACACCCGAGUUGGGGGUGGACGAGUUCACGCCCAACCCCAAGUUGGGAGUGGUCGCAUCCACGCCCACACUCAAGUUGGGUCUGAAACUCAGGGUUGGGCGAGCACGCGUCCACACCCAACUUGGGUAUGGGCAUGGCUGGGUGCCCCAAGUUGUCCACGCCCGCCUUGGAUUUGGGUAGGGACGCAUCAAGACCCAACUUGUGGUUGGGGUUGGACGUGUCCACGCCCACUCCCAAGUUGGGUCUCGACGUGUUCGUGCCCAUCCACAUGUGUUAAUAUAAUAAUGUGUGUUAUAAAUAUUAUUUUUUCUCUACCUUUUUCCUUCUAAAAUUAUCUAGCCUUCUCUCUAAUAAACUAAGAAACAUCAACAUACAUUUUCUAGCCCAGCAGUGGUUCCACUAGCCGGUGACAGGAGCAGAGCUAGAAAUUUAAAUUUUUUUAGGUUUUAGGAUUAAACAUAUAAAUCUGUUGAAGGGGGUUGUAAAAAUUAAUUCCUUGCAGGGGCCGGACCCUGCCAGUCCCUCCUAGUUCUGCCCUGACGGCAGGUGACAGUGUGGUAGAGAUGUCUAGCUACUGCUCAAAGUCCCAGCAACAACGGUACUGUUGUAUAUAUAAGAAAUGGCAAUUACCCUAAAUAAUAUUUCCAUUGGUCACUACUUUAUGGGAACUCAAUUCCGCAUGUUCUUAUUGAGAGGCAUACUGUCCCUAGUUCAACCAAGAAUGGAGGUCAUAGCCAGCAGCGGAGCCACAUAAAUUAAAUUUUUUUUUAGAAGGUUAAAACUUGCAAUUUCUCGCAAGUUCUUUUUUCAAGCAAUUGCAUGGGCUCAAAGUCCUCGAUCUAUCUUUCACCUGUGUUGAUAAUUUGCAUAAUUCUGUCUCUGAUUUGGCGAGUCUCACUACAUUAAUGCUUGUUGGUGGUAAUAAGUUAAGGCUUAUACCGUCUUUAGAAAAGCUCAAGGCGCUGAAGAGGUUGGAUCUCUCUUGUUCUGCACUUGAAAAAUUACCUAAGGUAUCUCAGAAUGAAUGGAUGCGGUGAAAAGAAGUUUUCUAGUGAGAUAUUACCUAAACUCUCUUAUCUUCAAGUCUUUGUAUUAGAGGAGUAGAUGCCUACCAAAGGACAUUCAACAACUUACCAUUUUUAAAAGUUCAUGCGAUGUUUCAUCAUUAAUCAAGUAUGCAAUUGAACUGGAGCUCACCAACAUUUGGAAGUGCUAUAACAUGGAGAGCUUGGUUUCAUUUUCUUGGUUCUGCUCUGCUCCACCAUCAUCUCCAUCUUAUCAUGGUAUAUGUUCUAGUGUUAAAGAGUUUGAAUGCUCUGGUUGUAAGAGUUUGAAGAAAUUGCUCCCUCUUGUGUUGCUGCCGAACCUCGUAAACUUGGAAGAGAUUAGAGUUGAAGAAUAAAAGAAAAUGGAGGAGAUAAUAGGAACAAGAUCAGAUGAAGAAGGGGUAAAUUCCUGUGUUUUGGUUUAAAUUUUCGAGAAAAAGAAAGAAAGAAAUAAAAAGAUGAAUAAUAAUAAUAAUUGAUGGUGUAGAAAUUAUUAUCAAGAAGGUUAACGUUGCACCAUAUAAUCAAUCACUAGCCUCUCCUCAUUCAUGUGCUGGCUUCAGUGCAGUAGAAAAAAAAAUGGAAGUAAUUUUACCUUUAAUUAUGUUAAAAAAAUAUAGAUUGAAACUAUAAAGUUUUUUCAGAUGUGAUUUGGUUUUAAGUUGAAAAUUGAAUUUUAGAAGUUAAAAAACUAUUCCUCGAUCAAAACUAUCUGAAAAAAUAUUACAGUUUGUUGUCGUCUGCCCAAUUUUAAAAACAAGAAAUGCCACGUGUGUACGCCUGGUAUUCUAAGCCUAGAAAUAUUUAUUUUUAAUUUAAAAUUAAUUGUUUAAAAUUAAUAAUUAGAAUGCCAUGUAAAUAUCAUUCAACUAUGUCAUAUAUUUCAAUAAAACAACUCUUGUUUUGGUUAUAUUUGCAAUAACUUUGUUAAAUGAUCUAUGAGCAUAAUAUGCAAUAAAUUGUAAAACAAAUUGCAUAUAAAAUUAUAAAUGUUAUAUGAGAAUAAAAUAGAUUUUUUUUUUGUUAUUGUUGAUUUUUUAUAUAGUCUUGACAUAUUGAUUAUUUUUUGUUUUUUUAAAUUACAGCAAUAAAAAUUACAGCAAUGAUCGUUUUGUUUAUCAAUAGAAAGACAUGUUUUCAUAAUAAUAAUAAGAAAAUGAGAGUUUUUCCUUAAAAAAUAAUUUUUUUUCCUCUUGUAGUUUAAAUUAUUGAGAUUCUUGGAAAUAUUUAUUUGAAUUACCUUGAGUUUUUAUUAAAAACAACAUUAUUAUUUUUCUGAGUUAGAUUUUAAGUUCUAAUUUUGGCUUCCCUUUUACACGGUUGUCUACUUUAUAUUUUUCAAAUUUAUUAUUUUUCUGUUAAUAUUUUCCCUUACUGGUUUGGCUUUUUGUGUUUCAAAAUAAAUUAAAAUAUAUAUAUUUCAUAUUGCUCUUUUUAGAAGAUAUUUGGAAUCAUUUGCCAAAUUUAUUUUCUGUUUUUAUUUUUGAAUUUUGAAAUGACUCUUCAAGAAACACUUCCAACCAAUUAUUUACCCUGGAACUUGGACGAUGUAUAAUUCCAAGCGGGCAUGCUGCAUUUCUUAGCCAGGUGGAGCAAAAAUUUGGGUAUGAUUAGUUGGGCUAGUUUAUAGGCCUUUUGCAAUAGGAUUUCUGUCCUUUCUGCUAAUUUAUCUAAAUAUAAGCUUUAGAAUCUUGAUUCUGAAUUUUUUAUUUUGACACGAGUUUGAGAUGAAAAAGAAAAGUCACCCAAAAAAAAACUUGAAAAAAAAAAAAAAUUACUGGCUGACAACUUUCCAGCAACAGAAAUACAGUAUAUUUGUAUUAACUGGUGUGCAUAUUGGAUAGCAAAUCAAGCUUCAUAGAAAAACUGUUGAAGUUUUCUACUCAUGCACUGAAGCUCCCUCUGGUUGUUUGAAGCUAAAGCUUGAUAUUGGCGUUCCUGGGGUUUUGAUGAGUGUAUGGAAGUGCAUACUAUCAUUGGAAUAAAAUGCUAAAAUGUGAAUAAAAAUAAUAGAAAUUAAAGGGUGUUUUUGAAUCGAACUUCUAUUUACUUUGAUGUACUCUUAAACAGACAAGUCAGGGCCAGGAGUCGUGAGAUUCACUUGGAAACAGCCUGGAUACACCAAUGUAUUUUAGUCAUAACUUUCCACUCACAUAUCGGCUUGCUGUGAUUCUUGACGCGUUGGAAAGGUUUCUUGAAGGGCUACAAAUUAGCCUCUAAUGAGGAUUUCAAAAAAGGAACUCCUAAAGCAUGUACGUGGCUGCCAAAAAAAAGUCCUAAAGUUGAGGCAAUUUGUUUUUGACACAACGGGGAUCAUGGAGGCGUGAUGUGAAAAGUGGGGCUGCCUAAUUUGAAAUGAUGGGUGUUUGGCAUAAAGAAGACGUGUGGGAAAUGCACCAGAGAAGAAAAAAAACAGAAAAAGGAAAAGGGAUUUAUGUAGUUUAUGGAUUCAGUCAUGUUUUUUCUAUUAAAUGGAUUGAUUCUUUGAUUAUAUUUGUAUCAUUUAUUUAUCUGUAUUGAUUUAAUUUCUUUACUAUAAUAUUGCUCUUUACGAAAUAAGAAUAAUUAAAAUACCAAAUGCGUGCAAGUUAUUUUAAAAAAUUAAAUUUUAAAUAUAGGAUUUAGAAUCUUGAUGAAUGAAACUAGCAGCUACCGGCUUAAAUAUUUUCUUUUAAGGAAGUGCAGCGUUGUGUCCCGAGAGAGGCCACCGGGCAAAUGCCAAGAUUAUUUUUUAUUUUAUAUUGUAAAUUUUUUAAAAUUAAUUUUUUUAAAAUGUUUUUAGAUAUUUUUAUAUAUAGGUAUCAAAAAUAAAUUUUAAAAAAUAAAAAUUAUUAUUUUAAUAUAUUUUUAAAUAAAAAAUACUUUAAAAAUUAAUCGUUAUAAUUCUAAACUGGCGGUGACGACACCAAACUAUAGUAUCAACAAGAUUUUCCUCGUAUUAAUGAAAGCAUUCUGCAUAUUCGACACAAAUUGAAAAACAUGUUUCUUCUUAAAUUGUUAUUUUCAUGUGUUUUUUAAAAUCCGAAUAUUUGAGAACGUGGUUGUUGCUAAUAUCCACCUCAGCAUGUACCUUCUGGUUAUAAACACCUUGGGUAUAUUGGUAAAAUAGAAAAACAUGUGAUUAUAUCAAGAUAAAAUAGAAAAACAUUCUGGUUAUAAUGGCAUUGACUCAAAACCUUUAAUUUGUCUUUUAAUUUUUUUAUUCAAGCAGCAAUGAACUCCCAAACAUUUCAUAUUCUUUUUGUUAUUCACGUGUUUACAUUUUCUAGGCAGCUUCUUCAAAGUUUGAACAUUGGGGUGCUCCACACGUUAACUUUCUAUGUCAUAUAAUAUAAUGUAAGGUAGCUAGCGGCAACUUUAUGUAUACUGCACUUUAUUAUCUUUCUAAACCAUAUGUUCUUCUCUGAUCUGUGAUUUCUCUUCAUUUUUUGCUGAUUGCUGCUUAAGCAAACCAGCACGCACUUGAAGAACAUCUUGAAUCAGGUUAAUUGUUUUUACUUCAUCUUGUUGGUGUUUUUGUUUUUCUAUAUGUAACUAUAUAUGGUUUGAAUCUUUAAAGUAAUCCAUGAUAAAUAAAUCGAUCUUUUUCUCAGAUUUUGUAAUCCAUGCCCUGUGGUGUUCAUACUAAAUUAACCCUAAACCUUGAAUUCAUUGUUUUUAUCUUUUCAAAAUUCUUUGCUGUUUUUAACUCCUUAUUUUAGUUUCACCAUUAAUUUUUAUCCAAUAUUUUUCGGACAAAAUGAUUCAAUGAAAAAUUGUUUUUUACUGAUUCAUGAAUUAACUUGACCAGUAAUUACCUUUCAUUAAACUUGUUUACAACAAGUGACAAAUAAUUAUUUAGCAUUAAAACAAAGAGUUAAAUCAUUAACAGCAACAUUUAUAUUUCCUAUUUUUCCUCCGAAUUUCUUUAAGAAAUAAAUAAGUCAUAUAUAUAUAAAUUUCUUAUCUAAUCUGCGCUUUCUGUUCUUCUUUAAACCUCAGAUGGAAGGGUUCCCACCAUCUUCUGCGGAGGAUGAUGUCAUGAUCAACUUGACAUCGAAUCAGUUCGAUAUUCAAUCACCAGAAGAUUCAUUCAAUAUAUCUGAGCUUCUCUCGUACGUCAUUCUUAAGCAUAUUUUAUCAAAAGAUGAUUCCUUGCAAUUUAGUUAUUCUUCAGUUUUUUCUAUUAUUCCCAAAAAACAAUAAUGUCCCAAAAAAAAAACAGGUCGCCACUGGAGGAUCUAGCCAACCAAAGCUUCAUAUCAUGCAAUGAUCAAGUUGAACAGAACUUCGUGGUGGAUAACAAUGUGAUCAACGAUAGUAUUCAGCAAACAACUCAGUUUCCACCUUCAUCUUCUCAAGCUAUAGUGAGUGCUCAUGCUUAGUGAGUGUUUCGAAACGUAAUUUUUAAAAUUUUGAAUUUAUUUUGUUUAAAAUUAAUUUAUUUAUAUAUUUUUGAAUCGUUUUAAUAUGAUAGUGUUAAAAAAAUUUAAAAUAAAAAAAAUAUUUAAAUAUAUUUUUAUGUGAAAAAUACUUUGUAAAACAACCGCUACCACAAUCAUAAACAAGCUAUUACUCCAAUUUGCUAUAAUGUGUCAAAGAACCAAUUCAACCCUAAAACUUAAAUUGUGAGGUGAGGUCCCAAGAUAUGAUUUAUAAUAUUCUUUAACACCCCUCUCAAGUAAAAGCUAUUUGGACAUAAAACUUGUACAAACUCACACUACCUUGUGCUUAAUUUUUAUCAAAUAAAUAGAGAUGAUGAGAUUCAAAGUCGUGACCACUUGAUUAUCAAGACUCUAAUACCAUGUCAAUAAACUAAUUCAACCUAAAAAUUUAAGUUAUUAGAUGAGGUCUCAAGAUAUGAUAUAUAUUAUUUUCUAACAUAAUAUCCAUUAAAUUAGCAAGUGUUUGUAUUGCUGUAUACGUUGAAUCAAAAAGUUUUAUGUAUUAGUGUAUCAAGAAUAGACAACUCAAUUUUAUAUAUAUAUAUAUAUUCUCUGCUAUGUGCUUUCUGUUCUUUUUUCACCACAGUACAUAAUUAUCAUAUCAUCUUGUACUUUUGGACAGAUGGAAGGGGUCACAGCAUCUUCUAUUGUGGAUGAUGUCAACUUGAGAUCGAAUGAGUCAGAUGGAAGGCCUCAGCUUCUCUUGUACGUCAUUCUUAAGCAUAUGUUAUCAGAAGAUGAUUACUUGCAAUUAGUUUUUGUACAGUUUUCCUUAUUAUUCCCAAAAAAAACAACAAUGUUACUGCCUAUAGAAGCAGGAAGGAGGUUUCAGGCAAUGAUCAAGGUGGACAGAACAACGUGAUCAAUGAUAGUAUUCAACAAACAACUCAGUUUCCACUUUCAUUUCCUCAAACCAUGGUAAGUACUCAGGCCAUUGAAUUAGCAAGUGUUUGUAUUGCUAUAUCGCCCAUUGGAUCAAAAAAUUUUAUGUUUUAGUGCAUCUUCAAAUUGCUUAUUGUCAAACAAACAGACAACAAUGGGAGGUUUCGAUGGAACAUCAUCAUCACGGACCAACCAAAAUGAACCAAAUUGGCCUCAAACUCCUUCAAGGUAUUCAUCAUUAUUUAACUUCUUCUUCUUGCACUUAUCAGUGAUGCCAAUUUAUUGCACUAAAUGAAUUCAUUAUGUUUGAAUAUAGUUAUCAGCCUAAUCCUAAUUUGUUUGAUCCUCAAUGUGCCAAUCCCAUGAGCAAUUAUGCAUAUGUAUACAGAAAUUAUUAACAAAUGUUGCCUAAUUUAGGGACCAACAAUGGACUAAUUAUCAGUUACCAAUGAGCAAUCCAGUGCCUGCCAUGCUACCUGGACCUCAACCUCCAAUGAAUCAAUGGUAUUAAUCUCAAAUAUACUUGACCAGAAUUGACGAGGAUCUUUCAAGUCUUUUUGAGCUUUCUAUCUCUCUUUUUUGUUUGCACAUAAUGGAACUAGAAAAUCAACCAAGUGAGAAUAAAAGUUCUAAGUUCUAAGUAUUCAUUAUGUUUAACUAUUUGAAUAUUUUUCAGGCAUCAUAAUUCCUUUAUUCAUCAACCUCAGCCGGGACAUGGCUAUAUGACACCGAAUGCAACCACUUCACAACAUGGUGGCUUCAAUCAAUUUGAACCUUCUUUUCCUGCUCUCCGGUAUCCAAUUUUUCAUUUUUAGUAUUUUCUAUAUAUAAAAAAAAAAUAGUUUUUCAAUCAGGAAAGAAACAUCAUAGCUUGAACAUUAACCCAACAAGCUAAACAUAUUGUUUGACUUUGCAAAUGAUUUUGGAUUCAGGAGUCAAUAUUUUUCUAAUCAAGGACAAGUCGAUCAAGCUGCUGUAAUUCCUAACAAAGACAAUGUGCAACAAGAGAACUUCGUGCCUAGGUACUGAUUGACUUCUAGCUGUUGCGUUUUAACACCAUUAACUUUUACUGCUUAAGAGAGACUACCAAUUAUGGAAAGGUUUUAUAAUAUGAUCACUUCAUUUAUAUAUAGGUCACAGAUGGAUAACCUCCACGUCCGAGGAUUGCAAAAUCAAACUGCUAGGCCAAAUGCCUCAAAUCCUGGCCUUGACACUUCCUUGCAACGUCAAAUUACGGGUUUAAAUACUCAACAAGUAAGAAGUAUAACUGAAUUAUCGUCGUCUUUUCCCCCCUAUGAUUGUGCAAUAAACUAACUAUCAAUUUUAAUAGCAAAAUAAGGGUAACUUGAUCCGUUAAUUUUUAUUCCAUAUUUUGACCUAUUUUUAUUCUAUAGGUCGAAAUGGUUGGAUCAAAUGAUCCAUUUCGGAAUUAUGUUGAAGAAAGGGCUGAUGGUGGUAGAAUGAAGUGUAAGUUUUGUCCACAUACAUAUGCCAUUAAAACUUCCAUUUCAAGGAUCAAAUGGCAUUUAUCAGGAGAAGAAGGGCAUGGUGUUGCCAUUUGUCGUUGGGUGCCUAAAGAAGUUCAAGAAGCAGCCUGGAAAGCCAUGUGUGGUGGCAACAAAAGACAUAAAAUCACAGCAAGUUCAAUCAAUGUUAAUGACUGUGGAAUUUCAACUUGUCCACAAGAACAAAACAUUGAGGUUAACAUGGGAGGAGGUAUUAGAAGGGUACAAGGAGAAGUUCAGGUUGUAGAACCGGGAGUAGGGGAAGAGAGGAUUUCUUCACAAGCAAUAGCAGGAAACGACGUAGUAAGCAUGACCGGAAUGAGAGCAACAGAAGAUGGAGUUUCCGAAGGGGCACUGGAGAGCAGACCGAGGACAGAACCAGUGGAUCGAGCGUUGGAACAAAGCAAUGCAGUACUUGGCAAUUUGGCAGGGGGUGCUGGAAGGAUACAAGUGGGAGUUCAGGGCAUGGAACAAGGUGCUGGAGAAGAGAGAAUUCAGUUGCAUUUACAAGCGGAAAAUGGUAUGGAAAACACUCCUGAAGGAUGUUUUCGGCAUGAUGCAUCUGAGACUAUACCAAGAACAGAGCAAGUGCAGCUUCAAGAGGCUCGAGGAGAUUCAUCCCAAUUUUGUCUUGACACUGGAAGAUAUUAUGAUCAACUCUGUGCACCAUCAAUAAGCAAAGAUGUCCUUAUGUAUGAUGUGCAGAACAUGGUUAGAGUGAGGACAGAACCAGUGGAGGAGGAGGGUGUGGAGAAUAGUGGAAGAUUAGUGCUGCCUGGCGCAGGAGCUGGAUCUUCUAGAAGUCUUAAAUACAACACAAGUGAGACUAGAGGAGUUCCAUUACCUACUAGCUCUACAAAACCAGCGGGUCAAACAUUUGAAGAGAAUACGAAUGUGAUAUGGUCUUUGUUAAUGGAUGAUGAAGUCUCAGUCAUUGGUAUUUAUGGAAUGGGAGGAGUUGGUAAAACAAAAAUACUGCAACAUAUUUAUAAUGAGCUUCUACAAAUACCAGAUAUUUGUGAUCAUGUUUGGUGGGUGACUGUGUCUCAAGAUUUCAGCAUUAAUAGACUGCAAAAUCUUAUUGCUGAACAUCUUGAUCUAGAUCUUUCAAGAAAAAAUGUUGAACUGCAUAGAGCUGCUAAAUUAUCAGAAGAACUAACGAAGAAACAAAAAUGGAUUCUCAUUUUAGAUGAUUUGUGGAAUAAUUUUGAGCUCCAAGAAGUGGGAAUUCCUAUCCCGUUGAAAGGAUGCAAGUUAAUUUUGACAGCUCGAUCAGAAAUGGUUUGUCGUCGGAUGGCUUGCCAACACAAAAUCAAAGUGAAGCCACUUUCUGAGGGAGAAGCUUGGACUUUGUUCAUGGAAAAACUAAGAUGUGAGAAAGCAUUUUCACCAAAACUGGAAGGAAUUGCGAAAGCUAUUGCAAGGGAAUGUGCUGGUUUACCAUUGGGAAUUAUUACAGUGGCAGGAAGCUUGAUGGGAGUGGAUGAUCUGCAUGAGUGGAGCAAUACAUUGAAGGAAUUGAGUGAAUCAAAAUUUAGGGACAUGGAUGAGAACGUAUUCAAGUUAUUGAGGUGUAGUUAUGAUCGGUUAGGUGAUUUAGCACUACAGCAAUGUCUCUUGUACUGUGCAUUAUUUCCUGAAGAUGGCUGCAUUGAGAGGGAGGAGUUGAUAGGUUAUUUGAUCGAUGAGGGAAUAAUUAAAGGAAUGAGGAGCUGGAAAGAUGCAUUUGACAAGGGCCACACGAUGCUUAAUAGACUCGAAUAUGUCUGUCUAUUGGAAGGUGAUAAAUUCAAAUAUGGUGGUGGUACAUUUGUCAAGAUGCAUGACUUGAUUAGGGACAUGGCUAUCCAAAUACAGCUAGAGAACUCUCAAGUCAUGGUUAAAGCUGGUGCGCAAUUAAAAGUGUUGCCAGAUGCUGAGGAGUGGACAGAGAAUCUCACAAGAGUCUCACUAAUGCAAAACCAUAUCAAAGAAAUUCCUUCCAGUCAUUCACCAAGGUGUCCAAAUCUAUCAACUUUAUUUCUAAAUGAUAAUGACUGGUUGGGAUUUAUUGCGGAUUCAUUUUUCAAGCAAUUGCAUGAGCUCAAGGUCCUCGAUCUGUCUGGCACAAGUAUUAAAAAUUUGCCGGACUCUGUCUCUGAUUUGGUGAAUCUCACUACAUUAUUGAUCAAAUAUUGUGAGAACUUAAGACAUGUUCCAUCAUUAAAGAAGCUCAGAGAAUUGAAGAGGUUAGAUCUCUCGUUGACUAUGCUUGAAAAGAUGCCAGAAGGAAUGGAAUGUCUAUCCAAACUGAGGUAUCUUAGAAUGAAUGGAUGUGGUGAAAAGGAGUUUCCUAGUAGGAUAUUACAAAAACUCUCUCACCUGCAAGUCUUUGUACUAGAGGAAGCGUCCAUUGAUGGAAGAUGUGCUCCGAUAUCAGUUAAAGUAGAGGAUGUAGUAUCCUUGAGAAAUUUGGAAACUUUGGAAUGCUAUUUCGAAGGCUUCUCUGACUUCGUGGAGUAUCUCAGAUCUCGGGAUGGGAUUCAAUCAUUAAGCACAUAUAAAAUUUUAGUAGGAAUGGUGGAUGAAAAUUAUUGGGCAGACAUUGAUAAUUUUCCAAGUAAAAUAGUUGGGUUGGGUAAUUUGAGUAUCAACGAAGAUGGAGAUUUUCAGGUUAAGUUCUUAAAUGGCAUUCAAGGACUGGUUUGUCAAUUCAUCGAUGCAAGAAGUUUAUGUGAUGUUUUGUCAUUAGAGAAUGCAACUGAACUGGAGCUCAUCAACAUUUACGAUUGCGAUAUCAUGGAGAGCUUGGUUUCAUCUUCUUGGUUAUGCUCUGCUCCACUACCAUUGCCAUCAUAUAAUGGUAUGUUUUCUGGUCUUAAAGAGCUUUAUUGUGGUGGAUGUAACAGUAUGAAGAAGUUGUUCCCACUUGUGCUGCUGCCAAACCUCGUAAACCUGGAAAGGAUUCUUGUUCGUGAUUGUGAGAAAAUGGGGGAGAUAAUAGGAACAACAGAUGAAGAAAGCAGCAGCUCCAAUUCCAUCACGGAAGUCAUUCUCCCAAAGUUAAGAACUCUGGAAUUGUUUAUGUUACCAGAACUGAAAAGUAUUUGCAGUGCAAAACUGAUUUGCAAUUCUCUUGAAGUUAUUACUGUAAUGGGUUGUAAAAAGCUGAAGAGGAUGCCAAUUUGUCUUCCGUUGCUUGAAAAUGGCCAGCCAUCUCCUCCUCAUUCUCUUAGAAGAAUGCGUAUAAAACCAAAAAAAUGGUGGAAUACAGUAGUGGAGUGGGAGCAUCCUAACGCGAAGGAUGUCCUUCGUCCCUUUGUUAAGUUUCGGUAGGAUGAGACUACUCUGCACUUAAUAUAAUAUAAUAUAGAAUAAAGGGUAAGCAUCAUCUUUUAUUUCUCUCUCUUUCUUCAAUUGAUUCUGUGCACACACCAUGAUAAUUUCUUUAUGUUAAUUAACAUCUGAUUGAUUGAACUCUUUAAGCUAUGAAAUAUUUCUUAUUUAUAUAGUGUGCUUACAAUUAACAUAAAUAACAUUUUUCAUUUUUUUUAUAUAUUUCAUUAUCUUUUAAGACUAUUGAAUUGUCAUAUUUUUCAAAAUGGUUAUGAGCAUUUUUUCCAAUUUGUUGGGCUUGGUGUUGCCCAAAUAGCUUUUAGUCUUAGUUGCUUUCCAAAGUUUUAACAUUACAGUUAAUUGCUCCAAUUCUUUUGCACAUUACCUUGCUUUCCCUAAAAGUUGGCCUGGCAAUACCUAUCAUCUUCUAGAUGAAAGCUAACACUUUUUUCCUCGCAACAGGAGACCUGCUGGGCAUCAGACCUUGCAUCCACACUUUUGAGUGGCACCGUCAAAAUCCCGUGCGUUUUUUUGCUGUUCUUCAUGGAGUUCCAUUGUCAACAUGCAAAUCUUUGCUUUUUAUUUCAUCUGGCUCAACCAUUAUUUGCACUCAGGAUGUUUAAUCUUAGGCCCUUUUUGAAUUGUUCUGGCAUCGUGCUAACAGCCUACUCCAAAUGGUUGCUCAGUUCGAUCUCAAUGCUUACACUGUUUUCAGAUUUACUCUUUAUGGUUUUCUUUUAGUGGCAACUCAGAAUCCAGAAGUAAUUCUCCUUAAUGUUUGAGAAAGAUCCUCCAGAUGGGAAUGAAUGGACUGAUUCGAAAUCUUUUUCUCUUAAAAGGGAUAGCAGAUAAGCUAAUGAUGUUGGAUUAUGAUGGAGAAGUUCGAUUCUGAGAUCUUUUGAAAGAGAGGCAUGUAUAUAGUGUUAAUUGGACUGCAAACUCGUUGACUGAUGUGUGGAGCUCGAAAAUGUAUGUCAUGUACAAAUUAUAUAAGAGCUCCAACGCAGCUUAAAUUAUGAUUAUUUCUCAGUUGGUUUUAAGUUUCAUUUCAAUACAUGCGCCAGUGCCUUUUUGCUUGUCUGCAUGCGGCAAGGGCAAAGAUAUUAUGAUAAACUCUGUGCUCCAUCACUAAACAAAGAUGUCAUUAUGUAUGAUGUGCAGAACAUGGUCAGAGUUAGGACAGAACCAGUUGAGGAGAAAAAUAGUGGAAUUGAAAGACGUGUUGGUCUAAAUAUUUCUGAUGAAGAUGAGGAGCUGCGCAUAGAGUGAGUGGUCGAAUUGAAAAAAGAAUUAAUGUAUUACAAUGCAUGUAAUUUUCCAAGUAUUAUUCUUUAUGCUUAACAAAUAAACUUUAUGUUUAUUCUUUGUCCUGUAUAAAUGAGUUUUCUCAAAUAAAUCGAGAUAUGAAAGGUUUUAACCAUACAUAUAGCAACCUCAAAAUAAAAAACAAACUUAGCUUCCACAAUGGAAGUAACAGUUAAAAAAGUUUUUUAUUUAAAAAUAUAUUAAUAUAAUAUAUAUUUUUAAAAAAAUUACUUUUAAUAUUAACAUAUUAAAACAAUUUUAAAACAUUAUAAAAUUUUUAAAAAAUAAAAAGUUUCAAAUCCACGGCUCAACCUCAAUAUUGGGCGGGGCAAUAGAAUUGUAACAAACCAAAUCUAAGCUAUCCAAUAAUAUGGUGCCAGGUCCACAACUAAACAACAGAGAUAAAAAGGAAAGAAUCCAGUGUUUCUGAGUACAACAAUAACCACAACCAACCAAUAAAGGAAAGAUACGUAAUUAUUCAUUCUAAUGGUUUAGCUUCAUAACAUUUUAUGUGCUUUUUUUUUAUUAGACAAUUUGAUUAUUUUUGUCUCUUUUUAUAAGAGGGGAGGAGGGAUAUGGUCAUUUGAACACUUGAUUAUUUUUUUUUUAUAUCUUUUUAAUAUUUUAUAUUCUAAUCUUAUAUUGUAUAUUUGCUUUACGAUAAUAAAUAAAUUCCUGAUAUUCUUUCCUUAUUUUAUUUUUAAAAAAAUACUUCUACAUAAACUUUAUGCAAAAGUUUCAAACAAAUCUUGUAAUUGAGUCAUGGAUGCUAUUGGAUUUAAUAAGAAUAUUAUUUUAAAUUUUUUUAUUAAACAUAUAAAUAAAACUUUGAAAAAAAAGAAAAAUUAAGUGAAACAAAUUUAUAACCAGACCAAAUCCAGUUGGGCAGAUCUGACCUAAGAAGCCCAACAUGCACGGGCCAUUAAAAAACCAAGCACAAACACGUGGGCCACUCAUCCGGGCCUCUUUAUUUUUUCCAAAAUUUGUAAGGGGCGGAUCCUUUUUUUUUAUAAACAAAUUAGAUAGAUGACUCAUUAUUUGUUGUGAUUGACAAAACAUUAUAUGUUAGCUUGGAAUCUUAACACCACUUUGAUGGGCGAAAGAUCGAGCCAUAAAAUAUUUUCUCAUAAAAAGUCAUUUUCAACACAUUUUCACUUAAAAAUAUUUAAUAAGCUACCUUUCAACUGGAAAAAAAAAAAAAAAACUCAUCUAUUAACUAACAAAACACAAAAAACAGCCCAAAAUCACUAAAUCAAAUUGAGUAGGAAUUUUUUUUCUUGAUCCAGAUUUGUUUUUUCAUGUAACAUUGAGAUUUAAAAUAACCAUCAUUAAAUUUCUCUCGUUCAACAUACAUAUCCAUUGACACCAAGUUCAAUCUUUUACGUUGAUGAAAUCAAUGUUAAUCUUAAUUUUCUCUCUCUUGAGCCGGAAUCUAAUCCCUCUCUAUCUCCUCUCUAAAGCAAACAUGUUUAAAGCAGGUGUGCAAUUAAAAGAAUUGCCGGAUACAGAUGAGUGGACAAAGAAUCUCACGAGAAUUUCACUUAUGCAUAACCAAAUUGAAGAAAUUCCCUCGAGCCAUUCACCAAGGGGUCCAAAUCUGUCAACCUUACUGUUAAGUUGUAAUUACCACUUGAGAUUUAUUGCAGAUUCUUUUUUUUUAAGCAGUUGUUUGGGCUCAAGGUUCUUGAUCUAUCUUAUACGAAUAUCGAAAAACUAUCAGAUUCUGUCUCUGAUUUGCUGACUCUCACUUCAUUAUUGCUCAUUGCUUGUGAUAAGCUAAGACAUAUACCAUCAUUGAAAAAGCUCAGGGCACUGAAGAGAUUGGAUCUCUAUCGUACUGCACUUGAAAAGAUGCCCCAAGGCAUGGAAUGUCUCUCCAACCUGAGGUAUCUUAAAAUGAAUGGAUGUGGUGAAAAGGAGUUUCCUAGUGGGAUAUUACCAAAACUCUUCUACCUACAAGUUUUUAUACUAGAGGACUUUAUGCCUAUUGCGGGUCAUAUGGAUAAACAAAUACUUGCUCCGGUGACAGUUAAAGGAAAAGAAGUAGCAUGCUUGAGGAAGUUGGAAACUUUAAAAUGCCAUUUUGAUGGUAACUCUGACUUUGUGGAUUAUCUCAUAUAUCGGGAUAAGACCCAAUCGCCAAGAGAAUACAAUUUUUUUGUAGGAGAGUUUGGGUAUGAUGAUUACGAUGUAAAAAGGUAUUAUAGAUGUAAAAGUGUUUGGUUGGGUGACUUGAGUAUAGACAGCGAUGGAGAUCUUGAGGGCAUUUUUCCAAAUGACAUUCAACAGCAGAUGAUUUUUUAUUGUGAUGCUGCAACAAGUUUAUGCAAUGUUUCCUCUCAAAUAAUACGUGCAGAAAAACUAGAGGUCAUCAACAUCAAGGAUUGCAGUAACAUGGAGGGCUUGGUUUCAUCUUCUUUGUUACGUAAAGAGAUGGAGGUUUUGAGGUCAAGCCCAUCUUCUAAAGGCAUAUUUUCUGGUCUUAAGAAGUUCUAUUGCUCUGGAUGUAAUAGUAUGAAGAAAUUGUUCCCUCUUGUCUUGCUGCCAUCCCUUGUAAACCUGGAAGUGAUUGAAGUUAGAUGGUGUGUCGAAAUGGAGGAGAUAAUAGGAACAAGAUCAGAUGAAGAAAGCAGCUGCAGCAGCAUCGAACCCAAACUUCCAAAGUUAAGAAUUCUAUAUUUGACUGAAUUACCAAAACUGAAAAGCAUUUGUAGUGCAGAACUGAUCUGCGAUUCUCUCCAACAAAUUGGGAUAACAAAUUGUCAGAUGCUGAAAAGGCUGGGAAUUCAUCUUCCGUUGCUUGAAAAUGGCCAGCUAUCUCACCCCCCUUCUCUUCGUGUAAUGGAGAUUCAUCCAAAAGAAUGGUGGGAGUCAGUGGUGGAGUGGGAGAAUCCCAAUGCUAAGGAGGUCCUUCGUCCCUUUAUUAUUUAAAUGAUGACUUUGCCCUUGAUGUAAUAUGCUAAGCAUCAUGUUUUUGAAAAAAGACCUUCGUUUGCAGCAGAAGAUAUUGUCAAGUUUUGUCUGGAGAAGAGUCCACUUAUAUUUCCUCGUGCCAACCAAGAAGAUGAAGAAGACGAACUUUUCUAUGAUGAAGCUGCAAUCUACUCUGUCCUUGAUGAAUCAAAAAGCAGAUCCAGAAAUAUUACAAAAUGUAGGUAAGAGGUCUACGUACAUGAUUGAAUUUGUAGUGGAAAAAAAGAUUGAAUCUCGCAGUAGAAACUUUUUAACCAUACACGCAGUACCUCAAAAUAAAAAACAAAUUUAGCUUUCGUAGUAAAGUAGCAGUUAAAUAAAAUAUAUCAAAAUAAUAUAUAUAAAAAAUUAUUUUUAAUUAGUUUUUGUCUCUUUUUGUAAGAGAGGAGGAGGGAUAUAUCUGGUCACAUGAACACUUGAAUUUUUUUUGUCUUGUUAAUAUUUUAUAUUCUAAUAUUAUAUUGCAUAUUUGCUUUACUUUAAUGAACAAAUCCCUUAUAUCCUCUUUAUUUUAUUUUUAGAAUAUAUUUUUACAUAAACUUUAUUUUUUUUUACACCGCAAUAUAUGUGAAAAUUUCAAACAAACCUACGACUUAAGUCAUAGAUUGGGUUUAAUAAGAAUAUUAUUUUAACUUUUGUUUAGCUAAACAUAUAAUAAACACUUUGAAAAAAAAAAAAAAUUAAGUGAAAAUAAAAUUAUAAAAAGACCAAGUGCAGUUGCACAGACCUGCCCUAACAAGCCCAACGUGCAUGAGCCAUUAAGAAACCAAGCACAAACACGUGGGCCACUCAUCUCAGGCCUGCACACUCGAGCCUUUUUAUUUUUUUUAAAAUUUGUAAUGGGCAGACCCUUUAUUUUGAUAAAAAAAAAGUUGGACAAAUGAUUCAUUGUUUUGUUGUGGUUGAUAACGCGUUAUUUGUUAGCUCAAAAUCCUGCCACCACUUUGAUGGGCCGAAGAUCAAGUUACAAAAUAUUUUCUCCUAAAAAAUCAUUUUCAACACAUUUCCACUUAAAAAUAUUUAAUAAGUACCCUUACAACAUUAAAAAAAAAAAAACUCAUCUAUCAACCAAAAAAACACAAAACAAUCCAAAAACACCAUAUCAAUCGAAGUAAGAAUUUUCUUUCUUGAUCUAGAUCUAUUUUUUCAGGCAACAUAGAGACUCAAAAUAACCACUAUCAAGCUUCUCUCAUCGAACAGAUCCCAUCGACAUAAAGUUUAAUUUUUUACGUGGUUGGAAUUAGUAUUAAUCUUGAUUUUCUUUCUCUUGAGUUAGAAUCUAGCUACUUCCUCUCUCUUUUUUUUAACACAAGGACUGAAAAAUAAAGAAAAUAAAAUUUCAUAUCAAAAAUGAAUUUUAAUAAUCUAUAAGGACUAGGAAUGUAUAAUCAGAAAAGUAGGAGAACCAAAGUUAACUUUUUUCACCAUCCAUUCUCUCUCUCUCUUUUUUUCCACUAUCUUUUGAUUUAAUCCUCGCUUAACAAUCUUACUUAAAUUGACACUCAAUUUAGUGCGGAAAGGGCUGAAUUAAAAAAAAAAUAUUGGAACGGAAAACAAAAAAGAAUUCUCGAUUUCUUGAGAUAGAAAAAACAGAACUAUUAUUAAAAUUAAAAAAGAAAAAACUGCACAGGCUUUUACCAUGUACCAGGAGAGAAAACACUAUAGAUUAAAAUAGUCUUUUAUCUCUCAGUUUUUUUUAAUCACUGAUUAUUUUAUUUUUAAUUUUAUCUUUAUAGAUUAUGUUGAUGGAGAUUUGAGGCUGAUAACUUGUUUUAAUUAACGUGUCAAGGAGUUCUCAAGGUCUAUAUAUAAAAAAGGCUUCAACGUUAAGUUAAUUUGACGUUUGACUUGAUAAAAUUUUGUUUAUUUUUUAAUUUAUAGAUUUGAUAUAAAAGAAAAAAAAAGUAAAUGAAAAACUUCAAAAAAGAUAGAAAGUUAUUAGUUGAUAAUUUUCAAACAAAAAAAAAAACGAUCAUCUUUGUGUUAAUGUAAAACUGGUGUGUAGAUUAGAUAUCAAAUCAUACUUAUAGAUCGAGGGCUAAAAAUAUAAAUUUGUAGAAGGGAGUUGGAAAAAUAAUAAUUUCCAUGGGUAUGGAAAAGUGCGAUCAUGAAAUGUUUUUAUUUUACUAUUAUUAAUGUGAGUAUUCGGGUUAGCUUGCACGUAUCUCGACUAAUCUCAUAAAUCCUAAAAUUAACAAUCAUAUAAGUCUCUAAUAAUCUUGAUGUUUGUAGAACUUAAACUGGUAAUUUCUAUAAAACAAAUUUAAAACUUAACUAAUUCAACUUUCACCUCUCGUUAUCAUGAGAUGUUUCGAAAGAGAGGGGUAUGCCGUUUAUUGUACUCCAAACUCAUUGACUGAUGAACCUCUUAAACAAAAGCACACCAUAUACUGUCAAUAAAAAUAGAAAUAUCAAUAAAAGUUUAUCAUGUAAAAGUCAUAAAUUUUCCAUCUUAAUUAAGCAAACUUGAUAAAUCUAAUUACACAAAUCUUACUUAAUACAUAUUAAAGUUUGUGAAGAUUGAAGACCUGGUAUUAAUUUUUGAGUUAUUCUAUAUUAAAUUAUAUUAUUUAAUACACUUAUAAAUAAAAAAUACUUUAAAAUUUUUAAAAAUAACAACAUUCACAUUCCCUUCCGCACUGUCAAAAUCACUCUAAAAGUAGUAGUGUUUUUUUUCCUUGGAAACAGCCUGGAUGCACUUUAAAAGUAUUUUAAUCACAACUUUCCACUCACAUGUCGGAUUGCUGUGAUUCUUGAUAUUGUUGUCAAAAUCGCGAGUUGACUCUUAAAAUCUUAUGAUUUUACGAGUCAACAUGUAUAUAACGUGUCAAAUCGGAUUAAAACUCGAAAUCGGUCAAACUCAGUUAAAAUCGAUAAAAUCGGACCGAUUUUACGAGUUUGACUGAUUUCAAGUUUUAACCCGCAAAAGUUAAUAAAUUUACUUAUGGCAUCUAGAAAAAAUUCUUUUGGUAAUAAGCUUGACGUGGGAUGACAACAUGGUAUAGAUAUUGAUAAGAAUUCUAGAAAAGUUCAGUGCAAGUAUUGUCAAAAAAUUAUCAGUGGAGGUAUUUUUCAUUUUAAACAGCAUUUGGCUUGAAUUGCGAUUUGGAGAUUCAAAUUGAUGAUAUUGGUGUUGGUACUUAGUAGGAGCACUAAUGUUCAUAAUAUUGGUGUUGGUACUAGUAGUGAUACUAAUAAUCAUCUUGAUGCUAAUGAUAUUGAUUAAUGUCUGAGGUAUAAUGAGGAAGAUGAAGGUAAUGAAGUUGGUUUUAGUUUACAUGACACACCAGCAAAUUAUUUGUUUGAAGUUUGUUAAUUAUUAGUUAAUGAAAAGUUGUUUGAAUUAUGUAUGAAUUUUUAUUUGAACCAUAUAUUUUAAGAUGCUUGAACUAUAUAUGAAUUUUUAUUUAAAGCAUGUAUUUUAAGGUGCUUGAACUAUGUAUAAAUUUUUAUUUGAAGCAUGAAUUUUUUUUAAUGUAUUUUAAAAUUCCUUACGAUUUUACGAUCUGUUUUUACGAUCCGAGUUUGUUUUGUAUUUUCCGUGCCGUGUCAAAAUCACGAUUUUAACAACCUUGAUUCUUGAUGCGUUAUCUUGUUUGGGAACCGUUGUUUUCAAAAAUUUGAUUUGUUUUAAUUUUGUUUUUCAUCUUAAACGUAAAAACAGGUGCCAAACAAAUACCUCUCAAAUUAUAAGAAUAUAUUUGCGAUUAUAAUAGCGGUUACGGUUCAAAAUAUUUUUGUUUAGAAAUAUAUUAAAAUAAUAUUUUUUUAAAACAUAAUUAUUUUCAAAAAAAAUAAAAUUUUAAAAAAUGCAGUUAGACAGUGAAGUUUCCUACCGCAAGGAAGCUUCCUCUUAUUGUUUGAAGCUAAUGCUUGAUUGCGUUCGAGGGGUUUCUACCCCCAGAAUAUGAAGUCAUUUUCUAAUUAAGGCUUUCUGCCCUCUCUCAAGUAAACUGAAAAACGACAACAUACAUUUUCUAGCCCAGCAGUGGUUCCACUAGCCUUCUGCUAUCUGCCUAGCUGUGGUAUAAAAACAAUUUUAGUCCAUAUUUGAAGGAAUAGCCUCCUGUUUCUUCAAUCUUCUGCUGCUGUGAUUAUUAAAGCCUAUGCUACCUUGGAAUUGAAUUUCCAAGGUAUGAUGGCGUCAAUCUCCAUAGAUAGUUGACCAAGAAGUGGAGGAAUGCCUUAGAGGACCUGAGACAAUCAAGAGUUGGGCAAGAUGCCAUGGAGGAAGAGGUAUUCCGGAUACUGAGAUUUUGUUAUACGCACUUCAAGGAUUCAGCAUUCCAACAAUGUUUGCUGUGUUGUGCAUUAUUUUCACCAACCAUAUCUCGAAUCCAUGACUAACAACGCAAAAUCGAUGCUAUAAGAACAUUAUAUUUAAACAAGCAUAUUAGAAAACAAAAACAUAUAAACAUGAAUUUCCAAGGUAUGAUGGCGUCAACCUCCAUAAAAUUCAAUAUUUAAAAUAAAAAUCUAAACUUAAAUAAAAUAUUAUAAUUGUGGAGUGUCUAAACAUCUAAUAAAAUAUUUUUAUUCUUAAAAUAUUUGUGGAAAACAAGAAAACUAAUUUAGGGUUUAAUUGAAUAAUUAAUUAAUUCACAUACGAUUUUAUUUUAUUUUUAGUGACAACUAAUUUCAUCAAACACCAAUAACCUGAUUUUUGAUCAUAGGAGUUUGAGACAUGGCCCAUGCUACAACAAUGUUGGGACCACAGUCACAUUGUAACAAUAAUGUUUGGACCAUUUAAGAUUGUACCCUACUACUUCACUCGAACUUUAUUUUGUAUUUAUAAUUAAUAAGGAAAAAGCAUGAUUGGGUUGAAAACCUUUUUAUGCUCGGUCGAAGGCUUUUGGGACUCUAUUUUCACAUAUUGUGGUAUAAAGUAUAUAUUAAAACUGUAUUUUAGAAAUAAUUUUUGUAAUUUUUAAUAUCACCAUAUUAAAAUUAUUGAAACAUUCUUAAAAAAUUAUCAAAUUAAUAUUUUCUAGAGACAAAUUAAAAAAAAAACAUUUAAAAGCUUAAGCGCAUUUCCAAAACCGGAAAACAUCAAAAGAUACACUUAAAGUAGUAGUAAUGUUCUUUUUUCUUGGAAACAGCCUCCACACACUGUAGUAUUUUAAUCAUUACUUUCCACUCUACAAAUUAGCCUCGAACGAGGAUUUCAAAAAAGGAACUCCUAGAAAUUAGCCACAUGGUUAGUUAUUAAAUCUGAGCAGUAAAUUAAAUUUCUAGAGCCGAAUCAAGCCUAACAUGAAUUCAUAGAAAGAAAGAGCGUUUAUUAUUAUGAAAUACUUCUUUUUUAUAUAAUGUGCUUACAAUUACAUAAAUAACAUUUUUCAUUUUUUUUAUUUAUUUCAUUAUCUUUUUAAGACUAUUCAAGAAGAAUCUUCGACGUGACAUAGCACUUUCACCAUAAAUGGAAGGAAUUGCAGAAGCUAUUGCUAGGGAAUGUUCUGGUUUGCCACCGGAAAUUAUUACAGUGGCAGGAAGCUUGAGGGGAGUGGAUGAUUUACAUGAAUGGAAUAAUACAUUGAAUAAAUUAAGAGAAUCAGGAUUUAGGGACAUGAAUGAGAAGGUAUUGAGGGUUAGUUAUGAUCGGCUAGGUGAUUUAACACUACAAAAAUGUCUCUUGUACUGUGCAUUAUUUCCCGAAGACUUUAUUUUCUUGACUUUUUAAACAGCAGCCUGGAUAAACUUAAAGCAAUGUUCUUUUUCUUAGAAACAGCCUAGAUACACUUAAAGUAUUUUAAUCAUAACUUUCCACUCACAUAUCGGAUUUCUGUGAUUCUUGAUGCGUUGGAAAGGUAUCGUAAAGGGCUACAAGUUUAGUCUCUGAUGAAAAAGGAGGACUGCCUACUUUUGAAAAAGGGGGCUGCCUCCUCUGUAAAGAGGGCUAUUUGGCAUAAGAAGACGUGUGGGAAUUGCACUAGAGAGAGGGAAAAAAAGAGAGCACAGAUGAGGAAAGGAAUGACUAAUACAGUGAUGGGUAACUAAAUUGUUCAGAUUUCUAAUUAUUCUAACUCUUUUGUUUUAUCAUUCUCAAUUUGUUGUUGAGAAGUAUUCUUCUCCGAAUUUAUGCAGUUUAUGGAUUCAUUCAUGUUUUUUCUAUUGAAUGGAUUAAUUUUUGGAUCAUUUAUUUACCUGUUUUGAUUUAAUUUCUUUGCUUUUGGGUGGAAUCAGGUUUCUACCACACAGAAUGUGAAAUUAUUUUCUUGAGGCUUUCUGCCCUCUCUCUAGUAAACUAAAAAACGGCAACAUACAUUUUCUAGCAGGCAGGUAACAGUACGCUGGAGAUAUCUACUGCUGCUCAAAGUCCAAACAACAACGGUAUUGCCAACACUGUUAUGCCGCAAUCAAAAAAACAUAAUUGUUUUUAUAUUUAAAAUUAUGUUUGAGUGUAUUUAAAAAUCUGUUUAUCUUGGAAAAUUCUGAAAUUGUUUGAUUUACCGGAACUGAAAAGUAUUUGCAGUGCAAAAAUUGAUUUACAAUUCUCUUAGAGAUAUUACUGUAAUGCAUUGUAAGAAGGUGAAGAGGAUGCCAAUUUGUCUUCUUUUUUAUCUCUCAAUGGAACACUCAUGACAUCAAAUAGAAUAACUUCAAGAAAAACUAAGAACGAAUACGAAGCUUACGAAUACUUAAGAGACAUAUUCUAAAAUUUAGUUUAUUGUUUACCUUUUAUUUUUUAUUUUUUAUUUUGAUCUAAAAUUUUAUUUUAUUUACCUUUAGUUCAUGAGUUUGAGAUGAAAGAAAAAACAAAUCACACAAAAAAAAACUUGGAAGAAGAUAAAAAGUUAUUGAUCGACAACUUUCCGGCAACAAAAACACAUACAGUAUCAAUGGAAAACUGGUGUGCAGAUUGGAUAGCAAAUCAAGCUUCAUAGUAGAUGUUGAAGUUUUCCACUGCAGUGUUGGGUUGGUUGCCAUUAAUGUGCAACAACCAUUGACAAUUGCAGCAGCUGCAGCUAGAGUUGCACCAACCAUGUGCACUCAUCCAAGAUGUCAAAGGUUGGCAGCCACCAUUGUUGAAGAAGAGCUGGAGUUGGCAGCCACCUUUGUUGAAGAAGAGCUGGAAUUAGCAGUCACCAUUGUUGACAAAAGAGCUGAAAGAGCUGCCAUGGAUGCCUAUAAAUAGAGGCAUACAUUAGAGAUCAAAAUGAGAGAGUUAAGAGAAGGAGAGUGUAGAGCCAAAGAUGUGAGAGAUGUAGGAGAGAGUGGGCUGCCAAGGCACCAGCAGUAGCUGCCAUUGCAGCACUGNNNNNNNNNNNNNNNNNNNNNNNNNNNNNNNNNNNNNNNNNNNNNNNNNNNNNNNNNNNNNNNNNNNNNNNNNNNNNNNNNNNNNNNNNNNNNNNNNNNNNNNNNNNNNNNNNNNNNNNNNNNNNNNNNNNNNNNNNNNNNNNNNNNNNNNNNNNNNNNNNNNNNNNNNNNNNNNNNNNNNNNNNNNNNNNNNNNNNNNNNNNNNNNNNNNNNNNNNNNNNNNNNNNNNNNNNNNNNNNNNNNNNNNNNNNNNNNNNNNNNNNNNNNNNNNNNNNNNNNNNNNNNNNNNNNNNNNNNNNNNNNNNNNNNNNNNNNNNNNNNNNNNNNNNNNNNNNNNNNNNNNNNNNNNNNNNNNNNNNNNNNNNNNNNNNNNNNNNNNNNNNNNNNNNNNNNNNNNNNNNNNNNNNNNNNNNNNNNNNNNNNNNNNNNNNNNNNNNNNNNNNNNNNNNNNNNNNNNNNNNNNNNNNNNNNNNNNNNNNNNNNNNNNNNNNNNNNNNNNNNNNNNNNNNNNNNNNNNNNNNNNNNNNNNNNNNNNNNNNNNNNNNNNNNNNNNNNNNNNNNNNNNNNNNNNNNNNNNNNNNNNNNNNNNNNNNNNNNNNNNNNNNNNNNNNNNNNNNNNNNNNNNNNNNNNNNNNNNNNNNNNNNNNNNNNNNNNNNNNNNNNNNNNNNNNNNNNNNNNNNNNNNNNNNNNNNNNNNNNNNNNNNNNNNNNNNNNNNNNNNNNNNNNNNNNNNNNNNNNNNNNNNNNNNNNNNNNNNNNNNNNNNNNNNNNNNNNNNNNNNCCAUCUGAAAUGCGAUUUGGACGAUUUCAGACUUGUUUCCAGCUAAUUUGAUCGUUCCGGAUGCAAUGGUAUGGUCCGAUCGUUGAGGUUUGAGACUGAAAAUGGUGGUGGUGAAUUAUUGAAAGAGAUUGCCCGAUGAAGAAGCAUCUGAAGGUCAUCAUGGUGGUCGACGGAGAUGAAGAAGGAGAAAGUGCACAUGUUUGCCCAAUUACAUGUGCUGAACUGCUAAGUGGGGAGAAAUUUUUAAUUGCCUUGAAGGAAGGAAAAAUUGGGACACUCUGGACACCCGAUCAUGUGGACGAUUUGAGGUGGAGAGUGGAAAUUGAUGAAGACCAAUCUUGACGAAUCUAAGAACUGGUAGUCUCACCAGAUGUUGAGAAAUCAGGUAUAAAACCGGGAUACCCCAGAUCACUUGUAAAGGAAAGCCGCAACAAAGCUAGCAAAUGGUUGUAUAUACAAAAAGGUAGUACGGUGGAUAGAUACGUUCUAAGAAGUUCUGUCUAGGAGAUUGGGUUUUAAGCGGGACCAGUGUGACCCCUCCAAAUCUUUCUUGGGAAAUUGCUUAGUUGAAGGAUCAUCCACACAGUACUAUUUUUGUAUAUGUAAUAGUUUGUAAUGAAACUGUUGAAGACUAGCAAGAUGAUGGCACAAAGGAACAGUUGGGUUCUGUAUGUUCAAGGAUCUGAUGGAGUGGUGAUUUCUCCAAAGAAGUUAGAUUCGGUGACUGUAAUUUCUCGAAGGGAUAAUUAAUGAAGACCCUGAUAAUGGAAGAGAAAUACAACAAGGGGAUAAAGAUUGGCACCCUAUUUUGACUUGGAUAAAUGUUGUGACAGGAUGAGCUGCUGUCAAACAUAAAAGCAAAGAAUAGGGAGAAAUCUGGAGAACCGAAAUUGCACGAGAACACACGAAGAUUGUGCAGGAGUACCCGAAGGAUCCAACGAGGUACUGUAAUGAGACAACAGAUGCAAGGAGAAAAAGAGUUCCCGGAUGAAGCUCAGAGCAGAGACUGUGUGAAAAAGUUGUACAACAGGAAAUCUCUUGUGCUCUUGAUAAAGGCAACAAGCGAGGACCUUUCCAAUGCAUGCAAGGAUGGAAAGAUGAGCUGUUGCAGAAGCACCUAAUUAAAGGGGUGCGACCGCCUAUAGAAAGGCGAAGACACCAAAGAGAGUUGGUGUGGGUGGAGCUAUCAAGCAGAAAGACAUAGAAGCUCCAAACAUAGAAAAUGAGAUGGAGGAUUGCGAAGAGUGCACCGCAACUCUCUCUUUUUAUGUGAUCAGUGGCAGUGAUCUCUCCCAAGUCCACAUGGUGGUAGAGAAUCUUGGAGCCACUGGAGACAUCCCCGAUGAAGGAGGAUGUGACCGCUUUAUGACGGACGGAGACACCUCAGGCAGAAGGUGUGUGGGCCAUGAAACGAGCAUAAGUACAAACCGCCGCAUGACGACAAGCGGAGACACCUCGGAUGGAAGGUGUGAGGACCAUGAUAUGAGUCCAUGAUCAGACCGUCUCAUGACGACAGACGGAGACACCUCGGGAGAAGGUGUGAGGACCAUGAUAUGAGUCCAAGUUCAGAUCGUCUCAUGAGGACAGACGGAGACACCUCGGAUGGAAGGUGUGAGGACCAUGAUAUGAGUCCAAGUUCAGACCGUCUCAUGACGACAGGCNNNNNNNNNNNNNNNNNNNNNNNNNNNNNNNNNNNNNNNNNNNNNNNNNNNNNNNNNNNNNNNNNNNNNNNNNNNNNNNNNNNNNNNNNNNNNNNNNNNNNNNUGAUAUGAGUCCAAGUUCAGACCGUCUCAUGACGACAGGCGGAGACAUCUCGGAUGGAAGGUGUGAGGACCAUGAUAUGAGUCCAAGUUCAGACCGUCUCAUGACGACAGGCGGAGACACCUCAGGAGAAGGUGUGAGGGCCAUGAUAGGAGCCCAAUUUCAGAACGCCCUAAAGACCGAUGUGAUGGCUGGAUAUAAGUGGACAAGUGUAUAGCCAAUGAAGAGGCUAUGAUGAGUAUGGAGACAAAUGCAGGAUUGACUUUCAUGGAUAUUGCCCCCAUGCUAAAGAUCAAUGAGCUAGAAGACAUUUGCCUUGGACAAUAAGUGGGUGACUUGUGGAGCAUUAAGACGCGGCUGCUAUGAAGGAGCAGAGGGCAUGCGUAGGUUCCGGGAACAAGUUGACUCUUGUCAAGGUGGUGAGCUCAGUAAUGACAUUGUAAUACUUAGAGUAUGAAGAUAGAGAUGGAUCAACCUUUAAUGGGCUGUCCCCAUGGUUAAAAGGGAGAGCCACCUGGACUCUUGAGACUAAGAGCGGGAGACUCACGGAGAAGUAAGGCGUGGUUCCUAGGAAGGAACAGAGGGCAGACGCAACUCCGGGAUGAGUAGACUCUUGGAAGAGUGGUGAGCUCGUGAUCACAUUAAAAUACUCAAUGACUGUCGCACUUGGGAAUAUCCGUUUGAGGGGGUGUUGUAAGCCUUGGUGUAAGGCUUGAUAAAUCAUUUCGGGCCAAGCAUGGUUGAUAUGCUUGAAGGGGGAUGUUGUUCCAGAGACAAGUGUUAACACUCUUCAGAUGAGUUGUGACAAACCAUCUGGUUGAAGUGAUCCUUUGGAGUGAGCAAAGGGGUGUUUGGAUGACUCUGGUGAUUGAAAGGUUUGGCAAGUACAUGUAAACUUAGCCACAGACGCUCUCAGAAUGGUAAGCUUGGAAGAGCUGCAGAAUGCAAGCAUGUGCUGAAGAAGCAAGAGGAUAGUUGCCCCACAUGAAUGGCAAAGGGGGUGAUUGUUGGGUUGGUUGCCAUUAAUGUGCAACAACCAUUGACAAUUGCAGCAGCUGCAGCUGGAGUUGCACCAACCAUGUGCACUCAUCCAAGAUGUCAAAGGUUGGCAGCCACCAUUGUUGAAGAAGAGCUGGAGUUGGCAGCCACCUUUGUUGAAGAAGAGCUGGAAUUAGCAGUCACCAUUGUUGACAAAAGAGCUGAAAGAGCUGCCAUGGAUGCCUAUAAAUAGAGGCAUACAUUAGAGAUCAAAAUGAGAGAGUUAAGAGAAGGAGAGUGUAGAGCCAAAGAUGUGAGAGAUGUAGGAGAGAGUGGGCUGCCAAGGCAGCCAGCAGUAGCUGACAUUGCAGCACUGAGAAGAGAGAAAUAGAGUGAGGUUGAGAGUUGCUAAAGAGGGGAUAAUUCCUCCUCUAUUGUUGUAAAUCUUGUUCUCUCCCUAUAUAAUUCAAUGGCUUCUCCCGUGGAUGUAGGCGGUUUGCCGAACCACGUUAAAUAUUGUGUCAGUGUGCUUAGCCUCCAAUGGGCAAAUAUCAGAACAUCACCGGUCGGAAUUCCCUACAUGCAGUACUGAAUCUCCCUCUGGUUGUUUGAAGCUAAAGCUUGAUUGCGUUCCUGGGAUUUUGAUGAUGAGUCUCUAUGAAAGUGCAUUCUAUCACUGGAAUAAAAUGCUAAAAUGUGAAUAAAAAUAAUAGAAAUUAAACAGACAAGUCAAGGCCCCGGAGUCGUGAAAAUUCACUUUGAACCAGCCUCCACACACUUAAAGUAUCUUAAUCAUAACUUUCCACUCACAUAUCGGAUUGCUGUGAUUCUUGACGCGUUGGAAAGGUAUCUUGAAGGGCUACAAAUUAGCCUCUUAUGAGGAUUUCAAAAAAGGAACUCCUAAAGCAUGUACGUGGCUGCCAAAAAAAAGUCCUAAAAUCUAGGCAAUUUGUUUGUGACACAACGGGGAAUUUGUAAAUUUGUUGUCCACUUGCAAAAUUGAACAGAGUUGACAUAAGAAUCCAGAAGUUAUUGGUGACAAAGGAUCCGAGGAAAAGUGAGUUCAACUGUUACAUUUUGUUUAUAUUAUCUUGUUGCACUAAAUCAAGAAGUUUACUAGACUUAUUACUCUGUAAAUUUGCUUUCUGAGUGCUGAGCAUGUGAUUGGAGAGAUUUGAUUCUCAUAUAAUUGUUGCCAGCUUAUUUGUGAGCAAGAAGUAUUAUUGAAUAGAAAUGCUUUCAUUUUUUAUUUUCAGCUUGAAAAUGAAUUGAACAUUUAUUACCUGAGUUUUCUUCUCCAUUUUAUUUAAUUUAAGAAGCAUUUCAUGAUCCUUUUUUUUCUGACUUUAUUAAGUUUUUUCAUGAUAAUUUAUCAAAAAAAUUUAGCAGGAAUCCUGCAGGUCAGAAUUCAUUCCCAUCAAUAAGAUGGAGUAGUAUGAACAAUUUAUUCGUUUAUUUUUGGUUUCUGCUAACGAUUUAUUUCAUGAUUAAUAUCGAUUUAUUUUCACUUUCUAGUAUACCAUUGUUAUUAGUUUGCGGUGUGGCAUAUAAUUUUUUUAGAUCAGUGUUACUUCAAUGGUGGCGUCGAAGUAUACCUUCUGCCAUAAUAUUUAAUAGCAAUUUCUAUGAUAAUCUCAGAAUUUCCAAUCUAGCUUUUGCACCCUUCACAUUUUGAUAAUACCUAGCUUUUAAGUUUUUUAAUAUUUUUUUAUUUUUGACAUCAAAUGAUCCUAAAGCAAAAUAUAUAUAUAUAUAUAUAUAUAUAUAUAUAUAUAUAUAUAUAUAUAUAUUAAUUUAUUUUAUUUUUUUUCAAAAUGGUUGUGAGCAUUUUACCAAUCUGUUGGGGGUGAUGUUGGUGGGCUUGGGCUAGGAGCAUGUUAUUUUUACUCCUGGGCUAUUGGCGAGGCUUGAGACUGCUACCUUUUCUUUUCGUACCCGCGCUGCCCCUCCCUCUCCAAAAAGUCGCUCAAAAUACAGAUUACGAAAUCACAGCUAUUGCUUGGAAUUGAAUGCAUGAGUUGAAACCGUCGGAGAACACCAGGCUAAGCUCCAAACUCAUCGCCACCGGCAUGCUCUCCAGCAUAAUUCAAAACAGUUUUCUAAAUUUUACAUUCUAUUUGUGUACUCUAAUUUUUCUCCAAUAUCUCUUAUCAAAUGGGUUCUGCUCUUAGAUGGUAUGAGCGAGACUUUUGGCAUACAGAAGCUGGGAGUUCCUGUCCAAGUUAAGGGAUGCAAGCUGAUUCCUACAAACCGAUCAGAAAAGAUUUGUCUAUAGAUGAAGUUUUCUAUUUACUUUGCAACAACCCUUAGCAUUGACAAUAUUAUUCUCUCUGUAAUUCAGUCGGUAUAUACUCAUAAUAUUAUUCUGUCGGUAUAUACUGACAGGAUUACGGAUGAAAUAGUAUCCGUUGGUAAUUAUCACCGCAAUUUACCGACAUAAUUAUUUCAUCGGUAAUUCCAUUGGUUUUAGACGAAUUUCUGAUAGUGAUGUUGAGUAAUUCGUAUGAAAUUAUCGGAUUGAUUGUUUAUUAAAGAGAAUAGCCGGAUGUUGAAUAAUUUAUAUGGAAUUACCGGAGUUAUUGGCUAUUAAGAGUAUAGCUGGAUGUUGAGUAAUUUGUAUAGAAUUACCGGAUUGAUUGGCUAUUAAAGAGAAUAGUUAAAUGUUGAGUCAUUCGUAUGGAAUUACUGGAAUUUAUUUCACUAUGAAAGAGAAUAGAUGGAUGUUGAGUAAUUCAUAUGGAAUUACUGGAAUUAUUGGCUAUUAAAAAAGAUUAGUCGGAUGUGGAGUAAUUUAUAUGGAAUUACCGGAUAUUUAUUGGCUACCAAGAAAGAUUAGCCGGGUUCGAGAUAAAUUUUAUGAAUUAUCAAAUUUAAAAUUAAGCAAUAAGUGUUGGUUGUUGAUUUCCUCUAAGUUUAGGAUUGAUAAAAUUAUGAAUGGCCUUUUGAUAUUGGAAUGCAGUAAGUAAGUUAGUGAUGAAAGGUAAUUUUAUAUAUUUUAAAGAAUUGCAAACAUAACUAGGUAUUUCAUGAGAUAUUUCUAAAGUGUUGGUUGAUCUAUUCCAUUGUCGGUCCUGCUUUGCCAGCAUCAGUCCUGCUUUGCUCAACCAUUAUUUGCCCUCGGGAUGUUUAAUCUGAGGCCCUUUUUGAAUUGUUCUGGCAGCGUGCUAAUAGCCUACUGCAUAUGGUUGCUCAGUUCGAUCUCAGUGCUUUUAGGUUUUGCUCAGUUCAUGUUAUGACCCGCGGCACCGCGCGGGCCAUUCACCUAGUACAUUCAAUUUGUGUACUCUAAUUUGUCUCCAAUGUCUCUAACCCCUUGUCAAAUACUGACAUGUAAACUGCUUGCAUGGUUAUCAAUAUCUUUCAAGUGAGUGUUGGAUAUAUAGCUUAAGAUAAAAAAAAAUUUCCGUUUUUAUUUAUUUUUCAUUUUUUUUCUUAAUGUUUGAGAAAGAUGCCUACAGAUGGGAAUGAAUGGACUGAUUCGAAAUCUUCUUCUCUUGAAAGGGAUGGCAGAUAAGCUAAUGAUGUUGGGUGUGAUGGAGAUUCAUCUCAACCAACAGAUCCAUUGUGUCUUGACCAUGGAAGAUAUAUAUAUAUUAUGAUCAACUCUGUGCUCCAUCGCUAAACAAAGAUGUCAUUAUGUGUGAUGUGCAGAACAUGGUGGAAAUGAAAGACGUAUUGGUCUGAAUAUUUCUAAUGAAGAUGAGGAGCUGCAUAGACUUCUGAUUUUAGACAUACAAAAGCUGAUUCUUACAAACCGAUCAGACAAGAUUUGUCAAUGGAUGAAGUUUCCUAUUUACUUUGCAACAACCCUUAGCAUUGACGGGGGAGGAGUGAGAGGCAUCAUUCCUAGCCUAGUCCUUGCCGCUCUUGAAGCUAAGCUCUAGCUAGGUUCUUGCAUAAAAAACUUACGCAGCGUGGGCCACUUUUCUUGGCUUUUUGCUCAGAUGAUUUUUGGGUUUUUUUAAAAAAUAUUUUUCAUGUGUUUACAUUUUCUUGGCAGCUUCUUCGAAGUUUCAACAUUGGGGUGGAUCCACACGUUAACUUUUCAUAUCUUAUAAUAUAAUAUGGAGAAGUGGUGGUUUUUUUAUAAAAAAAUAUUGAGACAUGGAGAAACAGACGACCAUACAAUAAGAGUCGGGAGGCCGAAUGUAUUGGGGAAGCCACCUCUCUGUUAAAAAAAAGGCAUAAGCGUGUGCUCCUGCGGAGAAGGAGAAGAACGGGACCUGCGGCUGAAAAGAAGAAGGAAAUGGGGGCGCCGGCUGGAAUGGGAAGAAGAAGGUGCUGGAACAAGGCUUAGGGAGGUGACGAGGGAGAAGAUUGUGUCAGUUUUGGGAGAGAAAAUGGAGUGGGGAGCAGCUGUGGAGAGGGGAAGGAAAAUGGUGAAAUGGCGUGGAGGAAAGGUUGAAGAUGAUGCUGCCGUGGCUGUGUCGAGAGGAGGAAGCAACCGGAAAUUAAAAAGGGGGGGGGGGCGGCUGUAAGAAGAAGAAGAUUAAGAUUUUUUAGGGUUAGGUUUUUUUUUUUUUUUUUUUGUCAAAAUUGCCCCCCUUGCUUAGCUGAAAAUGAAGGCUAUUUAUAGGCAAAAUAGUUUUUUCGGGCUUCAAAAUUGGUCCCUCAAGUUUUGUGUUUGGCCCCCUAAUUUCAAUCAAUUCACUUGGUAAAAAUUAAAUUGGGUCUCUUAAAAUUCUGAUUUUUUAAUUAAGUCCAAAUUAAGCCCCCAAACUUAAUUUUUCACCAAUUAAGCCCUCAAAUUAAUUUGACCCGCUUAAAGUAUAAUUAAGUCCUUGCACUUAAUUAAAUCCUUCAAUUGGACCCAAAUUAAUUCUUGAACAUAAUUAAAAUUCAAUUUGGCCCAUGAUUAAAUCAAAUUGGCCCAUUAAAAAUUUAAUUAUGUCAUUGGACUUAAUUCUUAUGCAAAUUCGUCCAAUAAUCAUUUAAUUUGACCUUUGAAUUUGCAUUUUUUCUAUUUUUGGGCGUAACAGCGUACACUUGGGCCUUGAGAUUCUUCCGAAAAUUGCAUCUUGAUUUUCGCCUAUUUUGCAGCCUUUCUUGGUCGGCUUUCUCCGCAUUUCCAGCCUUUAUUAUAUUUUUUAUUUUUUAUUUUUUUUGGGAAAAAAAUGAAUUUUGGGGAAUCACCCAAAAUUGGGUGAUGACAAUGUUUUUUUUGUUUUUUAUUUUUUAAUUGAUUGUUUUUAUUUUAUCUUUUAAUAUCGAAUUGAUUUGAAAAUAGACUAUAUUAUUUAUUUUUAUUUGCUUUCUAUAGAAUUAUCAAAGUUCUAAAUAAAUAUUGAAUUUAUAAAAAUAUUUUCAGCCAAUGAUUUUUGUAAAAAGUAAAGCCAUGUUUUACUGGUCUUCUAAGUUAAUUUUAAAUCUAUAAAAUCAAUCAAUUUAAAUUAUAUAGUUUAAUUAAAGAUUUGAAUUAGAUAAAAAGCUAAAUAAAGAGAUAUUAAUAAUAUUGCCAACAAACUUUUUUCACUCUAAACAUUCUUUUUUUAUAUUUUUUUUAAAAAAUUAAUCCAGCACGGAAAAACACUAGGUUUUGUUCAUUAAAAGUAAGGAUGGAGUCUUUGACCGCGUGUGCCUCUAAUCAGCAACAGAUUGGUAACGGCAACGAUUGAAAACCUUUAAUUUGUCUUCUAAUUUUUUCCCUAUUAGUAAUUGUUACGUAAUCAGAUUCGCUUCAUGUUCAAUAAUUGUUUUUUAUUUUUUUAAAUUUAUUUAUUUUAUUUUUAAUAUCAAUAUAUUUAAAUUAUAAAAAAAUCUAUUUAUCUUUUUAAAAAAACAACUAAAAACAAAAGCAAUCACCUGCUCUUAAUUAAUCACAUAUCUAAUAUUUAAAAACAUUGUUAAAGCACACGUUUUUCAAAAACUUUGAAUUUUUUUUCUUUUUGAAUUUUUUUUUUUUUUAUGAAUGAUGAAAAUAUUCCUUUAAAUCAACAAGGAUAUUUUUAUUAAUUAAUAUUAAAAUUACUUGCAUGAUGCUUUUGGGUUAAAGAUGCUCAAUGUUUGGAUUUGGGUCGGUUUGAAAUGGUAUUGCCGAUUCCAUAUUUCAAAGAAAAAUCGAAGCCUAACAUGAAUUCAUAGAAAGAGCGUUUAUUAAUAUGAAAUAUUUCUUUUUUAUAUUGUGUUCUUACAAUUACAUAAAUAACAUUUUUCAUUUAUUAAUUUAUUUAUUUCAUUAUCUUUUUAAGACUAUUGAAUUGUCAUAUUUUUUUUAAACUCGAUAGAUAAAUAAUUAUAAUUUGAAGUUUGAUUAAUAUUAUAUUUUCAUCCUAUUGAGUUUCUCCAAGAUAAAAAUCCAAAAAAAAACACUAUAUUGAUUUAUCAUUGAAGUAACCUAAUAAAAUAACAUAUGUAUUCACCAGUACAAAUCAUCUUAUAUCAUUAAAUAGCAAUAAAUUAUUCUUUUAAAAUAUAUAAUACAGAUUAAAAAAAUAUCGAAGUUUUCUACUAGGGUUGAUGAUGAAUCUCAAGGUUGAAUUGGUUCUUAUGAAGUUUUCUACUAGUGCUAAGUUAUGAGUUCAAGGAAGAGAGACAAAAAGUGAAAGGGACAAUUGUGUCGAUUGUUCUCUUGAUCUGAGCUUAUUCUGUAUCAUUUUGUUGGUUGCAUUAAUUAUACCUUCACCUCCAUACGCAACUCCUCUUCAUCUCUUAAUGUUAAUAAAAAUGUAAGAAUUUAGGAACAUUUUCACAAUGAAGAUUAAUUCAUCUCCAUAGCAGAAUACAGGAAAUAGAAAAUUAAAUCAAUAAAAGUAAGGUAUUUUAUCGCCAAUGAAUUCAUCUCUUCGAACAUUCUUGAAUUCUGGUCAAUUCAAAUCACAACAAACAUCGUAAACAUGUCAGAAGUAUUCCUCUACCACAGCAGUGAGAAGAUCAAAUGAGGAAGGCUAAGAUUCUUUAUUAAAUGAACUGAACAUACAUUUUUCUGUUGGAUGAGUUUUGGUUUCUAAACGUGAAACUGCCAUCGUAAGCACUAGCUAAGGAAGUUAGGAUAAGCUUUUCUGGUAAUUAUAUCACAUUUUUCUGCUACAAUAAUGCUCUUUAUAUUCUCUGCUACUAUUGCUUAUAAUCUUUUGCCUCUGGUAUCUUUUCCAACCUGUUUGAGGGAUGUUUUCAGGAGUUGAACAGAGUUGACAUAGAAAUCCAGGAGUUAUUGGUGACAGAGGAUCUGGAUCCUUUUCGAGGGAAAGUGAGUUCAACUGUUACAUUUUGCUUACAUUAUCUUGUUGCACUAAAUCAAGAAGUUUACUAGACUUAUUACUCUGUAAAUUUGCUUUUUAAGUGCUGAGUAUUUUAUAUAAUCAUGUAAUUGGAGAGAUGAUUCUUAUAUAAUUGUUGCCAGCUUAUUUGUGAGCAAGAAGUAUUAUUGAAUAGAAAUGCUUUCAUUCUUUAUUUUCAGCUUGAAAGUGAAUUGAACAUUCAUUACCUGAGUUUUCUUCUCCAUUUUAUUUGAUUUACAAAGCAUUUCAUGAUUUUUUUUCUGACUUUAAUAAGUUUUUUCAUGAUAAUUUUAGGAGUCCUGCAUGUCAGAAUUCAUUCCCAUCAAUAAAAUGGAGUAGUAUGAACAAUUUAUUUAUUUAUUUUUGGUUUCUGCUAACGAUUUAUUUCAUGAUUAAUAUCGAUUUAUUUUCACUUUCUAGUAUACCAUUGUUAUUAGUUGCGGUGUGGCAUAUAAUUUUUUUAGAUCAGUCUUACUUCAAUGGUGGCGUCUAAGUAUACCUUCUGCCAUAAUAUUUAAUAGCAAUUUCUAUGAUAAUCUCAGAAUUUCCAAGCUAGCUUUUGCACCCUUCACAUUUUGAUAAUACCUAGCUUUUAAGUUUUAUAAUAUUUUUUUAUUUUUGACAUCAAAUGAUCCUAAAGCAAAUAUAUAUAUAUAUAUAUAUAUAUAUAUAUAUAUAUAUAUAUAUAUAUAUAUAUAUAUAUAUAUAUUUUUUUUUUUUCAAAAUGGUUGUGAGCAUUUUAUCAAUCUGUUGGGGGUGAUGUUGGUGGGCUUGGGCUAGGAGCAUGUUAUUUUUACUCUUGGGCUAUUGGCGAGGCUUGAGACUGCUACCUUUUCUUUUCGUUCCCGCGCUGCCCCUCCCUCUCCAAAAAGUCGCUCAAAAUACAGAUUACGAAAUCACAGCUAUAGCUUGGAAUUGAAUGCAUGAGUUGAAACCGUCGGAGAACACCAGGCUAAGCUCCAAACACAUCGCCGCCGGCAUGCUCUCCAGCAGAAUUCAAAAUAGUUUUCUAAAUUUUACAUUCAAUUUGUCUACUCUAAUUUUUCUCCAAUAUCUCUUAUCAAAUGGGUUCUGCUUUUAGAUGGUAUGAGCGAGACUUUUGGCAUACAGAAGCUGGGAGUUCCUGUCCAAGUUAAGGGAUGCAAGCUGAUUCUUACAAACCGAUCAGAAAAGAUUUGUCUAUGGAUGAAGUUUCCUAUUUACUUUGCAACACCCUUAGCAUUGACGGGGGAGGAGUGAGAGGCAUCAUUCCUAGCCUAGUCCUUGCCGCUCUUGAAGCUAAGCUCUAGCUAGGUUCUUGAAUAAAAAACUUACGCAGCGUGGGCCACUUUUCUUGGCUUUUUGCUCAGAUGAUUUUUGGGUUUUUUUUAAAAAUAUUUUUCAUGUGUUUACAUUUUCUUGGCAACUUCUUCGAAGUUUCAACAUUGGGGUGGAUCCACACGUUAACUUUUCAUAUCUUAUAAUAUAAUAUGGAGAAGUGGUGGUUUUUUUAUAAAAAAAUAUUGAGACAUGGAGAAACAGACGACCAUACAAAUAAGAGCCGGGAGGCCGAAUGUAUUGGGGAAGCCACCUCUCUGUUUUAAAAAAAGCAUAAGCGUGUGCUACUCUUCUCGGUCAACAAUCACAACUUUUUUAUUUAUUUUGGCAGAUUAGAGUGUACGGACCAGAUUACGCGCACCACAAUUAAUUUCUGAAUCCACUAAAUACCUUGCACGUCCAGUAAAUAAGUAAGAUACACAAUUAAUUUCUGAAUCCACUAAAUACCUUGCACGUCCAGUAAAUAAGUAAGAUACUAGAAGGAUAAUAAAUAUACAUGCUGAGUCUCAAACCCAUGUUAUAGAAGCAAGAAAACUUUAUCUCUACUGCUUGCCAGAAGGCUGGUGCAACUAUUUUCUUUCUUAAACCUUACGCAGCAGGGGCCACUUUUCUUGGCUUUUUGCUCAGAUGAUUUUUGUGUUAUGGCUUUUAUUAUUAUUAUUAUUAUUAUUAUUAUUAUUUCAGAAAACUAUCCUGAACUGGAAAAUAAAAUGGAGUUGCUCGCCUCGCAACAUGUGAUACUCGUAGGGCUUAAGUGUAACCAGAUUCACUGAUCAAUAAAGAAAAUUAUCAUUGUAACAAUUUUUUUAAAAUAUUUGUUAUUAAAAAAUAUAUUAAAAUAAUAAAUUUUUUUAUUUUUUAAAUUUUUUUUAUAGCAACAGGACAGUAUAUAAAUAUAAAAUAAUCAAAUUUAAAUAAAUAAAAUAAAAUUUAACCAAUACCCAUUUAAAACGAAAUAGCAAACUGGGAUUAAGAAACACAGAAUUAAUCAAAUAGUAUUUUGGAUAAUGAUAAUUUUGUUGGGCCACAGAAUUAGGUCACUGAAGAACUUUUUAGUAAAGGAUUAAUUACUAUGCUCUUAUCCACACAAUCCUUCAUCACCAUCCAAUCCCAUCACUGGAGAACUUAUCCUCUUUGAUCUCAAUGCCCUUCUGCCAUCCCCAAAUAUAAGCUUUUAUCCCUUUUCCUUUGUAUUUUGUCGUUUGUGUCUUUGUCCACUGGCUCAAGGGUGUUUAGUAAUUCUAUAUACGGUUUUUUAAAAAAUAUUUUUUAAAUAAAAAUAUAUUAAUAUAAUAUUUUUAAAAUUUUUUUAAUACUAAAACAUUAAAAAUAUUUUUUAAUCUAUUACAUACAAGCAAGCUGAUACAUAAUUCCCACAUUAAAAAAAUAUAUUUAUUAAUAAAGUGUUUGGAGUUGUUUUUUAAAUUAUUUUUUAUUUAAAAAUACAUUAAAAUAAUUUUUUUUAUUUUUUUAAAAUUAUUUUUAAUAUCAUCAUAUCAAAAUAAUCUAAAUAAAUUAAAAAAUAAUAAUUUAAAAUUAAAAAAUAAUAAUUUAUUUUCAAAAAUACUUUUAAAAUAUAAAAAUAAAACACAAACCCUAACCUCGAACCCAACAUCAUUUCUUUCUGUACAUUUUGCGUGUGUUAAAGGACGCUCCUAAGGCCACGCUCAUAACAGGACGGUGGAUGAUUACGACCAGAACAAGGGUUUAGCAAGGAUCGGAAGAGGGACAGGAGGGUUUAGAGGACACGUGUCAAGUCUUACCAUAAAGGUUAGAAGGUGAUUCAUGAGAUUAAGCUCGUCCUUUGAACCAGCCGCCAUCUUUGACCCUCUCCUCUGGAAUAUUACUACGGACCACAAUAUGGAUCCUCUUUUUUUUUUUUUUUUUUCCUGUUUCGGAGUCUAUUCUGAACUCUUGUCAGUCUUGACACCUUUCGCUCUCUCCCUUUCCCACCACCUUAUUCAAUUAUUCAAUUCAACUGGGAAUCUGCUACGAGUUAGAUUUUAAGUCUAGAUUUUGACUUAUUAUAUGUUUUUUAAGUUGAUUUUUUUUUUCCAUUAAUAUCUUUCCUUACAGUAAAUAAAAAAACAUAUUUCAUUGUUCUUUUAGAAGAUAUUUGGAAUCAUUUGCUGGAUCUAUUUUCUGUUUUUAUUUUCAAAUUUUGAAAUGACUCCUCAGGAAACAAUUCCAACCAAUUAUUUGUCAUGGAAUUUGGAGGCUGUCUAAUUCCAAGUGGGCAUGCUGCAUUUCUUAGCCAGGUGGAGCAAGAAUUGAGGGAGCUUGUUUCUGGCUUUUGCUUCUCUGGGUAUGAUUUGUUGUGUUUUUGUUUUUUCUGCUAAUUUAUCUAAAUAUAAACUUUAGAAUCUUUUAAAUGAAACUAGCGUUCUUGAUUUCUAGGUGGUAGAUAUAACAAUAAUAUUAUUAAAAUAAAAAUAAAUAAAUAAAUAUGAUCAGACUUUUACCAUGUAGCAAAAGAGAAAACAUGACGUCUCUCUGUUUUUUUUAAGCAAUUUUGUUUUUAAUUUCAUUAUAAUAAUUUAUUUCAAUAAGCUUAGCAUGCUUAUUAUGAAGCUCUCACAUAAUAUUAUUAAAAUUGCAAAUUAACUUUUAAAAUUUUAUGAUUUUAUGAGUUAAUAUGUAUAUAAUAUGUCAAAUCAAGUUAAUAUGUAUUAAAUUAUAUAUUUUUUUAAUAUUUUUAAAUUAUUUUAAUGUAUUAAUAUCAAAAAUAAAUUUUUAAAAAAAUAUUAUUUAUAUAUAUUUUUAAAUAAAAAAUACUUUAAAAAUCAAUCUCAUUUCAAACGGCAGUGCCCUGUACCAAACUAUAUUAUCAACAAGAUUUUCCUCGUAUGAAUUAAACCAUUCUGCAUUUGACACAACUUGAAAAACAUGUUUCUUCUUAAAUUAUUAUUUCCACGUGUUUUUUAAAAUCUGAAUAUUUGAGAAAUGGUGGGGUUGAUUUUGUUAGCUUGAUAUGCUUUCGUCUUUGCUUUCCAUUUUUUUCUUUUUGGUUACUUUUGUAUGCUUUCCUCUGUUGCUAAUAUCCACCUCAGCAAGUAGCAUCUAGUUAUAAACACCUUGGGUAUAUUAGUAAAAUAGAAAAACAUUCAUUAUAAUAAAAAUUUUAUGGUUAAGUAAAAUCACUCUGAUCUAAUAUAUACACUCAAAAAAAUAAUAACUACCCAACACAUCUUAAAUCUUGUUUUUUUUACAUUUUAAAAAUACUUUUAAAAAAAUUCGAAUGUCAGAACUGGUUUAUCUUUAUAGUCAUAAUGUGUUAUUUAAAAAUAAAAAAUUUAAAAAUAUUAUUUUAAUAUAUUUUUAAAUAAAAAAAUUUACAGCAUGCAUAAAUAUACUAUUCUUUUUUGAAAAUCUCAUGUGUUUACAAUUUCUUGGCAGCUUCUUUGAAGUUUCAACAUUGGUGCGGGUCCACACGUUAACUUUUUAUAUCUUAUAAUAUAGUAUGUGUGUUUGGUAUGGAGAUGUGGGAAUUUGAGGUUAAUAAUUUAUUUUAAUUAAUUAUAAAGUUCUCAAGGUAAAAAAAACAAAAAAAGCUUCAACGAUUAAUUUAAGUUGGUAUUUGAUUUGAUAAAAUUUUAUUCAAUUUAAUUCAUUAAAAAUAAUUGAAACUUUGAACACCAAAUAUGAUACUGAAAUAAAAAAGCAGCCUGUUGUGUUUUUCAAAAUUCUGUUCCCUAGAGUUUUUGCAUUUUUCAUUUUAAUUUUAAUUCAAAAUUUUAUUUUAUUAAUUUUUUAAUUAUGAAUUUGAGAUAAAAAAAUCACUAAAAAACUCGGAAAAAAUGGAAAAUUAUUGGCCGACAAUUUUAGCAACAAAAAAACACGAUCAUCUUUGUAUUAAUAGAAAAUUAGUGUGCAGAUUGGAUAGCAAAUCAUACUUUAUAGGUCGAGGGCUAAAAAUAUAAAUUUGUAAAAGGGUGGUGGAAAAAAAAUAAUUUCCAUUGGUGUGGAAAAGUUCAGAUAUACUAUUAUAGAAUAAGAUAAUGUUUGAUGGUGUAAUAAUUAUUAUUUUUUAAAUUAUUUUUUAUUUAAAAAUAUAUUAAAAUAAUAUAUUUUUUUAUUUUUUAAAAUUUAUUUUUAAUAUUAAAAUGUCAUAGAUUAAGAGAGGCGUUUUAUUUUUUUUAAAAAUCAAAAUAAUAUUAUUUUAAUAAUUGUUUAUUAAAAAAUUAAAGAAUUAAAAGCUAGUCAACCGAGUUAAGAAAUCAACUUAGAUUCUUGAUUAAAUCAGCUGAUGACCCGUUAACUUUGGCAGGUAUAUAUUAAUUUAUUUUCUUGGCAGCUUUUUCGAAGUGUGAACAUUGGAGCGGGUCCACACGUUAACUUUCUAUAUCUUAUAAUGUAAUAUGUUUGGGUUGCUUCCUGGCAACUUCCUUCCUUCCUAUCAAACAAUACGAAAAUUAACUAUUAUUGAGGCGACCUUACUAAUAAAUAAUAGUAUUUGUAACAUUCGCUAGCGGCUGUAACAUUCGCUUCCACAUCUCCUCUCAUUAUACAAUUCCCUAUUUACCUUCCUUAUUAGGUAAUCCAGCUAGCACUUGAAGAACAUCUUGAAUCCAGGUAAAUUAAUUGUACUUCAUCUUGUCUGAAUCUUUAAAGUAAUCCAUGAUAAAUUAAUCGAUCUUUUUCUCAGAUUUUGUAAUCCAUGCCCUGUGGUGUUCAUACUGAUUAUAUUAACCCUAAACGUUGAAUUCAUUGUUUUUGUCUUUUCAAGAUUCUUUGCUGUUUUUAACUCCUUACAUAUGGGAUUUCUUUUCCAAUACUAGAUUUUGUAAUCCAUGCCCUGUGGGACUGCCAUUAAUUAUUUUUAUCCAAUAUUUUUCUGACAUAAUGAUUCAAUGAAGUUGUUUUUUACUGAUUCAUGAAUUAACUUGAUCAGUAUUAAUUACCUUUCAUUAAACUUGUUUACAACAAGUGACAAAUAAUUUAGCAUUAAAACAAAGAAUUAAAUAAUUAACAGCAACAUUUAUAUUUCCUAUUUUUCAUCCGAAUUUCUUUAACAACUAUAUAUAUAUAUAUAUAUAUAUAUAUAUAUAUAUUCUUAUCUAAUCUGUGCUUUCUGUUCUUUUUUAAACCUCAGAUGGAAGGAGUCCCACCGUCUUGUAAUGAGGAUGAUGUCAACUUGACAUCGAAUCAGUUCGAUUUUCAAUCACCAGAAGAUUCAUUCAAUAUUUCUGAGUUUCUCUUGUACGUCAUUCUUAAGCAUAUUUUAUCAGAAGAUGAUUACUUGCAAUUUAGUUAUUCUACGGUUUAUCCUAUAUAUUAUUCCAUGGAAGCAGGCCGGCAGACAACCAAGGCUCCAUAUCAUGCAAUGAUCAAGGUGGACAGACAACUGAUCAGUUUCCACCUUCAUUUCCUCAAACCAUGGUGAGUGCUCAUGCUACAACUGAUCAAGGUGGACAGACAACUCCACUUUGCUACAAUGUCCAUUGAAUUAGCAAGUGUUUGUAUCACCCAUUGGAUCAAAAAGUUUUUAUGUUUUCGUGUAUCAAUUUAUCUCGAGCAUCUUCAAAAUGUUUAUUGUUAAACAAACAGACAACAAUGGGAGAUUUAGAUGGAACAUCAUCGUCAUGGAUCAACCAAAAUGAACCAAAUUGGCCUCAAGCUCCAUCAAGGUACAUAAUAUUCAUCAUUAUUUAACUUCUUCUUCUUGUUCACACUAAAUGAAUUCAUUAUGUUUGAAUAUCAAAUGCUUAGUGGAUUAAUAGCAAAGAAUUAUGCAUAUGUAUAAAGAAAUCACUAACAAAUGUUGCUAAUUUAGGGACCAACAAUGGACUGAUUAUCAGUUACCAAUUAUGAGCAAUCAAGUGCCUGCGAUGAACCAAUGGUAUUAACCUCGAAUAUACACUUUUUUAAUCAUGAAAACAACAAACUUGACCAAAAUUGACGAGGAUCUUUCAAGUCUUUUUGAGCUCUCUAUCUCUUUUUUUUUUUUUUGCACAUAAUGGAACUAGAAAAUCAACCAAGUGAGCAUAACAGUUCUAAGUUUAACUAUUUGAAUAUUAUUCAGGCAUCAGAACUCCAAUAUUCCUCAACCUUAUCCGAGACAUGGCUAUAUAACACCGAACGCAACCACUUCACAACAUGGUGGCUUCAAUCAACCUGGACCUUCUUUUCCUGCUCCCCGGUAUCCAAUUUUUCAUGUUUAGUAUUUUCUUUUAAGAAAAAAGAAUUUAGUUUUUCAAUCAGGAAAGAAACAUCAUAGCUUGAACAUGAACCCACCAAGCUAAACAUAAGUUUGUAAUGCUUCAUAUUGUCUGCGAAUGAUUUUGGAUUCAGGAUUCAACAUUUUCCUAAUCAAGGACAAGUCGAUCAAGCUUUUGCAAUUCCUAAUAUAGACAAUAUGCAACAGGAGAACUUCGUGCCUCAAAACUUUGACAACUCUACUAGGUACUGAUCAAACUUUGGCAAUAUAUAUGCUGUCGUGUUUUAACACAGUAUUAAUACCUUUUUGAUAAUUAGAUACACCAUUGAUUUUUAGUGCUUAAGAGAGACUACCACUUAUCGAAAGGUUUAAUAAUAUCAUCACUUCAUUUAUAUAUAGGUCACAGAUGGAUAACCUCCAAGUCCGAGGAUUGCAAAAUCAAACUGCUACGCCAAAUGCCUCGAAUCCUGGCCUUGGCACUUCCCUGCAAAGUCAAAAUAGGGGUUUAAAUACUCAACAAGUAAGAAGUAUAACUGAAUUAUCAUCGUCUUUUUCCCUCCUAUGAUUGUGCAAUAAACUAACUAUCAAUUUUAAUAGCAAAAUAAGGGUAACAACACUGAAGAAGUAGUUUCUCAUCCAUCUGGAUAUGGUGUAACUUGCAUCAAUUUUUAUUCUUUAUUUUGACCUACCUUUUUUUUAUAUAGGUUGAAAUGGUUAGAUCAAAGGAUCCAUUUUGGAAUUAUAUUGAAGAUAGGACUGAUGGUAGCAUGAAGUGUACGUUUUGUCCACAUACAUUUGCCAAUAAAACCUCCAUUUCAAGGAUCAAAUGGCAUUUAUCAGGAGAGGAAGGGCAUAAUGUUGCCAUUUGUCUUGGGGUGCCUAAAGAAGUUCAAGAAGCAGCCUUUCUAGCUGCUUACAAAAGACAGAAAAUCACAGCAAGUUCAGCCAAUGUUAAUGAUUGUGGAAUUUCAACUUGUCCACAGGAACAAAACAUUGAGAUUAACAUGGUAGGAGUAGGGGAACAGAGGAUUUCUUCACAGCAAUAGCAGGAAACGACNNNNNNNNNNNNNNNNNNNNNNNNNNNNNNNNNNNNNNNNNNNNNNNNNNNNNNNNNNNNNNNNNNNNNNNNNNNNNNNNNNNNNNNNNNNNNNNNNNNNNNNNNNNNNNNNNNNNNNNNNNNNNNNNNNNNNNNNNNNNNNNNNNNNNNNNNNNNNNNNNNNNNNNNNNNNNNNNNNNNNNNNNNNNNNNNNNNNNNNNNNNNNNNNNNNNNNNNNNNNNNNNNNNNNNNNNNNNNNNNNNNNNNNNNNNNNNNNNNNNNNNNNNNNNNNNNNNNNNNNNNNNNNNNNNNNNNNNNNNNNNNNNNNNNNNNNNNNNNNNNNNNNNNNNNNNNNNNNNNNNNNNNNNNNNNNNNNNNNNNNNNNNNNNNNNNNNNNNNNNNNNNNNNNNNNNNNNNNNNNNNNNNNNNNNNNNNNNNNNNNNNNNNNNNNNNNNNNNNNNNNNNNNNNNNNNNNNNNNNNNNNNNNNNNNNNNNNNNNNNNNNNNNNNNNNNNNNNNNNNNNNNNNNNNNNNNNNNNNNNNNNNNNNNNNNNNNNNNNNNNNNNNNNNNNNNNNNNNNNNNNNNNNNNNNNNNNNNNNNNNNNNNNNNNNNNNNNNNNNNNNNNNNNNNNNNNNNNNNNNNNNNNNNNNNNNNNNNNNNNNNNNNNNNNNNNNNNNNNNNNNNNNNNNNNNNNNNNNNNNNNNNNNNNNNNNNNNNNNNNNNNNNNNNNNNNNNNNNNNNNNNNNNNNNNNNNNNNNNNNNNNNNNNNNNNNNNNNNNNNNNNNNNNNNNNNNNNNNNNNNNNNNNNNNNNNNNNNNNNNNNNNNNNNNNNNNNNNNNNNNNNNNNNNNNNNNNNNNNNNNNNNNNNNNNNNNNNNNNNNNNNNNNNNNNNNNNNNNNNNNNNNNNNNNNNNNNNNNNNNNNNNNNNNNNNNNNNNNNNNNNACCGCGUGCCAUUCACUACUACGAGUGGAAGAGUGUCCGUGGGCAGUUAAGACAACAAGACUAGAGGAGUCCACUACCUACUAGCUCUACAAAGCCAUUGGGUCAAGCAUUCGAAGAGAAUACGAAGGUGAUACGGUCUUUGUUAAUGGAUGGGGAAGUCUUAAGCAUGGGUAUUUAUGGGAUGGGGGGAGUUGGUAAAUCCACAAUACUUCAACAUAUCUAUAAUGAGUUUCUACAAAAACCAGAUAUUUGUAAUCAUGUUUGGUGGGUGACCGUAUCUCAAGAUUUCAGCAUUAACAGAUUGCAGAAUCUUAUUGCUAAACAUCUUGAUCUAGACCUUUCAAGAGAAGAUGAUGAUCUACAUAAAGCUGCUAAAUUGUCAGAAAAACUAAAGAAGAAACAAAAAUGGAUUCUCAUUUUAGAUGAUUUGUGGAACAAUUUUGAGCUACACAAAGUGGGAAUUCCUGAAAAGUUAGAAGGAUGCAAGCUGAUUAUAACAACUCGAUCAGAAAUGAUUUGUCAUCGGAUGGCUUGCCAGCACAAAAUCAAAGUGAAGCCACUUUCUGAUGGAGAAGCUUGGACUUUGUUCAUGGAGAAACUUGGACAUGACAUAGCACUUUCACCAUAUAUGGAAAGAAUUGCGAAAGCUGUUGCAAGGGAAUGUGAUGGUUUGCCAUUGGGAAUUAUUACAGUGGCAGGAAGCUUGAGGGGAGUGGAUGAUCUACAUGAGUGGAGGAAUACAUUGAAGAAAUUGAAAGAAUCAGAAUUUAGAGACAAUGAAGUAUUCAAGUUAUUGAGGUUUAGUUAUGAUCGGUUAGGUGAUUUAGCACUACAACAAUGUCUCUUGUACUGUGCAUUAUUUCCUGAAGAUCAUGUGAUUGAAAGGAUGCAGUUGAUAGCUUAGCUUAUUUGAUUGAUGGGGGAAUAAUUAAAGGAAUGAGGAGCAGGGGAGAUGCAUUUGACGAGGGCCACACGAUGCUUAAUAGACUUGAAUAUGUCUGCUUAUUGGAA
This 191212-nucleotide long non-coding RNA is filed under the name Populus trichocarpa (black cottonwood). RNAcentral describes it as "long non-coding RNA (PTRI_LNC004359)". Lineage: Eukaryota; Viridiplantae; Streptophyta; Magnoliopsida; Malpighiales; Salicaceae. The record is from RNAcentral.